CCACCACCACCUCCUAUUCACAAAUCUCCAUCUCCACCUAAGAGUCCGUACAAGUCUCCACCACCAAAACCUUAUUUAUACAAGUCUCCUCCACCACCACCCCCUGUUCAUAAGUCUCCAGCUCCACCCAAGAGUCCACACAACUCUCCGCCACCGAAACCUUAUUUACACAAGUCUCCUCCACCACCACCUCCUGUUCACAAAUCCCCACCUUCACCUAAGAGUCCAUACAAGCACAAUUCUCCACCACCACCUUCACCUAACAGACCCUACAAAAACAAGUCUCCUCCAUCACCACCACAUAAUAUACCCUACAAGUGCAUUUCACCCCCACCACCAGUGUACAAAUCACCACCAUCACCGCCUCCCAUCUACGAGUCUCCACCACCACCACCACCGAAGAGUACCUAUGUUUACAAGUCCCCACCACCACCACCACCAAUGAAACCCUACAAGUACACCUCCCCACCACCACCAAAGAGUCCCUACACGUACACUUCUCCCCCUCCUCCUCAUCACUACUGAUCGAUAUCCCAUUAAGGUGUUAUAAAAGGUGAACCGACUAGACAAAAAUCCCACAUUACAUUUCUCUUAAACUUCUUUCAUUGCCGAGGACAAAUCAGAAUGGGUUUUCUUCUUCAUUAGGCUAUAUUUUGCCAAUUAAGCUUUACACCAAGAAAAAAAAAAGGCAUUAACUAUUAACAUCUAGUUAUUUUUCUUGCUACAGUAUGUCUCAUGCAUGCAUUGAGAAUACUUCCUGUAUCUUUGCAGGUAAGGAUUUGUUGAAAAAUAAAACAAGUAUGGGCUAACUGCAAUGUCCACGCAAAGAUAAUGAAAGCAACAAAACAUGAGAAACGACAAUGAACACAAAGGGACAUGUUAAAUUCUCACUAUAGAUCUUCAUGUUUUGAGAUAACAGAAGUUUGUGACUGCGUGAAAGAGGCCCAUGUUAGUAUGUGGCUAAUUAGUACGUGUAACAGAGCAAUCUUAGUAGGUGUUAAAGUUUUUAUGUUGUGUGUCUUAUGGUUCUUGAUCUCUUGCAAAUGCUGGGAUUAUCGAUUGGCACCUAAUGAAAUAUCAAAAAGUCUCUCUAAAUCAUGUUCCUCGUUGCUACAGUGAUUAUUUUGGCAACGAUUUGCUUGAUCUGCAUGCUCUUGCCGCUGCAUGCAUGAACGUCGACGACAAAAGCUACGCUUAUAUAAUCACAAUAAUUGGGAAAUACAUUAAUACCUUACCACCUAUUUGUACAUACAUCAAAUUUUACGUCACUUUGGACAACGUAAUUAGAAAUCAUGAAAAGUUCAACCAACUUGUUCAUUGUUCUUAUGCUGCGUUUGUAUGGUAACGUUGGAGAUGAAAUGAAACAAGGACGAUAUUGUUACCAUGAAAAUAGAAUUUGCGCUUCACUUGGAAAAAAAAAUGCAUAUAUUUCUGCCGCAUAAAAGGGUUGUGAACUCUCCAACCUGUAAUGGUAGCCUAAUAAUAUCAUUAAGUCCCCUCCCCCCCCCUCCCAAAACAAAAAAAUAAAAAGAGAAAAGAAAAGAAUACCAUUAAUUUCUUGAUAAGUUUCAAUUACUUUUUCCUUUCAAUGAUGGCUGAGUAAUUCAAGAACUCUAAUGAUCCAUGACUACAAUGUUAGAAAGAAUAAAUGGCCACUUACAAUCUGAAAAUCUUACAGAUUGCUGGUUUGCACCUCGAACAUCUACAUUAUAAUCAAUUUGCAGUAGAACUUUUUUUUCCUACGUAAUUAAUGUGCAGCCAGCAUCAAUUAACAAUGCCAUCAUCACACCAGCAACCAAAAACAAGUCAUACACGUUAUUUACAAGUUCUUCUUGGACAAAUUUUAUUCAAUUUUCUUAAUCAACUGAUAGCUAAUUCCAAUUGGUGACUUGAUCUAUAUACCUAGCUCUAUAUCGUUCACAAAAUUUGACUACAGUUGACAUUAUUGGAAAGUUCAUGUAUGUAAAUUGGCAACCAAAUCGAAGUUGCAAAUCAAAGUAUGGAGAGAAAUUAAGCUGGUUGCAGAUUUCGAGGAUGUAAAUAAUGGUGUUCACCCUAUAAAAUUUUGAAUGACACCUCUCUAUGUUUAGGUACGUUUCUGAAAAUUGUGACUCGUACACUCCAUUAUUGAAUGGAUCCUUUUGAUUAGAAAUUAUAAACAUAUAAGAUUUCACCAAACAAUGUAACGGUAGAAUGCAUUUACCAGCUAUAACCUAUCUAUUAUUCUCCGUGGUCCCUGCCAUUAUUUUCAGCAAUAACUAAAAGAAAUGCUUUCUUUUCUUCCAAAUUUUUUAAGCCCAUUAACGUCAAAGGACUAACUUGUAGUAGCUACCAGUAGAGGCCACUGACCACAGUGUACAACAAUGCACUUACAGGCCCAAAAGAUCUAGGAUUGCUUCUACGUAUGAUGAAACAGCCUUGAAGGAAAUUGUUUUCCUUUCACUGCUGAUAAAAAUUGAAGAAAUAAAUAUCACUUUGUACUUCUAAUAUUUCUAUCAGUUUUACUCCGUAGUUCUAAAUUUUAUGUUCAAUUCUUGCGACAAAUAUCAUAAAUCAUAGGAAAAUUGUUUUGAAUGUUCUUGAAGGUGGUUAGAAGCCAUGCGCGUAGACUCUUUCUUUUUUUAUCUUGGUUUCUCUUUAUCACGAAUACUAAUAUCAUCAUUUUUCACUGAUAAGAAUGAGGAACAUGGUGGUGCCCAUAAGCAUAUCUUUCGUCUGCUUCUCUAACAAUGUUUCUAGUUUGCGAUGAAUUAGUAAAUGUACGAUUAAUUGGUACAUUUGGAAUAUAAAGCAUUUAAAUGAAUGUUUUACUUGAAAGUACGAAUAUGCCCUAUUUGAUAAUUUAAUUCAGUUAAAUUUUAAUUAAUUAGGUGGUACUAAAUUUUCAUAAUAAUUAGCCAAUAUAUUGGUUAUGCAAAAUGAAUUAGUCAUAAUUAAAGGUAUGUCAGUGCUGAAAAAUUAUUCUAUUUCUUUUGUAAAGGUAAAAGUAAUUACAAAAAUUCUUCUCACCAGUCAAUAUAUAACAUUAAUAUCGUGGUGUGCUCAUACAACUUUUGACAACUUUUGAGAGGCAUUAGAUUUCAAUAUGCUCCCAAUAUCAAAAAGUGGGGUUGAUUUUUUUUUUUUUUUUUUGCUCAUUUUGAUUAGGAUUUUAUGCAUUGAAUCAAGCAAUGAUCCACUUACACUUAAAAGAGGCAAAAACUGUCUAAUAAACGGAAUAAACAACUAAAGUGAACACUGCAAGGAACACUUAGUAGGGUUGCUUUUAGAACUUCACCAAAAUUUUGGUGCUUGUACAUUUCAAAAGAAAAGAAAAAAGAAGAAGAAAUUAAAAUCGUUCAACCUUUAGCAUUAAAGAUGUAAGUGACCAGAUCAUGACUUUAGAAUGAUCCAUCUGAACAUGCAAGCAGUCGUCCAUGACUAAAAUCAGUUGAUCUUUCAAAGCCUCAUUUUCAUGUCAUUCCCAAAAUCAACUAAAGCUAGCACCAGUAUGACUUAAUUGAUAAACUGGGAUCCACUACAGAUAUCAAAGUCUGGAAUCAUUAUUAAAAAGUGGGCCAAAAAAGAAAUUUUUUCUAGCAUUAGAUUGUUCGAAAGUUAAUACUAGCACGCCAAUGUCUAUUCGUCUAUUUGGAUGACUCAACAAAGUCUCUGUGAAAACCGGUCCAAUAUGAAUAUUCUGUGCCUAAUUCGAUAAAAGAGAGGUUCCUCUUCAUAUUAUUUUGAAGGAAAAAAUGACUUUUGAUGCUCAAGAGUUUUCAAAUUUUGCCACUACAUCAAGUUGACUAGUACCUACCCAAGUAGUUGUCGGAAUGUGAUUUUUGUUAAAAAGCUUAAGAAAAGGAUUACUACAUUAUCCCUCCAAAAUUCAACCCUAAUUUAUUUAUUAAUCAUAUUUUUCUUUUCCUAGUUUCAAACCUAAUUAUAGACCAAUCUUAUGUUAUUUUGUUUAAAUCUUUCUAGAUUAAUUUUUUUAGAUGUUAGUGAAAUCGUGUUUUGGUGAGCAAAAUGUCACUAAUUAUGAGUGUAUUUGCAUUAAAGUGCAUGGUAAUUAAGCAAAAUGGGCACUAAGCCAAUACAUUAUACAACUGAAAUAUAAAGAAAAAAUUGUACAACUGAAGUAGUAGCAUUUUUCUCACAAAGUACCAUUACUGUUUUCUAGUGUAGCAUUUUCUCAGAAAACUCCCUUAGAGUUUAGAAUAAGCAAGUGCCUCUAAUUUAGUAUGUCCUUGUAGUACUGGAUGCAUUGCAUGGGAACGUCCUACUUCCCAUGACUUAUAAAAAUCAUAUAUACGUGAAUUUUCCAUCUCUUUUGCCGUCCCUCUUUCUUACACGUAAAACCAAAAUCACCUAACAACAUAUUUUAUAUAACCUGGCCUCCACUUCUCAUGUCAACUAAUAGGAAUCACAAUGAAGAUAAAAAUUAAACUUCACCCCAUAUUAUUGGAUCACACCAACACUACUGUUAAUUUUUAAUUGCUUUUCCUUUUUUCCCACCAUAUUAAAAUAUACUGUCCCACUUGAGGCUAAAACAUUCCACAACAAUGUCGAAAAUUUUCUGAUUAAUUUAAUUGUGAUGCACAUUUUAAUAUUGGUUAGACGGCUUCUGAUCAGAAGUCUAUAUUCUGGAUUAAGGCAAUCUUGAGGUAGAUGUAGUGGCAAUGUUCUUUGUUGAUUAAAUACUUUAGAAAGUCUGCACUGUAAAUAAAUGAAAAGUCAACUUAUACUUUAGAACCAUUUCCAAUCUAACUAAUUGUAAACAGCUCUGAGUUGUUUCUCUUUAAAAAUUUUGUGAAUUACUUGUAUACAUCAAUGAUUGAUUUGUUGUCUACUCCCACAACCAAAAAAAAAGAAAAAGAAAAAGAAAAAGAAAAGAUACAAAAUGUGUAGCAAAAGUCAAUAGUCAAAGUUGUAGUGUUAUAUACGAGUCCAAAAAUCAAAAGGAUUAAACUGAUAAAUAUAUCAGAGCCAAACAAUAUUGGACCAUAUGGAAGGCAUUGUUACUGUUGCACUCUUGUCCUGGUCCUCGUUAGAUGAGGGCGGAAUCCCUUUUGUCCACCGCUAAGUUGGAUGUCAACGUAGGAAUAAUGUUGACUUUUUCUUUCUUUCAUUCUGUUCUGUUGUUUUUUUUUAUCAAUUGUCAUCCCUACUCCUGCUUCCUACUCUAACUACGAGAAGGUUCAACUGAGCCUACAGGAGACCGAUGGGGAUAGAACCACCACCGGAUCAGACGAAUACACUACGCACCCGUCUGGAUUUGAAGCAGAGCCACAAGAGUGGCAUUUUGGUAGGAGGCAUUUUGGUGGGAGCCUCAAGAUUUGAACCCUUGCCUCCCACCCCACCAAUGUUUUAAGGGUUUGGUAGUGGUCACCAACCCAAGAGCUGGAUGGUUCAUUCUGUCCUGUUGUUAGGAAACUCUUUUUGUAAAUUUAGGGCAUUGAGAAGUAUGGCCCAACCAACUCUUUUAGUCUUUUAGGCGAGCAGGCUACUACAGAAAAUUGUCCGGCUGUAAGUUGAGAGGUCAAAACCCUAGAUUUGUUAAAUCUCUGGACUUGCAGUUAAUUCAAAAGAUGAAGAUGCUCUAAUACACCUUUCUCCAACUAUCUCUAGAUUCUCUUGGAUUAGGAGUAAGAAUAGAAAUAGAUUAACAAUUAUUGUGUCGACACAAAAAAAAUAAAUAUAAAAUGAUUUUGGAUGUGUGCCUUGAAAAUUUGCUCCUGUUGUUUCUGAUUGGAAAGUCUUUUGCAUCACAAAAAAUAAAAUAAAAUCCUGAAGAAGCUUGCCUUUUGCUCUCUUUCCAUUUCUUUCCGAGUUAGAUAAAACAUUUCAACACUCCGUUGCGGUAAGAUAUCUUAAGGUUCAACAUUAUUAGGAGGAAAAAUGGACUGGGUGGUUUGGGGGAGGGAGCGUAAAUAAGAGGUUUUAGAUUCAAACCCUUCCACUUAUACUAUAUAUAUAAAAAAAAGCUCCAUAUUACAUUAUUACUAGUGUUUUCUGCCCUAAAUAAACCACUUCCUUUUCUCUUCUUUCAUUGGAUUCUUUCCAAAUAUCGGUUCCCAAACGAGUUUAGAUCAAUUAUGAUAAAUAUAGGCACAUCUAUUUUGUGAGAGUACUUUUGAAGAAAUAGUUACACCUUGGAAUUAACGACAGGGAUGCCAUUCAUAAUGAAAAAAUAGUCUGAAAUUCGAGCUAAUCCAUAUAAAGUCAAAUUGUAGUCCUCACAUUAGUGGGAUUUGACAACCAAAAUCCUCCACUUGGAAGCUAAACUGUAGUCCUCAUAUUCGGCAACUUGUUGGUCAUCUUUUUUUUUCUUUUUUUUUUUAAAAGGUUUUGAAAACCAAUUAAAAAACAAGUAAUUCAUGAUUUUUUUAUAUCUUCAAUCAUUUACCUAUUAAAAAAACGACAUCUUCAAUCAUUUUAUAGCUUUCAACUUCCCCAUGUGAACCUUUUCAAACAGAAGCCACACAAUGGAGGAGGAAUAUUUGGAUGGUACUUUUCUCCUAAAAGGAGCUGGCUGUUGUAUAGUCAAUGUUCUAUCUGGGGAAGUAUCACCAUGGCAAUGAAUUCUUUUUUCCCUCUGUUUUUGGGUGAAUAUUCCCAGUUGCAGCAGGGGGCCAAUAUAUAUAUAUAUAUAUAUAUAUAUAUAUAUAUAUAUCCCACAUAAUAAAAGUGUCAUGAACUGGUCGUAAUCAUCGGAAUCAUACAUUCAUUGACUCGAGCUGUCAUCAAUGGCUCCUUCAAUUCCAUAAGGGCCAUUCCAAUUCACACUAGCUAGAGAAAAAGGUGAAAGAAGUACUUAGAAAAUGUCUUUUAUUGCUACGAUGCUAUUAUCUUCAAUGAUCAGCUUAAUAAUUUUCCUUUUAUAGAGCCAGUACCCGUACUCCUCACAUGUUGUAGAUUCUUGGUUUCAUGCUUCCAGCUGUUAACACAUUCUAUAAAUCUGAAUUUUACCUUGUUUGGAUUGCCAUUUUUUCACUCAAAACUUUUUAUGUUUUUCGUAAAUAUAUUUUCUAAUCACUUUUUUAUCUCAUAUAUAUCAAAUCAUUAUAGUACAUUAUUUUUACCAAAAAAAAAAAACUCAAGAAAAUAGCAAUCCAAAUGAGCUACAUCUUUCCAUUUUUAUUAUCCAACUAACGAAUAUGACAUCUUAUGUAUAGGUCAGUUAAAUAUUACAUUCUCUACCAAAUAUGAAUACAUAUCAUUUUUCUGAGCAAGUACAGAUUCUAUCCUUUUUAUUCCUGCCUAACAAAUUUGUGGUUGAACAUCUUCACAUGUGCUAUCAGAUCACAAGUUAUAGUAAUCUUCUGAAGAUAGUUUAAAUUUAUUCGUACAAUUUAGUCAAAAGAAGCAUAAUAAAUUCAAAAUUCACCAUGGUAUUAUUAAUGAGUACUUUCAAGGUCUCUAUUAUGGAAGCUUCCUUGGGUUGGUCAUGUAUACUAAUUAUUUAGUGUCAUGCACGCACGUCUAUGUUUUUCAGAGUGCUAAAGAUAAUAUUUUAUUGACGGCAGAUGAAAAUUAACCUUAAGCCGGCAACUUUUUUUUUUUUUUUUUAAUAAAAAAUUUUCAGUAAGUUAAGACGACUCCUGAAACUAUAUUAAGCUACUAAAAUACUACGAAAUUUUUGUCUUUGUUCCAGUGACUUCAGAAGCAUCAAAAGUAGGCGGGGCACACAGGCUUCUUCUACGAGGUUUAACUAUGCAAUUAGAGUCAAAAGAAUUCCUCUCAAGAUUAAUUGACAUGCCAAUUAAGAACUAAAUAUUGGUAUCAUCAUUUCAUGAAAUACAAGAUUACUGUUUCAAUAUAUGUAGACAUUAACUUUCUAUGCCUGAUUUAUUAUAAGAAAAAUCUAAAUAAUUGGCCUUAUAUGGAUUGUAAUUUUUCACCUAGAAAUUUUAUAUUUUUUGUUAACACAUUUUUUAAUCACCUUUUUAUCUCAAUACAACAAUUUGAUACAAUUUAUUUUUCUACAAAAAUUUAAAAAAAUGGUAAUCCAAACGGAUUGUUAAACAUUUCAGUAGCAAUUUAUCAAUUACCGAAGACGAAAAAUUGGUUGCCCCUCUAUACAAGGGAAUUCUUGAUCAUUCCACAUUCUGGUCUACUAUAAGGAGAAAUCAACCUAAACAUUUCGAUAGCAAGUUUUCAAUGACAGAAGAUGGAAAAUUGACUGCCCCUUUGUGCGAGGGGAUUCAUGAUCUUUCCUCGUUCUAGUCUACUUGUCAAUUCUUGGAAAAAAAAAAAAGAAUACUCAUUUCUAAAAUAUACAGCCUCUUCAUUUGCACUAUCCUGCAGUCAAAUUGAUAGGCAUAUAUUCCGAAACUCAGACACAAGCAAUUUUGCUAGGAAAAUUCACUGUUCAAUAACCAACUCGAUGCAUGCCUUACUGCAUUAUAAAUUUUGUACCCUUCCAGCACAAACCCCCCCUUUUUUUUUUUAUUUAUUGUAGCUUUUUCAUCUAGGUAAGAAUCUCCCAACUCAUUUCUUUAGAAACCCUGUAUUUAAUCCCACCUUUAAAAGUCUCCACAUGUUUCUUUAACAUUUAAAACUAUUCACCGACUCGCAAUUGACGUCAGAAAUUCUAAGAGGAAUUCUACUAUACUCCCAGAUUGGCCAUGAUGAGAAAAUGGUGAUUUUGAAUUAUUACAUUAUAACCUCCUUUUUUUUGGCAUGAAAAAGUUUGGGUAGAUUAGGCUUUGAUGAUCACCACUAGUCAAAAUAUACUCCCGAUACCAUAGAAUACUUACAAGUGUUCUAAUAUAUCGCUCACUAACACAGUUCUUAUAUCGACAGUAAAAUUCAAACAUAUAAUGUUUUGUAAGAAAGUAGUCCGAACUUACCAAUUCAACCAACUUGUGUUGACGAUGUACAUGUCUUCUUGACAAGAAAAGGAUGGACAAAAGAUAGUCAAACAAUGUCUAACACUUUUUUGGAGACAAAAAAGCAUUGCUAAAUCAAGCAUUUACACAAAAUUUCAAAGUCACCGCUAUGCUAAGUUGCAAAGUUAUGCAAACGCUUAAUAUUUUACCGUUCAGGAUUUAACAAUUUAGAGCAUAAUCCUCAAACAACGACAAUUAAAUAAUGAAUGGUCACGAUUGCCAAAUCAAAGUACAGUUCGACGACAACCCAUUACAACGUGUACAAGAUAAUUAACUUUUCCAAUGUUGUUUAAAGAAUUUGAAGAGACUUACUACGCUUACAUAUUGCAAGUCCUAGGGCUUAAAAAUGAAGAUAUGAGGGCUAUAUAAAGAGGGCUAGAAGCUACCUGGAAGCAUAUUCGCCUAAAACCAGAUUUUGUUGCAAUGGGGAGCAAAGCAAUGCGGUCUAGGCUGGCUCCUCUUCUUACCACCGUUUUGGUGGUAUUCGUCGCUCUUGGCUUGCCUUUAGAGACUGCAGCUGACUAUUACAAGUAUUCAUCUCCUCCUCCUCACAACUAUUCCUCACCACCACCUCUACUGUAUUCACCACCACCUCCUAUUUACAAGUCACCUCCACCACCUUACCACUAUUCCUCACCGUCACCUCCAGAGCAUUCACCUCCACCACCGCCUCCAGUUUACAAGUCACCCCCGCCACCUUACCACUACUCCUCACCACCACCUCCAGUGCAUUCGCCUCCUCCACCACCUUACCACUAUUUAUCACCACCACCUCCAGUGCAUUCUUCUCCACCACCACCGGUUUACAAGUCACCUCCACCACUAUCUCCAUUUUACAAGUCCCCACCACCACCUUACCAUUAUUCCUCGCCACCACCUCCAGUGCAUUCACCUCCACCGCCACCAGUUUACAAGUCACCUCCACCACCUCCUCCAGUUUAUAAGUCCUCGCCAUCACCUUACCAUUAUUCCUCACCACCACCUCCAGUGCAUUCACCCCCACCACCACCAGUUUACAAGUCCCGCCACCACCUUACCAUUAUUCCUCACCACCACCUCCUGUGCAUUCACCUCCACCACCAUUUACAAGUCACCUCCACCACCUCCUCCAGUUUACAAGUCUCCACCACCACCUUACCAUUAUUCCUCACCACCACCUCCAGUGCAUUCACCCCCACCACCACCAGUUUACAAGUCCCGCCACCACCUUACCAUUAUUCUCACCACCACCUCCAGUGCAUUCACCUCCACCAAUUUCCACCAAGUCACCUCCACCACCUCCUCCUCCAGUUCCUACCAAGUGCAUUCCACCAACACCACCUUACCAUUAUUCCUCACCACCACCUCCAGUGCAUUCACCCCCACCACACCAGUUUACAAGUCCCGCCACCACCUUACCAUUAUUUCUCACCACCACCUCCAGUGCAUUCACCUCCACCACCACCGGUUUACAAGUCACCUCCACCACCUCCUCCAGUUUACAAGUCCCCGCCACCACCUUACCAUUAUUCUCACCACCACCUCCAGUGCAUUCACCCCACCAUCACCAGUUUACAAGUCUCGCACCACCUUACCAUUAUUUCUCACCACCACCUCCAGUGCAUUCACCUCCACCACCACCGGUUUACAAGUCACCUCCACCACCUCCUCCAGUUUACAAGUCUCCACCACCACCUUACCAUUAUUCCUCACCACCACCUCCAGUGCAUUCACCCCAACCAUCACCAGUUUACAAGACACCUCCACCACCUCUUCUAGUUUACAAGUCUCCACCACCACCUUACCAUUAUUCCUCACCACCACCUCCAGUGCAUUCACCCCCACCACCACCAGUUUACAAGUCUCCGCCACCACCUUACCAUUAUUCCUCACCACCACCUCCUGUGCAUGCACCUCUACCACCAAUUUACAAGUCACCUCCACCACCUCCUCCUCCAGUUUACAAGUCUCCACCACCACCUUACCAUUAUUCCUCACCACCACCUCCAGUGCAUUCACCCCCACCACCACCAGUUUACAAGUCUCCGCCACCACCUUACCAUUAUUCCUCACCACCACCUCCGUGCAUUCACCUCCACCACCACCGGUUUACAAGUCACCUCCACCACCUCCUCCAGUUUACAAGUCCCCCCACCACCUUACCAUUAUUCCUCACCACCACCUCCAGUGCAUUCACCCCCACCACCACCAGUUUACAAGUCUCCGCCACCACCUUACCAUUAUUCCUCACCACCACCUCCUGUGCAUGCACCUCCACCACCAAUUUACAAGUCACCUCCACCACCUCCUCCUCCAGUUUACAAGUCUCCACCACCACCUUACCAUUAUUCCUCACCACCACCUCCAGUGCAUUCACCCCCACCACCACCAGUUUACAAGUCUCCGCCACCACCUUACCAUUAUUCCUCACCACCACCUCCAGUGCAUUCACCUCCACCACCACCGGUUUACAAGUCACCUCCACCACCUCCUCUAGUUUACAAGUCCCCGCCACCACCUUACCAUUAUUUCUCACCACCACCUCCAGUUCAUUCACCCCCAUCACCACCAGUUUACAAGUCUCCGCCACCACCUUACCAUUAUUCCUCACCACCACCUCCAGGGCAUUCACCCCCACCACCACCAGUUCACAAGUCUCCGCCACCUCCAGUCUACAAGUAUAAGUCACCACCACCUCCUUCCCCAAUUUACAAGUCACCAUCACCACCUUCUCCAGUAUACAAAUUACCUCCACCACCUCCUCCAGUUUACAAAUCUCCACCACCAUCAAUUUAUAAAUACAAGUCUCCUCCACUACCUCCUCCAGUGUACAAGUCAUCACCACCACCUGCUUACAAGUCUCCACCUCUUCCAGUUUACAGUUCCCCACCACCACCAAUCUACAAGUCUCCACCUCCACCCUACCAUUACUACUACAAUUCUCCUCCUCCUCCUCCUCGUCACUACUAAGCAAUUGUAUGCAAGUUUUUGAGGUAAUAACGCUUAACCAAUAAACUAACUUUCGCAUGAUAAAACUUAUCUCUAUCAAGACAAACUGCCAUGUGUAUCAUGCCAAAUACGUACACCUAGAUCCAUGAAAAUGAAUGGUAGAAAAUUUUCUUAAGAACUAAGGAACAGCAUUAGUAUUCCCUCUGCUUCCAAAAACUUGUGUAUUAAAUAGAUUAAUGAAUUGUUUAACAUGCUCAUUUACUUGAAAAUACACAAUACCCAUAACCUACUGAAUUUUUUGCAGGAAAAGGGAAAGACAAUCUGUGUUUGAGAGCUUCAUGAAGAUGUUGAAGAAUAAGAAUAAAAGCCCAAUGCGAGGAUGUUUCAAGUUUUUCUAUGUUUCCACUUUAAUUUGUAAAUUGAAUUUUGUGACUCAAUUAAUUCCCUGUUUGUGGGGUACGUGUUGUUUUACGUACCAUGCCGUACAGGUUUGUAAGGAUUUCUAUCCUAUUGGCAAAAGUCGGUUCCAUACAAUUAAUCAAUUCAUUUCACUUCUAUUGGCUCUACUAUUUAUGCAUGUUACGACAUUUUUUCUCUCUUUCCCUUAUAUUUUGCCUUUAAUAUUAUUGAAUCAAUAUUAAUAAUGGGCCUUUUUCUUAAAAUUAUACUAUUAUACAUAGGUUGUUUGGUCUAACGCUAAAUUCAUGUUUGUCUUUCUUUUAUUCCCUUUACAUCUCAAAGUAUACUAUAGUUUGUAAUCAUUGUGGUGAUGAUAUUGCCAGCUGGUACUUAUAGUUUAAGGCAGAGACAUGAUAUUAACAACUAUCUCAUUGAAACAUAAAGAAAAAUCAUGACAAGUGUGAGUCUUGGUUAAUGCACAAUUUGUUAGUGGAAUUUAUAUUUAUAAAACUCAAAAAAAAAUUUUGACAAUGCUAUUACUAAUUAAUUAAGGACUUUAUUGCUAUAAUUUAUCGCUUACUAGUUUAAACUAUAAAUGAUCUCAAUACUUUUCUCCAUGAUGUCGAUUUCUUUAGAUUACGAAAGGGAAAAAUUAGUGACAUAUCCCUUACUGAUUACAACAUCAGCAAAAAUUAGUUAUAAAUUUUUCCGGUGGUUUUAAAUCCCUCGGGCACUAAGAUUUUUUGCACAUCGAGUGAAUUGAGGAACAUAGGCAAUUCGUUCUGCAUACCAAGUCCUUGUUUAAGAUGCAAGUACUAAAAUGCAUCCACUUCAUUAAUUUGGGAAAUUGCCAUAGUUUUUUUUAAGCAUUUUGAUUUUUUACAUGAUUCAAAAUUUUCUUAUUGGAUACAAUCACUUUGUAUCAAGAACAUUUUCAAUCAUCCUUUUUAUCUUCUCAAUAAGAAAAUAAAAAUUUAUUCAUGCUUUUCUAACAUAUCCAAUCAUUGAUCUGAAAAAUAAAGAAUUUAAAAAAAAAGACAUUUUCAAUCAUUGCUUACAGGGCAACUUCCCCAUGUGAACCUCUUCAAACAAAGCCAAUAAUAUGAAGGAACAUCUAAAUACACUUUUGCCCUAAAGGCUGGUUGCCUUGGGGUCAAAAUUUAACCUUCGGGAGUAUAAUUACCCUGCCAAAUUUAUUAUUUUUUAUGGGUAUAUAGUUCCAAUUUUUCCUCCUGUUAAGCUUAUAAAUAUAUUAUCACCCAGAAAAUAAAGGAAUCUUGAAUACUAACAUGUCCAUUUACUUGAGUUGUCAUCAAUUUGGCUACUUCGAUUCCAUGAGGGCAAUCCAAUUCACACUUGCUAGAGAAAAUGGUGAUAAAGGCACAAAGAAAAUUAUAUGUAAUAUUGAUUGGUAGUAACCACCUUGUAUUGAUCCCACUAUUGUGGAUACUCGUGCUCUUAUGAAAAAAAAUUAUAAAAAAUUAGCAAAAUUUAAAAGAACAAAGUAAAUUUAUUCGUACAAAUCAGUCAAAGAAGUAGCAUUUUAAAGACCAUGAUGAAAUUAAUACUUUCAAGGUCUCUAUUAGGAAGACUUCCUUUGUUGGUGAAACUACACUAGGUACGGUUACAUGCAGAUGUUUACUGUUUUGGUACCUAAUUUCCUUGCCUUGAGUUGGGUGCAGAUGUUUAUAUUACAAAUAGAUGGUAUCAUAAAUUUGUUGUAUUAACGUCUGUUCUUUUUUUUCUUCCUUAAGUUUUUUUCUUUAUUCUCGUGACUUCAAAAAUACGAACUCAAGAAAUUAACUGCUUCGACAUUAAGGUAUAACUUCACAACUAGAGCCAAUAGAAAUCGUCAAAUGAUUUUUUGACAUCCAAAUUAAGCAAUAAAUUUUGUUUUCAUUUCACGGGAGAUUUUAUAGUUUCUUUUGGGUAUCAUACCUACAAGUGAUAAUUGUCAUUGGAUAGUGAAAGAAGUGUUAAUGAUUGUAAGAUUAAAUAUUGAAAAUUUAAACUAUUUAUCUUUAUUGAGAGAUACAACUUAAAGAAUCGUAUCCAAAAGAGACUAUAGAAUUUUCUCUGUUUUUCAUCAUCUGUAGACAUAAACUUUCUACGGUUGAUGUACUAUAAGGAAAUUUUGCCUAUACAAUGUGAUACCAUUUUUUCAAAAAGACAAGAUGGCAAAUUGCCCCCUUGAACGGAAAAAAUCAUGAUCUUUCCUCAAACUAGUCUACUUGUCAAUUCUUUGAAAAAGAAUACACUGCCCCGCAGAAUUCUAGAAAGUUAGGCAAAACUAGACAAGUUGACAGCUAUAAUCAUACCCAAGAUCAGGAACAAGCAGUUACACAUUUCAAAAUUCGCUGCUGCAACAACUAAUUUGAUGACUUACAACACUAAAUGGUCAAACUUUGAAUGGCAAUGAAUCUUUUGUUGUACAUCAUGAUGUAAUUUUCAUGUUACAUAAUAGAUUGAUAUCUAUGUUCUUUAAAUUAUCAUAAUAAUUAAAUUUAACUGAUAAAAAGAACACAUAUCAAUACACAAAAGUGUGUAACGUGAAUGUUAUAUUAGUGUAUUGCAGAAGACCUAUAGUCUCUUCACAUCUCUUCCUGCAUCUUUUAUGUUUUAUUACCUCCAAAAGCCUUUACAGGGUCUUUACCCUAAAAAUCAAUUCACCGACUCGCAUUUGAUGUCAGAAAUUCUUAAGACGAAUUCUACUUUACUCAAAGAUUGACUGUUAAUAAUGAGACAACGACCAUUUUGUAUUAUUACACCGUCCUUCUUGAUAGGCAAAAGAAAUAGAGAGGAAAGCGGGUCCGUAUAUGGUCUUUUAUUCAUAGAUAAUACAACAUUACGCCAUCGAGCAUUCACACAAUAUUUCAAAGUCAUUGCAUGCCUAAAGCCCCGCUUGAUAAUCCAAUUUCAUACUUAAAUUUAAUGGAUUCAAAUUUUAACACAUUCAAAUUGUUUGAUAACAAAAAAUUGAACGUCUAAAUUAAUUAAGUAACACUAAAUUUUUUAGACAAAACUUGCUCCCAAAAUUAAGUGAUAAGCUAUAUCACUUAUCACUGAAUGUGAUAUGCAUUCAAAUGUAUUAUAUUUAAUACUUAAUAAUUUAAUAAUUUAAUGGAUUCAAAAUUCAGAUUUUAGAUUUCAGUUUUAUCAAACAUACCCUAAGUUGCAAAAUAAUACCAAAACUUGUUAUUAUAUAGCUUGAGAUUCAAAAAUUUAGAGCAUAAUUCUCAACCUAACACAAUUGAAUAAUGAAUAUUCACGAUUGUCAAAUCUAUCAAAGUACAAUUUGAGGACAACCCAUUCCAACGCGUACACAAUUUCUCACUUUUCUAAAGUUGUUGAGAGCUGUUAAAAGAGAUUUACCAUGUUUACAUCUUCCAAGUCUUGGGAGUAAAAAAUGAAGCCACCGAGUGCUAUAAAAAGGGGGCUAGAGGCUGCCUAGAAGCAUAUCAGCCUAAAACAAGAAUUUGUAGUAACAAUGGGGAGCAAAGCAAAAGCAACGGGGUCUAGGCUGACUCCUCUUCUUACCACUGUUUUAGUGGUAUUUGUCGCCCUUGGCUUGCCCUUGGAAACUGCAGCUGAUUAUUACAAGUAUUCAUCUCCUCCUCCUCCUCCUUACCACUAUUCUUCACCACCACCUCCAGUGUAUUCACCUCCACCAACCCCUGCUUAUAAGUUACCCCCACCAUCUCCUCCAGUUUACAAGUCCUCACCACCACCUUACCACUACUCACCACCUCCGGUGUAUUUACCUCCACCAUCUCCAGUUUACAAGUCACCACCACUACCCCCUCCGGUAUACAACUCCCCGCCUCCACCAGUGUACAAAUACAAGUCCCCACCACCACCUCCUCCAGUUUACAAAUCUCCACCGCCACCAGUUUACAAAUACAAGUCACUCCCACCACCUCCUCCGGUAUACAAGUCUCCUCCGCCACCUGUUUACGAGUACAAGUCUCCUCCACCACCUCCUCCAGUGUACAAGUCCCCACCACCUCCAGUUUACAAGUACAACUCACCUCCACCUCCUCCCCCAGUUUACCUGUCUCCACCUCCACCCUAUCAUCACUACUACGGUUCUCCUUCUCCUCACCACUACUAAGCAAGUGCAUAAGUUUUGAGGUAAUAAUACCUAUCCAAAACUUUAUCAACACAAACUGCCAUGUAUAUCAUGCUAAGGACGUACACUUGAUCCAUGAAAAUGACUAGUAGAAGAUUUUUUUUAAGAACCAAAGAAAUACAUUAUUUUUUCGGUCUGUUUUCAAGAAUUUGAGCAGUAUACAGAUUAAAGAGUGUUUUUUUUUUUGUAAACUUGCUUGUCAACUUAAAAAUGCACAUAGCUGAAAGCCAACUGAAUAUUUGCAGGCAAAGGAGAAGGCAAUCGGUGUUUGAGACCUUCAAGAAGAUGUAGAAGAAUAAGAAUAAAAGCCCAAUGCGAGGAUGAUUCCAAGUUUCUACGUUACCAUUUCUACAUCUAAAUUGACUUUAGCUCCUGAGUUCCAUGUUUAUGGGGUUUGUACCGUUUUACGUACCAUGCAGUACAUGCUUGCAAGGUUUUCUGUCCUGUUGGCAAACUGCAGGUCCAUAUAAUAAAUGAAUACUAUUUACAUUACGACACUUUUCUCUUUUUCUCUUAUAUUUUGUCUUUAAUAUUGUUGAUCAUUUUUUUUUUAUCAAAAGCAUCAAAUGCUUAGGUAAUUUGGUCUAAUGCUAAUUGUUUUACUUUUAUUUUUCACCUACACCCCUUUUCAACUCAAAGGAUGCUAUAGUUUGUGAUAAUUGUUUAAGACCGAAGCAUGAUACUAAUAAAUAUCUCAUUGAAAGUCAAGGAAACUAACAUUAGGAAAAGUUUAAAUCUUGAUUUGAUGAAACUAUUUAUUCGUGGAAUUUAGAGAUACAAAACUCAAAUUGUGACGGUGUUGUUGCUAAAUUAUUAAGGACAUUAUCACCAUUAUUUUUCCCUGAUCACUAGUUUCAACUGCAAUGAUCUCAAUCUUUUUGUGACUAAUUCUUUCCUUAAUAAUUUAUAAAGACAAAACUCACAAAGAAUAUGUGACUAAUUCUUUCCUUUCGUCUUCUAAAGAAAAUGCCAACUGUUAGUUUAUCAAGGGGAAAAAGGAUCGACAUCAGUUAUUAUUGAAACUAGUAAGGAAUAAAUAAUGGUGAUAAUGUCCUUAAUAAUUUAACAACAGCACCAUCAGAAUUUGACUUUGAGCUUCGGUCUUAAACAAUGAUCACAAACUACAGCAUCCUUUGAGUUGAAAAAGGAAGUAGGUGAAAAGAAAAGUAAAAAAUACAAUUAGCAUUCCCUCAAAUUGUAGAAAGUUAGGUAGCAUUAUAGACAAGUUGAUAGCGGCAAUUUUACAUUUCAAACUUCACCUAUUCAAUAACUAAUUCGAUGGCUUGCUACAUGGUCAAUCUUUGGACCCCUUCCUGCCUCCAGAUAUCCCUUUCCUCAAUCAGGGGCUUCUACAAUUACCAGUUUCAAUUGUAUGGUAUAGUGUAAAUAUCAACAAAUUAGAUGUAGAUGCUAACAUAAUAAAUGUGAAUGCUAAGACAGCAACAUACAAUCGAACCUGCAAUUGUAUGAACCCCAAUCUCGCUUCCUAGUCCACCAUCUUUCUCUAGGUAAUAAUCUCCCUUCUAAUUUAUUCACAAAAUGCACCUUUCAUCACCUCCAAUAGCGUCGACAUGAUCUUUACCCUAGAAGACUAUUCACCGACUCUCAAUUGACGUCAGAAAAUCUAAGAGUAAUUCUACUUUACCCUAAGAUUGAUAUCAACAAGACAAGGACAAUUUAGAAUUAUUACACGCCUCUUCUUAAUAGGAAAAAGAAAUAGAGAAGAAAGUCAGGCCAGGUCUAAUUUCUUUUCAAAGGCAAUACAACAUUACGAAAUCAAGCAUUCAUUCAUACAAAUAUUUCAUAGUCACCGGUUUGCUGAGUAGAAAAAUUUAGACAAAAACUUAAUAUUAUAUUGUUUAAGAGUUAACAAUUUAGAGCUUAAUCUCCUUGUACUUUGGAGUUAACAAUUUAGAGCUUAAUCUCCUUGUACUUUGGACUAAACUUGAACGUGAAAGGAAAUCCCAAAACCAUAUUGGGCAUGAAUUCACACUUAAUAUACCCAAUAAAAGAUGGCGACUGGUGAAAGGCAGUGGAGACUGGUGGAGAGAUUUGAGGAAUAGAAGCAGACGGAAAAGCAACAAAUUUUUGCCGAAAAACGGUCACUUUCAUGGUUAAUUUUGCUACUCUCCAAUUGUACUUGACCAAUUACAACAAUUUCAUGGAGUUUGAUACGUGAAAAGAAUUUUUUAUAAAUUUUAUUUUGAUCCAUAAUGUUAUCUUUACAUAUAUAAAACAUUUUACAAUUUUGAUUUUGGCGCAGCUAACUUUUGGUUAACAAAAAUGCUCAUGUUUAAAAAACCAGAAAUAAAACAAAACAAGAAACAAAAGAAAUAAGAGGGUAGCAUAGACAUUUUGGAUUUUUCCGUUAAUUUGGAUGAUUUCCACCCACGUUCUAAUUUAAUCCAAAACACAAAGGAAUUACGUAGAGGUUUUAAAUAAUCAGGGAGCUUCAUGAUCGAACCCCAAACCACGUGAUAGCAUACAAGAGUUCUAUUUCACUAUCGGUAGACAAAGACUUUCUAUGGUUGAUGUACCGUAGGAAAAAAUCUGCCUAUACAACGUGAUAGCAUUUUUUCAAAAACACAAGAUGGAAAAUUGCCCCCUUAAACGUGGAAAUUCAUGAUCUUUCCUCGAACAAAGAAUACUCACGCCUAUUCAAGAUGGAAAAUUGCCCCCUUAAACGUCUAUUUGUCAAUUCUUGAAAAAAGAAUACUCACGCCUAAAACACGGCCUCUUCAUCUGCAGAAUUCUAAAAAGUUACGUAAACUCUAUAAACAAGUUGAUAGGUACAAUCGUACCCAAGAUCAAGUACAGAUAGUUGUACAUUCACUGCUGCAAUAACUAAUCUGAUGACUUACAAACAUAUCAUGGUCAAUCGUUGAAUGGUAAUGAGUCUUUUGUUAUGCAUUAGUAUUAGUGUGUACACUCUAAUAGAUUGAUACUUAUACUCUUUAAAUUAUCAUAAUAAUACCCUUAAUUAACUUUAACUCUUAAAAAGAAUACGUGUUAAUACACGAGAGUGUGUAACCUGAAUUGUUACUUAUACAUUAGUGUGUAAUAGAUAGGGAUGGCAGUGAGGGCGAGUGCCCGCGGGGGGCUCUCGGGGCGGGGGCGGGGGAGAAUUUUUUCCCCCCGUUUAGAAACGGGGCAGGGGACGGGGGAGUAUACCCCCGCCCCAUCCCCCGCCCCGCCACCCGCAAAAAAAAUUAUAUAUAUAUAAUUAUAUAUAAUAUGUAAUUUAAUUAGUUAUAAACUUAUGAUAAUGAUAUUAUUAGUUAGAUGUAUUAUAUAAUGUAUAUUAGUGUAUGUAAUAUAAUUAAUAUUAUCAAUUAUACGAAUAAUUAGACAUGUCCACUAAUAGAGUUUAUUAAUUAGUUAUACUAAAUUUACUAAUACAUUUGUACUAAAUUUCUAAUUACACUUAAUAGAAUAACACUUUUUUCUAAAAAAAAAAGCACAAACACAAUAAUGAAUUAGUGAUUGUAUUUGUACCAAAAGUGAAAACUUAACUAUUUUAGUUGUAUUUAUUUCAUCAUGUUGGAUUGUAUUCAAAUAAUUUUUGUUUGAUUGUUUUUAUGAGUUUCAAUUGUAAAAUUAAAAUGAAUAAUAACUUGAUGAUGUGUUGAUAUUUUAGUACUUGAUUAUUUAUUGAUUUAACUAUAAUAAAAUUUUAUUUUAUUAAAAUUUAACUAUAAUAAAAUUUUAUUAACCAAACGAGUUAUUAAUCCCGCGGGGGCACCCACGGGGGAAGCGGGGCGGGGCGGGGGAGUGGGAGGCGGGGGACGGGGCGGGGGUGGGGGGAGUUGUAGGUAGCGGGGCGGGGGAUGGGGGAGGGGUCCCCCGCCCCAACCCCGCCAUCCCCCGCCCCGUUGCCAUCCCUAGUAAUAGACUGGCAAGCAUUGUGGUGGUCAUUGAGAACUUACUGGAGAAAUAGUCCUAUAAGCUGUUCAAUGAGCAAUCACAACUUGCUAAUUGGAUGACUAAUAUAGCUCUAGCUGUAAUGUUUUAAUUAAAUUACAUCACUAACGUUGGGAUGACUUUUUAACCAAAAAAAAAUGCCUUAGUUCAAGCUUUUCCCUUUAUUGUGCAUUUUUUAAAGCAUUUGAUAGGCACUGCAAAUCUGUCAUUUUGGACAUUUUAUUAUUGACUAACAAUGAAAGCCGUGACGUCUACCCAUAACCAACACAAGAUUAAAUUAAUAUUAGAAAAAAUAAUUGAGUAAUUGGAAAAAAAAAAAGAGACUCAUUUUCAUUGAAACCCACCGACAAACUAAACGUGUCCAUGGCUUUUGAAUAGUGCAUUCAACGUUUAAUUGUAUAGUCCAGUUCAUUGCAGAUUACAUGGAGUAAAGAUUGUGCUCUUUCCUUUUUCACCCCUUUUGGAAUCGAUACUGUGGAGAAUUGGGUUUUUCCCUUCUUUUUUUCUUUUCUUUCCUUCUGUGCUUUGCAAAACAUAGGUAAAAAUAUGAAAUCCGAAGCAUUCUUUAAUUGGGAUUAAGUAUUGUUGUUGAAAUUAAAAAGAAAAAAGAAAGAACAACAAAAUUCCCAAUCUGGGUUGAUUGUUGAGCUCUAGAUUGGUUGCAUCGUGCUUCCAUAGAAGCUCUCUUAGUGUGAUACACUGCUUUCAAUCAGUUUAACACGGGAAAAAAAAAAAAAGAGAUGAAAAGCAAAUUUGGUGGGGAUAAUUUCAGAAACCUCCCCUGAAGAUUUUGACUAUUCUACUGGUCUCCCUUCAGAUUUUAAAAAUUACACUAAUCUUCCUUGAAGUUAAUUAUCUUGUAACAUUUAAAUUCAAUCAAUAAUUUAAAAAAUGAUAUUAUGAGAGAGAAAAUAAUGAUUUUAUCAUUGCCCCCCAUCUUACUACAUUAUUUAAUUAAUUUAAUAGCAACCCACACAUUAAAGAAAAAUAUUAAAAUUUGUUGUUUAUCAUUAAAGAUCAAAUCGCUUAUAACAUCAAAUAAUAGUAUAUUAUUUAUAUUUUUCACUCAAUAUAAUAUCCAAAUUACUCUUUUCAAUUACAUACCCAUUGUUAGACAAUCAACAACAAAUAACCAAAAAAUUUGCAACCAAAAUAUUACAAAAAAAUAAACUUUAACAUAUAAAUAUUCUUAUCAACAUAUUAAAGUUAGUUACUGAAAUUUUUAUGCUGUUAAACUUCACUCUUUUUGGUUACAGAUUUUUUUGAUUAUUUGUUAUUAAUUAUGUUUGAUGAUGGAUUUAUAAUUGAAAAGAACAAUUUGAAACUUACAUUAAGUAAAAUAUAUAGAGUGAUAUACUAUUUUUUAUAACAUAUGUGAUUCAAUCCUUCUUGAUAGGAUUGGUAAUAGAGGUAGAGGGGGGAGCCGGCUGCAUCCGGUCUACUUUUCAUAGAUAGUACAAUAUUGCGAAAUCGAUCGCAUUCACGCAAUAUUAUUUCCAAGUCAUUGCAUGGCUAAGCUGCAAAAAAAGUACGAACACAUGUUAUUAUAUAGCUUACGAUUCAAAACUUUAGAGCAUAACCCUCCACCUAACACAAUUGAAUAAUGAACAUUCACGUUUGUCAAAUCUGUCAAAGCACAGUUUGAGGACAACCCAUUCCAACCUGCAAAAGAUUUUUUACUUUUCUAAAGUUGUUGAGAGCUGUAAAAAGACUUACCAUGCUUGCAUCCUCCGAGCCUUGGGAGUUAAAAAUGAAGGCACUGAGUGCUAUAAAAAGGGGAAUAGAGGCUGCCUAGAAGCAUAUCAGCCUAAAACAAGAAUUUGUAGUUAAGAUGGGAAGCAAAGCAAAAGCAAUGGGGUCUGGGCUGACUCCUCUUCUUGCCACUGUUUUAGUGGUGUUUGUUGCUCUUGGCUUGCCCUCACAAACUGCAGCUGAUGAUCACUACAAGUAUUCAUCUCCUCCUCCUCCUUACCACUAUCCCUCACCACCACCACCAGUGCAUAUACCUCCACCUCAUCCUGUUUACAAGUACAAAUCUCCACCACACCCCCAGUACAAGUAUAAGUCACCACCACCACCUCCUCAUCCGGUAUACAGUCUCCUCCGCCACCACACACCCAGUUUACAAGUACAAGUCACCACCACCACCUCCUCAUCCGGUACCACACCCAGUUUACAAGUAUAAGUCUCCUCCGCCACCAGUUUACAAAUACAAGUCUCCUCCACCACCACCUCCAGUGUACAAAUACAAGUCUCCACCACCACCAGUUUACCACUACAAGUCUCCACCACAGUUUACAAAUACAAGUCUCCACCACCACCCCCAGUUUACAAAUACAAGUCUCCACCACCACCAGUUUACCACUACAAGUCACCACCACCUCCUCCCCCAGUUUACAAAUACAAGUCUCCACCACCUCCUCACCACUACUAAGCAAUUGCUUCUGAGGUAAUAACACUUGUUCAAUAUACCCACUUCUGCAUGAUAAAGCAUAUCUCUAUCAACACAAACUGUCAUGUCUAUCAUGCUAAGUGCCUUCACUUCAUCCACCAAAAUGACUGCUAGAAAAUUUUUUUUAUGUUACCAAAGAAAGGCAUCAUUUUUUCCCUCUGUUAUCAAGAACUUGUACAGUAUAUAGAUUAAAGAGUAUUUUUUUAACUAGCUUAUCAACUGAGAAAUGCAUAUAGCUGAUAGCCAGCUGAAUAUUUGCAGGCAAAGGAGAAGGAAACCAGUGUUUGAGACCUUCUUGAAGAUGUAGAAGCAUAAGAAUUAAAGCCCAAUGUGAAGAUGAUGAUUUCAAGUUUUUCUACGUUACCAUUUCUUUAUCUAAAUUGGUUGUAGCGCCUUAGUUCCUUUGUUUAUGGGAUUUGUAUCGUUUUACGUACCAUGCAGUACAUGUCAUGUUUGUAAGGUUUUCUAUCCUGCCGGCAAACCGCAGGUUCCAUGUAAUAAAUCAAUACUAUUUAUAUUACGACACUUUUCUCUGUUUCUCUUAUAUUUUGUCGUCUUUAAUAUUCUUAAUCAUAUUUUUAACAAAAAUAUUCAAACACUUAGGCAAUCUGGUCUAAUGCUAAUUGUAUGUUUUACUUUUCUUUUUCACCUGCUCCCCUUUUCAACUCAAAAGGAUGCAAUAGUUUGUGAUCACUGUUUAAGACGGAAGCAUGAUACUAAUGAAUAUCUCAUUGAAACUCAAGGAAACUAACAUUGCGAAAAGUGUAAAUCUUGAUUUGAUGCAACUAUUUAUUCGUGGAAUCUAUAGUUACAAAACUCAAAUUCUGACUGCGCCAUUGAUAAAUUAUUAAUGACGCUAUCAUCAUUAUUUAUCCCUAACUAGUUUCGACUACAACUGAACCCAAUAUUUUCCCCAUGAUAAAAGUUUUUGACUAUUUUACUGGCCUCUCUUCAAAUUUUAAAAAUUACACUAAUCUUCAUUGAGAUUAAUUAUCUUGUAACAUUUAAGUCCAAUUAAUAAUUAAAAAAUGAUAUUAUGAGAGAGAAAAUAAUAUAAUUUUAUCAUUGCCCCCCAUCUUGCUAUAUUAUUUAAUUAAUUUAAUAGCAACCCACACAUUAAAGAAAAAUACUAAAAUUUGCUGCUUUUCAUUAAAGAUCAAAUUGCAUAUGCCAUAAAACAUAGUAUAUCAUUCUAUAUGUUUCACUUAAUGUAAGAUCCCAAUUGUUCUUUUCAAUUACAAACCCAUUGUCAAUAACAAAUAACCAAAAAAUUUGCAACCAAAAUAUUACAAAAAAAAACUUCAACAUCAUAAAUAUUCUUACCACCUCUAGUGCAUUCACCCUCAUAAAAUAAUUCAAGACCCUACUGUCAUAAAAUGACUGAUCAACUCCCGUAAACCUAAUUUGACAACAUUUAAAUGGAGAACUUUAGCUAAAAGAAUUAUGGUCAAGCUAAAGAAAAAACCAGUUAUUUUCCAACAUAUGCAAUCAUUGAUCAGGGAAAAAAAAAAGAGCAAAAAGACAUCUUCAAUCAUUUAAUAGCUUACAGGGCAAAUUAACCCCUAAGCGAAAACUGGUUGCUCUAGAAUCAAAAUUUUACUUUAGUUACCCAGGCAACUUUUUUGUUGCUUUUUUUUUUUUUUUCCUUUAGUUUUGCCCCCUCUGUCAAGCUUAUAAAAUUAUUAAGAUAAUAAAAGUGCCUUGAAUAGUAUUAAUAUAUCCAUUGACUUGAGCUGUCGUCAGUUUGCGAUUCCAUGAGGCCUUUUCAAAGUACUCAGAAAAUGGGGAGUCAUGAAAUCCAUUUGUUCUAUUCAUUGCUAAGAUGCUUUUCUCUAUAAAGAGACUUCCUAACGAAAAUACUUUGUAGAUUUCUUUACUCCAAGUGGUGCAUGGAAAAUUAAUAUUUUCAAUUAUCAAAUAAAAUUCCCUUUUUUCGGCGUAGAUUUCAUCCAUCCAGCUGUUAACACAUUCUAUAAAUCCGAAUUGACUAAUCUUUUCGUUUCCAUUUUCCAACUUGCGAAUACGGCAUAUAGUGUCUGCUAAACACUAUAUAUUCUCUGCCAAAUAUGAAUACAUAUCACUUUUCUGAGCAAGUGCAGAGUCAUUAUCAUUUUUAUUCCCACCUAACAAAUUAGGGAUAAAAAAGUUAAUAAUCUUUACAUGCUAUCAGGUCACAAGUUAAUAAUCUUUUAAAGAACAUGUUAAAUUAAUUUAUUGGUAUGAAUAGUAGUCAAAGAAGUAUGUUAAAGUUAGUAAUCUUUAAAAUAAUAUGUUAAAAUCAUUCGUACAAAUUAGUCAGAGAAGUAGCAUAAACACCGCGAUGCAAUUAAUACUUUCAAUCUCAAGGUCUCUAUUAUGGAAAUUUGCAUCGGUCAAUAUACACUUGGCAUAAUAUAAUCUCCCAACUCAUUUCUUUACAAAUGCACCUUUAAUCACCACCAAAAGGUGUGGACAUGAUCUUUACCCUAGAAAACUAUUCACCGACAGGCAAAUUGACGUCAGAAAUACUGAGGAAUUCUAGUUUCCUUCGGGUUCAUGCCAUGUUGUAUCCUUCAACUGUAACUCGAUUUCUAAGCUGUAAUUUGUGACAUAAUAGUCCUUAAACUAUGAAACCCUUCUUACUUAAUUACAAUGGUUAAUACAAUGCCCGUGACUAGACAAGUAUGAAGCAACCAUAACAGAAAAAAAAUCCAAAAUUAGAGAAAAGAAAGAAGUUUCGCGACCACCACCAGUUUACAAGUCACCUCCACCACCUCCUCCAGUUUACAAGUCACCUCCACCACCUUACCAUUAUUCCUCACCACCACCUCCAGUGCAUUCACCCCCACCACCACCAGUUUACAAGUCUCCGCCACCACCUUACCAUUAUUCCUCACCACCACCUCCUGUGCAUGCACCUCCACCACCAAUUUACAAGUCACCUCCUCCAGUUUACAAGUCUCCACCACCACCUUACGAUUAUUCCUCACCACCACCUCCAGUGCAUUCACCCCCACCACCACCAAUUUAUAAGUCUCCCCCACCGCCUCCCCCAGUAUAUAAGUCACCACCACCACCUCCUCCAGUAUACAAAUCACCUCCACCACCUCCUCCAGUUGACAAAUCUCCACCACCACCAAUUUAUAAAUACAAGUCUCCUCCACUACCUCCUCCAGUGUACAAGUCAUCACCACCACCUGCUUACAAGUCUCCACCUCCUCCAGUUUACAGUUCCCCACCACCACCAAUCUACAAGUCUCCACCUCCACCCUACCAUUACUACUACAAUUCUCCUCCUCCUCCUCGUCACUACUAAGCAAUUGUAUCCAAGUUUUUGAGGUAAUAACGCUUAACCAAUAAAUUAACUUUCGCAUGAUAAACCUUAUCUCUAUCAAGACAAACUGCCAUGUGUAUCAUGCCAAAUACGUACACCUAGAUCCAUGAAAAUGAAUGGUGAGGAGGGCCAUUUAGGCUCGGAGCGCCCUAGGCCUAGUUCCCCACCAUUUCCUGAAGUGCCGCCUCGGGUAUUAUCCUGGAAGGCGAUCGCGGCCCAUUUACCACCUCGGCUACAAUGUCAGGUCGUAACACCGAGGUGGACAUUGAAUGACAACUACGAAAAGGGGAGAUGUGAUCUCUGACACCUGAGCAAAGGCUGCUCUGACCCGCCGCCUGAAUCUGACAGAAUGUCCCAUCACGUCUCUUCAUGGAGACCGGUCAAGUCCACCUGAUCCACUGACUAUCUCAGAUCUUUUGGGACCCGUGCAAACAUCUCCUCUCUCCUAUCAGUCCCCUAUAAAUACACGAUACUUCUACUGAAAAAGGAGAUGACCAAUUUCUGGUAAAACACACUCCACUCAUUAUUUACUUCUCUAUAUCCGAACUGACUUAAGCUUCGGAGUUAUACCGGGGGAUCCAGCCCCUUUCUUAUCCAAGCAGGUGACUUCGUCCAAGAGAGUUGCCCAAGGUAAAGAUAUUCUUCCAAUUGAGGUGACUCACUCCUGCGGGUCGAAAAUCACCUCUUCAAUUGGCGCCGUCUGUGGGAACCGCAAAGAUAUUAGAAGAUGAAGCCUGCGCGUUCUAGAAGCAGAAAAGCUCUCACUAUCGAGGCUGGGCAAAGCAAUGCAGCUCAACAAGAAAAUAUUUCUGAAGGGCAGGAGUCCCCAAGGACUCAGCCCGCAAACGAAAAAGCCAUAACCCGUAUGGCCGAGUUUGUGACCGAGAACCCCAACAUCUUUGAAGAGUUGGGAAGAUACCUGAAGAGGCAAGGCAAACAAAAGGCCGAGUCCUCUAAAAGGAUGUCAGAUGGGUCUCUUGAGGACUCAUCUGAGGAGGAGUCGGAUGGAAGGCACUUAAGCCGAAGUGCCUCAAAGCGAGCAUUUUCUAAGGCCACUUCUAAGGUAGCCUCCCUGACCAAGGCGUUUUCCCGAGGGCUCUUGGGCCGACGACCCGAGGAAGAACCUCGGCCCUUGGGAAUACCCGGGGUGGACUGCAUGAGGGCUCCACCGUUCACGGAUGAUAUAAACGAGGAAAGGCUUCCUCCCAAUUUUAAGCUCCCCGCAGUACAAUCUUACGAUGGCCGAGGUGAUCCCGAGAAUCACAUCCAUACCUUCAUCUCGGCCUUCCAAAUAUACUGCAUCCCAGACCCUGUCAUAUGUCGGGCCUUUCCAGUAUUCCUCAGAGGAACUGCUCGAAAAUGGUUCUGAGCUCUAGAACCUAGGAGCAUUUCGACCCUGGGUGAAUUAGUGGAGAAGUUUCUCCACCGAUUUGUCUCCUCCCGACCUACGACUAGGACCUCGGCUUACCUGCUCACCGUGCAGCAGAACCCGGGAGAGUCACUCCGGUCGUACGUCCGGAGGUUCCAUGAGGAAAGCGUUCAGAUACCUGACCCCAAUGAGCAGGUAACCCUCGCUGCCUUUACCCAUGGACUCGUUGCCGGGGAGUUCAAUACGGGGAUCCAUAAAAAAUACCCCCGCACACUGCAUGAAUUGUGGUUGAAGGUUGAAAAGGGCAUACAGGCCGAAGACCUCCAUCGCAUGAAGAAAGAGGUCCAAGCCACCCGUCCAAGGGCUGAGCCCAGAAAGGGAAAAGACGCUGGCCGAACUGAAGUAGGGUCGGGAAGUGGCUUCCGAAGUCCUGGCCGAGACCGCCGCAGCGUGUUCGACAGGAUAUCCAAGGGGAAGUCACCUAUUCCCGAGUCCGAGUUGACUCCUUUAAAUACUACCCGAUCUCACGUGUUGUCCGUGAUGGAACAAAACAACCUCGGCAAGGGCCCGCCGAGGAUGUUUGGAAGCAGAGACAAGAGGAACUCGAACCUCUACUGCUUGUAUCAUCGUGACAUUGGUCACGAAACUGAGGAUUGCAACGAUCUCAAGAAGGAGAUCGAGAACCUCAUUAGACGGGGACACUUGAAACAGUUCAUCCGCAGAGGUGGAGGUCACCAACGUGACGAAAACCGGCAUGACAAAUGAGGUGACCAACGCCGAGAUGAGCGGCGGAGCUCCAGAAGCAGUUGCCGACCUCCUGAGGAUCCCAGGGAGACGAAAAGGCCUCCCCCAGACGGAUCUUCGGGACAUGGGCCAACCAUUGCCCGGGUCAUUAACACCAUUGCCGGAGGUCCGACGGGAGGGGACAGUCAGAACUCCCGGAAGAGAACCUAUAAGCAGGCUAACCCGGAUCAGGCCGAGUCGAGUUCUCGCCUGUCCGAGGUGAUCACCUACGGGCUCAGUGAUCCCAUCCCAGCUGCAUCCAGCAGUCAUGAAACCUUGGUGAUUGAAGUCCUCACCAAUAACUACAUUGUGAAAAGGUCUACAUAGACCCGGGAAGUUCAGUUGACGUCAUGUACCUCCGUACCUUUGAGAGCCUUAAAAUGGCUAAGGGGUGCAUGACCCCGCUGAGAACCCCUCUUGUAGGGUUCGGGGGACACGUGGUGCACCCCGAAGGGAUGGUGACUCUGACAGUGACCAUAGGGCAUCACUCUCGCUGUAGAACCGUCCCUGUCAAUUUUGUGGUGGUUAAGGCUGACUCCCCAUACAACCUACUUUUAGGUCGGCCUACGCUCAAUGCCUUGCGGGCGGUCUACUCCACCUACCACCUGAGCUUCAAGUUUCCUACCCCAGCAGGGGUGGCCGAGGUCAGCAGCGACGUCUGUGCUGUCCGGGAGUGCUACCUCGCCACCCUACAAGCAGCCUCCCCGUCUACCUCCGGUGCGAGGUCCGAGAAGAGGUCAAAUAUCCUCUCAAUAGAUAGCAUCGAUCCUCAGUGAGCUGAGAAGGUCCCGAGGCUGGAGACUGGGGAUGAGGUGGAAGAGAUUCCCCUGGACCCCACGAAACCUGAUCAGACAGUUCGCGUUGGUACCCGAUUGCCCGGUCCUAUCCGAAGAGGUAUGAUGGACCUCCUCAGGGAAUACCGGGACGUCUUUGCUUGGGCCGCCGAAGAGGUCCAAGGAGUCCCGCACCAUCUCAUGAUGCAUGACUGAACGUCGACCCCCAAGUCCGUCCGGUCAAACAGAAGAGAAGGCACAUCGGCCCUGAGCGCAGCCAAGCUGUUGGUGAGGAAGUGGACAAGCUUUUACCCGCUAAAAUAAUCCGAAAAGUCCAAUACCCGAUCUGGUUGUCUAACUCGGUCAUGGUCAAGAAGGAUACGGGGGCUUGGAGAAUGUGCGUCGAUUUUACCGACCUCAACAAAGCCUGCUCCAAGGAUUGCUACCCCUUGCCCAAAGUCGAUACUUUGGUAGACUCAGCAAUGGGCUACGAGAUCCUCUGUUUCUGGGAUGCAUUCAAAGGCUAUCACCAAAUUGGGAUGAGUCAAGAAAACCAGGAGAAAACGGCCUUCUACACCGACCGCGGCACGUACUGUUAUACUACCAUGCCAUUCGGGUUGAAGAAUGCCGGAGCCACUUAUCAACGCUUGGUCAACCAAGCAUUCAAGUCUCAAAUCGGCCGGAAUGUUGAGGCCUAUGUAGAUGACAUCCUCCUCAAAAGCCAGACGAACUCCACCUUCCUGGCCGACUUGAAGGAGGUCCUUGACAUCCUGCGGAAGGUGAAAAUGAUGCUGAACCCCAAGAAAUGUGUUUUUGGGGUCACCUCGGGGAAAUUUCUAGGUUACCUCGUCUCAAGGCGAGGUAUCGAAGCAAAUCCGGAUAAGGUGCGAGCCAUCCAGGAGAUGUCUCCACCCCGGUGCGUCCGCGAUGUCCAAAGGCUGACAGGGCGAUUAGCCGCCCUGAAUCGGUUCUUAUCGCAGUCGGCAGCUAAAGCACUGCCCUUUUUCAAAGUGUUGAAGAAAGCUGACCAUUUCUCCUGGACGGAAGAGUGUCAACAGGCGUUUGAGCAGUUGAAGGAUUACCUUCACUACCUUCCAACGCUCACCUCACCUCGUCCGGGGGACAAAUUAAUCUUAUACCUUUCUGCUGCGGCCGAAGCGGUGAGUGCCGUGCUGAUAAGGAAGGAAGGGGUCCAAAUGCCCGUCUACUACGUUAGCCGAGUCCUCCGAGGUCCAGAGACCAGGUACACACAAGCAGAGAAACUUGUGCUAGCCCUGAUCCACGCCGCCCGCAGACUCAAGCCCUACUUCCUAGCUCACCACGUCUGCUUGAGGACUGAUCAACCACUUCGGCAGAUUUUGACACGACCAGAGGUUUCGGGACGUCUUACCAAAUGGGCCAUUGAGCUGGGGGAGUACGACCUAACUUAUGAGCCUCGCACAGCGAUCAAGGCCCAGGCUCUCGCAGACUUCGUAGCCGAGCUCACCUUUGACGAGGUGCAAGGAUCCGUCCCGGCUGCCACAUCGGCCACAGUUGAUGUGGCCACCACUGGGCUCCAGCGGUGGAUCCUACACGUGGACGGUUCGUCAACAGUGAGGGUAGUGGAGCAGGCUUGCUCCUCGAAGACCCCCAAGGAGAAAUAUGCUAAUAUGCCUUAAGAUUUGACUUCGCUGCUUCAAACAAUGAAGCUGAAUACGAAGCCGUCAUUGCUGGACUGCAGCUAGCUCGCAAGCUCGGGGCCGCACACAUCUUGGUUUAUAGUGAUUCCCAACUCGUCGUGUGCCAGAUAUUAGGUGAGUACGAAGCCAGGGACGAGGUGAUGCAUCGUUACCUCUCCAAGGUCCUCCAGUUGGCGACUCACUUCGAGUCUUUUGAAAUUCAAAGAAUACCGCUAUCGAAAAACAGAAGGGCUGACGCCCUCUCCCGGCUUGCCUCAACCUCUUUCUCUGACCUGAACAAGACGGUUCUCGUUGAAGUUCUAGCCGAACCAGGAUAUGUAGCCGAGGUAGUAUACCCCGUCUACCCUGGGGACACCUGGAUGGGUCCCCUGACUCGAUUUUUCAGCCAGGGUGAGCUCCCCGAAGACCGAGCUGAGUCACGGAAGCUCCAACGAAAAGCAGCACGGUACAUUCUCCGACAAGGCCUUUUAUACAAAAGGUCUUACCUCGGCCCUUAGUUGCGAUGUAUCACGCCCGAGGAAGGCCAGAGAAUCCUCCAAGACAUACAUGAGGGGCUCUGUGGUGCUCACGUCGGCUACAGAAUGCUGGUAAAAAAGGCUUUGUUACUUGGGUAUUUUUGGCCCACUAUGAGGAUAGAUGCCCAGGUCAUGGUCCUUUGCUGCCCCUCCUGCCAGCAUCACGCUCCUGAGCACCACCAGCCGACCAAUUUAAUGAUCCCUAUCACCUCGUCAUGGCCAUUUGAGCAAUGGGGAACGGACAUAAUUGGCCCCUUUCCCAGAGCUCCAGGCAAUUAUACCUACGUGGUGGUAGCAGUGGACUACUUCACCAAAUGGGUCGAAGCUGAACCCCUAAAAAAUAUCACUGGUGCGGCAGUCCAGAAAUUCUUCUGGAAGAAUGUGGUUUGCCGCUUCGGCCUACCCCGGGUGAUCAUCUCGGAUAAUGGCCGACAGUUCGCCGAUAAUCCUUUCAAGGCCUGGUGUGAGAACCUCGGGGUCAAACAGCAUUUCACUUCGGUGGGACACCCCCAAGCCAACGGACAAGCCGAAAACUUCAAUCGCACGCUCCUCCAUGGCCUCAAGACCAGGCUCCACCAGGCUGGAUCGUUUUGGAUGGAAGAGCUCCCCAGUGUGCUGUGGUCCUACCGAACUACGCCGAGAUCAGCAACCCAGGAAACCCCGUUUUCCUUAACCUACGGGUCAGAAGCUGUUGUUCCAGCCGAAUUCAUCACCCCGAGUCCACGAAUGGCCGCAUAUGCUGCCGAAGUCAAUGAAGAAGAACGGCGAGUUGACCUCGACCUCGUCGAAGAGAAGCGUGAUAUGGCCGCGGCCAAAGUUGCUGUUUACAAAAAUAUCGUAGCUGGCUACUACAACGCUCGGGUUAAACAUUUGCGGUUCAGUCCGGGAGACCUGGUGCUCAGGAAGAACUCAGUCAGCCGGGCUGAACCUCAGGGUAAACUAACCCCCAAGUGGGAGGGACCAUACCGUGUUGUUGAGUCCAGCCAAAAUGGAUAUUGUAAAUUGGCAUACCGAGAUGGGUCUCUGAGUGCCCCGAACUUGGCAUGCUGAAAAUCUUAAGUUGUACUACCCUUGAGGGUAUGUGCUUUUAAUCUUGAGUUAUUUCACACUUAUUUUCAUUUCAUUAUAAGUGAAAAAUAAGGGGACAAAGUAGCAGUAAAGAGGAAAACCGAAUUUAAUUAAAAAGAAAGCAAGAAUAUGAACUCAAUUCCAUUGAAUUACAUAAAAGUAGAAAGCCGAGGUCACCUUUAAUUAGGAAGAAAGCAAGAAUAUAAACUCAAUUCCAUUGAAUUACAUAAAAGUAGAAAGCCGAGGUCACCUUUGACCUCGGCCUACAAUGACAAAAAAAAAAACAAGUGCCUCUAGGCACUCCCUACCCUGACAUCCUGGCCCCCCGUGGUCGCGCCACCCGUUUCGGCACCCUGUCCACCCUCAGCUCCUCCACCGGCCUGGUCGUCUUCAGUACCAUCUAGUUCAAACUCCUGGAGCCAUUUGUUGAAUUCGGCUCGGACUUCGGUUAGGUCUUUCUCAGUCCGGAUGCCCUCAGCCAUGCUGUCGCAUAGCUCCUUGGCAUCCUCGUUAUAGUGCGAAGUGCUCUGAAGGGACUCCAGUUGUUCAGAGGGAAGAAAGGAUGCCGCGUCAUUAAUAGCCGACGUGUACCCGAACAUGAAGCUUGGCCGGGUGAGCUCGCCGAGGUCACGGAUGAAGGACUCUGACGUCCGGAAGGCUUCCACAGCAGUGACCCCGGCCUUGUCCAUGGCCUCCCUGUUUGACUGUUCUUCUUGGGCCCUCCUUUUUUUCUCCUCAUCAAGAGCAGUCACCAGGGAAUUGUUCGCGACCUCGGCCCUUUUGUUAGCCGCCUUGGCCUUGUCACGCUCCAACUCGGUUGCCUUCAGUUUUUCUUCCAACUCGGCAAUUCUCUUCUGGAGCUCGGCAGGAGGCUCAUAGUUUUCCAUGAACUUUCCAUACCGUUGAAUCAUCUCGACAAAAAAAGCCGUGGUAGAGGCCCAUGACACCGAGGCGCUCUGCAUCAACUCCCCUGCGGAGAGCUUCCUAGCAUAAGUGCUAUCUCGUGGCAGCACUGAAUGCACCAAGAGCUCCUGAGCGACCAAAGGGUUCUUGCAGCGAUCGUUGAAAUUAAUCUCCCACUCUGGACACCAGUGUGAUCCGGGGUGUCUCUUGUCCUCCUCAGCUGCCUUGAAAGGCACAUGAUGGAGUUUGAACAAAGAUGACCCCGUGACGGGGUUCUCCGGAAAUAUGGUCACACCCUGACCCCGGGGGGGAGUGGCAAUCGUGACCCAGCGAGAAGGGAUUCCCACCGGAAUUGCCGAGGCUCGGGAACCUCCCGGAGUGGCCGAGGUGUGCGAGCCCUCGCCCACGAUCACCACGGCAGGCUCGCGGUCGCCCGACGCCGCGGUGGUUUUCUUAGCCGGCCUGGAAGAGGACCCUGCAGUGUCCUUGCGCUUUUUGGGAGCUCUUUUGACCACCUCGACAUCUCCCGAGGUUAUCAGGUCGAAAAUCUUCGUCACUGCAAAGUAGGAGACGAAGUCAGUUAGAAUUCAAGAGGGAUAAACUAAAAGGGAAGAAAUGGAAAAAUACAAAGUCUGUGAAGCCUAGUCGAGAGUAAGACAGGCUGGUCAGAGCUCGUCAAGGCUCAACUGAUCCCGCCUUCCACGAGCACCACUUCGGGAAAAUCCCAGCAGUUUAUCCUGAGGCCCGACCCCGUUAACUUCUGGAAGUUACGCUCUUCUAACUUCCCUGGAGAUAUCUCCUUGAUCGAGGUGGGAGGCCUCCACCAGAAUCCGCGAGGGAAGUCAUCGGCCGAGACGAAGAAGAAGUUUUGCUUCCACUCCUUUAUUGAGUUCGGAGCAUCAACCACCAACUUCGGAACUUUGUUUCCGAAGUAGAACCAUCCUUUUUCACUUCUGCUGUUCUUGAGUGAGUAACAGCGGCGAAAGAGGUUGACCUAAGGUUGUAUCUCCUGAUGUCGGCAAAGUAGCUGGAAGCCAACGAGAAUGCGAAUAGCGUUAGGGGUGAGUUGAGUGAUUCUCACCCCCCAGUACCUCAGGCAGUCCCGAAGAAACCUCGUCGUGGGCACUCUGAGUCCGGCCUCCAGCUGUUCCUGAUAGAUAGUCACCUUGCCCUUUGGUGGCAGUGCGGCUGACUGAUGCGGUUGGGGUAUGUAAAUACUAUAAUCCCUUCUCCAGGGAUACCUGCGGACCACCUCGGCUAUUGAGGCUUGUCCCAUACCACUACUGAAGAACGGCAUCUGGCCGUAGUCGAGAGUUGCCACGUUUGGAGGAGUGGAAGGUUCUUGUACUCCCUCGUCUCUAGGGAUCUCAAUCCCGAGGUCAUCGUUGUAUAGGACCUCGGGCUGGACCUCGAUCUCCUCGGGCUGCACCUCAACCGCCUCAGCUCGGCGUGAUGCCUCGGCACCUCCACCCUCAGCUUGGUGAGAUGCCUCAGCACCUCCGCCCUCGGACGCGGUCCUUUCCUGGGAGGGGUCAGGCCUCUCUGCCUCAGUGAGGUCAGGUCUCACUGUCUCUUUGUGCGUACGAGCUGUUCUAGCCAUUGUAUCAGAAGGGGAAGAAGUGAACUUACUUAGAAUCUGCGACUGGAAGAAGAUGCCGAAGUAGACGUGGUUUAGAAAGGUUGCCGAAGUGAAAAGAGAAAGAAACAGAGUUCUGGGGUGAUUCUUGAUUUUUGGUGAAGAGUAAAACGGUGAAAAAAGACCACUAUUUAUAGGCCACCAGGGUGAAACCCAAGAGACGGCACCCUCUCUCUUCAUUAAUGGGAGGACUGUUCGUCUGCCAACACAGCUGACAGCCGUCCCUUCAGUUAUCACUCAGUCCCAUCUAUGCGGUCAUGACGUGUCCGUGUUCCGUGUUUUAUACGCUUCUCAGCUUCGGGAAGUAACGACCACGGCGGAUGCCCAUCUCGCCCUUCUCAAAGCUUGGGGGGCUUAGUGAGGAGGGCCAUUUAGGCUCGGAGCGCCCGAGGCCUAGUUCCCCAUCAUUUCCUGAAGUGCCGCCUCGGGUAUUAUCCUGGAAGGCGAUCGCGGCCCAUUUACCACCUCGGCUACAAUGUCAAGUCGUAACACCGAGGUGGACAUUGAAUGACAACUACGAAAAGGGGAGAUGUGAUCUCUGACACCUGAGCAAAGGCUGCUCUGACCCGCCGCCUGAAUCUGACAGAAUGUCCCAUCACGUCUCUUCAUGGAGACCGGUCAAGUCCACCUGAUCCACUGACUAUCUCAGAUCUUUUGGGACCCGUGCAAACAUCUCCUCUCUCCUAUCGGUCCCCUAUAAAUACACAAUAUUUCUACUGAAAAAGGGGAUGACCAAUUUCUGGUAAAACACACUCCACUCAUUACUUACUUCUCUAUAUCCGAACUGACUUAAGUUUCGGAGUUAUACCGGGGGAUCCAGCCCCUUUUCUUAUUCAAGCAGGUGACUUCGUCCAAGAGAGUUGCCCAAGGUAAAGAUAUUCUUCGAAUUGAGGUGACUCACUCCUGCGGGUCGAAAAUCACCUCUUCAAAUGGUAGAAAGUUUUCUUAAGAACCAAGAACAGCAUUAGUAUUCCCUCUGCUUCCAAAAACUUGUGUAUUAAAUAGAUUAAUGAAUUGUUUAACAUGCUCAUCUACUUGAAAAUGCACAAUACCCAUAACCCACUGAAAUUUUUGCAGGAAAAGGGAAAGAGAAUCUGUGUUUGAGAGCUUCAUGAAGAUGUUGAAGAAUAAGAAUAAAAGCCCAAUGCGAGGAUGUUUUCAAGUUUUUCUAUGUCCACUUUAAUUUGUAAAUUGAAUUUUACAACUCAAUUAAUUCCUUGUUUGUGAGGUACGUAUUGUUUUACGUACCAUGCCGUACAUGUUUGUAAGGAUUUCUAUCCUAUUGGCAAAAGUCGGUUCCAUACAAUUAAUCAAUUCAUUUCACUUCUAUUGGCUCUACUAUUUAUGCAUGUUACGACACUCUUUCCCUUAUAUUUUGCCUUUAAUAUUAUGAGUCAAUAGUAAUAAUGGGCCUUUUUCUUAAAAUUAUACUAUUAUACAUAGGUAGUUUGGUCUAACGCUAAAUUCAUGUUUGUCUUUCUUUUAUUCCCUUUACAUCUCAAAGUAUACUAUAGUUUGUAAUCAUUGUGGUGAUGAUAUUACCAGCUGGUACUUAUAGUUUAAGGCAGAGACAUGAUAUUAACAACUAUCUCAUUGAAACAUAAGUCAAAAUCAUGACAAGUGUGAGUCUUGGUUAAUGCACAAUUUGUUAGUGGAAUUUAUAUUUAUAAAACUCAAAAAAAAUUUUUGACAAUGCUAUUACUAAUUAAUUAAGGACUUCAUUGCUAUAAUUUAUCGCUUACUAGUUUAAACUAUAAAUGAUCUCAAUACUUUUCUCCAUGAUGUCGAUUUCUUUAGACUACGAAAGGGAAAAAUUAGUGACAUAUCCCUUACUGAUUACAACAUCAGCAAAAAUUAGUUAUAAACUUUUCCGGUGGUUUUAAAUCCCUCGGGCACUAAGGUUUUUUGCACAUCGAGUGAAUUAAGGAACAUAGGCAAUUCGUUCUGCAUACCAAGUCCUUGUUUAAGAUGCACGUACUAAAAUGCAUCCACUUCAUUAAUUUGGAAAAUUGCCAUAGUUUUUUUUAAGCAUUUUGAUUUUUUACAUGAUUCAAAAUUUUCUUAUUGGAUACAAUCACUUUGUGUCAAGAACACAUUUUCAAUCAUCUUUUUUAUCUUCUCAAUAAGAAAAUAAAAAUUUAUUCAUGCUUUUCUAACAUAUCCAAUCAUUGAUCUGAAAAAUAAAGAAUUAAAAAAAAAAGACAUUUUCAAUCAUUGCUUACAGGGCAACUUCCCCAUGUGAACCUCUUCAAACAAAGCCAAUAAUAUGAAGGAACAUCUAAAUACACUUUUGCCCUAAAGGCUGGUUGCCUUGGGGUCAAAAUUUAACCUUCGGGAGUAUAAUUACCCGCCAAAUUUAUUAUUUUUUAUGGGUAUAUAGUUCCAAUUUUGCCUCCUGUUAAGCUUAUAAAUAUAUUACGACCCAGAAAAUAAAGGAAUCUUGAAUAGUAACAUGUCCAUUGACUUGAGUUGUCAUCAAUUUGGCUACUUCGAUUCCAUGAGGCCAAUCCAAUUCACACUAGCUAGAGAAAAUGGUGAUAAAGGCACUUAGAAAUUUAUAUGUAAUAUUGAUUGGUAGUAACUGAUAAGUAUAUAUUUUACGUGUUUUAAAUAUGUUUUAUUAGUUAGUUUUGGUGUGUUUUAACUACUUUUAUAACUAAUUAACUAGGAAUCUAGUGAAAAUAUGCAUUUUGUGGUUUGAAGUGUGAAAAUUGUAUUUCUAUGGAUUUUAAUGGUGAAAACUUCAUGUUUUUGUAGGUUUAAUGAUUCAAUCAUCAAAUGACAUGAUUUGAGAAGAUAAUUAGAUGAUUGAUGAUGUUUUGAAGUGAUAAAAAGAGAAUACAAAGUGCAAGAGAGGAAAUGCAAUCAAGAAUAAAAGAAGAAAAUUUUUGUAGCUUUGACAUAUUGUGGUAUUUUGGCAAUAUAUUGAGCUACAAUGAUUGGAUUAAGGUGAUUCUUAAACCAUUUGAAGCUAAGAUAUAGAUCUACAUUUGGUAUGAAGGCAUCGAAACCCAUGUCAGUCAUUUUCCUUGUCAAAAUGUUGAAAUACAGAAGUGCAACUCUGUUCUCGAAAGCUAAAACAGAGCUCUGGCUAGUCGAGGGUAUUUUCAUCAUUUCUUAGUCCACAGAGCUCCAAAUGAGAUGAUUCUUAAGGCAUUAGAACCCUAACUCAAAGAGCUACAACUUUCAUAUUUUGUACAAGAGUUAGUUCGGCCUCCAUCAUUCAGAAAAUAGUAGUUGAAGUGGUGCCAAAUGCAUAGAAGUGAAAACGCGAGCUAUCAAUACUCGACCUGAAGUCGCGUAUUCCUGAGGUCAUGCAUUCUCUUCUAUUUUCUGCAACUUGCCCUGCUUUCACAUAAUUUUUUCAUCUCAAUUCCAACUAUCAAUUUCGGCUAUAUCUGAUCAAGAAAAGUGUGGAAAGUUUGAAAGACAACUCAUAGGAGUUUCAAGAGUCAAAAAUUACAAUUAGAAACAACUCAUUUGGCUCUUGAAUCCUCUAUAAAUAGAGGCCUUUGAAGAACAUUUUCACAACUUUGGAAGGUUAGAGAAACUCCACAAAAACAUAGUCUUCACUAGAAUUUCCUUAGUUCAUUAGUUAGGGUAGUAUAGUAUAGUUAGUGUAGCUUUUCCUUCUUGUAUUUAUAGUUAGGUUUGAAUGAAGAUUCAGGAGCAAAGAUAGAGAGGUUGAUCUCAUGUGACAAGGGUGAUAUCUCUUCUACUACUUUCUCUUUUGUAUUUGAUUUCAUAUUUAACUAUACUACAAAUUUGGCUUUGUUUUUUUUUUUUAUCAUGUUUAGUUAAAGUUUAUGCCUAGAGUAUGGAUGACCUUUCUAUAUCUUGUUUGUGAUAUUUAACUGGUUAUUUGAUGAUGUUAUUUUUGAGCAAGUUAUUUAUCACUUUUGCUUUUCUAAUCGUGAUUAACUGGCCAUUAGUUGUGAUUAUCUAAAAGUGUUAAGUUUGUAAUGAGAAUUGGAGUUUAACACUAGUUCAAGGAAGUGAUAAAUUUAGGGAGUUCACUCAUGAGAGUAGAGGAACACCUUUGUGACCUAAGUGACUUGUUUCAUAUAAUUUCAUAGAAAAAAUGAACUUGUAAUUAAUUUCAUAACCACGAGAGUAAGUAUGGUUUAGCUAUAUGUAUAGUUGAUUCACUACGAGAGUAGGUUUCACAUACAUUAGAAAAUUACAUCAUAACUAGUCAAGAUAAUAUCAUUCAUUUAAUCAGUAAUCUCAUUUGCAUGAGUAGUAAGGCAUUCCAUAUCUCUAGGAGGUUUUUAGUAUUAUUUUCAUUACUUUUAUGUUUAUGGUAGUCUAGAUAAUAAUGGAGUUCAAAAACUACUAGUAAUUGAAAAUUUUCCCUGUGGGAUCGACCUUUAAUACCCUAUACUCGCUCUCGACUCGUAUACUUGCGAAAAAUCACGUGUGCGGUAUUUAGAAUUUAUAAAUGUAAAACUUGACUGUAGAUGAACUAAUUGAUAUAUGUAUACCCCGCACUCGUCAGUAACCAGCUUGUAUUGAUCCCAUUAUUGUGGAUAAUUGUGCUCUUAUGAAAAAAAAUUAUAAAAAAAUUAGCAAAAUUUAUGAUAACAAAUUAAAUUUAUUCAUACAAAUCAGUGAAAGAAGUAGAAUUUUAAAGACCAUGAUGAAAUUAAUACUUUCAAGGGCUCUAUUAGGAAGACUUCACUUGUUGGUGAAACUACACUAGCACAGUUAUAUGCACAUUUACUGUUUUGGUAUCUAAUUUCCUUGCCUUAAGUUGGGUGCAGAUGUUUAUAUUACAAAUAGAUGGUAUCAUAAAAUUGUUGUAUUCACGUUUGUUCUUUUUUUUUCUUCCUUAAGUUUUUUUCUUUAUUCUCGUGACUUCAAAAAUACGAACUCAAGAAAUUGGCUGCUUAAUCAAUAUGUCAUACAGGCUUCGCUAGUGAGGUAUAACUUCACAACUAGAGUCAAUAGAAAUUAUCAAAUGAUUUUUUAACAUCCAAAUUAAGCAAUAAAUUUUGUUUUCAUUUUAUGACAUAUAAUAGUACUACUUCAUGAGAGAUUUUAUAGUUUCUUUUAGGUAUCAUACCUACAAGUGAUAUUUGUCAUUGGAUAGUGACAGAAGUGUUAAUGAUUGUAAGAUUAAAUAUUGUUAAAUAUUGAAAUUUAAACUAUUUAUCUUUAUUGAAAGAUACAAGUUAAAGAAUCGUUCAAGGGGGCAAUUUUCCAUCUUGUCUUUUUGAAAAAACGCUAUCACAUUGUAUAGGCAUGAUAGGUUCAAAUUUGUCAUUAAAUUUAUGAUUGAUUUCCCUUUUAUUCAAGCCAAAUAUUGUUUUAAUUAUCAAAUUCUACUUAUAUUUGGUUAAUUGUACUAAUUGUAGGGCGGUAGAGCAAAAGUUGCUAAAAAUAGGUGAUUUUCUGCAAAUUGGUUGUCAAGGCUGAAGGAUUUGGGAUUCGCAUGUUCAAGGCCUGUUUCCAAGUUUGAUUCAAACUCUGGACAGUUUUAGAGGAAGAUUUGGAAGAUUUGAAAUUUCAUUAUUAGUUUUAUGGUUGAAUUAGGAAUCUUGGAAUAAUUUCUUUUGUGAUUUAUUUUUCUAUUUAGGAGACUAGUUGUUAUUUAGUAGUAGACUUCAAUUAGAAAACAAAGAGAAAAAGAAGGCCGGAAUCCCGCUUGAUUAAUACCUUGGCCAGGGAACAAUCUCGGUGGGGAGGACGGCCACUUAGCCUCUCAAUUCAUCUUGCUUUUCGUUAGUUUGAGAGGAAAACCAAUUGCAACUAGAUUCAAUGGAGUCUGGCAGAAUUUCUUCUAGGAUGCGUAGCUAAAUCCUCAAUUUUUAGUCGAAGGUCAAUUUGAAAAUUCGGUUCCAAAUAUCUGUGAAAUCGAAUUAUUUUACUUAUUUCUUUUAUUUAUUGGUAUUCGCACGUUUUCUGAUUUAACUUUUUAUGAUUGUUUUGUUAUUUGAAUGUCAAGGGUCCGAUAUUCGAAUUAACUUAAUAAUCUACUGCCAAAUUAACCGGUUAAAUCCGUAAUUGUUUGAUUGAUUAAUAUCAGUGGCGACUAGCGUGAUUGGUCCCAUGUUAGGAAAACGUCUGAUCUAAUUUAAACAAACCGUCGUAGCGUGUUUGUUGAUUAGGGUUGGACUUUUCUAAUUCUUAAUUCAAUUGAGAAAUUAAAUCUCCCGGUCGUACCUAAGAUUAUUUUUUUGUUAGCGAAAUAGUUAAUGGUCGUACCUUGACUAUCGAAAAAGUAAGGAAGAGUUGAUUGUUUAUCGCGUGUACGACAACUAUAAUCAAUCUAUUAAUGAGUAAUUGAAUUAUCUUUGCAUCAGUAAUCAGUUGAAUGGACCGUGUCUGAAAAGUUGUACCUUUGGCUAGAGUCUUAUCUGUUGUUGAUUCAUUCAUAUCUAUCUUCAUGCGUUGUUUUAAUUUAGUUAAUUAGUUAUUUUUAUAAAAACCCCUCAUCUCUGGACUCUAAAAGAAAUAAAUUAUUUCUAGUUCCUGUGGAUUCGAUCCUACUCACCGCUAUAUACAAAAUUUGUAUUUUUUUGAAUAAAUAAUUAUUAUUACACAGGCUUGACACCUGUCAAGGCAAAAUUUCCUUAACUUCAUCAUCUGUAGACGUAAACUUUCUACGGGUGAUAUAAUAUAAGGAAAUUUUGCCUAUACGAUGUGAUAGCAUUUUUUCAAAAAAGACAAGAUGGAAAAUUGCUCCCUUGAACGGAAAAAAUCAUGAUCUUUCCUCAAACUAGUCUACUAGUCAAUUCUUUACAAAAGAAUACUCGCUCCUAAACAUAGCCUGUUCAUCUACACUGUCCCGCAGAAUUCUAGAAAGUUAGGCAAAACUAGACAAGUUGACAGGUAUAAUCAUACCCAAGAUCAGGAACAAGCAGUUGCACAUUUCAAAAUUCGCUGCUGCAACAGCUAAUUUGAUGACUUACAACACUACACGGUCAAACUUUGAAUGGCAAUGGAUCUUUUGUUGUACGUCAUGAUGUAAUUUUCAUGUUACAUACAUUAAUAGGUUGAUAUCUAUAUUCUUUAAAUUAUCAUGAUAAUACCCUUAAUUAGAUUUAACUGAUAAAAAGAACACGUGUUAAUAUACAAAAGUGUGUAACGUGAAUGUUACAUUACUGUAUUGCAGAAGACCUAUAGUCUCUUCAUAUCUCUUCCUGCACGUAUCAAUUCGUUUCCUCUAGAUAAUAAUCUCCCAACUCGUUUCUUUACAAAUGCACCUUUUAUGUUUUAUUACCUCCAAAAGCCUUUACAGGGUCUUUACCCUAAAAAUCAAUUCACCGACUCGCAUUUGAUGUCAGAAAUUCUUAAGACGAAUUCUACUUUACUCAAAGAUUGACUGUUAAUAAUGAGACAGCGACCAUUUUGUAUUAUUAGACCGUCCUUCUUGAUAGGUAAAAGAAAUAGAGAGGAAAGUGGGUCCGUAUAUGGUCUUUUAUUCAUAGAUAAUACAACAUUACGCCAUCGAGCAUUCACACAAUAUUUCAAAGUCAUAGCAUGCCUAAGGCCCUGUUUGAUAGCUCAAUUUCGUAAUUAAAUUUAAUAGAUUCAAAUUUUAACACAUUUAAAUCAUUUGAUAACAAAAAAUUGAAUAUUUAAAUUAAUUAAGUAACACUGAACUUUCUAAACAAAACUUGCUUUCAAAAUUAAGUGAUAAGUUAUUCACUUAUCUUUGAAUGUGAUAUGCACUCAAAUAUAUUAAAUUUAAUAAUUUAAUGGAUUCAGAUUUCAGAUUUCAGUUUUAUUACACACCCUAAGUUGCAAAAUAAUACCAAAACUUGUUAUUAUAUAGCUUGAGAUUCAAAAAUUUAGAGCAUAAUUCUCAACCUAACACAAUCGAAUAAUGAAUAUUCACGAUUGUUUCAAAGUACAAUUUGAGGACAACCCAUUCCAACGCGUACACGAUUUUUAACUUUUCUAAAGUUGUUGAGAGCUGUUAAAAGAGAUUUACCAUGUUUACAUCUUCCAAGUCUUGGAAGUGAAAAAUGAAGCCACUGAGUGCUAUAAAAAGGGGGCUAGAGGCUGCCUAGAAGCAUAUCAGCCUAAAACAAGAAUUUGUAGUAACAAUGGGGAGCAAAGCAAAAGCAACGGGGUCUAGGCUGACUCCUCUUCUUACCACUGUUUUAGUGGUAUUUGUCGCCCUUGGCUUGCCCUUGGAAACUGCAGCUGAUUAUUACAAGUAUUCAUCUCCUCCUCCUCCUCCUUACCACUAUUCUUCACCACCACCUCCAGUGUAUUCACCUCCACCAACCCCUGCUUAUAAGUUACCCCCACCAUCUCCUCCAGUUUACAAGUCCUCACCACCACCUUACCACUACUCACCACCUCCGGUGUAUUUACCUCCACCAUCUCCAGUUUACAAGUCACCACCACUACCCCCUCCGGUAUACAACUCCCCGCCUCCACCAGUGUACAAAUACAAGUCCCCACCACCACCUCCUCCAGUUUACAAAUCUCCAUCGCCACCAGUUUACAAAUACAAGUCACUCCCACCACCUCCUCCGGUAUACAAGUCUCCUCCGCCACCUGUUUACGAGUACAAGUCUCCUCCACCACCUCCUCCAGUGUACAAGUCCCCACCACCUCCAGUUUACAAGUACAACUCACCUCCACCUCCUCCCCCAGUUUACCUGUCUCCACCUCCACCCUAUCAUCACUACUACGGUUCUCCUUCUCCUCACCACUACUAAGCAAGUGCAUAAGUUUUGAGGUAAUAAUACCUAUCCAAAACUUUAUCAACACAAACUGCCAUGUAUAUUAUCAUGCUAAGGACGUACACUUGAUCCAUGAAAAUGACUAGUAGAAGAUUUUUUUUAAGAACCAAAGAAAUACAUUAUUUUUUCGGUCUGUUUUCAAGAAUUUGAGCAGUAUACAGAUUAAAGAGUGUUUUUUUUUUUGUAAACUUGCUUGUCAACUUAAAAAUGCACAUAGCUGAAAGCCAACUGAAUAUUUGCAGGCAAAGGAGAAGGCAAUCGGUGUUUGAGACCUUCAAGAAGAUGUAGAAGAAUAAGAAUAAAAGCCCAAUGCGAGGAUGAUUCCAAGUUUCUACGUUACCAUUUCUACAUCUAAAUUGACUUUAGCUCCUGAGUUCCAUGUUUAUGGGGUUUGUACCGUUUUACGUACCAUGCAGUACAUGCUUGCAAGGUUUUCUGUCCUGUUGGCAAACUGCAGGUCCAUAUAAUAAAUGAAUACUAUUUACAUUACGACACUUUUCUCUUUUUCUCUUAUAUUUUGUCUUUAAUAUUGUUGAUCAUUUUUUUUUUAUCAAAAGCAUCAAAUGCUUAGGUAAUUUGGUCUAAUGCUAAUUGUUUUACUUUUAUUUUUCACCUACACCCCUUUUCAACUCAAAGGAUGCUAUAGUUUGUGAUAAUUGUUUAAGACCGAAGCAUGAUACUAAUAAAUAUCUCAUUGAAAGUCAAGGAAACUAACAUUAGGAAAAGUUUAAAUCUUGAUUUGAUGAAACUAUUUAUUCGUGGAAUUUAGAGAUACAAAACUCAAAUUGUGACGGUGUUGUUGCUAAAUUAUUAAGGACAUUAUCACCAUUAUUUUUCCCUGAUCACUAGUUUCAACUGCAAUGAUCUCAAUCUUUUUGUGACUAAUUCUUUCCUUAAUAAUUUAUAAAGACAAAACUCACAAAGAAUAUGUGACUAAUUCUUUCCUUUCGUCUUCUAAAGAAAAUGCCAACUGUUAGUUUAUCAAGGGGAAAAAGGAUCGACAUCAGUUAUUAUUGAAACUAGUAAGGAAUAAAUAAUGGUGAUAAUGUCCUUAAUAAUUUAACAACAGCACCAUCAGAAUUUGACUUUGAGCUUCGGUCUUAAACAAUGAUCACAAACUACAGCAUCCUUUGAGUUGAAAAAGGAAGUAGGUGAAAAGAAAAGUAAAAAAUACAAUUAGCAUUCCCUCAAAUUGUAGAAAGUUAGGUAGCAUUAUAGACAAGUUGAUAGCGGCAAUUUUACAUUUCAAACUUCACCUAUUCAAUAACUAAUUCGAUGGCUUGCUACAUGGUCAAUCUUUGGACCCCUUCCUGCCUCCAGAUAUCCCUUUCCUCAAUCAGGGGCUUCUACAAUUACCAGUUUCAAUUGUAUGGUAUAGUGUAAAUAUCAACAAAUUAGAUGUAGAUGCUAACAUAAUAAAUGUGAAUGCUAAGACAGCAACAUACAAUCGAACCUGCAAUUGUAUGAACCCCAAUCUCGCUUCCUAGUCCACCAUCUUUCUCUAGGUAAUAAUCUCCCUUCUAAUUUAUUCACAAAAUGCACCUUUCAUCACCUCCAAUAGCGUCGACAUGAUCUUUACCCUAGAAGACUAUUCACCGACUCUCAAUUGACGUCAGAAAAUCUAAGAGUAAUUCUACUUUACCCUAAGAUUGAUAUCAACAAGACAAGGACAAUUUAGAAUUAUUACACGCCUCUUCUUAAUAGGAAAAAGAAAUAGAGAAGAAAGUCAGGCCAGGUCUAAUUUCUUUUCAAAGGCAAUACAACAUUACGAAAUCAAGCAUUCAUUCAUACAAAUAUUUCAUAGUCACCGGUUUGCUGAGUAGAAAAAUUUAGACAAAAACUUAAUAUUAUAUUGUUUAAGAGUUAACAAUUUAGAGCUUAAUCUCCUUGUACUUUGGAGUUAACAAUUUAGAGCUUAAUCUCCUUGUACUUUGGACUAAACUUGAACGUGAAAGGAAAUCCCAAAACCAUAUUGGGCAUGAAUUCACACUUAAUAUACCCAAUAAAAGAUGGCGACUGGUGAAAGGCAGUGGAGACUGGUGGAGAGAUUUGAGGAAUAGAAGCAGACGGAAAAGCAACAAAUUUUUGCCGAAAAACGGUCACUUUCAUGGUUAAUUUUGCUACUCUCCAAUUGUACUUGACCAAUUACAACAAUUUCAUGGAGUUUGAUACGUGAAAAGAAUUUUUUAUAAAUUUUAUUUUGAUCCAUAAUGUUAUCUUUACAUAUAUAAAACAUUUUACAAUUUUGAUUUUGGCGCAGCUAACUUUUGGUUAACAAAAAUGCUCAUGUUUAAAAAACCAGAAAUAAAACAAAACAAGAAACAAAAGAAAUAAGAGGGUAGCAUAGACAUUUUGGAUUUUUCCGUUAAUUUGGAUGAUUUCCACCCACGUUCUAAUUUAAUCCAAAACACAAAGGAAUUACGUAGAGGUUUUAAAUAAUGAGGGAGCUUCAUGAUCGAACCCCAAACCACAAGGCGAUUUACUAUAUUUUACUCUUAAAUUUUGGUUUCAUCUCAUAGCAUACAAGAGUUCUAUUUCACUAUCUGUAGACAAAGACUUUCUAUGGUUGAUGUACCAUAGGAAAAAAUCUGCCUAUACAACGUGAUAGCAUUUUUUCAAAAACACAAGAUGGAAAAUUGCCCCUUAAACGGGGAAAUUCAUGAUCUUUCGUCGAACAAAGAAUACUCACGCCUAUUCAAGAUGGAAAAUUGCCCCCUUAAACGUCUAUUUGUCAAUUCUUGAAAAAAGAAUACUCACGCCUAAAACACGGCCUCUUCAUCUGCAGAAUUCUAAAAAGUUAGGUAAACUCUAUAAACAAGUUGAUAGGUACAAUCGUACCCAAGAUCAAGUACAGAUAGUUGUACAUUAACUGCUGCAAUAACUAAUCUGAUGACUUAUAAACAUAUCAUGGUCAAUCGUUGAAUGGUAAUGAGUCUUUUGUUAUGCAUUAGUAUUAGUGUGUACACUCUAAUAGAUUGAUACUUAUACUCUUUAAAUUAUCAUAAUAAUACCCUUAAUUAACUUUAACUCUUAAAAAGAAUACAUGUUAAUACACGAGUGUGUGUAACCUGAAUUGUUACUUAUAAAUUAGUGUGUAAUAGAUAGGGAUGGCAAUGGGGGCGGGUGCCCGCGGGGGGCUCUCGGGGCGGGGGUUGGGGCGGGGGGGAAUUUUUUCCCCCCGUUUAGAAAUGGGGCAGGGGACGGGGGAGUAUACCCCCGCCCCAUCCCCCGCAAAAAAAAAAUUAUAUAUAAUAUGUAAUUUAAUUAGUUAUAAACUUAUGAUAAUGAUAUUAUUAGUUAGAUGUAUUAUAUAAUGUAUAUUAGUGUAUGUAAUAUAAUUAAUAUUAUCAAUUAUAUGAAUAAUUAGACAUGUCUACUAAUAGAAUUUAUGAAUUAGUUAUACUAAAUUUACUAAUACAUUUAUACUAAAUUUCUAAUUACACUUAAUAGAAUAACACUUUUUUCUAAAACAAAAAAGCACAAACACAAUAAUGAAUUAGUGAUUGUAUGAUAGGGUGUAAUUUUACUAUUUAUUUUAUUAUUAAUUUCCCCUAUCACCUGACCUGAUGUGGAUUAAUUGCUGGAUUCUGCUCACUUUUAGUACUUUGUAUUUAUUUCAGGGAGUAGAACGGAAAUUUGAUAACAGGUGCUAAUUUGGCAGAAAAAGAGUCCAGAUGAUAGAGCUUGCCCCAAGGGCAUUUUUGGAAAGGAGAACUUGUGCCCAUCUUGGUAAUUUGGGAGAAAAGGGAAACAGACAAAAUGGGUCUAACAUGGAUUGGAAGCGGCCGCACAGUAGCAGGGAAGAGGGCAGACGUAAAAGCAAUUGCAGGGGGGAAAAGGAGUUUUUUUAGUUUUUAGCUUAGCAUCUGAUUUUCCCUGGGAGACUUUUGUUAAAGAUUUCCUUUUGGCUGAUAUUACGCAUGGCAGAUGGCUUUUAACUUAUUCCUCCAUCUUUGACUUUUCUUCUUUAGCUUGUGGCAGUGGAUUGCUACUUACGAAUGUCAGCACUUAGCCAUUCGUGGCUUUUGAUCUUUUCUUCCUUAGAAAUUCUGAGUAACCUCUUUUCCUUUGUGCGCCAGACGAAGUGAAAACUAUAAACUUUUGUAGUUUUUCUAUUCAUUCAAUAUAUUGAGACGAGUUGGAUUCUACCAAAUUUCAACGGACAUGGCCGCUGGUUUCUCUUCAAUUUUAUAUGGGCUUUGUUCAUCCAACAUGAACUAAUUUCACCACUCUAGUCAAGGAGCAACGAAGGCUCUGAUUUGCCUAAAAAUUGUGAGAUCGUUUUAAUUUAAUCUUUUCCUUUUAUUUAUUGGUAUCCGCACAUUUCUUGAUUGCUAUGCUUAUGGUUAUUUAAUUAAUUGAUUGUCUUGGAUCCAGAUAAUUAAUUGAUCUGAUAGCCUAUUGUCAAUUAGGGCAUUUAAAUCCGUAAUUGUUUAAUUGUCCUGAAAUAGUGACAACUGGCACGAUUAGAUUCGUGCCAGGGGGGAUAUGCGGGCUAAUCUAAAAUAACCCUGGUAGUGUGUUAUUUGGUUAGAAUAGGGCUCCUCUAAUACUAAGGCAAUUGGGGAAUUAAAUUCUACGGGCGUACCUAGGAUUAUUUCUUAAUUAGAGCAGUGAUUAACGGGCGUACCUUGAUCACCGACACAGUAAGGAGGGGUUGACCGUCAUCGCUUGUUUGGCAGUUAUAACCUAUUUAUCAGUAAAUAAUUGGGAUUGCCUUGCAUCAAUGAUCAAUUAGGUGAACCAUUGUUGAAGUUACUUCUUGGUUAGAUCUUUAGUUAAUAUUACCUUGAUUUUGGUGAAUUGCCAUUUGAUUUUUAGUUGCCUACUUUAUUUUAUUUUUAAUUGUUUCCUUGCUUUAAUUGAGUUAGGCCUUUAAUUAUUGUUAUUCUAAGUUUAGUGAAUUGUGGUUUAAUUCCUAAUUAGUUAUUUAUUUUUACUUUCUUAUUUGAAUUUAUUUGCUUGUUAUCAUUCCUACGAAAUCACCCCCCUGUGUUACUUUGGAUUUCUUAAGAAACAAAUAUACCCAAUCCCUGUGGAUACGACCCUACUUGCUCUGUUCACGAAUUCAUAAUUAUUUGUGAAAAGAAAUAACCAUUCCACUCGGGUAUAUCGGAUCAAGCAAAUUCUUCGGGAACAGGGUGAAUCAAGUAACCCAAUGCACACCUAGAGUCCCUGCUCCAGUACUUGGAAUUGGGUUUUGGUCAUUUUAACUGGCAAUUAGGUUUAAUUUUAUUAUUGCACAGGCUGACGACCCUGUCAAUUUUUGGCGCCGUUGCCGGGGACUGGCGUUAUUAUUUGUUUCUUUUUAAAUUCAUUCUUUGUCCUAAUUUUCUGGUUUUCUUCUAGUGUAUGCCUCGAUCUUCUCGUACAGGUAAUUUGAUUUUUGACCCUGAGGUAGAGAAGACCGCAUGUAGAACGAGAAAGGAAACCAGACAGCUCAGAGAAGAGCACUCCAGUGCUACAUCUCAGAGACCCGAGUCAGAAGUUGAACUAACAGAUUCGUUUGGUAACACUUCGAGUGACUCUGACCAGGAGGAAGACACCAUGGCUAAUGCACGAACAUUAAGGGAGUUGGCUGCUCCUGAUUUAACUCAGCAGCCUUUAUGCAUUACUUUCCCCACUUUAAAUGAUAACAUUCCAUUUGAACUAAAAUCUGGUCUGAUUCAGCUUUUACCCUCUUUUCAUGGUUUACCAGGUGAAGAGCCGUAUAAGCAUCUGCAGGAGUUUGAUGUCGUGUGUAAUAGUAUGAAACCCUCGGGAAUCACAGAAGAGCAGAUAAAAAUGAGGGCAUUCCUCUUCUCCUUGAAAGAUUCUGCGAAGGACUGGCUGUACUACCUGUCACCAGGUAGCAUCACCACGUGGGACCAAUUGAAGAAAAAAUUUUUGGAUAAAUAUUUUCCUGCGUCCAGGGCUGCAAGUCUAAGGAAAGAAAUUUGUGGGAUCAAGCAGCAUCCAGGGAAGUCACUUUAUGAGUAUUGGGAACGGUAUAAGAACUUGUUGCGCAGGUGCCCCCAACACCAAAUAAGUGAGCAAUUGAUCAUACAGUAUUUUUAUGAGGGGCUCCUUUUUAGAGACAGGAGCAUCAUUGAUGCCAGGGGGGAGGGUUGGGAUGGGUGGUACGGGGGGAGGGAGUGUAAGCAAGAGGUCUCGGGUUCGAGUCCUCCCGCUUACACACAAAAAAAAAGAUGCUGCAAGUGGAGGGGCACUGGUAAACAAAACCCCUCAGGAAGCACGGGAGUUAAUAGAGGGGAUGGCAGAGAAUUCACAACAAUUCAGUACAAGAGAGGAUGUCCCAAUACGUAAGGUGAAUGAGGUAGAGACACCCUCUAUGCAGCAGCAGCUAACUGAGUUGACCGCGUUUGUUAGGCAACUGGCUGUGAGAAAUGCAUCACAAGCCAGGGUGUGCGGGAUUUGCACUGGUAUGGGUCAUUCUGCAGACAUGUGCCCAAUGAUUCAGGAAGAAACUGCAGAACAGGUGAACAUGGCUGACCACGCGCCCGCGCCAAGGAAGCAGUACGACCCUUACUCAAGCACCUACAACCCCGGGUGGAGAGAUCAUCCCAACCUCAGUUAUGGAGAAAAUAGGCAGCCCAACAUUACACCGAACAGGCAGUCUAACUUUGUGCCAAAUAGGCCACCAGGGUACCAGCAGCAAUAUCAACCCCGACCACCUCCGUCCCCAAGCUCUGGCCCAUCUUUGGAGGAGAUGAUGAAACAAAUGAUGACAACUAUGGCUCAAAAUCAGCAAAUGACGGAGGCAACCAUUAUGCAAAAUCAGCAAAGGACGGACUCCGAAAUGAAGGAUAUAAGGAAUCAGAUAAGUCAAAUGGUCACAACAAUCAACCGUUUGGAUUCCCAGAACCAAGGUAAAUUGCCAUUUCAGCCCGAAUUAAAUUCGAAGAACGUGAGCGCAAUGACCCUAAGGAGCGGGAAAGAAAUUCAGGGGUCUGAACCUGUGAUCCCUAAGGAUAAGGAUGAGGAAAAGAUCGAAAAUGAGCUUGAAAGGGAGGACAGCAAUGGUGCAGAUCUAAAGGUACUUCCUGACCCAAUAAUUACAGCUAAAACUAACCCGCCUCCUUUUCCUAGCAGGUUGGAAAAAUCGAAAAAAGAGGAUAAGGAGAAGGAGAUCUUGGAGGUUUUUCGCAAGGUUGAGAUAAAUAUCCCCCUCUUAGACGCAAUCAGACAAGUACCAAAAUAUGCCAAGUUCCUAAGGGACUUGUGUGUCAACCGAAGGCAGUUGAGGGAAGAUGAACGGGUUAUUGUUGGGGAGAAUGUGUCAGCAGUCCUGCAGAGAAAGCUCCCACCAAAGUGCGGGGACCCAGGUAUGUUUACUAUUCCCUGUAGGAUAGGUAAUACUGUGAUAGAAGGGCCAUGUUGGAUCUGGGAGCAUCAAUUAAUCUCAUACCUAAAUCUAUCUAUGCUUCUCUAAAAUUAGGUCCAUUAAAAGAAACUGGAAUAAUCAUUCAAUUAGUUGACCGAACUAAUGCAUAUCCUGAUGGGUUGGUUGAAGAUGUGUUGGUAAAAGUUAAUGAUUUGAUGUUUCCAGCUGAUUUUUAUGUACUUGAUAUGGAUGAUGAUCACUCCCCUGAUCCCUCACCUCUGUUAUUGGGUAGACCCUUUAUGAGCACAGCACAGACGAAAAUUGAUGUUAAUAAGGGUAUCUUGUUCAUGGAGUUUGAUGGGAAAAUUGUGCAUUUCAAUAUCUUUGAUACUAUGAAAUAUCCCUCAAACUCCAACUUUAGCACAGUUUUCUCUGUGAGUGCUAUUGACCCUGUAGUGCAGGAAGUGUUUGAAACUGAUGGCAGGGAUGAGUUGGAGGUGGCUUUGACCAAGCACCUCGAGUUGGAGACAACUCCUGAGGUGGAAUGGAGCGAGGACCUAAAAUGCACAAUAGGUGCAUUACACUCAUUGCAGUCCACCACGAAAAGGUAUGAAGUCUUACCUAUUUUUACUCCCGAACCUCACCAGAGGGUGUUGCCAUCUGUGGUGCAGGCACCUGUACUAGAAUUUAAACCUCUAUCAGAGCACCUGAAAUAUGCAUAUCUGGGUGAUAAUGAGACACUCCCGGUGAUUAUCUCAUCGACACUGUCAAAAAUCCAGGAGGAGAAACUGAUCCGGGUCCUUAGAGAGCAUAAAGAGGCGAUAGGUUGGACAAUCGCAGAUAUUAAGGGGAUCAGCUCGGCCAUCUGUAUGCACCGGAUUAGACUAGAAGAGGAUGCCAAACCUGUUAGGCAGGCUCAAAGGAGGCUCAACCCCCUAAUGAUGGAAGUUGUAAAGAAAGAAAUUUUAAAAUUGCUAGAUGUGGGGAUUAUUUUUGCAAUAUCAGAUAGCCCUUGGGUAAGCCCGAUCCAGGUAGUCCCAAAGAAGGCAGGGGUGACGGUGGAGGCAAACCAAACGGGUGAGCUCGUGCCAGUGCGCAAACCCACUGGAUGGAGGCAGUGUAUAGACUACCGUAGGCUAAACGCCGUCACCAAAAAGGACCAUUUCCCUCUCCCUUUCAUUGACCAAAUGGUUGAACGUUUAGCUUGUAGAGCUUAUUAUUGCUUUUUGGAUGGAUUUUCAGGAUACUUUCAGAUAGCAAUUGCUCCAGAGGAUCAAGAGAAGACAACCUUCACGUGCCCGUUCGGGACCUUUGCUUAUAGACGAAUGCCAUUUGCGUUGUGCAAUGCACCUGCAACAUUCCAGAGGUGUAUGGUAAGUAUUUUUUCUGAAUAUGUGGAGAAAAUUAUUGAAGUUUUCAUGGACGAUUUCAGUGUGUAUGGUGAUAGUUUUGAUACGUGUUUAGAUAAUCUGAAAUUGAUCCUGAUAAGGUGUAUAGAGACUAAUCUUGUGCUUAAUUGGGAAAAAUGUCAUUUUAUGGUUGAGCACGGGAUAGUCCUGGGUCAUAUUGUAUCGUCUAAGGGCAUAGAAGUUGACAAGGCUAAAAUAGAUAUUAUUUUUGCAUUACCUUACCUCGCGAGUGUGCGGAAGGUGCGUUCUUUUCUUGGACAUGCAGGUUUUUAUCGAAUGUUCAUCAAGGAUUUUUCAAAAAUUGGAGCCCCGUUAUUCCAACUCCUACAAAAGGAUGUGACCUUCGAAUUCGAUGAUAAGUGUGAGGAAGCCUUCAACAAGUUGAAAGAAUUGUUGACCUCACCCCCAAUUAUCCAGCCCCCUGAUUGGAGUCUACCAUUUGAGAUCAUGUGCGAUGCCAGUGAUCAUGCCGUAGGGGCUGUAUUGGGGCAAAGAGUAGGGAAGGCAGCUCACGUCAUCUACUAUGCAUCCCGAGCAUUGAAUGGAGCCCAAUUGAAUUACUCCACUACUGAAAAGAAGCUUCUUGCAGUUAUUUUUGCUUUAGAAAAAUUCAGGUCAUAUUUGCUAGGUGCUAAAGUAAUUGUAUUUUCUGACCAUGCAGCAUUAAGGUACCUAAUGACCAAGAAAGAUGCCAAACUGAGGCUCAUUAGGUGGAUAUUGCUACUGCAGGAAUUUGACCUGGAGAUACGGGAUAAAAGGGGCUCAGAGAAUUUAGUAGCUGACCAUCUGAGUCGUAUACCCGUUGGAGAGGAUAAUGAACCAUUGAGGGAUGCGUUCCCUGAAGAGCACUUAUUUUCUUUAAAUUCUCAGUUGCCUUUGUAUGCCGAUCUGGUCAAUUAUUUGGUAACUGGUAAUUUUCCUGCAGGUUGACCAAAAUCGAAGAGGGAUAAAUUGAAGAGCGACGCCAAGUAUUUUAUUUGGGACGACCCGUACCUAUGGAAGAGGUGUGCAGAUCAAGUGAUGCGGAGAUGUGUAAGUGAAAUGGAAUUUCAAUCGAUUUUAGCUUUUUGUCAUACUUUUGCCUGUGGAGGUCAUUUGGACCCAAGAGAACUGCUCAUAAGGUUUUAGAAAGUGGAUUUUAUUGGCCUUCAUUGUUUAAGGAUGCCUAUGUGUUUUGUAAGUCAUGUGAUCGCUGUCAAAGGGUAGGUAAUAUACCCCGUAGAGAUCAAAUGCCCCAAGUCCCGUUGAUUUUUAUUGAAAUUUUUGAUGUCUGGGGUAUAGAUUUCAUGGGGUCUUUUCCUACUUCAUUUGGUUUUUUAUAUAUUUUGCUGGCAGUUGAUUAUGUGUCUAAAUGGGUGGAGGCUAAGGCCACUCGAACUAAUGACUCGAAAGUAGUUGCAAAUUUUGUCAGGUCUAAUAUUUUUGUGCGAUUUGGAAUGCCUAGUGCUAUUGUCAGUGAUAGGGGAACGCACUUUUGCAACAAAAUCAUAGCUGCGUUGUUUCGCAAGUAUGGUGUACUCCAAUGGGUCUCAACGUCGUACCACCCUCAGACCAAUGGUCAAGCGGAGGUGUCGAAUCGAGAGAUCAAGUCUAUCUUGGAGAAAAUGGUGCGCCCCGAUAGGAAAGACUCGAGUCAAAGGCUGGAGGACGCACUUUGGGCCUAUCGGACGGCGUACAAGACUCCUAUAGGGAUGUCACCGUACAGGUUGGUAUUUGGGAAGCCGUGUCACCUUCCAGUGGAGUUUGAGCACAAAGCUUUUUGGGCGAUAAAGUAAUGCAACAUGAAUUUAGAGGAAGCCGGUGCCCAACGAAAGUUGGAUUUGCAAGAAUUAGAAGAGAUCCGGAACGAGGCUUACGAAAAUGCACUAAUUUAUAAGGAGAGAAGCCGGAUAUUUCAUGAUCAACAAAUUUCAAGAAAAUCCUUUGAAGUUGGUCAGAAGGUCCUACUAUACCAAUCCAGGCUCAAGCUAUUCCCAGGUAAACUACGUUCCCGUUGGAUUGGACCUUUUCUUGUUACUCAUGUUUUUCCAUAUGGUGCAGUUGAAAUCCGGAGCGCUAAAACAGACAACAAAUUUGUGGUGAAUGGACACCGUCUCAAGCAUUACUACGAAGGAUUUUCAGGUGAAAAGGUGGAGACAAUAAGUCUAGACGCGCCACCGUGUCCUAAUCAGUGACAUUUUACUAUGUCUAGCCAAAGACAUUAAAGACAGGCGCUCAUUGGGAGGCAACCCAAUUGUCCCUUUUAAUUAUUUGUUUGAUUUCGUGUGAUAGUUUAAAUAUGUUUUCCUUGAAUUCGACUGAUUUUGGGUUUCAGUUUUCGUUUUUGCUGAAUUGUAGGUGACCUUCAGUCUUGACGCGCCCGCGUGAUGACAUGCAGGAAGCUCACGAUCAGAAUCGUCUGAAAGCUCUCUUGCCCUUUUGACGCACCCGCGUGAUGACGUGCAGGAAGCUCACGAUCAGAAUCGUCUGAAAGCUCUCUUGCCCUCUUGACGUGCCCGCGUCACGUUCGCAGGAAAGGUACGGGUUUCAAAAAUUUAAAGAAAAAAUAAUAAUAAUAAUAAUUUAAAAUUUUGAAAUUAACUUCCGUAAAAAAAAAAAAGAAGAAAAAAAAUUUCACCGUGGCUUAAAUAGAGCCUAAAGAAGAGAAAAAAGAAACAAUUUCUUUCUUUUUUUUUUCUUUUUCUUCUUUCUUCCUUCUUUCUUUCUUUCUUCUUUCUCUUUUCCCUCUCUCUUCUCCCCUGUUUCUUCUCCCCUGUCCGUCGCCCGUGCGCCCCAUCGCUGCUCCACCUCCACACGCACGCCGACGCUGCGAGCCACCUGCGACCCCAGCGCCAGAUCUGGACCAUCGCCGAAACCCGCAGCCUCCGCCACCUCCACCUGAGCUCUGCCUCGCGCGCAACCCAGCUGCUCUGCGCCCGAAGCUCCACCGCCGCCACAGCCUCCCCACGCAGCUCCCUGCUCACGCGGCCACAAGCCCAUUGGAAACGGGACAGAGACUGCCGCCGAGCCACUUGCCCGCGUGACCGCCGCUGUUUUCCACCACCUCCCUCACGCGAGCUCUUUCCCUCUCAGCAGCAAUCCACUUCACAGCGCACCCGCUGCGCGCCGUCGCAGCCCUCGCAGCUCCAGCCCGUCUGGUCUAGUCCGCCGCGCGCACCAACCACCCACGGACGCUACCCCCAUCGCUAACCCACGCGGCCUCCACUCCAGUCUGUCCGCCGCCGCUGCUCGUGUCUCCCUUGCGCACCUCACGCCACCCGCUACUGUCCCCUUCCGUUUGGUUAGCAUCCACGGUGGAGGUAAUUGGAGGUUAUUUUCUCAAUUGUGUGACUUCCGCCUGUGAUACUGGUUGCAUUAUUUUUGCUGGGAAUUGCUACUUCUUUUGGGUUGGGUUCAACUGUGCAAUUAAUUGGCCAACUGGAGCCAUUUGUUGGGAUUUUGGGUGAGCUGAAAUACUGCAUUUGUGUGUUACAUUGGGAGGUUUAUUGGGUACAUUCUAACCGCUGUUUUCCAUUGUUACUCUCGCUGGGGUGUCUAUUAAAUUGCGAUUGAAGUAUUUUGGAUAUUGCAUGUUGAGAUUGAGGUUUCAUUGAAUUUGGCCUACGUUCUGCCCCCAGUGGUACUGGUGGGAAUAUUUUCAAUUGAAUUUGUUACCUCUAGUUGGUUGGCUACAUUAUUAUGGUCGAAUUCCUAAGUUGUCGUCAUUGCAUUUGUUGAUCUUGAUUUGGGGCAUUAACCGGCCAACUGGAGCCAUCUGUGCGUUUUUAGGCGCUAUUAUUGGUUUCUUCUCCCUUAACUUUGUCAACUAUAUUUGGUUGGGUAUUUGGUUGACUGCCACGGACUUGUAACUGUGUUUUGCUUCUAAUUGACCAGUUGCACAGCAGUUUUUUUUUAAUUGAUAGGGUGGUUAUACCUCUGGAUAUUUGUAUCCACUGGUUUGAGGACAUGGUGAGACCAAAAUCCUCCUCUAGGUCUAGGACCCCUAGAACCUCGCAAUCCCAACCCCAAGCCUCUACUCUAGUCAAUACCCCUAUAAAUCAACCUACUGCUCCCGGUGUCCGAACCUGGUUAGGUAGGGGUAGAGGUGCCCACGUGGCUUCCGCCACUCACUUGGGAGGGCAUUUGGAAUUCACUAGAGCCGCCGAUCAGCGACGCUAUGCUCAAGCUUGUGAGCGGCGUAUCAUUCCGUGCAAAUGCGCGGACCACAUUACUAUGGUUUUUCUGGGGAUCCAAGGGGAGGUUGAGCGCAUGUACACCGCCAUUGGAUGGCGCCCCUAUCUGGAUAUUUUCCAGCCAGCCUUUGUCGAGUUGACUAGAGAGUUUUACACCACUUUUAAGUUUGAAUUACCGACUAGGUAUACUGUUGCGACUCCCGAUAUCAUUCACUUCCGUCUCAUGGGCCAGGAAUUCAAUUUCUCUAUCACCCAGUUCAAUCUGGCUUUCGGUUUCAUCACUCGGGAGUAUGCAGAGACUAGGGAAUACGGUGAGAGUGCCUGCGAUUUUGUGGAACCUUUCCUUACCGCCUACCGUGAGGUGUGGGAGGACAUGUCUGUGGACAUGCAGCGUUACGAUCCCUCUCGGUCUCGGAGCUCCUUUCUAGAGGACCCGAGUGCUCGGUAUGUUCAGCGGCUUUUAGCAUAUAGCUACUCGGGCAGAAAGAACAGCUUCGGUAUUAUCUCUCGGCCGGAGCUCUUCUUCCUUUGGUGUAUGAAGAAUGGGUUCAAGGUCAAUUUGGGUUGUUGGUUGGCGGCACAGUUCAAGACCGUCAUGGCAAAGAAGAACAAGCCGUUGAUUCUUGGGUCGUAUAUCACGUACUUGGCGGUCCAGCUAGGCGUUCUGAAUCUACAGGAUCACGAUUUGCACUUGGCCUGCGACAUGGAGUAUCUCACUGCUGACCGGCUAGAGAAGAUGGGGGUUCUGGAGCUUGUCGAUGGCCACUACCGAUUUGUGCCCCCGGGACCGCCCCGCGCCCCGCCUCGCUCUUCCUCCACCCAUUCGGCCCCAGUUGGCGGUGAUCCUGGCCCGUCGACAUCCGCUCAGCUCCCUCCACCAGCAGGGGCUGAAGAUUGGCACCAAAUCAGGACGCAGAUUCAGAAUUUGGACGCCCGGAUGAUUAGCAUCGAGAGCAACGUGGCGGCUAUAUCACAGAAUCUGGCGGCAUUCCUGCAGCACUCGGGUUUCCCGCCCCCAAUCCCACCUCACCCUCCACUAUGACCCGGUUUCAGGGAAGUUUGGUUACUUUCUCCCUCACUUUUGUUGUUUUUUGACACAUUGAGGACAAUGUGUCCUAUAGGUGUGGGGGGGUCUAUAGUCUUUCUAGUUUUUAGUAGUUGUUAGUUUUUAGUUUUUUAGUAGUUUUAGUUUUAUUUCUAGUUGCGUAUUUUCUUUCUUUUCUUAGUGCUUAUUCCCCAUGUGAAAAGAAAAAGAAAACAAAAAAAAAGAGAAAAAAAUGUUGGUUUAUUGACUCUAACUCUACUUUUGCCAAGUUUUUUUUAAAUAAAAAUGUAUCGGGUUAAUGUGGUUGGAUCCAGAAUAUCUCCCUGGUGAAUAUCGGAUUGCUUGGCUCUUUUGAUUUCUGUGUUAAUUUCUCUAGGCAUAGGGAAUGACUGUUGGCAUUUUAAUGUGAACUGGUCCAAUAUUGACUCCAGUUCUCUAUGUUUGGCAAUAAUGAGGCGAGCUGUUCCUAUUUUUGGUUCUUAGUGUUGUUAUUAUGUGUUUUUGGCUUUGUUUGGCUGUGAAUAAUCUGGACUGUACUCCGCUAUGAGUUACUACUGAGUAACCGAGGAUCGGCACCUAAAAGUGUCGAUUCUCGCGUCAAAAGGUGGUACUUUAUAUGAGUACGUGGUCGUAUAGCAGUAGGAGCUGAGUAACCGGGCUCCUUCAUCUAAAAAUGUUGGAGUUCGCGUCAAAAGGCCCCGACGGCUAACGACUAAGUCUUUUUGUGUUAAUUAUUAUUGCUUUGAAAAACAAAAAAAAAAAAGAACGAAAAAAGAGAGAAUAAAUAAUAGGAAGGCUUGCCGGUUUAUGGACUUAAUAUGGAGACUUGUGUGAAUAUUUGGACCAUUAGCUAAUAAAUGUUGUGCGCCAUUCCCUUUUCUUAGAGUAGUUAACCUGGAAAUUGAAGGAAUUUGCAGUUUAGGGGCUAACCGGGGGGGAGGCUUCUUGGAUUUUAAUCACCAAUGCUCGAUAUAUGUUUUUCUCUUGAAGAUCUUGGCAAUAUAGGAGAUUGGACAAUGGCCAUCAUCGAAUUUUGGUGUUCGUUUACUAUUCUUAUGCUUGAGGACAAGCAUGGUUUAGGUGUAGGGGGAAUUGAUAGGGUGUAAUUUUACUAUUUAUUUUAUUAUUAAUUUCUCCUAUCACCUGACCUGAUGUGGAUUAAUUGCUGGAUUCUGCUCACUUUUAGUACUUUGUAUUUAUUUCAGGGAGUAGAACGGAAAUUUGAUAACAGGUGCUAAUUUGGCAGAAAAAAGUCCAGAUGAUAGAGCUUGCCCCAAGGGCAUUUUUGGAAAGGAGAACUUGUGCCCAUCUUGGUAAUUUGGGAGAAAAGGGAAACAGACAAAAUGGGUCUAACAUGGAUUGGAAGCGGCCGCACAGUAGCAGGGAAGAGGGCAGACGUAAAAGCAAUUGCAGGGGGGAAAAGGAGUUUUUUUAGUUUUUAGCUUAGCAUCUGAUUUUCCCUGGGAGACUUUUGUUAAAGAUUUCCUUUUGGCUGAUAUUACGCAUGGCAGAUGGCUUUUAACUUAUUCCUCCAUCUUUGACUUUUCUUCUUUAGCUUGUAGUAGUGGAUUGCUACUUACGAAUGUCAGCACUUAGCCAUUCGUGGCUUUUGAUCUUUUCUUCCUUAGAAAUUCUGAGUAGCCUCUUUUCCUUUGUGCGCCAGACGAAGUGAAAACUAUAAACUUUUGUAGUGUUUCUAUUCAUUCAAUAUAUUGAGACGAGUUGGAUUCUACCAAAUUUCAAUGGACAUGGCCGCUGGUUUCUCUUCAAUUUUAUAUGGGCUUUGUUCAUCGAACAUGAACUAAUUUCACCACUCUAGUCAAGGAACAACGAAGACUCUGGUUCGCCUAAAAAUUGUGAGAUCGUUUUAAUUUAAUCUUUUCCUUUUAUUUAUUGGUAUCCGCACAUUUCUUGAUUGCUAUGCUUAUGGUUAUUUAAUUAAUUGAUUGUCUUGGAUCCAGAUAAUUAAUUGAUCUGAUAGCCUAUUGUCAAUUAGGGCAUUUAAAUCCGUAAUUGUUUAAUUGUCCUGAAAUAGUGACAACUGGCACGAUUAGAUUCGUGCCAGGGGGGAUAUGCGGGCUAAUCUAAAAUAACCCUGGUAGUGUGUUAUUUGGUUAGAAUAGGGCUCCUCUAAUAUGUAAGGCAAUUGGGGAAUUAAAUUCUACGGGCGUACCUAGAAUUAUUUCUUAAUUAGAGUAGUGAUUAACGGGCGUACCUUGAUCACCGACACAGUAAGGAGGGGUUGACUGCCAUCGCUUGUUUGGCAGUUAUAACAUAUUUAUCAGUAAAUAAUUGGGAUUGCCUUGCAUCAAUGAUCAAUUAGAUGAACUAUUGCUGAAGUUACUUCUUGGCUAGAUCUUUAGUUAAUAUUACCUUGAUUUUGGUGAAUUGCCAUUUGAUUUUUAGUUGCCUACUUUAUUUUAUUUUUAAUUGUUUCCUUGCUUUAAUUGAGUUAGGCCUUUAAUUAUUGUUAUUCUAAGUUUAGUGAAUUGUGGUUUAAUUCCUAAUUAGUUAUUUAUUUUUACUUUCUUAUUUGAAUUUAUUUGCUUGUUAUCAUUCCUACGAAAUCACCCCCCUGUGUUACUUUGGAUUUCUUAAGAAACAAAUAUACCCAGUCCCUGUGGAUACGACCCUACUUGCCCUGUCCACGAAUUCAUAAUUAUUUGUGAAAAGAAAUAACCAUUCCACUCGGGUAUAUCGGAUCAAGCAAACUCUUCGGGAACAGGGUGAAUCAAGUAACCCAUUGCACACCUAAAAUCCCUGCUCCAGUACUUGGAAUUGGGUUUUGGUCAUUUUAACUGGCAAUUAAGUUUAAUUUUAUUAUUGCACAGGCUGACGACCCUGUCAUUGUAUUUGUACCAAAAGUGAAAACUUAACUAUUUUAGUUGUAUUUAUUUCAUCAUGUUGGAUUGUAUUCAAAUAAUUUUUGUUUGAUUGUUUUUAUAAGUUUCAAUUGUAAAAUUAAAAUGAAUAAUAACUUGAUGAUGUGUUGAUAUUUUAGUACUUGAUUAUUUAUUAAAAUUUAAUUAUAAUAAAAUUUUAUUAACUCAACGAGAAAAAUUUUAUUAAUCCCGUGGGGGCACCCGCGGGGAAAGCGGGGCGGGGCGAGGGGAGUGGGAGGCGGAGGACGGGGCGGGGGCGGGGGAUGGGGGAGGGGUCCCCCGCCCCAACCCCGCCAUCCCCCGUCCCGUUGUCAUCCCUAGUAAUAGACUGGCAAGCAUUGUGGUGGUCAUUGAGCAACUUAUAGGAGAAAUAGUCCUAUAAGCUGUUCAAUGACCAAUCACAACUUGCUAAUUGGAUGACUAAUAUAGCUCUAGCUGUAAUGUUUUAAUUAAAUUACAUCACUAACGUUGGGAUGACUUUUUAACCAAAAAAAAAAAGCCUUAGUUCAAGCUUUUCCCUUUAUUGUGCAUUUUUUAAAGCAUUUGAAAGGCACUGCAAAUCUGUCAUUUUGGACAUUUUAUUAUUGACUAACAAUGAAAGCCGUGGACGUCUACCCAUAACCAACACAAGAUUAAAUUAAUAUUAGAAAAAAUAAUUGAGUAAUUGGAAAAAAAAAAAAAAGAAGAGUCUAAUUUUCAUUGAAACCCACCGACAAACUAUACGUGUCCAUGGCUUUUGAAUAGUGCAUUCAACGUUUAAUUGUAUGGUCCAGUUCAUUGCAGAUUACAUGGAGUAAAGAUUGCGCUCUUUCCUUUUCACCCCUUUUGGAAUCGAUACUGUGGAGAAUUGGGUUUUUCCCUCCUUUUUUUCUUUUCUUUCCUUCUGUGGUUUGCAAAACAUACGUAAAAAUAUGAAAUCCGAAGCAUUCUUUAAUUGGUAUUAAGUAUUGUUGUUGAAAUUAAAAAGAAAAAAGAAAGAACAACAAAAUUCCCAAUCUGGGUUGAUUGUUGAGCUCUAGAUUGGUUGCAUCGUGCUUCCAUAGAAGCAAGAUUUGUAAAAUCGGAAUCCUACAUAGGAUCGAUUUUAGUUUCACAGGAUCGGAUUGUAAAAUCGUAAGAUCCUACCAAAAGCUCUCAAUUGCAAUUAAAGGUUGCAAUUCUUUAAUAAAUUACAAAUAUACCACAAAUAUUUUCAUUUACUUGCAAAAUGGAGCUUCGUAUUUCACAAAUUUACAAAAAAAUUGUAGGAUCGUACGAUCCUACCGAUCCUACGAUCCUACACGAUCCUACCGAUCCUGCUACGAUUCUAUGCGAUCCUACAAAGAUUAAUAUGAUUUGCGACUCUGCAUACGAUCCGGAUCGAUUUUGGUUAUCCGGAUCGUAGGAUCGUAUGAUCCUACGAUCCGGAUCGCGAUUUUGACAACUAUGCAUAGAAGCUCUCUUAGUGUGAUACACUGCUUUCAAUCAGUUUAACACGGGAAAAAAAAAAAGAGAUGAAAAGCAAAUUUGGUGGAGAUAAUUUCAGAAACCUCCCCUGAAGAUUUUGACUAUUCUACUGGUUUCCCUUCAGAUUUUAAAAAUUACACUAAUCUUCCUUGAAGUUAAUUAUCUUGUAACAUUUAAAUUCAAUCAAUAAUUUAAAAAAUGAUAUUAUGAGAGAGAAAAUAAUAUGAUUUUAUCAUUGCCCCCCAUCUUACUACAUUAUUUAAUUAAUUUAAUAGCAACCCACACAUUAAAGAAAAAUAUUAAAAUUUGUUGUUUAUCAUUAAAGAUCAAAUCGCUUAUAACAUCAAAUAAUAGUAUAUUAUUUAUAUUUUUCACUUAAUAUAAUAUCCAAAUUACUCUUUUCAAUUACAUACCCAUUGUUAGAGAAUCAACAACAAAUAACCAAAAAAUUUGCAACCAAAAUAUUACAAAAAAAAUAAACUUUAACAUCAUAAAUAUUCUUAUCAACAUAUUAAAGUUAGUUACUGAAAUUUUUAUGCUGUUAAACUUCACUCUUUUUGAAUACAGAUUUUUUUGAUUAUUUGUUAUUAAUUAUGUUUGAUGAUGGGUUUAUAAUUGAAAAGAACAAUUUGAAACUUACAUUAAGUAAAAUAUAUAGAGUGAUAUACUAUUUUUUAUAACAUAUGUGAUUCAAUCCUUCUUGAUAGGAUUGGUAAUAGAGGUAGAGGGGGGAGUCGGCUGCAUCCGGUCUUCUUUUCAUAGAUAGUACAAUAUUGCGAAAUCAAUCGCAUUCACACAAUAAUAUUUCGAAGUCAAUGCAUGGCUAAGUUGCAUAAAAGUACGAACACUUGUUAUUAUAUAGCUUAAGAUUCAAAACUUUCGAGCAUAACCCUCCACCCAACACAAUUGAAUAAUGAAUAUUCACGAUUGUCAAAUCUGUCAAAGCACAGUUUGAGGACAACCCAUUCCAACCUGCAAAAGAUUUUUUACUUUUCUAAAGUUGUUGAGAGCUGUAAAAAGACUUACCAUGCUUGCAUCCUCCGAGCCUUGGGAGUUAAAAAUGAAGGCACUGAGUGCUAUAAAAAGGGGAAUAGAGGCUGCCUAGAAGCAUAUCAGCCUAAAACAAGAAUUUGUAGUUAAGAUGGGAAGCAAAGCAAAAGCAAUGGGGUCUGGGCUGACUCCUCUUCUUGCCACUGUUUUAGUGGUGUUUGUUGCUCUUGGCUUGCCCUCACAAACUGCAGCUGAUGAUCACUACAAGUAUUCAUCUCCUCCUCCUCCUUACCACUAUCCCUCACCACCACCACCAGUGCAUAUACCUCCACCUCAUCCUGUUUACAAGUACAAAUCUCCACCACCCCCACCACCACACCCAGUUUACAAGUAUAAGUCACCACCACCACCUCCUCAUCCGGUAUACAAGUAUAAGUCUCCUCCGCCACCACCACACCCAGUUUACAAGUACAAGUCACCACCACCACCUCCUCAUCCGGUACCACACCCAGUUUACAAGUAUAAGUCACCUCCACCACCUCCUCAUCCGGUACCCACAGUUUACAAGUAUAAGUCACCACCACCACCUCCUCAUCCGGUAUACAAGUAUAAGUCUCCUCCGCCACCACCACACCCAGUUUACAAGUAUAAGUCACCACCACCACCUCCUCAUCCGGUGCCACACCCAGUUUACCACUACAAGUCACCACCACCACCUCCUCAUCCGGUACCACACCCAGUUUACCACUACAAGUCACCACCACCUCCUCACCCAGUUUACAAAUACGAGUCUCCACCACCACCAGUUUAUAAGUACAAGUCACCACCACCUCCUCCACCAGUUUACAAGUAUAAAUCUCCUCCACCACCACCACCAGUUUACCACUACAAGUCUCCACCACCUCCUCCCCCAGUUUACAAAUACAAGUCUCCACCACCUCCUCACCACUACUAAGCAAUUGCUUCUGAGGUAAUAACACUUGUUCAAUAUACCCACUUCUGCAUGAUAAAGCAUAUCUCUAUCAACACAAACUGUCAUGUCUAUCAUGCUAAGUGCCUUCACUUCAUCCACCAAAAUGACUGCUAGAAAAUUUUUUUUAUGUUACCAAAGAAAGGCAUCAUUUUUUCCCUCUGUUAUCAAGAACUUGUACAGUAUAUAGAUUAAAGAGUAUUUUUUUAACUAGCUUAUCAACUGAGAAAUGCAUAUAGCUGAUAGCCAGCUGAAUAUUUGCAGGCAAAGGAGAAGGAAACCAUGUUUGAGACCUUCUUGAAGAUGUAGAAGCAUAAGAAUAAAAGCCCAAUGUGAAGAUGAUGAUUUCAAGUUUUUCUACGUUACCAUUUCUUUAUCUAAAUUGGUUGUAGCGCCCAAGUUCCUUUGUUUAUGGGAUUUGUAUCGUUUUACGUACCAUGCAGUACAUGUCAUGUUUGUAAGGUUUUCUAUCCUGCCGGCAAACCGCAGGUUCCAUGUGAUAAAUGAAUACUAUUUAUGUUACGACACUUUUCUCUGUUUCUCUUAUAUUUUGUCUUUAAUAUUCUUAAUCAUAUUUUUAACAAAAAUAUUCAAACACUUAGGCAAUCUGGUCUAAUGCUAAUUGUAUGUUUUACUUUUCUUUUUCACCUGCUCCCCUUUUCAACUCAAAAGGAUGCAAUAGUUUGUGAUCACUGUUUAAGACGGAAGCAUGAUACUAAUGAAUAUCUCAUUGAAACUCAAGGAAACUAACAUUGCGAAAAGUGUAAAUCUUGAUUUGAUGCAACUAUUUAUUCGUGGAAUCUAUAGUUACAAAACUCAAAUUCUGACUGCGCCAUUGAUAAAUUAUUAAUGACGCUAUCAUCAUUAUUUAUCCCUAACUAGUUUCGACUACAACUGAACCCAAUAUUUUCCCCAUGAUAAAAGUUUUUGACUAUUUUACUGGCCUCUCUUCAAAUUUUAAAAAUUACACUAAUCUUCAUUGAGAUUAAUUAUCUUGUAACAUUUAAGUCCAAUUAAUAAUUAAAAAAUGAUAUUAUGAGAGAGAAAAUAAUAUAAUUUUAUCAUUGCCCCCCAUCUUGCUAUAUUAUUUAAUUAAUUUAAUAGCAACCCACACAUUAAAGAAAAAUACUAAAAUUUGCUGCUUUUCAUUAAAGAUCAAAUUGCAUAUGCCAUAAAACAUAGUAUAUCAUUCUAUAUGUUUCACUUAAUGUAAGAUCCCAAUUGUUCUUUUCAAUUACAAACCCAUUGUCAAACAUGAUCAAUAACAAAUAAUCAAAAAAUUUGCAACCAAAAUAUUACAAAAAAAAACUUUAACAUCAUAAAUAUUCUUACCACCUCUAGUGCAUUCACCCUCAUAAAAUAAUUCAAGACCCUACUGUCAUAAAAUGACUGAUCAACUCCUGUAAACCUAAUUUGACAACAUUUAAAUGGAGAACUUUAGCUAAAAGAAUUAUGGUCAAGCUAAAGAAAAAACCAGUUAUUUUCCAACAUAUGCAACCAUUGAUCAGGGGAAAAAAAAAAGCAAAAAGACAUCUUCAAUCAUUUAAUAGCUUACAGGGCAAAUUAACCCUUGAGUGAAAACUGGUUGCUCUAGAAUUAAAAUUUUACCUUAGUUACCCAGGCAACUUUUUUGUUGCCUUUUCUUUUUCUUUUUUGGGUAUAUAGCUCCAGUUUUGCCCCCUCUGUCAAGCUUAUAUAAUUAUUAAGAUAAUAAAAGUGCCUUUAAUAGUAUUAAUAUAUCCAUUGACUUGAGCUGUCAUCGAUCGGUUUGGGCUACUUCGAUUCCAUGAGAACAAAUGGUAAUAAAAGUACUCAGAAAAUGGGGAGUCAUGAAACCCUUUUGUUCUAUUCAUUGCUAAGAUGCUUUUCUCUAUAAAGAGACUUCCUAACGAAAAUACUUUGUAGAUUUCUUUACUCCAAGUGGUGCAUGGAAAAUUAAUAUUUUCAAUUAUCAAAUAAAAUUCCCUUUUUUCGGCGUAGAUUUCAUCCAUCCAGCUGUUAACACAUUCUAUAAAUCCGAAUUGACUAAUCUUUUCGUUUCCAUUUUCCAACUUGCGAAUACGGCAUAUAGUGUCUGCUAAACACUAUAUAUUCUCUGCCAAAUAUGAAUACAUAUCACUUUUCUGAGCAAGUGCAGAGUCAUUAUCAUUUUUAUUCCCACCUAACAAAUUAGGGAUAAAAAAGUUAAUAAUCUUUACAUGCUAUCAGGUCACAAGUUAAUAAUCUUUUAAAGAACAUGUUAAAUUAAUUUAUUGGUAUGAAUAGUAGUCAAAGAAGUAUGUUAAAGUUAGUAAUCUUUAAAAUAAUAUGUUAAAAUCAUUCGUACAAAUUAGUCAGAGAAGUAGCAUAAACACCGCGAUGCAAUUAAUACUUUCAAUCUCAAGGUCUCUAUUAUGGAAAUUUGCAUCGGUCAAUAUACACUUGGCAUAAUAUAAUCUCCCAACUCAUUUCUUUACAAAUGCACCUUUAAUCACCACCAAAAGGUGUGGACAUGAUCUUUACCCUAGAAAACUAUUCACCGACAGGCAAAUUGACGUCAGAAAUACUGAGGAAUUCUAGUUUCCUUCGGGUUCAUGCCAUGUUGUAUCCUUCAACUGUAACUCGAUUUCUAAGCUGUAAUUUGUGACAUAAUAGUCCUUAAACUAUGAAACCCUUCUUACUUAAUUACAAUGGUUAAUACAAUGCCCGUGACUAGACAAGUAUGAAGCAACCAUAACAGAAAAAAAAUCCAAAAUUAGAGAAAAGAAAGAAGUUUCGCGACCACCACCAGUUUACAAGUCACCUCCACCACCUCCUCCAGUUUACAAGUCACCUCCACCACCUUACCAUUAUUCCUCACCACCACCUCCAGUGCAUUCACCCCCACCACCACCAGUUUACAAGUCUCCGCCACCACCUUACCAUUAUUCCUCACCACCACCUCCUGUGCAUGCACCUCCACCACCAAUUUACAAGUCACCUCCUCCAGUUUACAAGUCUCCACCACCACCUUACGAUUAUUCCUCACCACCACCUCCAGUGCAUUCACCCCCACCACCACCAAUUUAUAAGUCUCCCCCACCGCCUCCCCCAGUAUAUAAGUCACCACCACCACCUCCUCCAGUAUACAAAUCACCUCCACCACCUCCUCCAGUUGACAAAUCUCCACCACCACCAAUUUAUAAAUACAAGUCUCCUCCACUACCUCCUCCAGUGUACAAGUCAUCACCACCACCUGCUUACAAGUCUCCACCUCCUCCAGUUUACAGUUCCCCACCACCACCAAUCUACAAGUCUCCACCUCCACCCUACCAUUACUACUACAAUUCUCCUCCUCCUCCUCGUCACUACUAAGCAAUUGUAUCCAAGUUUUUGAGGUAAUAACGCUUAACCAAUAAAUUAACUUUCGCAUGAUAAACCUUAUCUCUAUCAAGACAAACUGCCAUGUGUAUCAUGCCAAAUACGUACACCUAGAUCCAUGAAAAUGAAUGGUAGAAAGUUUUCUUAAGAACCAAGAACAGCAUUAGUAUUCCCUCUGCUUCCAAAAACUUGUGUAUUAAAUAGAUUAAUGAAUUGUUUAACAUGCUCAUCUACUUGAAAAUGCACAAUACCCAUAACCCACUGAAAUUUUUGCAGGAAAAGGGAAAGAGAAUCUGUGUUUGAGAGCUUCAUGAAGAUGUUGAAGAAUAAGAAUAAAAGCCCAAUGCAAGGAUGUUUUCAAGUUUUUCUAUGUUUCCACUUUAAUUUGUAAAUUGAAUUUUGCGACUCAAUUAAUUCCCUGUUUGUGAGGUACGUAUUGUUUUACGUACCAUGCCGUACAUUUUUUUUUUCCAACAAACGGUAUCAUGUUAUAGAUAUUAACACUUGACCUUACAAGGAUUAGUUACAAAAAGGGGAUACUACCCUCAACUCUGUCCUAGCUAAAUCAGUCAGCCAUAUUGGGAAAUUAGUUUCCCAUUCAAUAUCAUGUACAAGCUUCACAGCAUAUUGUGCUAAUUGAUGGCUGAUGUGAUUUUCAGUUCUAGGUAUAAACACAAAAGAACAUUUUUCAAAAGCUAGACUAAGUUCCUGCACAUCUUCUAAGAUAGUUGCAGUCGUGUAGUCAUACUCCUUGCGUUUAGUAAUCUGCUCUACCACUGAUUUGCAGUCUGUAUGGACUAUAAUUUGUGUCCAACCUGCUUGGGUAGCCAUCAGCAGAGCAUUUCUCACAGCCCGAGCUUCCACUUCACUUGCCGAUCCCUUUCCCUGUGUGACAAUUCCUUUUGCUUUCAAAAGCUGUCCUUUCCAAUUUCUUGCUAUAAUCCCUUGUCCGGUCCUGACUCGUUUAGCUGAUAUCGCUGCAUCGGUAUACAGCCUUAUCUCUUCCUUCCUUGGCCGCACUCUCCUGGUAGGUAAGGCAUCAUUCAGCUUCCCUGCGAUCUCCUUCUGGUCUGUACUCCCUACCUGUUCAAACUCAAGCCAUUCCUCCUGUGCUUUCCUUACUAUUUUUACUGGAUCCUGGUUGGCUUGUUCAAAAAAUUUUUUGUUCCUGGCUUUCCAAAUUUGCCAAAGGAUAUUGAUAGUAAGACUAACUCUCUCCUGACCUUGGUUCAGUGCCAGCGAUUGUGUGACUUGUUCCCACCAUAACCAAAAGUUAUAUUGCAUACCCAGUAAUCCAUCCCACCUGACCGGUGCUAGCUUCCACGUUUCCACAGCCUUUUCACAGAAGAAAAACAAAUGCUCAAUAGUUUCCAUAUCUUCACCACAGCAACCACAUCUGCCUUCCCCUCUAUGUAGCCUUUUCGACAUCUGUUCAUUGACUGGCAGACAAUUUUGUAAGCACUUCCACAUGAAGUGUUUUAGUUUGGCCUUCACCUUCAAAUGCCAUAGCUGCUUCCACACAUUUCGUUUUCGUAUCUCCCAACUUGUUUCUGCCUCUUGGCCUGUCCUUGUACCUGCUUUUCCUUCCCGUUGCCUUGCUAAAGCAUAACCAGAUUUCACGCUAUAAAUUCCAGCUUUGGAAUGCCCCCAUACCAACCUAUCCUUUCUUCUUCCUAUACUUGUUGGAAUUCCCUUUAUGUGCUCUGCAUCUUUUGCACAAAACCACUUGAGAAGCAAAUCAUUUUUCCAUUUCCCUUCCUCUAUCAGCUCACUUACCCAUUCCAACUUGCAUCCCACAGGUUGUGUGGUUGAUGCAAAGCCGGUAUCUGAACCAACUAUCCAUCUGUCCCGCCACAUGUUGACUGACUUGCCAUCUCCAAUUCUUUUCCAAAGACCAUCAUACAGAAAGGAGGCUGCACUAUGAAUACUCUUCCAACACCAUGAGGCUGAAGAGACUGGCUUCUUGUCCAUCCAUUUUUCAUCACUCAUAUACUUCGCCUUCAUUACCUUACUUACUAACAAAUUUGGAGCCAUUAAGAAUCUCCAAAUUUGUUUUGCCAGUAAUGCUGUGUUGAAGGCCUCCAAAUCUCUAAAGCCUAAACCUCCUCUUCCCUUAACUUCUAAGAGCUUCUUCCAGCUUGCCCAAUGUACACAGGUACCCUUUUCUCCCUUCCCCCACCAGAAACUCGCUAUUUUACCUGUGAUUUGUCUACACAAACCCCUUGGAAGUCUAAAGCAAGCCAUCACAUAUGUUGGCAUAGCCAUAAUCACUGAUUUGACCAGAAUUUCUUUCCCUCCUUGGCUCAACAGUUUUUGUUUCCAACCUUGCAACUUGUUACUAAUUUUGUUCUGGACAAAUGCAAAGACCUGUGUCUUUGAUCUUCCAAUUGCCAUUGGGAGUCCUAGGUAGGUUCCAUUCCUUGCCUCUUUAAUGUUAUCUAAUACCUCCCUCACUCCAUUCUUCCUUUGAUCAGUGGUAUUUUUGCUAUAGAAGAUAGCUGACUUUUCAAAAUUCACCACCUGUCCGGAUGCUUGACCAUAUCUUUCCAAUAUGCUUUUGACCUUCCUCGCCUCCUGCUUGGUUGCUUGGCAGCAUAGUAGAGAAUCAUCUGCAAAAAAUAGGUGAGAAACCAUCGGACUGUCCUUGCAUAUUUUGAUCCCUGUAAUUUCCUUGUUCAUCAUAGCUUUAUGGAUCAAACAUGAAAGACCUUCAGCGCAUAUAAUAAACAAGUACGGGGAUAGGGGGUCUCCUUGUCUAAGCCCUCUACUCGGUUGAACACAGCCUACCUUUUGCCCAUUUAAGUUGAAGGAGUAAGUCACAGUAGAUAGGCAAGACAUGAUCCAUUUAACAAAAAUUGGACAAAACCCCAUUUUCAUCAUAACUCUCCCCACAUAUUUCCAUUCGACUCUAUCGUAAGCUUUGGACAUGUCCAGUUUAAGAGCCAUAAAUCCUACCCUUCCCUUUCUCCUAUUUUUCAAAAAAUGCAGGAUUUCAUGUGCAACUACUACAUUAUCAAGAAUUUGACGGCCUGGGAUAAAAGCGGAUUGAGAGGGACUAAUACAAUGAUGCAAGACACCUUUCAAUCUAUUAGCUAUGAUUUUAGAAAUGAUUUUAUACAGGACAUUGCACAAGCUAAUAGGUCUAAAAUGCACCACAGAUUCAGGAGUAUCAACUUUAGGAAUCAACGAAAUAAUAGUAUCAUUCACAGCUUUGAGCAAAUGCCCAGUAUGAAAGAAACUCUUAAUAGCUGCUACCACAUCAUCCUUGAUAAUAUCCCAAUAGUGUUGAAAAAAUAGAGGAGACAUACCAUCCGUUCCUGGUGCUUUAUUAGGGUGCAUCGAGAACAAAGCUUUCCUGAUCUCACUUUCCUCCACUUGUCGUAUCAGUUGUCCAUUCAUAUGACUCGAAAUAGUGCUUGGAAUUUCAGCUAGAAUGUCCUCAAAGCAGUCCGGGUUAGUAGUGGUAAAAAGGUCUUUAUAGUACUCACAAAGUUCCUCCUCAAUCUCAUGUUCCUCCUUGCACCAUGUCCCAUCUUUUUUCUGCAAUAUAGUGAUCUUAUUUCUCCUCCUCUUUGCCAUGACCGAAGAAUGGAAAAAAGCUGUAUUCUUGUCCCCUUCUUUGAGCCACUUGUUCCUGGAUUUUUGACUCCAAAACAUCUCUUCCUCUGCAUAAGCUUUAUUCAAUUGUGCUUUUAGUUCAGCCACUUGUACUCUUUUCCCUUCAUCCUUUCUUGCUUUCACUUCAGCCAAUUUCUCCUUUAACACUUUAAUUCUAACCUUUGAGUUUCCCUGCACCUUUUUCCUCCAAUCCAGAAUAGCCAUGCGACAUUCCUUUAUUUUUGUAGCCACUCUAAACAUCCUGGACCCUGACUUCACCUUUGUCCAUGCUCCUUGAAUCACCCUUUUUGCUUCUGGAUUUAGCGUCCAUCGUUGAUCAAAGUAAAAUCUCCGUUUUCUCCUUGUGUUUUCCGGGUUUGUAUCCACAAGAAGCAUUAGAUGAUCAGAGGCUUCAGUAUCUAAAUGAGUACACUGUGCCUUUUCAAAUCUUUGCAGCCAUUCGGUGCUGCAUAAACAUCUAUCCAACCUCUCUUUCACUUCCCCAUCCCCCUCCCAACUAUUGCACCAAAUCCACGGGACCCCUUGAUAACCUAAGUCAACCAGGUUAUUGUCUUUGAUAAACCUGUUGAACUCCCUAAAACAUCUUUCAGCUCUAUCCCUUCCUCCCCACUUCUCCUCACUAGACCUCAAAUCAUUAAAAUCUCCUACAAUGAUCCAGCCAUCCCCCCAGUCCCUCAUCCUGUCCUCUAAAUAUUUCCAUUGUGCUUUUCUAAUGUUACUAUCUGUGCUUGCAUAAACACACACUAGCCCCCAGUAUCCUUUAGUAUCCUUGUCCUCAACUCUAGCACUAAUACACCAAUCAGUACUUACAAUCUGGUCUAAAAUCACCUCAUUGUUCCAGAAUAAUGCUAGACCGCCUGCUUUACCUAUUGAAUUCACAAAAAAGCUAUUGUCAUACUGAAUCUUCCUUUGAACCUUGCCCAUAAACCCUUCCUGAUUCUUAGUUUCACAAAGGAACACCACCUUAGGAGAGUGGAAGUUAGUCACUUCCUUUAGUUGGGGACUUGUCAAGGGGCCUCCUACACCUCGACAAUUCCACACCACAACCUUCAUUUACACUUUGGAGGCUUUCCGGGGCUAGCCUCCAUUUCCCCUAUUGUACUAACAUUUAUUAGAUCCAGUUUCAUAACCUUUACCUUCGGUACAUUAUCAUCAUCCUCCUCUAUCGGUUGUGUUCCCUGAAACAUACCAUCAGCCUUCCUUUUAGCACACGAAACCUGCGUUACUUGUCCAUUUGUAUCUGCCUUUAAGGAUGUUUUAGCCGGCCUCCCUCUUCUUUUAAAACUGCUUCUUUUUUCAGCUUUGUUAUCUUCUUCCCCUGGAGUAGCCUCCUUUCUUGGCAUUCUUGCAUUUGUCUCCUCCUGCUUUAUUGACCCUACCCGCAAACUUUCACAUUCCUGUUUUGAGCUGUCCGUUUCCAUAUCCUCAUAAUCUACUGGUGGGAUUACGCUGCUCCCUCCUUUACUCCCUUCCUGUACCCUACCCUCCUUUUCACCAUUUCCCUCCAUUAAGACCACAGCCAAACUUUCCACCCGUUGGUUUGCCUUUCCAUACUGCCUGCUGUCUUUUAGAAUCUCAUCCCACCUCUCUUCAUAUUGUCUCGUCAUCAUUUUCUCCUUAUCCCCCCUUUCCUUUCCCCCCAAGACUCUACCAUUUUUUCCCCCAAGAGUUAAUGUAUCUCCAGCCAUUUGUACUCCAGUUUGAACUUCACUACUAGGAGACCCUGCCCCCACCCUCCUUGCAUCAAUUUCACUUACUCCUUCCAGCCGUCCCUUUAAGGGAGAUACCAUUAUAUUUCCAGCUCUCAUCCAGGCACCAUAUUGUUCCUCUCGCUUCUCCCCCCCACCCUUCCUACCACAGUACAAGUCCUAUCACUAUGCCCAAUGAUACCACACCUAUAACAGAAAUCAGGGCAGCGUUCAUACCUGAACUCAACCCACACUGCCUGGUUCUUACAGUUGAUCUUUGUCCCUCUAACCAGUGGUUUCGUUAUAUCUACCUCAGCCAUAAUCUUCAUGUGGCGACCCUCUUUCCCACCACUUCCUGGGAGAAUCACUCCCCUCACUGAUUUAAAGAUCCCUCCUAUUUUCAAACCCACUGCUCUGCUCAACCAGUGCACCGGUAGGUUCCAUAGUUGAAUCCAAAGAAAGGAAUGCUGGAAAAAGCUGCUGUUUGUAUCAUACCCCUCUACCCACUCCUUCACUAUCAGCAACUGGUUGUCCAUGACCCAAGGCCCUCCAGAUAAGAUCUUUUUCUUUUCCCCUUCAUCUCCCAGAUGGAAAUGGAAUAAGUUAGGACCUAACUCAGUCACUUUCAUCUUUGAGGGGUAUCCCCAUGCAUGAUUUGUAAAGUUCUUUAACCCCGUAAAGUUGGCAAUUUUUUCACCAAUCAGCUUUCCUACCAGGCUUCCUUGACACUCAGAGACGCCUUCUUCCAGGUCCUCACCACUCAGAUCGACACCUCCUAACUCUGUUUCAGACAAGUCAAAAUUUUGAAAGGCUCUUUCUAAAGCAUCCGCCAUUGCUGUGACGAGAGCUCCUUGAGAAACCAAGCACUAUUUCUGAGCUAUGAGUGACCCACUGACAGACCUGUGAAGAAUUGCAAAGACAGACAAAGCUGUGUUAUCCGUACACACUAAAAACCAACCAGAAAAACAGAGAGGAACUCGACAGAAAAAGCACAGGCACAAGAAGAAACGAAAGAAAAAAGAAAAACCAACAAACCACUAUCCCACUCCCGACCACAUAACAGCAUUAAAGAAAGGGACACAAAUACGACACUCCAACUUCCGAUCACAUGCUCUGACUCAAUGGAUCAUAUCUUGCCCAAAGCGUUUACUCCUCCAACCGAUUCCAAACCACUACAGACAUUGUCUCCCAUUUUGAAGCCGGAAGAAAGGUGGCUUCUGGACAGGGAACAUGAAAGCAAAGGUUGAACUAAAGAUUUGAUUUUAGAUCUGAAAAUUACGCUGUAGGAAAAAGUGCUAUGUGUUUGUACCUCACCCACUCUCCCACACCGAGGAGGGGAACCUCUAAAGUUAGAGAGAGAAGCUCUCAAGUUAGAGAGAAGCUUUGGAAGUUAAUUACCAACGUACCAUGCCGUACAUGUUUGUAAGGAUUUCUAUCCUAUUGGCAAAAGUCGGUUCCAUACAAUUAAUCAAUUCAUUUCACUUCUAUUGGCUCUACUAUUUAUGCAUGUUACGACACUCUUUCCCUUAUAUUUUGCCUUUAAUAUUAUGAGUCAAUAGUAAUAAUGGGCCUUUUUCUUAAAAUUAUACUAUUAUACAUAGGUAGUUUGGUCUAACGCUAAAUUCAUGUUUGUCUUUCUUUUAUUCCCUUUACAUCUCAAAGUAUACUAUAGUUUGUAAUCAUUGUGGUGAUGAUAUUACCAGCUGGUACUUAUAGUUUAAGGCAGAGACAUGAUAUUAACAACUAUCUCAUUGAAACAUAAGUCAAAAUCAUGACAAGUGUGAGUCUUGGUUAAUGCACAAUUUGUUAGUGGAAUUUAUAUUUAUAAAACUCAAAAAAAAUUUUUGACAAUGCUAUUACUAAUUAAUUAAGGACUUCAUUGCUAUAAUUUAUCGCUUACUAAUUUAAACUAUAAAUGAUCUCAAUACUUUUCUCCAUGAUGUCGAUUUCUUUAGACUACGAAAGGGAAAAAUUAGUGACAUAUCCCUUACUGAUUACAACAUCAGCAAAAAUUAGUUAUAAACUUUUCCGGUGGUUUUAAAUCCCUCGGGCACUAAGGUUUUUUGCACAUCGAGUGAAUUAAGGAACAUAGGCAAUUCGUUCUGCAUACCAAGUCCUUGUUUAAGAUGCACGUACUAAAAUGCAUCCACUUCAUUAAUUUGGAAAAUUGCCAUAGUUUUUUUUAAGCAUUUUGAUUUUUUACAUGAUUCAAAAUUUUCUUAUUGGAUACAAUCACUUUGUGUCAAGAACACAUUUUCAAUCAUCUUUUUUAUCUUCUCAAUAAGAAAAUAAAAAUUUAUUCAUGCUUUUCUAACAUAUCCAAUCAUUGAUCUGAAAAAUAAAGAAUUAAAAAAAAAAGACAUUUUCAAUCAUUGCUUACGGGGCAACUUCCCCAUGUGAACCUCAUCAAACAAAGCCAAUAAUAUGAAGGAACAUCUAAAUACACUUUUGCCCUAAAGGCUGGUUGCCUUGGGGUCAAAAUUUAACCUUCGGGAGUAUAAUUACCCGCCAAAUUUAUUAUUUUUUUUAUGGGUAUAUAGUUCCAAUUUUGCCUCCUGUUAAGCUUAUAAAUAUAUUACGACCCAGAAAAUAAAGGAAUCUUGAAUAGUAACAUGUCCAUUGACUUGAGUUGUUAUCAAUUUGGCUACUUCGAUUCCAUGAGGCCAAUCCAAUUCACACUAGCUAGAGAAAAUGGUGAUAAAGGCACUUAGAAAUUUAUAUGUAAUAUUGAUUGGUAGUAACUGAUAAGUAUAUAUUUUACGUGUUUUAAAUAUGUUUUAUUAGUUAGUUUUGGUGUGUUUUAACUACUUUUAUAACUAAUUAACUAGGAAUCUAGUGAAAAUAUGCAUUUUGUGGUUUGAAGUGUAAAAAUUGUAUUUCUAUGGAUUUUAAUGGUGAAAACUUCAUGUUUUUGUAGGUUUAAUGAUUCAAUCAUCAAAUGACAUGAUUUGAGAAGAUAAUUAGAUGAUUGAUGAUGUUUUGAAGUGAUAAAAAGAGAAUACAAAGUGCAAGAGAGGAAAUGCAAUCAAGAAUAAAAGAAGAAAAUUUUUGUAGCUUUGACAUAUUGUCGUAUUUCGGCAAUAUAUUGAGCUACAAUGAUCGGAUUAAGGUGAUUCUUAAACCAUUUGAAGCUAAAAUAUAGAUCUACAUUUGGCAUGAAGGCAUCGAAACCCAUGUCAGUCAUUUUCCUUGUCAAAAUGUUGAAAUACAGAAGUGCAACUCUGUUCUCGAAAGCUAAAACAGAGCUCUGGCUAGUCGAGGGUAUUUUCAUCAUUUCUUAGUCCACAGAGCUCCAAAUGAGAUGAUUCUUAAGGCAUUAGAACCCUAACUCAAAGAGCUACAACUUUCAUAUUUUGUACAAGAGUUAGUUCGGCCUCUAUCAUUAAGAAAAUAGUAGUUGAAGUGGUGCCAAAUGCAUAGAAGUGAAAACGCGAGCUAUCAAUACUCGACCUGAAGUCGCGUAUUCCUGAGGUCAUGCAUUCUCUUCUAUUUUCUGCAACUUGCCCUGCUUUCACAUAACUUUUUCAUCUCAAUUCCAACUAUCAAUUUCGGCUAUAUCUGAUCAAGAAAAGUGUGGAAAGUUUGAAAGACAACUCAUAGGAGUUUCAAGAGUCAAAAAUUACAAUUAGAAACAACUCAUUUGGCUCUUGAAUCCUCUAUAAAUAGAGGCCUUUGAAGAACAUUUUCACAACUUUGGAAGGUUAGAGAAACUCCACAAAAACAUAGUCUUCACUAGAAUUUCCUUAGUUCAUUAGUUAGGGUAGUAUAGUAUAGUUAGUGUAGCUUUUCCUUCUUGUAUUUAUAGUUAGGUUUGAAUGAAGAUUCAGGAGCAAAGAUAGAGAGGUUGAUCUCAUGUGACAAGGGUGAUAUCUCUUCUACUACUUUCUCUUUUGUAUUUGAUUUCAUAUUUAACUAUACUACAAAUUUGGCUUUGUUUUUUUUUUUUUAUCAUGUUUAGUUAAAGUUUAUGCCUAGAGUAUGGAUGACCUUUUUAUAUCUUGUUUGUGAUAUUUAACUGGUUAUUUGAUGAUGUUAUUUUUGAGCAAGUUAUUUAUCACUUUUGCUUUUCUAAUCAUGAUUAACUGGCCAUUAGUUGUGAUUAUCUAAAAGUGUUAAGUUUGUAAUGAGAAUUGGAGUUUAACACUAGUUCAAGGAAGUGAUAAAUUUAGGGAGUUCACUCAUGAGAGUAGAGGAACACCUUUGUGACCUAAGUGACUUGUUUCAUAUAAUUUCAUAGAAAAAAUGAACUUGUAAUUAAUUUCAUAACCACGAGAGUAAGUAUGGUUUAGCUAUAUGUAUAGUUGAUUCACUACGAGAGUAGGUUUCACAUACAUUAGAAAAUUACAUCAUAACUAGUCAAGAUAAUAUCAUUCAUUUAAUCAGUAAUCUCAUUUGCAUGAGUAGUAAGGCAUUCCAUAUCUCUAGGAGGUUUUUAGUAUUAUUUUCAUUACUUUUAUGUUUAUGGUAGUCUAGAUAAUAAUGGAGUUCGAAAACUACUAGUAAUUGAAAAUUUUCCCUGUGGGAUCGACCUUUAAUACCCUAUACUCGCUCUCGACUCGUAUACUUGAGAAAAAUCACGUGUGCGGUAUUUAGAAUUUAUAAAUGUAAAACUUGACUGUAGAUGAACUAAUUGAUAUAUGUAUACCCCGCACUCGUCAGUAACCAGCUUGUAUUGAUCCCACUAUUGUGGAUAAUUGUGCUCUUAUGAAAAAAAAUUAUAAAAAAAUUAGCAAAAUUUAUGAUAACAAAUUAAAUUUAUUCAUACAAAUCAGUGAAAGAAGUAGAAUUUUAAAGUCCAUGAUGAAAUUAAUACUUUCAAGGGCUCUAUUAGGAAGACUUCACUUGUUGGUGAAACUACACUAGCACAGUUAUAUGCACAUUUACUGUUUUGGUAUCUAAUUUCCUUGCCUUAAGUUGGGUGCAGAUGUUUAUAUUACAAAUAGAUGGUAUCAUAAAAUUGUUGUAUUCACGUUUGUUCUUUUUUUUCUUCCUUAAGUUUUUUUCUUUAUUCUCGUGACUUCAAAAAUACGAACUCAAGAAAUUGGCUGCUUAAUCAAUAUGUCAUACAGGCUUCGCUAGUGAGGUAUAACUUCACAACUAGAGUCAAUAGAAAUUAUCAAAUGAUUUUUUAACAUCCAAAUUAAGCAAUAAAUUUUGUUUUCAUUUUAUGACAUAUAAUAGUACUACUUCAUGAGAGAUUUUAUAGUUUCUUUUAGGUAUCAUACCUACAAGUGAUAUUUGUCAUUGGAUAGUGACAGAAGUGUUAAUGAUUGUAAGAUUAAAUAUUGUUAAAUAUUGAAAUUUAAACUAUUUAUCUUUAUUGAAAGAUACAAGUUAAAGAAUCGUUCAAGGGGGCAAUUUUCCAUCUUGUCUUUUUGAAAAAACGCUAUCACAUUGUAUAGGCAUGAUAGGUUCAAAUUUGUCAUUAAAUUUAUGAUUGAUUUUCCUUUUAUUCAAGCCAAAUAUUGUUUUAAUUAUCAAAUUCUACUUAUAUUUGGUUAAUUGUACUAAUUGUAGGGCGGUAGAGCAAAAGUUGCUAAAAAUAGGCGAUUUUCUGCAAAUUGGUUGUCAAGGCUGAAGGAUUUGGGAUUCGCAUGUUCAAGGCCUGUUUCCAAGUUUGAUUCAAACUCUGGACAGUUUUAGAGGAAGAUUUGGAAGAUUUGAAAUUUCAUUAUUAGUUUUAUGGUUGAAUUAGGAAUCUUGGAAUAAUUUCUUUUGUGAUUUAUUUUUCUAUUUAGGAGACUAGUUGUUAUUUAGUAGUAGACUUCAAUUAGAAAACAAAGAGAAAAAGAAGGCCGGAAUCCCGCUUGAUUAAUACCUUGGCCAGGGAACAAUCUCGGUGGGGAGGACGGCCACUUAGCCUCUCAAUUCAUCUUGCUUUUCGUUAGUUUGAGAGGAAAACCAAUUGCAACUAGAUUCAAUGGAGUCUGGCAGAAUUUCUUCUAGGAUGCGUAGCUAAAUCCUCAAUUUUUAGUCGAAGGUCAAUUUGAAAAUUCGGUUCCAAAUAUCUGUGAAAUCGAAUUAUUUUACUUAUUUCUUUUAUUUAUUGGUAUUCGCACGUUUUCUGAUUUAACUUUUUAUGAUUGUUUUGUUAUUUGAAUGUCAAGGGUCCGAUAUUCGAAUUAACUUAAUAAUCUACUGCCAAAUUAACCGGUUAAAUCCGUAAUUGUUUGAUUGAUUAAUAUCAGUGGCGACUAGCGUGAUUGGUCCCAUGUUAGGAAAACGUCUGAUCUAAUUUAAACAAACCGUCGUAGCGUGUUUGUUGAUUAGGGUUGGGCUUUUCUAAUUCUUAAUUCAAUUGAGAAAUUAAAUCCCCCGGUCGUACCUAGGAUUAUUUUUUUGUUAGCGAAAUAGUUAAUGGUCGUACCUUGACUAUCGAAAAAGUAAGGAAGAGUUGAUUGUUUAUCGCGUGUACGACAACUAUAAUCAAUCUAUUAAUGAGUAAUUGAAUUAUCUUUGCAUCAGUAAUCAGUUGAAUGGACCGUGUCUGAAAAGUUGUACCUUUGGCUAGAGUCUUAUCUGUUGUUGAUUCAUUCAUAUCUAUCUUCAUGCGUUGUUUUAAUUUAGUUAAUUAGUUAUUUUUAUAAAAACCCCUCAUCUCUGGACUCUAAAAGAAAUAAAUUAUUUCUAGUUCCUGUGGAUUCGAUCCUACUCACCAUACAAUCCAACCUGCAAUUGUAUGAACCCCAAUCUCGCUUCCUAGUCCACCAUUUUUCUCUAGGUAAUAAUCUCCCUUCUAAUUUCUUCACAAAAUGCACCUUUCAUCACCUCCAAUAGCGUCGACAUGAUCUUUACCCCAGAAGACUAUUCACCGACUCUCAAUUGACGUUAGAAAAUCUAAGAGUAAUUCUACUUUACCCUAAGAUUGAUAUCAACAAGACAAGGACAAUUUAGAAUUAUUACACGCCUCUUCUUAAUAGGAAAAAGAAAUAGAGAAGAAAGUCAGGCCAGGUCUAAUUUCUUUUCAAAGGCAAUACAACAUUACGAAAUCAAGCAUUCAUUCAUACAAAUAUUUCAUAGUCACCGGUUUGCUGAGUAGAAAAAUUUAGACAAAAACUUAAUAUUAUAUUGUUUAAGAGUUAACAAUUUAGAGCUUAAUCUCCUUGUACUUUGGAGUUAACAAUUUAGAGCUUAAUCUCCUUGUACUUUGGACUAAACUUGAACGUGAAAGGAAAUCCCAAAACCAUAUUGGGCAUGAAUUCACACUUAAUAUACCCAAUAAAAGAUGGCGACUGGUGAAAGGCAGUGGAGACUGGUGGAGAGAUUUGAGGAAUAGAAGCAGACGGAAAAGCAACAAAUUUUUGCCGAAAAACGGUCACUUUCAUGGUUAAUUUUGCUACUCUCCAAUUGUACUUGACCAAUUACAACAAUUUCAUGGAGUUUGAUACGUGAAAAGAAUUUUUUAUAAAUUUUAUUUUGAUCCAUAAUGUUAUCUUUACAUAUAUAAAACAUUUUACAAUUUUGAUUUUGGCGCAGUUAACUUUUGGUAAACAAAAAUGCUCAUGUUUAAAAAACCGGAAAUAAAACAAAACAAGAAACAAAAGAAAUAAGAGGGUAGCAUAGACAUUUUGGAUUUUUCCGUUAAUUUGGAUGAUUUCCACCCACGUUCUAAUUUAAUCCAAAACACAAAGGAAUUACGUAGAGGUUUUAAAUAAUGAGGGAGCUUCAUGAUCGAACCCCAAACCACAAGGCGAUUUACUAUAUUUUACUCUUAAAUUUUGGUUUCAUCUCAUAGCAUACAAGAGUUCUAUUUCACUAUCUGUAGACAAAGACUUUCUAUGGUUGAUGUACCAUAGGAAAAAAUCUGCCUAUACAACGUGAUAGCAUUUUUUCAAAAACACAAGAUGGAAAAUUGCCCCCUUAAACGGGGAAAUUCAUGAUCUUUCCUCGAACAAAGAAUACUCACGCCUAUUCAAGAUGGAAAAUUGCCCCCUUAAACGUCUAUUUGUCAAUUCUUGAAAAAAGAAUACUCACGCCUAAAACACGGCCUCUUCAUCUGCAGAAUUCUAAAAAGUUAGGUAAACUCUAUAAACAAGUUGAUAGGUACAAUCGUACCCAAGAUCAAGUACAGAUAGUUGUACAUUCACUGCUGCAAUAACUAAUCUGAUGACUUACAAACAUAUCAUGGUCAAUCGUUGAAUGGUAAUGAGUCUUUUGUUAUGCAUUAGUAUUAGUGUGUACACUCUAAUAGAUUGAUACUUAUACUCUUUAAAUUAUCAUAAUAAUACCCUUAAUUAACUUUAACUCUUAAAAAGAAUACGUGUUAAUACACGAGAGUGUGUAACCUGAAUUGUUACUUAUACAUUAGUGUGUAAUAGAUAGGGAUGGCAAUGGGGGCGGGUGCCCGCAGGCAACCGCCCCGCGGGGGGCUCUCGGGGCGGGGAGGGGGGAAUUUUUUCCCCCCGUUUAGAAACGGGGCAGGGGACGGGGGAGUAUACCCCCGCCCCAUCCCCCGCAAAAAAAAUUAUAUAUAUAUAAUUAUAUAUAAUAUGUAAUUUAAUUAGUUAUAAACUUAUGAUAAUGAUAUUAUUAGUUAGAUGUAUUAUAUAAUGUAUAUUAGUGUAUGUAAUAUAAUUAAUAUUAUCAAUUAUACGAAUAAUUAGACAUGUCUACUAAUAGAAUUUAUUAAUUAGUUAUACUAAAUUUACUAAUACAUUUAUACUAAAUUUCUAAUUACAUUUAAUAGAAUAACACUUUUUUCUAAAAAAAAAAGCACAAACACAAUAAUGAAUUAGUGAUUGUAUUUUUACCAAAAAUGAAAACUUAACUAUUUUAGUUGCAUUUAUUUCAUCAUGUUGGAUUGUAUUCAAAUAAUUUUUGUUUGAUUGUUUUUAUGAGUUUCAAUUGUAAAAUUAAAAUGAAUAAUAACUUGAUGAAUAAUAAUGUCAAUCGUUGAAUGGUGUGUACACUCUAAUAUUAUGCAUUAGUAUUAGUGUGUACACUCUAAUAGAUUGAUACUUAUACUCUUUAAAUUAUCAUAAUAAUACCCUUAAUUAACUUUAACUCUUAAAAAGAAUACGUGUUAAUAACUCUUAACCUGAAUUGUUACUUAUACAUUAGUGUGAAAUAGAACGGCAAGCAUUGAGCAACUUAUAGGAGAAAUAGUCCUAUAAGCUGUUGGAUGACUAAUAUAGCUCUAGCUGUAAUGUUUUAAUUAAAUUACAUCACUAACGUUGGGAUGACUAAUGGUUUAAAAAUAAUUGAGUAAUUGGAAAAAAAAAAAGAGACUAAUUUUCAUUGAAACCCACCGACAAACUAAACGUGUCCAUGGCUUUUGAAUAGUGCAUUCAACGUUUAAUUGUAUAGUCCAGUUCAUUGCAGAUUACAUGGAGUAAAGAUUGUGCUCUUUCCUUUUUCACCCCUUUUGGAAUCGAUACUGUGGAGAAUUGGGUUUUUCCCUUCUUUUUUUCUUUUCUUUCUUUCUGUGCUUUGCAAAACAUAGGUAAAAUUAUGAAAUCCGAAGCAUUCUUUAAUUGGGAUUAAGUAUUGUUCUUGAAAUUAAAAAGAAGAAAGAAAGAACAACAAAAUUCCCUGAUUGGUUGCAUCGUGCUUCCAUAGAAGCUCUCUUAGUGUGAUACACUGCUUUCAAUCAGUUUAACAUGGAAAAAAGAAAGAGAUGAAAAGCAAAUUUGGUGGGGAUAAUUUCAGAAACCUCCCCUGAAGAUUUUGACUAUUCUACUGGUCUCCCUUCAGAUUUUAAAAAUUACACUAAUCUUCCUUGAAGUUAUAACAUUUAAAUUCAAUCAAUAAUUUAAAAAAUGAUAUUAUGAAAGAGAAAAUAAUAUGAUUUUAUCAUUGCCCCCCAUCUUACUACAUUAUUUAAUUAAUUUAAUAGCAACCCACACAUUAAAGAAAAAUAUAAAAUUUGUUAUUUAUCAUUAAAGAUCAAAUCGCUUAUAACAUCAAAUAAUAGUAUAUUAUUUAUAUUUUUCACUUAACAUAAUAUCCAAAUUACUCUUUUCAAUUACAUACUCAUUGUUAGACAAUCAACAACAAAUAACCAAAAAAUUUGCAACCAAAAUAUUACAAAAAAAAAUAAACUUUAACAUCAUAAAUAUUCUUAUCAACAUAUUAAAGUUAGUUACUGAAAUUUUUAUGGUGUUAAACUUCACUCUUUGUAAUAUUUUGGUUACAGAUUUUUUUUGAUUAUUUUUUAUUAAUUAUGUUUGAUGAUGGGUUUGUAAUUGAAAAGAAUAAUUUAAAACUUACAUUAAGUGAAAUAUAUAGAGUGAUAUACUAUUUUUUAUAACAUAUGUGAUUCAAUCCUUCUUGAUAGGAUUGGUAAUAGAGGUAGAGGGGGGAGUCGGCUGCAUCCGGUCUUCUUUUCAUAGAUAGUACAAUAUUGCGAAAUCAAUCGCAUUCACACAAUAAUAUUUCGAAGUCAAUGCAUGGCUAAGUUGCAUAAAAGUACGAACACUUGUUAUUAUAUAGCUUAAGAUUCAAAACUUUAGAGCAUAACCCUCCACCUAACACAAUUGAAUAAUGAAUAUUCACGUUUGUCAAAUCUGUCAAAGCACAGUUUGAGGACAACCCAUUCCAACCUGCAAAAGAUUUUUUACUUUUCUAAAGUUGUUGAGAGCUGUAAAAAGACCUACCAUGCUUACAUCCUCCGAGCCUUGGGAGUUAAAAAUGAAGGCACUGAGUGCUAUAAAAAGGGGGCUAGAGGCUGCCUAGAAGCAUAUCAGCCUAAAACAAGAAUUUGUUGUUAUGAUGGGAAGCAAAGCAAAAGCAAUGGGGUCUGGGCUGACUCCUCUUCUUGCCACUGUUUUAGUGGUAUUUGUUGCUCUUGGCUUGCCCUCAGAAACAGCAGCUGAUGAUCACUACAAGUAUUCAUCUCCUCCUCCUCCUUACCACUAUCCCUCACCACCGCCUCCAGUGCAUUUACCUCCACCAGUGUACAAAUACAAGUCCCCACCACCACCUCAUCAUGUUUACAAGUACAAAUCUCCACCACCCCCACCACCACACCCAGUUUACAAGUAUAAGUCACCACCACCACCUCCUCAUCCGGUACCACACCCAGUUUACAAGUAUAAGUCACCACCACCACCUCCUCAUCCGGUAUACAAGUAUAAGUCUCCUCCGCCACCACCACACCCAGUUUACAAGUAUAAGUCACCACCACCACCUCCUCAUCCGGUACCACACCCAGUUUACAAGUAUAAGUCUCCUCCGCCACCAGUUUACAAAUAUAAGUCUCCUCCACCACCACCUCCAGUGUACAAGUACAAGUCUCCACCACCACCAGUUUACAAGUACAAAUCACCACCACCUCCUCCCCCAGUUUACAAAUACAAGUCUCCACCACCACCAGUUUACCACUACAAGUCACCACCACCUCCUCACCCAGUUUACAAGUACAAAUCUCCUCCACCACCAAUUUACCACUACAAGUCACCACCACCUCCUCCCCCAGUUUACAAAUACAAGUCUCCACCUCCUCCUCACCACUACUAAGCAAUUGCUUCUGAGGUAAUAACACUUGUUCAAUAACACUUGAUAGCCAGCUGAAUAUUUGCAGGCAAAGGAGAAGGAAACCAGUGUUUGAGACCUUCUUGAAGAUGUAGAAGCAUAAGAAUUAAAGCCCAAUGUGAAGAUGAUGAUUUCAAGUUUUUCUACGUUACCAUUUCAAUAUCUAAAUUGGUUGUAGCGCCUUAGUUCCUUUGUUUAUGGGAUUUGUAUCGUUUUACGUACCAUGCAGUACAUGUCAUGUUUGUAAGGUUUUCUAUCCUGCCGGCAAACCGCAGGUUCCAUGUAAUAAAUCAAUACUAUUUAUAUUACGACACUUUUCUCUGUUUCUCUUAUAUUUUGUCUUUAAUAUUCUUAAUCAUAUUUUUAACAAAAAUAUUCAAACACUUCAGCAAUGGUUCACCUAGUUGAUCAUCGAAGCAGAGGCAAUUCCAAUUAUUUAUCAAUAAAUAGGAUAUAACUACCAAACAAGCGAUGGCAGUUAACCCCUCCUUACUGUGUCGGUGAUCAAGGUACGCCCGUUAAUCACUGCUCUAAUUGAGAAAUAAUCCUAAGUACGCCCGUAGAAUUUAAUUCCCCAAUUGCCUUACAUAUUAGAGGAGCCCUAUUCUAACCAAAUAACGCACUAUCAGGGUUAUUUUAGAUUAGCCCGCGUAUUCCCCUGACAUAAAUCUAAUCAUGCCAGUUGUCAUUAUUUUGAGGUAAUUAAACAAUUACGGAUUUAACACCUCAAUUGACAAUAGAUUAUUAAAUUAAUUAAUUAUUCGGAUCCAAGACAAUCAAUUAAUUAAACAACCAUAAGCACUACAAUCAGAGAAUAUGCAAAUACCAAUAAAUAAAUAAAAAAUAAAAUUAAAUCGAUCUCACAAUUUUUAGGCGAAUCAGAGCAUCCGUUGUCCCUUGACUAGAGCAAGGAAAUUAGUUCAUAUUUGAUGAACUAAACCCAUACAAAAGGGAAGCGAGAAAUGCAGCCAUUAUCCUUUGAAAUCUGGAAAAUUCAACUUGUCCGAAUAUCGAAUAGAUAGUAAUACUACAAAAGGUAAUUCAUAGCUUCCCUUUCGUCUGACACACAAGAAGAAAAAAAAGGGCUGCUAAUAACUAAAGGAGGAAAAGUCAAAGUCCUAAGCUAUGCUACAAGACGAAAAACUAAAGAAGACAAAAAGGCAGUGCUCAUUCCCUGCAAUCUCAAUUCCUAUUCUAUCUAAGUGCUCUCCAAUGUGCGGCGGCUCCCCUUCCGGAGAGGACGAAGUGGCACCCUUUUUUCCUGCGCAAUUUUCCUAUAUAAAGUAGUGCUCCUUGCAGCGGCUCCUGUGCGAAAAAAUGAAGACUUCGGCCCAAUUUGCCUAACAAGGGCUCACGUUUUGUUGUUCUAAAAAUGUCCCUAGGACAAACUCUAUCAUCUGAACUCUUUUCUUGCCAAAUUAGUACCUGUUAUUAUAUUUUCGUUCUACUCCCUGAAAUAAAUGCAAAAUAUCAAAAGUGAGUAGAAUCUAGCAAUUAAUCCACAUUAGGUCAGGUAAUAGGGAAAAUUAAUAAUAAAAUAAAUGAUAAAAUUGCAAUCUAUCACGGGACCACUGUGGUAAGGUGUGUUUCGCCUAUUAUAAGGAGUUCGGAGAGUUAGACGUGUUGGAGGCGGAGGCGCGGUCACUCCUGCACGCCCUCCAGCUGUGUGCAGAUCGCGAGGUACGGGCGUUGACUGUAGAAUCUGAUUCAAAGGUGCUUGUUCAACUAGUUUGCUCGGAUAUGAGGUCGAAGUGGCCGGUGUGUAUCGUAUUGCGGGAAAUAAGACAUUUGAUCCGGCGGAUGGGUGCAUCCCUUCAUCAUAUAUUCCGUGAGGCCAAUUCGGUGGCGGACGCAUUGGCUUCUCUGCAAUUGGGAGGGCAGCAGUACUACACCUCAGGCGUGGCGCUGCCUUUCAGGCCCAGAGGAGAGGCUCUGCUGGAUCGUCAAGGAGUACCUCGCAUCCGUGAGGCGCUCACUAAGGUUUGAUAGGCUAUGUCCUCCUUUCAAAAAACUUAUUUCAUCUACUCCUUGUAAUCAUUUUUCUUAUCAAUAAAUUGAGGCUUUUUAUUUAAAAAAAAACAUAUAAUUUAAGGCAAAAAUAUGAUCCUAGCGAGUAUCGCACUGAGACAUUAGGAAACAUCAUUAAAAGAGUAUUUCUUGAGUUAGUGCAACUAUUUCUUAGGGGAAUUUAUAGUUACAAAAUUCAAAAAUUUGAGAUUCUAUUACUGAUUAAUUAAGGGCGUUAUCACUAUUUUUCUUAUUAUCACCAUUAUUUACCCCACAUACUAUAAGUUUUUUUAGGGCACAGGAAAAGAGGUGGGCCGAUGUUUAGUUAUGUACAAAAGUUCAAAAUUUGUAGAUAACUUAUCAUGUGCCCUUAGAGCGUAGAAUACAGAAAAAAUAUCUUAAACUAUAACUAAUCCUAAUAUUUUUCUCUAUGAUAAACUAGCUCUUAUCCAUUUCUUUAGAUGAUGAAAGGAAAUAGUUAGUCACCUGUCCUCUAGUGAUUACAACAGCAUCAAAACAAAUUAGCACUCUUUUCCCGUAGUUUAAAAAUCCCUCAGCCACUAAGAUUUUGCAUGUCGAACGAAUUAAGGAACAUAGAAGGUUCGUGCUGCACCACAGUGUCCUUGUUGACGAUGCAAAGACAGAAAUGCAUCCGCGUAUACUUCCUUAAGCAUUUUGAUUACUUUAUGAUUCGAACUUUUCUUGUCUGACAGCUGGACUUAAUUGAAAAACACAAGUAACAAUAUUUCAAAGUUGAUUCGUCAAAGUUUACCCAAUUGGUGAAACUUUCUUCAUAGAGCUGACUUUGUAUUAGGUGACAAUGAUAUGGAAUUGAUGUCCUUCCCUUUUUCCUUUUUUUGUGUUGAAGACGCACAACGUUUUCAAUGGCAAAUUUAUAUGGGCUUUUCACGACAAAAUGUGUUCUGAAAAGUUCAUUCCAGAGGUUAAAAUUUUGUGUGUUAAAAAUUUGCUUCUCAGGACUUUGAUGGGAAAGUCUUGGUGUUUCCAAAAAGUUUAAGCAGGAUGCUUCUGGCUUUCUCUCCAUGUAUUUGUGAGUUAGAUCUAAAAUUAUCAGGGCUCCAGAGAUCUCUUGAAAUCGCAGCAUAUAUUGAAGUCUUUCCAGAAGGAGUCUUUUUUUUUUUUUUUAUGAAUUAUGAUAGAUAAUUAAUCUGACGGUGCAUAUAUAUAUAUAUGUGAUUUGCAGUAGGGUGUUUGACGAAAUGGUUAGGCUUCCUAAGUAAUGAUAGGAAUGCCAUUUGCAAAGAAGGACAGGGGGCUGGUGCUGUCAUAUUUUAUGCGAUUUGAUCCGUUGUUGUAUAAGUUUAAACUUUUGACGUGCAAUUGUGCUAUAAUAUUAUACUAAAUAUAUGUGUGAAAUAUUUUGUCUAUAUACAUCACUUUUAUCAUGAAUACAACAGCUGAGUAUAAUAAUAUAGUAUAAUGUAAUUGUACACCAAAUAAUGUAGCAAAUAUAACAAUUGAUCCGAAUUACACGGAACCAUAACAACAAGAUCACCGCCUCCCAAAUUUUACAAAAUUAGGUUUUUUUUUUUUCUCUUAGAUUAUUGAAAAUUUUCAAAAAUAAUCUACAUAAUUUAAGCUUUUGUCCUACAAAAAUUUGAAGAGAUUUUACAUUACAAGCUUAAGCUUAGAUAUAUUAAACUUUGCCCCCAAGAUUAAUUUUCCGUUUUUAUCUAUGAACCGAUCCAUAUAGCUAGUUAGACUGUAGUCCUCACAUUUGUGGGAUUUAACACCCAAGAUUCUCCUUCUUGGAAUGUAAAAUGUAGAUCUUCUAUGUUAAUAAUUCAAGACCCUACUGUCAUAAACGAAAUGACUGAUCAACUCCUGUAAACCUAAUUUGACAACAUUUAAAUGGAGAACUUUAGCUAAAAGAAUUAUGGUCAAGCUAAAGAAAAAGCCAGUUAUUUUCCAACAUAUGCAAUCAUUGAUCAGGAAAAAAAAAAAAAAGCAAAAAGACAUCUUCAAUCAUUUAAUAGCUCACAGUGCAAAUUAACCCCUAAGCGAAAACUGGUUGCUCUAGAAUCAAAAUUUUACCUUAGUUACCCAGGCAACUUUUUUGUUGCUUUUUUUUUUUUCUUUUCCUUUUUGGGUAUAUAUAUAGCUCCAGUUUUGCCCCCUCUGUCAAGCUUAUAUAAUUAUUAAGAUAAUAAAAGUGCCUUGAAUAGUAUUAAUAUAUCCAUUGACUUGAGCUGUCAUCGAUCGGUUUGGGCUACUUCGAUUCCAUGAGAACAAAUGGUAAUAAAAGUACUCAGAAAAUAGGGAGCCAUGAAACCCUUUUGUUCUAUUCAUUGCUAAGAUGCUUUUCUCUAUAAAGAGACUUCCUAACGAAAGUACUUUGUAGAUUUCUUUACUCCAAGUGGUGCAUGGAAAAUUAAAAUAUUCAAUUAUCAAAUAAAAUUCCCUUUUUUCGGUGUAGAUUUCAUCCAUCCAGCUGUUAACACAUUUUAUGUAUCCGAAUUAUAUAUUCUCUACCAAAUAUUGUAACUUUUCUGAGCAUCUUUACAUUUUUAUUCCCACCUAACAAAUUAGUUGUUGAGCAUCUUUACAUGCUAUCGGAUCACAAGUUAAUAAUCUUUUAAAGAACAUGUUAAAUUAAUUUAUUGGUAUGAAUAGUCAAAGAAGUAUAUUAAAGUUAGUAAUCUUUAAACACCACGAUGCAAUUAAUACUUUCAAGCUCAAGGUCUUUUUUUUUUUUUUUUUUGGUACUGUACUUCCUUGCUUUAUAGUAUGCACGUUUAUUUCUGUGGAUUGCUUAAGCUUAUAUUGUUAAUAAUUGGGCAUUUAACCAUAAAUUAUAAUGAUUAUGAAGUCAUAUAUAUAUAUAUAUAUAUAAGAAAAUUACCACAAUUAUUCAAUUUUUUUUGCAAAUUCAAAUUUUAUUAAUAAGAAAUAGGCAGUAAGCUUUUACAAACGGAAAAAAAAAAUCCUACAACAACUCUAGGACCUUUGAAAGAAAGAAAAAAAAAAGAAAAGAAAAGCUUAAGGACUCUACCUCAUAGAAGCUAAACAAUCCUACAAAUAAACUGCAAAAUAAAUCACAAUAACGCAAAAUUUUUGUCUUUCUUCCGUAUGAAAUGAAACUACGAAGUCAAGAAUUGACUCCUUUAACCGCUAUUGCCAGCGGGCUCCGUCAGCAAGAUACAACUUUGCAAUUUGAUUCAAUAGAAAUCCUCAAAUAGCUAUUUUGACAGGCAAAUUAAGCAUUAAUUUUGGUAUCCCUUCAUAAAAUACAAGAGUACUUUUGAUUAUAUCUAUAGAUCAACUUUCUAGGCUAUUUUGAUGUAUUAUAAGAAAAUCUGCCUCAACAAUUUUGAUAGCAUUUUUCCAAAAGCAGAAGAUGGAAAAUUGCCCAUUUGUACUGGGGAGUUCGUGAUCUUUUCCUCCUUCUAGUCUACUUACAAUUCUUGGAAAAAGGAAUACUCACAUCUCAAACAACUGCCUGUUCAUCUGCAAUGUCCUGCCGAAUUCUAGAAAGUUAGGUGGCAAUGCUAAUUACAUUUCAAAAUUGACUGCUGCGAUGACUAAUUCGAUGGCUUACUACAUGGUCAACGUUUGGAUCCCUUCCUGUCCUUUUUGGAUGCACAUUUUUUUUCUCUAGGCAAUAUAUAAUCUCCCAACUCAUUUCUUUACAAAUGCACCUUUAAUCACCACCAAAAGGUGUGGACAUGAUCUUUACCCUAGAAAACUAAUCACCGACAGGCAAAUUGACGUCAGAAAUACUAAGAGGAAUUCUAGUUUCCUUCGGGUUAAUGCCAUUUUGUACCCUUCAACUGUAACUCGAUUUCUAAACUAUAAUUUGUGACAUUAUAGUCCUUAAACUAUGAAACCCCUCUUACUUAAGUACAAUGGUUAAUACAAUACCCGUGACUAGACAAGCAACCAUAACAAAAAAAAAUCCAAAAUUAGAGAAAAGAAAGAAGUUUCGCGACCAAAGUAUGUAUCAAGGCAUAGUAUAGAAAUAAAAGUGUCCAAAUUAAGAGUUUAGGGAUAAAAGAGAUCAAGAUAUAGUUUAGGGAUUGAUUUGUCUCAAUUAGAGUUUUGAUGUCAACUAAGAAGAGAGAUAUAGUUGAAGGGUAGAAUAUAGAUAUAACAGUUCAAUGAUUGAUAUCAACGAGACAAUGACAACUUUGGAUUAUUACCAACCUCUUCUUGAUGGGAAAAGGAAAUAGAGAAGAAAGUCGGGCCUGGUCUAAGCCUGCUUCGGAGGCAAAACAACAUUAUGAAAUCACCGGCAUUCACACAAAUAUGUCAAAGUCACCGGCAUGCUAAGUUGCAUAAUUUAUACAAACACUGAAUAAUAUAUUGUUCUUAAAAUUUUUGUUUAAGAUUUAACAAUUAGAGCACGGUACACGAAUUAGCAAUAUUAAAUAAUGAAUGUUCACGAUUGAUAAAGUUAUCAAAGUACAGUUUGAGGACAACCCAUUCCAACGUGUACAAGAUGUUUAGCCUUUGAAAAGUUAAUUAGAGAAGGUGACGAGAUUUUACUAGGCUUAAAUCUUCUAGGCCUCGGAAGUAAAAAAUGAAGGCCUUUGAGUGCUAUAAAAAGGGGGCUAGAUGUUGCCUAGAAGCAUAUCAGCCUCAGACCACAUUUUGUAGCAAUGGGGAGCAAAGCAAAAGCAAUGGGGUCUAGGCUGACUCCUCUUCUUACCACCGUUUUAGUGGUAUUUGUUGCUCUUGGCUUGCCUUCAGAAACUGUGGCUGAUUACUACAAGUAUUCAUCUCCUCCUCCUCCUUACCAUUAUUCCUCACCACCACCUCCUGUGCAUUCACCUCCACCACCGCCAAUUUAUAAGUCACCCCCACCACCUUACCACUACUCCUCACCGCCACCUCCAGUGUAUUCAUCUCCACCACCACCUUCGCCAGUUUACAAGUCUCCGCCACCACCUUACCAUUAUUCGUCACCACCGCCUCCGGUGCAUUCACCUCCACCACCACCUGUUUACAAGUCACCUCCACCACCUUCGCCAGUUUACAAGUCUCCGCCACCACCUUACUAUUAUUCGUCACCACCGCCUCCGGUGCAUUCACCUCCACCACCACCGAUUUACGAGUCACCUCCACCACCUCCUCCAGUUUACAAGUCUCCGCCACCACCUUACCAUUAUUCCUCACCACCACCUCCAACGCAUUCACUCCCACCACCAGUUUACAAAUCACCGCCACCACCUCCUCCUAUGUAUAAGUCCCCUCCACCACCUUAUCAUUAUUCCUCACCACCACCUCCAGUGCAUUCACCCCCACUGCCACCAAUUUACAAGUCUCCGCCACCUCCAAUCUACAAGUAUAAGUCACCACCACCUCCUCCCCCAAUUUACAAGUCACCACCACCACCUCCUCCAGUAUAUAAGUCCCUACCCCCACCAGUGUAUAAGUACAAGUCUCCACCACCACCUCCUCCAGUAUACAAAUCACCUCCACCACCUCCUCCAGUUUACAAAUCUCUACCACCACCAAUUUAUAAAUACAAGUCUCCUCCACCACCUCCUCCGGUUUACAAUUCCCCACCACCACCAAUCUACAAGUCUCCACCUCCACCCUCCCAUUACUACUACAAUUCUCCUCCUCCUCCUCCUCAUCACUACUAAGCAAUUGUAUCCAAGUUUUUGAGGUAAUAAUGCUAAACCAAUAUAUUAACUUUCGCAUGAUAAACUUUAUCUCUAUCAAGACAAACUGCCAUGUGCAUCAAGCCAAAUACGUACACUUCGAUCCAUGAAAAUGACAAGUAGAAGGUUUUCUUAAGAACCAAGGAACAGCAUUAGUAUUCCCUCUGUUUCCAAAACUUGUGUAUUAAAUAGAUUAAUGAAUUGUUUAACAUGCUUAUCUACUUGAAAAUGCACAAUACCCAUAACCCACUGAAAUUUUUGCAGGUAAAGGGGAAGAGAAUCUGUGUUUGAGAGCUUCAUGAAGAUGUUGAAGAAUAAGAAUAAAAGCCCAAUGCGAGGAUGUUUUCAAGUUUUUCUAUGUUUCCACUUUAAUUUGUAAAUUGAAUUUUUCGACUUAAUUAAUUCCCUGUUUGUGGGGUACGUAUUGUUUUACGUACCAUGCCGUACAUGUUUGUAAGGAUUUCUAUCCUAUUGGCAAAAGUCGGUUCCAUACAAUUAAUCAAUUCAUUUCACUUCUAUUGGCUCUACUAUUUAUGCACGUUACGACAUUUUUUCUCUCUUUCCCUUAUAUUUUGUCUUUAAUAUUAUUGAGUCAAUAGUAAUACUGGGCCAUUUUUUUUAAAACUUAUACUAGUAUACAUAGGUAGUUUGGUCUAACGCCAAAUUCAUGUUUGUCUUUCUUUUAUUCCCUUUACAUUUCAAAGUAUACUAUAGUUUGUGAUCAUUGUGGUGAUGAUAUUACCAGCUGGUACUUAUAGUUUAAGGCAGAGACAUGAUAUUAACAACUAUCUCAUUGAAACAUAAGGAAAAAUCAUGACAAGUGUGAGUCUUGGUUAAUGCACAAUUUGUUAGUGGAAUUUAUAUUUAUAAAACUCAAAAAAAAAAUUUUGACAAUGCUAUUACUAAUUAAUUAAGGACUUUAUUGCUAUAAUUUAUCGCUUGCUAGUUUAAACUAUAAAUGAUCUCAAUACUUUUCUCCAUGAUGUCGAUUUCUUUAGAUACGAAAGGGAAAAAUUAGUGACAUAUCCCUUACUGAUUACAACAUCAGCAAAAAUUAGUUAUAAACUUUUCCGGUGGUUUUAAAUCCCCGGGCCCUAAGAUUUUUUGCUCAUCGAGUGAAUUAAGGAACAUAGGCAAUUCAUUUUGCAUACCAAGUCCUUGUUUAAGAUGCAAGUACUAAAAUGCAUCCACUUCAUUAAUUUGGGAAAUUGCCAUAGUUUUUUUAAGCAUUUUGAUUUUUUACAUGAUUUAAAAUUUUCUUAUUGGAUACAAUCACUUUGUAUCAAGAACACAUUUUCAAUCACCUUUUUUUAUCUUCUCAAUGAGAAAAUAAAAAUUUAUUCAUGCUUUUCUAACAUAUUCAAUCAUUGAUCUGAAAAUUAAAACAUUAAGAAAAGGACAUUUUCAAACAUUAAGAAGUAGUAUUUUAAAGACCAUGAUGAAAUUAAUACUUUCAAGGUCUCUAUUAGGAAGACUUCCUUUAUUAAUACUCUACUAGGCAGAGUUAUAUGCACGUUUACUGUUUUGGCCUUAAGUUGGGUGCAGAUGCUUAUAUUACAAAUAGAUGGUAUCAAAAAAUUGUUGUAUUCACGUCUGUUCUUUUUUUCUUCCUUAAGUUUUUUUCUUUAUUCUCGUGACUUCGCUAGUGAGGUAUAACUUCACAACUAGAGUCAAUAGAAAUCGUCAAAUGAUUUUUUGACAUCCAAAUUAAGCAAUAAAUUUUGUUUUCAUUUCAUAACAUAUAAUAGUACUACUUCAUGGGAGAUUUUAUAGUUUCUUUAGGGUAUCAUACCUACAAUUGAUAUUUAUCAUUGGAUAGUGAAAGAAGUGUUAAUGUCUCUAAGAUUAAAUAUUGUUAAAUAUUGAAAAUUUGAACUAUUUAUCUCUAUUGAGAGAUACAACUUAAAGAAUCCUACCCAAAAGAGACUAGAAUUUUCUCUGUUUUUCAUCAUCUGUAGACAUAAACUUUCCACGGUUGAUAGCAUUUUUCAUCAUCUAUAAGGAAAUUUUGCCUAUACAAUGUGAUAGCAUUUUUCAAAAAGACAAGAUGGAAAAUUGCCCCCCUUGAACGGAAAAUUGCCCCCUUGUCAAUUCUUUAAAAAAGAAUACCGUCCCGCAGAAUUCUAGAAAGUUAGGCAAAACUAGACAAGUUGACAGGUAUAAUCAGACCCAAGAUCAGGAACAAGCAGUUGCACAUUUCAAAAUUCGCUGCUGCAACAACUAAUUUGAUGACUUACAACACUAAAUGGUCAAACUUUGAAUGGCAAUGAAUCUUUUGUUGUACAUCAUGAUGUAAUUUUCAUGUUACAUAAUAGAUUGAUAUCUAUGUUCUUUAAAUUAUCAUAAUAAUUAAAUUUAACUGAAAAAAAGAACACAUAUCAAUACACAAAAGUGUGCAACGUGAAUGUUAUUUUAGUGUAUUGCAGAAGACCUAUAGUCUCUUCAUAUCUCUUCCUGCACGUAUCAAUUCGUUUCCUCUAGAUAAUAAUCUCCCAACUCAUUUAUUUACAAAUGCACCUUUUAUGUUUUAUUACCUCCAAAAGCCUAAAAAUCAAUUCACCGACUCGCAUUUGGUAUCAGAAAUUCUUAUUACGAAUUCUACUUUACUCAAAGAUUGACUGUUAAUAAUGAGACAACGACCAUUUUGUAUUAUUACACCGUCCUUCUUGAUAGGCAAAAGAAAUAGAGAGGAAAGCGGGUCCGUAUAUGGUCUUUUAUUCAUAGAUAAUACAACAUUACGCCAUCGAGCAUUCACACAAUAUUUCAAAGUCAUUGCAUGCCUAAGGCCUGCUUGAUAAUCUAAUUCCGUACUUAAAUUUAAUAAAUUCAAAUCUUAACACAUUCAAAUCGUUUGAUAACAAAAAAUUGAACAUCUAAAUUAAUUAAGUAACACUGAAUUUUCUAGGCAAAACUUGCUCCCAAAAUUAAGUGAUAAGUUAUUCACUUAUCACUGAAUAUGAUAUGUAUUCAAAUGUAUUAGAUUUAAUACUUAAUAAUUUAAUGAAUUCAAAUUUCAUAUUUCAUAUUUCAGUUUUAUCAAACACACCUUAAGUUGCAAAAUAAUACCAAAACUUGUUAUUACAUAGCUUGAGAUUCAAAAAUUUAGAGCAUAAUUCUCAACCAAACACAAUUGAAUAAUGAAUAUUCACGAGUGUCAAAUCUAUCAAAGUACAAUUUGAGGACAACCCAUUCAAACGCGUACACGAUUUUUAACUUUUCUAAAGUUGUUGAGAGCUGUUGAAAGAGAUUUACCAUGUUUACAUCUUCCAAGUCUUGGGAGUAAAAAAUGAAGCCACUGAGUGCUAUAAAAAGGGGGGUAGAGGCCACUUGAGAUCCUCGGUGACAUGUUUUCUAUGCCAAUCCAAUGCCACCAAUAGUGUUGCGCCAAGUGUCAUGUUAUUAUUUACACUUGUGUUAAACUAAGCCAAGUUGAAUUAUUAGAAAAUUAAAGUGUAAAUAAUAACAUGACACUUGGCGCAAUACUAUUGGUGACAUUGGGUUGGCAUAGAAAAUAUGUCACCGAGGAUCCCAAGUGGAUAGAUGCUGCCUAGAAGCAUAUCAGCCUAAAACAAGAAUUUGUAGUAACAAUGGGGAGCAAAGCAAAAGCAACGGGGUCUAGGCUGACUCCUCUUCUUACCACUGUUUUAGUGGUAUUUGUUGCCCUUGGCUUGCCCUUGGAAACUGCAGCUGAUUAUUACAAGUAUUCAUCUCCUCCUCCUCCUCCUUACCAGUAUUCCUCACCACCACCUCCAGUGUAUUCACCUCCACCAACCCCUGUUUAUAAGUUACCCCCACCAUCUCCUCUAGUUUACAAGUCCUCACCACCACCUUACCACUACUCACCACCUCCUGUGUAUUCACCUCCACCAUCACCAAUUUACAAGUCACUGCCACCACCCCCUCCAGUAUACAACUCCCCGCCUCCACCAGUGUACAAAUACAAGUCCCCACCACCACCUUCUCCAAUUUACAAAUCUCCACCGCCACCAGUUUACAAGUACAAGUCACCCCCACCACCUCCUCCGGUAUACAAGUCUCCUCCGCCACCUGUUUACGAGUACAAGUCUCCUCCACCACCUCCUCCAGUGUACAAGUCCCCACCACCUCCAGUUUACAAGUACAAGUCACCACCACCUCCUCCCCCGGUUUACCAAUCUCCUCCACCACCAGUUUACAAAUACAAGUCACCACCACCUCCUCCCCCAGUUUACCAGUCUCCACCUCCACCCUAUCAUCACUACUACGGUUCUCCUCCUCCUCACCACUACUAAGCAAGUGCAUCUAAGUUUUGAGGUAAUAAUACCGAUCCAAAACUUUAUCAACGCAAACUGCCAUGUAUAUCAUGCUAAGGACGUACACUUGAUCCAUGAAAAUGGCUAGUAGAAGAUUUUUUUUAAGAACCAGAGAAAUACAUUAUUUUUUCGCUCUGUUUUCAAGAAUUUGAGCAGUAUACAGAUUAAAGAGUGUUUUUUUUAAACUUGCUUAUCAACUUAGAAAUGCACAUAGCUGAAAGCCAACUGAAUAUUUGCAGGCAAAGGAGAAGGCAAUCGGUGUUUGAGACCUUCAUGAAGAUGUAGAAGAAUAAGAAUAAAAGCCCAAUGCGAGGAUGAUUUCAAGUUUCUACGUUACCAUUUCUACAUCUAAAUUGACUUUAGCUCCUGAGUUCCAUGUCUAUGGGGUUUGUACUGUUUUACGUACCAUGCAGUACAUGCUUGUAAGGUUUUCUGUCCUGUUGGCAAGCCGCAGGUCCAUAUAAUAAAUGAAUACUAUUUAUAUUACGACACUUUUCUCUCUUUCUCUUAUAUUUUGUCUUUAAUAUUGUUGAUCAUUUUUUUUUUUUAUCAAAAGUAUCAAAUGCUUAGGCAAUUUGGUCUAAUGCUAAUUGUUUUACAUUUAUUUUUCACCUACAUCCCUUUUCAACUCAAAGGAUGCUACAGUUUGUGAUCAUUGUUUAAGACCGAAGCAUGGUACUAAUAAAUAUCUCAUUGAAAGUCAAGGAAACUAACAUUAUGAAAAGUGUAAAUCUUGAUUUGUGAAACUAUUUAUUCGUGGAAUUUAGAGAUACAAAACUCAAAUUGUGACGGUGUUGUUGCUAAAUUAUUUUUUUUUUAUAAUAAAACACAGUUCAUUCAAGGAUUACUGGAAAUCGUCCAGCACAAUUGAGAUACAUUGUUGCCCAGGUGGCAGAUAAAUAUGCACUAAAAUUAUAGAUAUGCAAUUUAACAAAUACAUAAGAUUUGAGAAAUUAAGGACAAAUCUAAAAAGGACCAUAAAUUUGAAAAACAUUUCAUCCUAGAAUAAGUCGCUGCAACUCUCUUUGUGCAUGCUGUAAUCGUCAGAUCUACUAAUCAACAGUUGUAAGGUCCAGUAAAGAUGGUGAGAUCUGCCGAGAUUGAUCCAAAUCUGAAAUAUUCCCUCAGAUCUGCUAUCCAAUUGGUUCAAACUCAAUACUGAAAGUGAAAUCUGAUGAGAAGACUGAAAAAAUUGUAGAUCUAACAUAUAGAUCUAAAAAAACUCCAAGAUUUGAAAAAGUAAAGAAACAAAACUAAAUAAAACUCUCAUUAAGAUAGUUUAGGAGAGACUAAAACUCUCAAUAGGACACCCUAGGAGAGAAGAAAACUCUCACUAGGAUAACCUAUGAGAGACUUUAUUGAAUGAAAGGAAAAGCAAAGGACAAAGGAAGAAGAAGGGAGACCUUGGCUUAAGGCCAAGGUCUCCCUCCUAUGGAGGAGGAAGGGUAGAGGAGGAAGCCUAGAGAGAAGGAAGAGAAUCCCUCCGCUAGAGGGAAGGAAGAGCCUCUGAGAGGGUACCCGUGUUGUUGCUAAAUUAUUAAGGACAUUAUCACCAUUACUUUUCCCUUACUAGUUUCAACUGCAAUGAUCUCAAUCUUUUUGUGACUAAUUCUUUUCUUAAUAAUUUAUAAAUACAAAACUCACAAAGAAUAUGUGACUUAUUCUUUCCUUUCGUCUUCUAAAGAAAAUGCCAACUGUUAGUUUAUCAAGGGAAAAAGGAUCGACAUCAGUUGUUAUUGAAACUAGUAAGGAAUAAAUAAUGGUGAUAAUGUCCUUAAUAAUUUAACAACAGCACCAUCAGAAUUUGAGCUUUGUAUCUAUAAAUUCCACGAAUAAAUAGUUUCAUCAAAUCAAGAUUUACACUUUUCAUAAUGUUAAGUUUCCUUGACUUUCAAUGAGAUAUUUAUUAGUAUCAUGCUUCGGUCGUAAACAACGAUCACAAACGAUAGCAUCCUUUGAGUUGAAAAGGGUAGUGAAAAAGAGAAGUAAAAAAUACAAUUAGCAUUCCCUCAAAUUGUAGAAAGUUAGGUAGCAUUAUAGACAAGUUGAUAGCCGUAAUUAUACUAAAAAUCAGGCAAAAGCCAGCAAUUUUACAUUUCAAAAUUCACCUAUUCAAUAACUAAUUCGAUGGCUUGCUACAUGGUCAAAAUUCACCACAUAUCCCUUUCCUCAAUCAGGGGCUUCUACAAUUACCAGUUCCAAUUGUAUGGUAUAGUGUAAAUAUCAACAAAUUAGAUGUAGACACUAAUAUAAUAAAUAUGGAUGCUAAGGCAACAACAUACAAAAACAUAAUAAAUUUUGGCAUUCCUUAAAAAAUUACGUCCCCAAAUCAAUCUCAUACACCCAAUUUCUAAUUUAUUUAACUCAUUCCGUCUAUUAACUGCACCAUACAAUCCAACCUGCAAUUGCAUGAACCCCAAUCUCGCUUCCUAGUCCACCAUUUUUCUCUAGGUAAUAAUCUCCCUUCUAAUUUCUUCACAAAAUGCACCUUUCAUCACCUCCAAUAGCGUCGACAUGAUCUUUACCCUAGAAGACUAUUCACCGACUCCCAAUUGACGUCAGAAAAUCUAAGAGUAAUUCUACUUUACCCUAAGAUUGAUAUCAACUAGACAAUGACAAUUUAGAAUUAUUACACGCCUCUUCUUAAUAGGAAAAAGAAAUAGAGAAGAAAGUCAGGCCAGGUCUAAUUUCUUUUCGAAGGCAAUACAACAUUACGAAAUCAAGCAUUCAUUCAUACAAAUAUUUCAUAGUCACCGGUUUGCUGAGUAGAAAAGUUUAUACAAAAACUUAAUAUUAUAUUGUUUAAGAGUUAACAAUUUAGAGCUUAAUCUCCUUGUACUUUGGACUAAACUCGAACGUGAAAGGAAAUCCCAAAACCAUAUUGGGCAUGAAUUCACACUUAAAUAGACCCAAAAAAAGAUGGCGACUGGUGAAAGGCAGUGGAGACUGGUGGUGAGAUUUGAGGAAUAGAAGCAGACGGAAAAGCCACAAAUUUUUGCCGAAAGAGGGUCACUUUCAUGGUUAAUUUUGCUACUCUCUACUUGUACUUGACCAAUGACAGGUUGUCAGUCUGUGCAAUAAUAAAAACCUGUUCAAACUAAAAGUAAUUUCUGUAGAUAGUGGUAAGCAGGGUCGAAUCCACAGGGAUUAGGUGUAACUGUUUCUUUUCAAAUUCACAAUAACAAAGGGGGUGUUUUUAUGCAGAAUGUGACAAUCAAAGAAAUUCAAUUAAAAGUAAAAUAAUAAAAAUAAAAUAGCCAACUAGAAAUUAAAUAACAAUUUACUAAAAUCAAAUGAGUGAUAAUUAAGGAUCUAGCCAAGGAAUAACUUCAGCAGUGGUUCACCUAAUUGAUCAUUGGAACAAAGGCAAUUCCAAUUAUUUACUAAUAAAUAGGUUAUAACUGCCAAACAAGCGAUGACAGUCAAUCACUCCUUACUGUGUCGGUGAUUAAGGUACGCCCGUUAAUCACUGCCCUAAUUGAGAAAUAAUCUUAGGUACGCCCGUAAGAUUUAAUUUUCCAAUUGCCUUACAUAUUAGAGGAGUGUCAGGAACAAGGAAAUAGAAUGGGACGUCGUUUAAUGCAAAGGGUUGUGCGUUUAAGGCCUUAGAAGCAAUACUACGUCGUUCUAAUAACAUAGGCGGUGCUGGUGUGAUAGGCCAAGUUAGUUGAGGGUCAAUUACAUAAAUAGCCUUCUGUAACAGAUUUUUGGUUAUGUUUUUGAAUGAAAAGUAUCUCGCUGCUUUCUCUCUCUUGUCUGUUAUUUCCCUCCCUUUUCUUCUUUCUCUCUUCCCUCUUCUUAAUCUUGUUUCUUUCUUCUGAUUCUUCCCCCAAAUUCAAUACAAUUCCAGAAAUUAACCUGCAAGUCUGACAUUUGGUAUCAGAGCGGUCGAUUCUUGGCCGCGAAGGUAUCAGAAAUGGCUGAGAGCACGCGAUUCAGGACACUGGAGGAGCAACUCAAGAAGCAGGAGAAUCGGUUGCAAGAACUGGCGGAAUCCAUGGCUGCACUGCAGAGUACGAGUUCCGAGGAGUUGCGGCAUAAGCUACAGGCGGAAAUGGAGCAGAACAAUGCAAAAUUGGACGCGGUGGUGGGAAGUCUGGACCAGAAGUUCAAUAAAAUGGAACAGAGACUCAGUACAGUGUUGAAGCUGCUGAUGAAGGAGAAAGGUCUCCCUGAUGUCGAAGGAGGAAUUUCUGAUCCAAUCUUGCCGACUCCUCCAUCUCAUCUGAGGUUAGCAUCCUCAGUCGAAGGGAUUGGGCACCAACAAGAGUACAGAGGUAGGCAAUUCACUCCUAAUGUACCUCGAUUAGAACUGCCAAUGUUUAACUCUGGAAACCCUAGGGAAUGGACCAGGAAAUGCCAGAAAUAUUUUUUGAACUAUCAGAUAGCAGAGAGUCAAAAGGUAGAGGUAGCAGAGAUGUUUUUGGAAGGUAGAGCUGACAAUUGGUUUCAAGGAGUGAAAUUGGUGAGGCCAGGGUUGUCUUGGGGGGAAUUUAGUGAACUUUUGUGUGAAAGAUUUUCUGGAAGUAGUUCUCGUGACAUUGUGGAGGAAUUUAACAAGUUACAGCAGAAAGGAACUGUUGAGGAAUAUGAGGAGAAAUUUGAAGAACUAAAAGCUCUAAUGCUGAUGAAAACCCCCAGGUUGGAUGAACUUUACUUUGUUUCCAGUUUUAUUAGUGGCCUCAGGGAAGAAAUUAGACCUAUGGUGAAGAUGUUUAAGCCUCAAACACUGAUGAAGGCCUUUGAAGUUGCGGAGUUGCAGGAGUGUUCCCUGGAAAUCCAAUCGAAACAAAACAGAACUUCAAGGAGGACAGCAAUGGAACCCAAGUUUGGAAUGUAUAAGGGCACUACGAGUGAUUAGGGUCGCCAAAAUUCAUAUAAGUUGCCUGGAGUCACUCCUGUCUCCAGGAGGACUAAUGCAGUACACAAGGAAUUUAGUAAGAUAUCAGCGGAGGAAAUGCAGUAUAAGCGUAAGCACAGCCUGUGCUAUAGGUGUGGAGAGAAGUUUGGAAUAGGUCAUCAGUGUAAGAAAGGAAGUCUGAACUGUGUGAGCACUGAGGAAGAGGAGGACACUGAAUUUGAGGAUGCGGAAGGGGAACAGGAUGAGUUAACAGGAAGGGUCGGGGAACUUGCAGAAGUCUCUUUGAAUGCUUUAUCUGGUGCCAUAAGGAGGAAAUCCAUCCUGUUGAUAGGGAACUUAGGGGGGCUUCCAGUCAAAAUUUUGGUGGACACAGGCAGUUCUAACAGCUUCAUUCACCACAGGAUUGUCAACCUACUGCAUCUACCAUAUCAGGCAGUCAGUCCAUUUACUGUGACUCUAGCAGAUGGAACUGACAUUACCAGUGGAGCCAUCAGUCCCAGCGUGUCUUGGUUAAUUCAGGACUAUCAAUUCCAAUUUGACUUAAAAGUAAUGGAAUUAGGGGGAUGGGAUAUAAUUCUGGGGGUGGACUGGAUGUGCCAGUAUAGUCCCAUUACAUUUGAUUUCCACUCUCUUAGCAUUGCCCUUAGUGAUAGGGGUUCUUUACUACACCUCCAAGGACUUGUGAAGCAACCUACUAUGGAACUGGUGAGGGGCAGGGAUCUCAGCUCGUUUAUACAGGAGAAGCAAAGAAACUGUGCAGCCAUGCAUGCUGAUAGGGCCAGGGAAACAGGAGAGCAGCUUCCAAAAGCUAUAGAAAGGAUCCUGGAACAGCACUCUCAGGUUUUCUCCACCCCAACAGGAUUACCCCCAGAGAGGGAAUUGGACCAUCAGAUCAACCUCAAACCAGGAGCUGAACCCUUCAAGCUCAAACCUUACAGGUACCCCCACUCACAUAAAGCAGAAAUUGAAAAAAAAGUUGCUGAGAUGCUCACUAAUGGAAUUGUUAUACAUAGCACAAGCCCCUAUGCCUCCCCUGUAUUGUUAGUAAAGAAAAAGGAUAACUCCUGGAGAUUAUGCAUAGAUUACAGGAAGCUGAACGAGCUGACUAUAAAGGAUAAGUUCCCUAUUCCCAACAUAGAUGAACUAUUGGAUGAAUUACAUGGAACCAGAUACAUGUCCAAACUGGAUCUCAGAGCUGGUUACCAUCAGUUGAGGGUGAAAGCUGUUGAUACCCCUAAGACUGCCUUCCAGACACACCAUGGCCACUUUGAAUUCUUAGUGAUGCCUUUUGGACUCACAAACGCGCCAGCUACAUUUCAGUCCUUGAUGAACAGAAUAUUUCAGCCAUAUCUCAGAAAGUUUGUCCUAGUCUUCUUUGACUACAUAUUAGUGUACAGCCCCACACUAGAGAUGCAUGCACAGCAUCUACAGAUUGUGCUCAAUAUUUUAGAAGAAAAUCAGCUGUAUUACAAGAGGUCAAAGUGCUCUUUUGCCCAGUCCUCAAUUGAAUACUUGGGGCACGUGAUCUCAGAGGCAGGAGUGAGUAUGGAUGUGGCUAAGGUGGAGUGUAUCAAGUCCUGGUCUGUUCCUAGUACAGUCAAGGAGCUGAGAGGGUUUUUGGGAUUAAUUGGUUACUACAGGAGAUUCAUUAAAGGCUAUGGAGUGAUUAGCAAACCCUUGACUGUAUUGUUGAAAAAGGAAGGUUUUGCAUGGAACCAUGAAGCUCAAAUGGCCUUUGAAGAUUUGAAAAAGGUUAUGACCACAGCCCCAGUGCUGAGCAUGCCUAAUUUCGAACUUCCUUUUGUCAUAGAGACUGAUGCCUGUGGAAUAGGUAUUGGAGCAGUGUUGAUGCAGCAAGGACAUCCUAUUGCUUUCCUUAGCAAGGCAUUAUCAGUUCAGAAUUUGGGGUUAUCAGUCUAUGAAAAAGAGCUUUUUGCCUUAGUGCUAGCUGUAACUAAGUGGAGGCAUUACCUGGUGGGUCAUCACUUCAUUAUCAGGACAGAUCACCAAGCUCUCAAACAUUUGAUAGAGCAAAGGCUUACUCAUCCACUCCAGCACAAGUGGCUAACUAAGCUACUUGGUUUGGACUAUGAAAUACAGUAUAAAAAGGGUGCAGACAAUGGGGUGGCAGACGCCCUCUCCAGGAGAAGGAUUGAGGGAAACACUGUUGACUGUGGAGAGACUGGGCAUCAGACCUGCGCCAUAACCUCAGCUCAGCCUAGUUGGAUGCAGGAAAUGCUAGAAAGCUACAUUGGAGAUGCAGAGGCUCAACAGAAGUUAUCUGAGCUAUUGCUGGAUCCCAAUGCAGAUCCAGAUUAUCAGUUAAAGAAUGGGAUGCUCAAGUUUAAAGGGCGGCUGUACAUAGGAUCUGCUAACAACAUUAGGACCAAGGUGGUCAGAGCAUUGCAUGACUCAGCCCUUGGGGGGCACUCAGGUCCUGGAAUCCGUAAGGAUGUCCUUCAAUAUGUGAGAUCUUGUGAUGUGUGUCAAAGGAACAAACAUGAAAAUGUUCCUUAUCCUGGGUUGCUGCAACCAAUUCCUGUACCUCAGCAGGCUUGGUCACACCUCACCAUGGAUUUUAUUGAGCAACUACCCCCAUCCCAUGGAUUUGAUACCAUUUUGGUGGUGGUGGAUAGGUUAACCAAGUUCAGCCACUUCAUUCGACUCACUCACCCUUUUUCUGCACAGCAGGUAGCACAGCUUUUCCUUGACAACAUAUACAAGCUGCAUGGACUUCCUGAGACCAUUAUAACUGACAGGGACAUAAUCUUUCUUAGUAAGUUUUGGCAAGAGUUAUUUGGUAUGGUAGGGGUAAAGCUGCACUACAGUUCAUCGUAUCACCCUCAAUCAGAUGGUCAAAGUGAAAGGGUCAAUCAGUGUUUGGAAAACUAUCUCAGGUGUAUGUGCAGUGAGCAUCCUUCUCACUGGAGCAGUUGGCUUCCUACAGCUGAGUUAUGGUACAACACUAACUUCCAUACUAGCUUGCAGGUGACACCAUUCGAAGCACUAUACGGGUAUAAACCAAAUCACCUUCCCUUAGGACCUUUUCAUGAUAGCCUGGUACCUGCUGCUGGUAACAUGGUGCAGACUAGGCUCCAAAUUCUAUCCCUCAUCAAAGAGAAUCUAGCCACCGCCCAGAAUCGAAUGAAAAUGUUUACUGAUAAGCACAGGACUGAACGUGUCUUCCAAGUGGGGGAUUGGGUAUUUCUCAAGCUGCAACCUUACAGGCAACAAUCAGUGGCCUUACGGAAGAAUUUGAAGUUGGCUGCCAAAUACUUUGGACCUUUCCAGAUCCUUGCGAGAGUAGGGGAAGUCGCCUACAGACUUAAGUUGCCAGAGGGAGCUCGAGUUCAUUCCGUGUUCCAUGUGUCCUUACUUAAAAGGAAAGUGGGAGUUACACAGCAGGUAAAGCCCAGCUUGCCAGAAGUAGACGCAUCAGACCAAUGUUUGCUGAAGCCAGAGAAGAUUCUCCAGAGGCGUGUUAUCAUACGAGCUGCCAAACCAAUCAUCCAGUACCUGGUGAAGUGGAACAACUUACCAGAAUCCGAAGCAUCAUGGGAGGAUAAAAGCUUCAUUGACAGACAAUUUCCGGAAUUUCAAGCUUGAGGACAAGCUUUGCUUAAGGGGAAGAGAUUGUCAGGAACAAGGAAAUAGAAUGGGACGUCGUUUAAUGCAAAGGGUUGUGCGUUUAAGGCCUUAGAAGCAAUACUACGUCAUUCUAAUAACAUAGGCGGUGCUGGUGUGAUAGGCCAAGUUAGUUGAGGGUCAAUUACAUAAAUAGCCUUCUGUAACAGAUUUUUGGUUAUGUUUUUGAAUGAAAAGUAUCUCGCUGCUUUCUCUCUCUUGUCUGUUAUUUCCCUCCCUUUUCUUCUUUCUCUCUUCCCUCUUCUUAAUCUUGUUUCUUUCUUCUGAUUCUUCCCCCAAAUUCAAUACAAUUCCAGAAAUUAACCUGCAGAUCUGACAAGGAGCCCUAUUCUAACCAAAUAACACACUACCAGGGUUAUUUUAGGUUAGCCCGCGUAUUCCCCUGACAUGAAUCCAAUCAUGCCAGUUAUCACUAUUUUGAAACAAUUAAACAAUUACGGAUUUAACGUCCCAAUUGACAAUAGAUUAUCAAAUUAACUAAUUAUCCGGAUCCAAAACAAUCAAUUAAUUAAAUAAUCAUAAGCACUGUAAUCAGGGAAUAUUUGAAUACCAAUAAAUAAAAAGAAAGGACAAAAUUAAAUCGAUUUCACAAUUUUUAAACGAACCACAACCUCAGUUGUUCCUCGGCUAGAUUGAGAAAAUUAGCUCAUGUUCGAUGCGAAAAAUCCACAAGAAAUUGUUAAGAGAGCCGCGGCCAUUGUCCCUUGAAAUUGGGGAAAUUCAAUUCGGUUGAACUACGAAAGAAAAGUAAGCUACAGAGAGUUGCCGAUUGGGUUUUGCUUGUCCCUAACAUGCGAGGGAGCAAAGCCACGAAAGGACGACAAAGGUCAAAAAGAAAGGCUACAGAGCAUGUUCCAGGUCUUUUUGUGCUCUCCACAUCCGAGCCAACGAAAAGAAAUAAAAAACUACCAGGAGCUAAAGGAAAACCGCAAGAAAAGUCAAAGGCUAAAAAAACUUCCUAGUGCUUGUUCUCUGCUUAUCUCUUUAUCUAAUUCUAAGUCCCCGAUUUUUUGCUCCGUGCGGCGGCUCCCCCGGAGAGAAAGGAUUGCAUCCGCUGCCCUCUUCCACCAAUUACCAAAAUGGGCACACCGCUUCUUUUUCAAAAAUGCUCCUGGAUAAACUCUAUCAUCUGGACUUUUUUUCUGUCAAAUUGACAUUUAUUAUUAUAUUUUCGUUCUACUCCCUGAAAUAAAUGUAAAAUAUUAAAAAUGAGUAGAAUCCGACAAUUAAUUCACAUCAGGUCAGAUAAUAAAGAAAAUUAAUAAUAAAAUAAAUAAAUAAAUUGCAACCUAUCAACCAAAUACAACAAUUUCAUGGAGUUUGAUACACAAGCCCAAAUACACGAGAGUGUGUAACCUGAAUUGUUACUUAUACAUUAGUGUGUAAUAGAACGGCAAGCAUUAUGGUGGUCAUUGAGCAACUUGUAGGAGAAAUAGUCCUAUAAGCUGUUCAAUGACCAAUCACAACUUGCUAAUUGGAUGACUAAUAUAGCUCUAGCUGUAAUGUUUUAAUUAAAUUCCAUCACUAACGUUGGGAUGACUUUUUAAUCAAAAAAAAAAAAGCCUUAGUUCAAGCUUUUCCCCUUAUUGUGCAUUUUUUAAAACAUUUGAUAGGCACUGCAAAUCUGUCAUUUUGGACAUUUUAUUAUUAACUAACAAUGAAAGCCGUGGACAUCAACCCAUAUCCAACAAAAUAUUAAAUUAAUAUUAGAAAAAAUUAUUAAGUAAUUGGAAAAAAAAAGAAGAGGCUAAUUUUCAUUGAAACCCACCGACAAACUAUACGCUGCUUUCAAUCAGUUUUAACACGGGAAAAAGAAAAGGCAUGAAAAGCAAAAUUUGUGGGGAUAAUUUCGGAAACCUCCCAUGAAGUUUUUGACUAUUUUACUGGCCUCCCUUCAGAUUUUAAAAAUUGGACUAAUCUUCCUUAAAGUUAAUUAUCUUGUAACAUUUAGAUCCGAUCAAUAAUUUAAAAAAUAAUAUUAUGAGAGAGAAAAUAAUAUGAUUUUAUUAUUGCCCCCAUCUCACCACAUUAUUUAAUUAAUUUAAUAGCAACCCACACAUUAAAGAAAAUGACAGGUCGUCAACCUGUGCAAUAAUAAAAUUAAACCUAAUUGCCAGUUAAAAUGACCAAAACCCAAUUCCAAGUACUGGAGCAGGGACUCUAGGUGUGCAAUGGGUUACUUGAUUCACCCUGUUCCCGAAGAGUUUGCUUGAUCCGAUAUACCCGAAUGGAAUGGUUAUUCCUUUUCACAAAUGAUUAGGAAUUUGUAGACAGGGCAAGUAGGGUCGUAUCCACAGAGACUGGGUAUAUUUGUUUCUUAAGAAAUCCAAAGUAACACAGGGGGUGAUUUUGUAGGAACGACGAUAAUUAAAUAAAUUCAAAUGAGAAAGUAAAAAUAAAUAAUUAACUAGAAAUUAAACCACAAUUUACUGAACUCAGGAUAACAAUAGUUAAAGGCCUCAAUUAAUUAAAAUAAGGAAACAAUCAAAAAUAAAAUAAAGUAGGUAAUUAAAAGUCAAAUGGCAAUCCACUACAAUCAAGGAAAUAUUAACUAAAGAUCUAGCCAAGAAAUAACUUCAGCAAUGGUUCACCUAAUCGAUCAUUGAUGCAAAGCAAUCCCAAUUAUUUACUAAUAAAUAGGUUAUAACUACCAAACAAGCGAUGGCAGUCAACCCCUCCUUACUGUGUCGGUGAUCAAGGUACGCCCGUUAAUCACUGCUCUAAUUGAGAAAUAAUCCUAGGUACGCCCGUAGAAUUUAAUUCCCCAACUGCCUUACGUAUUAGAGGAGCCCUAUUCUACCCAAAUAACACACUACCAGGGUUAUUUUAGAUUAGCCCGCGUAUCCCCCUGACACGAAUCUAAUCGUGCCAGUUGUCACUAAUUUGAGGUAAUUAAACAAUUACGGAUUCAAUACCCCAAUUGACAAUAGAUUAUCAAACCAAUGAAUUAUCCGGAUCCAAGACAAUCAACUAAUUAAAUAAUCAUAAGCACUGCAACCAAGGAAUAUGCGAAUACCAAUAAAUAAAGGAAAAGAUAAAAUUAAAUCGAUCUCACAAUUUACAGGUGACCCAAAGCAUCAGUCGUUUCUUGACUAGAACGAGGGGGUUAGCUCAUAUUGGAUGAACUAAGCCCGCGGGAAAUUCCAGCAAAAGUCACGGCCGUUGUAUGCAUUUCAAGAGCCGCAAUUCGUCAAACACUUGGAAAGCGAAUGUAAGGCACGGGUAACAAUUGAAACUUUCUAAUUGUUCCUAGCAUUCGUAAAGCAAAUUCACUCCAGAAGUACAGUGAGGAAAAGUCAAAGAAAGUGGGCUUCAAUUCCUUGCUCCUGACAUGCGUGGAGACAAGCCAAUGCAAGACUACAAUAAACUAACAAGGAAAAGUCAAGAAUUGGAGCUAAGCUCCCCUGCCAUGCGCAGGAAUCCCAAAAGUAAAAAGUAAAGCUUCAAAGAAAAGUCAACAAUUCUUCCUAAGCUACAGACGGAAGAUCCAGCACAAAAGCCAGCUCCCUUUUUGAUCCCUUUUUCCCCCUUCUUAUUGCGGCGGCUCACCAGGAGAGGAGAGCCCUCCGUCCGUCCUUUCUUCCGGAAAUUACCAAAAUGGGCAUGACAUCUUCUCUUCCAAAAGUGCCCCUGGGACAAGCUUUCUCAUCUGAAUUCUUUUUUUUUCCAAUUUGGCACCUGUUAUCAUAUUUAUAUUCUACUCCCUGAAAUAAACGUCAAAUACUAAAAGUGAGUAGAAUCCAGCAAAUAAAUCCACAUCAAGUCAGGUAAUAGGAGGAAUUAAUAAUAAAAUAAAUGAAUAAAUUGCACCCUAUCAAUUCCCUCCACACCUAAACCAUGCUUGUCCUCAAGCAUAAGAAAAGUAAACGAACACCAAAAUUCGACGAUAGCCAUUGCCCAAUCUCCUAUAUUGCCAAGACAUUCAAGAGAAAAACACAUAUCGAGCAUUGGUGAUUAGAAUCCCAGAAGCAUCCCCCCGGUUAGCCUCUAACCCCCAGAUUCCUUCAAUUUCCAACUUAACUACUCUAAGAAAGAGGAAUGGCACACAACAUUUAUCAGCUAGUGGUCCGAAUAUUCACACAAGUCUUCAUAUCCAAUCCAUAAACCGGCAAGCUUCCCUAUUAUUUAGUCUCUCUUUUUUUCCGUUUUUUUUCAUUUUCAUUCUUCCCCUCUUUUUUUUUUUUUUUUAAAGCAGUAGCAAUCAACACAAAAGACUUAGUCGUUAGCCGUCAGGGCCUUUUGAUGCGAACUCCAACAUUUUUAGAAGGAGGAGCCCGGUUACUCAGCUCCUACCGCUAUACGACCACGCACUCAUAUAAAAUACCACCUUUUGACGCGAGAAUCGACACUUUUAGGUGCCGAUCCCCGGUUACUCAGUAGUAACUUAAUAGCGGAGCACAGUCAAGCUUAUUCUCAGCCAAACAAUGCACAAACGCAAAAUAACAGCACUAACAAUCAAACAUAGGAGCAGCUCGCCUCAUUAUUGUCAAACAUGGAGAACUGGAGUCAAUAUUGGACCAGUUCACAUUAAAAGGCCAUAUUCAUUCCCUACGCCUAGAAAAGUUAACAAAGAAAUCGAAAGAGUCAAACAGUUAAAUAUUCACCAAGGGGAUAUUCAGGACCCAACCACACUAACCCGAUACAUUUUGUAUUUUAAAAACUUGGCAAAAGUAGAUUUGGAGUCAAUGAGUCCACAUCUCAAUUUUAGCCUUCACAUGAAAGGCAAUCACCAAGAAGAAAGAACGGAAAAAUAAGCAACUAGAAAUGAGACUACGAAAAACUACUAAAACUAAAAACUCACUUUUUUUCUUUUUCUCUUUUUUUUUCUUUUUGAAUUUUUUUUUCAUUUUUAUUUUUUUUUAUUUUUUUUAUUUUUUAAACAUUAACUAUAAACAUUAACUACUAAAAACUAAAAACUAAAACUACUAAAAACUAAAAACACUAAAAACUGCUAAAAUGAAAAGCUGAAAACUGAAAACUACUAAAAACGGAGCACACUAGCAUAACUUUAGAUCCCCCCCACACCUAUAGGACACAUUGUCCUCAAUGUGACAAAUAAGAACCAAAAGUGAAGCACAAGUGAGAGGGGAAUCAGCCAAACUUCCCUGAAAUCGGGUCACAGCGGAGGGCGAGGUGGAAAUGGAGGUGCAAAGCCUGUAUGCAUCAGGAACUGUGCCAAAUUCUGUGCUAUGCCGGCGACAUUGGCGUCGACGUUGGUCAUCCGGGCCUGCAAAUCCUGAACCAGCUCCCUGAGAUGCUGCCAAUCAUCGGUCCCAGGUGGUGGAGGUGGCGCAGAAGUAGAGGUAGACGGCCCAGCAGUGUCCGCGGCCGACCCAGGGAAUGAAGAUGGCCCUGCCCGGGCCGAAUGGUGUGCACCCGGGGCUCGAGGUGGUCCCGGACGGGUAAACUGGUGAAAACCAUCUGGCAGACGCUCGACGACCCCCAUUUUCUCUAAGCAAACUACGUCCAAGUGCUCCAUCUCAAAUGCCAAAUGGAGGUCGUGGUCAUCCAGGUUAAGAACUCCCAACUGGGUCGCCAAGUGAGUGAUGUAGGACCCAAGGAUCAGUGGUUUGUUCUUCUUGGUCAAGACCGUCUUGAACUGUGCGGCCAACCAACAUCCCAAGUUCACCUUGAUAUUGUUCUUCAUACUCCAGAGAAAGAAGAAUUCGGGCCGAGAGAGUAUACCGGAGCUGUCCUUGCGCCCCGAGUAGCUAUAAGCUAAGAAUCGCUGAACAUAGCGGGCGCUAGGGUCCUUAAGAAAGGAGCUCCUGGACCGGGAAGGAUCGUAGCGUUGCCUAUCGACGGACAUGUCCUCCCAUACAUCAUGGUAGUGGGAGAGGAAAGGCUCUACGUAGUCACAGGCACUCUCCGCAUACUCCCUAGUCUCAGCAUACUCUCUAGUGAUAAACCCAAAUGCCAGAUUGAAUUGAGUAAUGGAGAAAUUGAAUUCUCGACCCAUGAGCCGGAAAUGAAUGACAUUCGGUGUUUCACCCGUGUAUCUCGUAGGUAAUUCGAACUCAAAGGUGGAGUAAAACUCCCGGAUCAGCUCAACAAAAGCGGGACAAGAAAUAUGGAAAUAUGGGCGCCACCCAAUGGCUGUGAACAUUUGCUCAACCUCCUCCCGUAUACCCAGGGCAGUUAGAGAGAGUCUAUGACAAGACUUACAGGAUAUUAUACGCCUCUCGCAGACCUUAGCGUACCUCUGCCGAUCGGCGGGUCUGGUAAAUGUUAAGUGCCCCCCAAAAUGAACAGGUGCAUCUACCUGAGCACCCCUAUCCCUACCCAAACGGGUUCGAACACUAGAAGAGGAGGGUAGGUUGGUAGGUGAGUUGACAGGAAUAGAGGCUUGUGGAGGGGGUUGAGACUGAGAGGUCCUAGACCUAGAGGAGGAUUUCGGUCUCACCAUUCCCCCCAAAGUAAGUUCAAGGCAACAGAAAAUCCGACAAGUAUAGAAACCAGCAAUUGACAAAGCAAAAAUCUCCCAGUAGUAACCCAGCCAAUAGCAAACAAAAGAGUUCCAGCAAGUAAUCAACAAGCAAUUCAGAAAUAUCUCAACUAAAAUCUCAAGAGAAACCCCAGCGAGUUAUCCAGCAAUUCAAGCAAUAUCCCCAAGCAAUGUGGUGGUCAAAAUGUCAUCUCCAAAUUGAACAAAUAAUCAGAGCAUUGCAACACAUUGAAAAUCUCAAUAAACGGCUCCAGUUGGCCAAGAAAAAUUGCUAACUCAUACUCAGCAAUAGUAGUGCAGCAAAGGGACAGUAACCACGCAAUAAAAACACUUAGCUUGCACUCAAAUGGUCACCCCAAAUAACAACCCAGUAUGAAACCCGCAGGCAGAGUAUUCCUCAAACCGUUAGCCUAAACCCAGUCAACAACCACGGCCAGAAAUAACCCCAUAAAUAGUGCAAUGAGUAAUCCCCAGCAACAUAAUCAGGUGUAAUCAACUGGAGCAAGCAAUUUACAUGGCAUAGAAACCUCCCAAUCAAACAAGUGCAUUAUUCUAGCGCACCCCAAAAUUCCAAGAAAUGGCUCCAGUUGGCCAAUUAAUUUCACAAUGUCACCCAACUCAGGAGAAAUAGCAAUUCCACACAAAAAUAGUCAAACCAGUACCACUGGCGAAAAAUCUUUCAAAUAUGCACAAUUUGCUACCAAAUAUCACCGGCUAACACUGAAAAAUUGAGGGCAAGUGUCAAAUACCUCCACAGGGACUACCCCAGGCGGCAGACAGAGAAGCGGCGUUGAAGCUGGUGGUCGAGCGGGGCGGCGCUCGCGUCGGCGUGCGCAGCGGCGACGGCGCGCGAGGAUGGAGUUUCGGGAGGUUGCGUGCGGGCUUGGCUGAAGACGCGGCGCGCGCUAGGGCUUCGCUGCGGCAGGCGUGCAGCAGGGGAGAAGAAAGAAAAGAGAAAGAAAGAAAGAAAAAGAAAGGAAAGAAAGAACAGAAAAGAAGGAAAAGAAAAAGGAAUUUUUCUUUUUUUUCUUUUUCUUUAGGCUACGGUUUAGAGGACAAAUUUUUCUUCUUCUUGUUUUCUACUUUUUUAUUUUUUUAUUUUUUAGUUUUUAAUUUAUUACUAUUAUUAUCAUAUUUAAUUGAGGAAAAAAAAUGUUUUUUUUUAAAUCCCUACCUUUCCCACGAACGUGACGCGGGCACGUCAAGAGGGCAAGAGAGCUCCCAGAAGUUUCAGAAUUUUCUGAUCGUAAGCGUCCUGCACAUCACCACGCGGGCACGUCAUGAGGACAGGAGAGCUCCCAGAAGUUCAGAAUUUUCUGAUCGUGAGCGCCCUGCACGUCACCACGCGGGCACGUCAUGAGGCCAGGAGAGCUCCCAGAAGUUUGAAGUUUCUGAUUCCUGCCCGUCAUCACGCGGGCGCGUCAUGACUGAAGGUCACCUACAAAUCAGCAAAAACGAAAACUAACACCCAAAAUCAGUCAAAUUCAGGGAAAGCAGAUUUAAACUAUGCUACAAAACCAACAAACAAUUAAAAGAAAUAAUUAGGUUGCCUCCCAAUGAGCGCCUUUCUUUAAUGUCUUUGGCUAGACAUGGUAAAGUGUCACUGAUUAGGACACGGUGGUGCGUCAAGCCUUAUUGUCUCCACCUCUCUACCUGAAAAUCCUUCGUAAUAAUAUUUGAGACGGUGUCCAUUCACCACAAAUUUGUUGUCUGUCUUAGCACUCUGGAUCUCAACUGCACCAUAGGGAAAAACAUGAGUAACAAUGAAAGGUCCAAUCCAACGGGAACGUAGCUUACCUGGGAAUAGCUUGAGCCUGGAUUGGUACAGGAGGACCUUCUGACCAACUUCAAAUGUUUUUCUUGAAAUUUGUUGGUCAUGAAAUGCCCGGCUUUUCUCCUUAUAUAUCAAGGCGUUUUCGUAUGCUUCGUUCCGGAUCUCCUCCAAUUCUUGCAAAUCCAACUUCCGUUGAGCACCGGCCUCCUCUAAAUUCAUAUUGCAGUGCUUUAUCGCCCAAAAAGCCUUGUGCUCGAACUCCACUGGAAGGUGACACGGCUUCCCAAAUACCAACCUGUACGGUGACAUCCCAAUAGGAGUCUUGUACGCCGUCCGAUAGGCCCAGAGUGCGUCUUCCAACCUUUGGCUCCAGUCUUUUCUAUCAGGGCGCACCAUUUUCUCUAAAAUGGACUUAAUCUCCCGAUUCGACACCUCCGCUUGACCAUUGGUCUGAGGGUGGUAUGACGUUGAGACCCUGUGGAGUACACCAUACUUGCGAAACAACGCAGCUAUGGUUUUGUUGCAAAAGUACGUUCCCCUAUCACUGACAAUAGCUCUAGGCAUUCCAAACCGCACAAAGAUAUUAGACCUGAUAAAAUCUGCAACUACUCUCGAAUCAUUAGUUCGAGUGGCCUUAGCCUCCACCCAUUUAGACACAUAAUCAACUGCCAGCAAAAUAUAUAAAAAACCAAAUGAAGUAGGAAAAGGCCCCAUGAAAUCUAUACCCCAGACAUCAAAAAUUUCAACAAAAAUCAACGGGACCUGGGGCAUUUGAUCUCUACGGGCUAUAUUACCUACCAUUUGACAGCGAUCACAUGACUUACAAAACACAUAGGCAUCUCUAAACAAUGAAGGCCAAUAAAAUCCACUUUCUAAAACCUUAUGAGCAGUUCUCUUAGGUCCAAAAUGACCUCCACAGGCAAAAGUAUGACAAAAAGCUAAAAUUGAUUGAAAUUCCAUUUCACUUACACAUCUCCUCAUCACUUGAUCGGCACACCUCUUCCAUAGGUACGGGUCAUCCCAGAUAAAAUACUUGGCAUCGCUCUUCAAUUUAUCCCUCUUCGAUUUCGGCCAACCUGCAGGAAAAUUACCAGUUACCAAAUAAUUGACCAAAUCAGCAUACCAAGGCAACUGAGAAUUUAAGAAAAAUAGGUAUUCUUCGGGGAAUGCAUCCUUCAAUGGCUCGCUAUCCUCUUCAACUAGUAUGCGACUCAAAUGGUCCGCUACUAGAUUUUCUGAGCCUUUUUUGUCCCUUAUCUCCAAGUCAAAUUCCUGUAGGAGCAGUAUCCACCGUAUGAGCCUCGGUUUUGCAUCUUUCUUGGUCAUCAGGUACCUCAAUGCUGCAUGAUCAGAAAAUACAAUCACUUUAGCACCUAACAAGUAUGACCUAAAUUUUUCCAAAGCAAAAAUAACUGCCAGAAGCUCCUUCUCAGUGGUGGAAUAAUUCAACUGGGCUCCAUUCAAGGCCCGGGAUGCGUAAUAGAUGACAUGAGCCGCCUUGCCUAUUCUUUGCCCCAGUACAGCCCCAACAGCGUGAUCACUGGCAUCGCACAUGAUCUCAAAUGGCAAAUUCCAAUCGGGGGGUUGGAUGAUUGGGGGUGAAGUCAGCAAUUCCUUCAGCUUGUUAAAGGCUCUCUCACACUUAUCAUCAAAUUCGAAGGCUACAUCUUUUUGUAGGAGUUGGAACAACGGGGCUCCAAUCUUUGAAAAAUCCUUGAUGAACCUUCGAUAAAAACCUGCAUGUCCAAGAAAAGAGCGCACCUCCCGCACACUCGCGGGGUAAGGUAAUGCAGAAAUAAUGUCUAUUUUAGCCUUGUCAACUUCUAUGCCCUUAGACGAUACAAUAUGACCCAGGACUAUUCCGUGCUCAACCAUAAAAUGACAUUUUUCCCAAUUAAGCACAAGAUUAGUCUCUAUACACCUGAUCAGGAUUAAUUUCAGGUUAUCUAGACAAGUAUCAAAACUAUCACCAUACACACUGAAAUCAUCCAUGAAAACUUCUAUUAUUUUCUCAACAUACUCGGAAAAGAUGCUUACCAUACAUCUUUGGAAAGUCGCAGGUGCAUUGCACAACCCAAAUGGCAUUCGUCUGUAGGCAAAGGUCCCGAACGGGCACGUGAAGGUUGUCUUCUCUUGAUCCUCCGGGGCAAUUGCUAUCUGAAAGUAUCCUGAAAAUCCAUCCAAAAAGCAAUAAUAAGCCCUACCAGCUAAACGUUCAACCAUUUGGUCAAUGAAAGGGAGAGGGAAAUGGUCCUUUUUGGUGACGGCGUUUAGCCUACGGUAAUCUAUACAUUGCCUCCAUCCAGUGGGUUUGCGCACUGGCACGAGCUCACCAGUUUGGUUGGCCUCUACCGUCACUCCUGCAUUCUUUGGGACUACCUGGACCGGACUCACCCAAGGGCUAUCAGAUAUUGCAAAAAUGAUGCCCACAUCUAGCAAUUUUAGAAUCUCUUUCUUUACGACUUCCAUCAUGAGGGGAUUGAGCCUUCUUUGAGCCUGCCUAACAGGUUUGGCAUCGUCUUCCAGCCUAAUCCGGUGCAUACAAAUGGCCGGGCUGAUCCCCUUAAUGUCUGCGAUUGUCCAGCCUAUUGCCUCUUUAUGCUCCCGAAGGACCCGGAUCAAUUUCUCUUCCUGGGUCUUUGACAGUGCCGAUGAGAUAAUCACUGGGAGUGUCUCAUUAUCACCUAGGUAUGCGUAUUUCAGGUGCUCUGGUAGAGGUUUCAACUCCAGUACAGGUGCCUGCACCACAGAUGGCAAUACCCUCUGGUGAGCCUUGGGAGUAAAAAUAGGUAAGACUUCAUACCUUUUCGUGGUGGUCUGCAACGAGUGUAAUGCACCUAUUGUGCAUUUUAAAUCCUCGCUCCACUCCACCUCAGGAGUUGUCUCCAACUCGAGGUGCUUGGUUAAAGCCACCUCCAGCUCAUCCCUGCCAUCAGUUUCAAACACUUCCUGCACUACAGGGUCAAUAGCACUCACAGAAAAAACUGAGCUAAAGUUGGAGUUAGAGGGGUACUUCAUAGUAUCAAAAAUAUUAAAAUGCACAAUUUACCCAUCAAACUCCAUGGACAAGGUACCCUUAUUAACAUCAAUUUUCGUCUGCGCAGUGCUCAUAAAAGGUCUACCCAAUAACAAAGGUGAGGGAUCAGGGGAGUGAUCAUCAUCCAUAUCUAGUACAUAAAAAUCAGCUGGAAACACCAAAUCAUUAACCUUUACCAACACAUCUUCAAUCAACCCAUCAGGAUAUGCAUUAGUUCGGUCAGCUAAUUGAAUAAUUAUUCCAGUUUCUUUUAAUGGACCUAGUUUCAAAGAAGCAUAGAUAGAUUUAGGCAUGACAUUAAUUGAUGCUCCCAGAUCCAGCAUGGCCCUUCUGAUCACAGUAUUACCUAUCUUACAGGGAAUAGUAAACAUACCUGGGUCCCCGCACUUUGGUGGGAGCUUUCUCUGCAGGACCGCAGACACAUUUUCUCCAACUAUGACCCGUUCAUCUCCCCUCAACCGCCUUCGGUUGACACACAAGUCCCUUAGGAACUUGGCAUAUUUUGGUACUUGUUUGAUGGCGUCUAAGAGGGGGAUAUUUAUCUCAACCUUGCGAAAAACCUCCAAGAUCUCCUUCUCCUUAUCCUGCUUCUUCGAUUUUUCCAACCUGCUAGGAAAAGGAGGCGGGUUAGUUUUAACUGUAAUUAUUGGGUCAGGAAGUACCUCUGGAUCUGCACCAUUGCUGUCCUCCCUUUCGAGCUCAUUUUCGAUCUUCUCUUCAUCCUUGUCCUUGGGAAUCACAGGUUCAGGCCCCUGAAUUUCUUUCCCACUCCUUAGGAUCAUUGCGCUCACGUUCUUCGGAUUCAACUCCGGUUGAGAUGGCAGCUUCCCUUGGUUCUGGGACUCCCAACGGUUCAUUCUGGUGGCCAAUUGACCUAUCUGAUUCCUUAUGUCCUGCAUUUCGGAGUCCGUCUUUUGCUGAUUUUGCAUAAUAGCUGCCUCCGUCCUUUGCUGAUUCUGCGCCAUGGUUGUCAUCAUUUGUUUCAGCAUCUCAUCCGUAGAUGAACCAGAUUGAGGGAGCGGAGGUGGUCGGGGUUGGUAUUGCUGCUGGUACCCUGGUGGCUUAUUUGGCACAAAGUUAGACUGCCUGUUUGGCGUGAAGUUGGAUUGCCUAUUUCCACCAUAACUGAGGUUGGGAUGAUCUCUCCACCCGGGGUUGUAGGUGCUUGAGUAAGGGUCGUACUGCUUCCUUGGCGCGGGCGCGUGGUCAGCCAUGUUCACCUGUUCCGCAGUUUCUUCCUGAAUCAUUGGGCACAUGUCUGCAGAGUGACCUAUACCAGUGCAAAUCCCGCAUACCCUGGCUUGUGAUGCAUUUCUCACAGCCUAUUGCCUAACGAACGCAGUCAACUCAUUUAGCUGCUGCUGCACAGAGGGUGUCUCUAUCUCAUUCACCCUACGUAUUGGGACAUCCUAUCUUGUACUGAAUUGCUGUGAAUUCUCUGCCAUCCCCUCUAUUAACUCCCGUGCUUCCUGAGGGGUUUUGUUCACCAGUGCCCCUCCACUUGCAGCAUCAAUGAUGCUCCUGUCUCUAAAAAUGAGCCCCUCAUAGAAAUAUUGUAUGAUCAACUGCUCACUUAUUUGGUGAUGGGGGCACCUGCGCAACAAGCUCUUAUACCGUUCCCAAUACUCGUAAAGUGACUCCUCGGGAUGCUGCUUGAUCCCACAAAUUUCUUUCCUUAGACUCGCAGCCCUGGACGCAGGAAAAUAUUUAUCCAGAAAUUUUUUCUUCAAUUGGUCCCACGUGGUGAUGCUACCUGGUGACAGGUAGUACAGCCAGUCCUUCGCAGAAUCUUUCAAGGAGAAGGGGAAUGCCCUCAUUUUUAUCUGCUCUUCUGUGAUUCCCGGGGGUUUCAUACUGUUGCAAACGACAUCAAACUCCUGCAGAUGCUUAUACGGCUCUUCACCUGGUAAACCAUGAAAAGAGAGUAAAAGCUGAAUCAGACCAGAUUUUAGUUCAAAUGGAAUGUUGUCAUUUAAAGCUGGGAAAGUAAUGCAUAACGGCUGCUGAGUUAAAUCAGGAGCAGCCAACUCCCUUAAUGUUUAUGCAUUAGCCAUGGUGCCUUCCUGCUGGUCAGAGUCACUCGAAGUGUUACCAAACGAAUCUGUUGGUUCAACUUCUGACUCGGGUCUUUGAGAUGUAGCACUAGAGUGCUCUUCUCUGAGCUGUCUGGUUUCCUUUCUCGUUCUACGCGCGGUCUUCUCUACCUCAGGAUCAAAAACCAAAUCACCUGUGCGACAAGAUCGAGGCAUACACUAGAAGAAAACCAGAAAAUUAGGACAAAAUUGAAUUUAAGAAGAAACAAAUAAUAACGCCAGUCCCCGGCAACGGCGCCAAAAAUUGACAGGUCGUCAACCUGUGCAAUAAUAAAAUUAAACCUAAUUGCCAGUUAAAAUGACCAAAACCCAAUUCCAAGUACUGGAGCAGGGACUCUAGGUGUGCAAUGGGUUACUUGAUUCACCCUGUUCCCGAAGAGUUUGCUUGAUCCGAUAUACCCGAAUGGAAUGGUUAUUCCUUUUCACAAAUGAUUAGGAAUUUGUAGACAGGGCAAGUAGGGUCGUAUCCACAGAGACUGGGUAUAUUUGUUUCUUAAGAAAUCCAAAGUAACACAGGGGGUGAUUUUGUAGGAACGACGAUAAUUAAAUAAAUUCAAAUGAGAAAGUAAAAAUAAAUAAUUAACUAGAAAUUAAACCACAAUUUACUGAACUCAGGAUAACAAUAGUUAAAGGCCUCAAUUAAUUAAAAUAAGGAAACAAUCAAAAAUAAAAUAAAGUAGGUAAUUAAAAGUCAAAUGGCAAUCCACUACAAUCAAGGAAAUAUUAACUAAAGAUCUAGCCAAGAAAUAACUUCAGCAAUGGUUCACCUAAUCGAUCAUUGAUGCAAAGCAAUCCCAAUUAUUUACUAAUAAAUAGGUUAUAACUACCAAACAAGCGAUGGCAGUCAACCCCUCCUUACUGUGUCGGUGAUCAAGGUACGCCCGUUAAUCACUGCUCUAAUUGAGAAAUAAUCCUAGGUACGCCCGUAGAAUUUAAUUCCCCAACUGCCUUACGUAUUAGAGGAGCCCUAUUCUACCCAAAUAACACACUACCAGGGUUAUUUUAGAUUAGCCCGCGUAUCCCCCUGACACGAAUCUAAUCGUGCCAGUUGUCACUAAUUUGAGGUAAUUAAACAAUUACGGAUUCAAUACCCCAAUUGACAAUAGAUUAUCAAACCAAUGAAUUAUCCGGAUCCAAGACAAUCAACUAAUUAAAUAAUCAUAAGCACUGCAACCAAGGAAUAUGCGAAUACCAAUAAAUAAAGGAAAAGAUAAAAUUAAAUCGAUCUCACAAUUUACAGGUGAUCCAAAGCAUCAGUCGUUUCUUGACUAGAACGAGGGGGUUAGCUCAUAUUGGAUGAACUAAGCCCGCGGGAAAUUCCAGCAAAAGUCACGGCCGUUGUAUGCAUUUCAAGAGCCGCAAUUCGUCAAACACUUGGAAAGCGAAUGUAAGGCACGGGUAACAAUUGAAGCUUUCUAAUUGUUCCUAGCAUUCGUAAAGCAAAUUCACUCCAGAAGUACAGUGAGGAAAAGUCAAAGAAAGUGGGCUUCAAUUCCUUGCUCCUGACAUGCGUGGAGACAAGCCAAUGCAAGACUACAAUAAACUAACAAGGAAAAGUCAAGAAUUGGAGCUAAGCUCCCCUGCCAUGCGCAGGAAUCCGAAAAGUAAAAAGUAAAGCUUCAAAGAAAAGUCAACAAUUCUUCCUAAGCUACAGACGGAAGAUCCAGCACAAAAGCCAGCUCCCUUUUUUAUCCCUUUUUCCCCCUUCUUAUUGCGGCGGCUCACCAGGAGAGGAGAGCCCUCCGUCCGUCCUUUCUUCCGAAAAUUACCAAAAUGGGCAUGACAUCUUCUCUUCCAAAAGUGCCCCUGGGACAAGCUUUCUCAUCUGAAUUCUUUUUUUUUCCAAUUUGGCACCUGUUAUCAUAUUUAUAUUCUACUCCCUGAAAUAAACGUCAAAUACUAAAAGUGAGUAGAAUCCAGCAAAUAAAUCCACAUCAAGUCAGGUAAUAGGAGGAAUUAAUAAUAAAAUAAAUGAAUAAAUUGCACCCUAUCAGAAAAAUGCAAAAAUUUGUUAUUUAUCAUUAAGGAUCAUAUCGCAUAUAACAUCAAAAAAUAGUAUAUUAUUUAUAUCUUUCACUUAAUAUAAUAUCCAAAUUACUCUUUUCAGUUACAUACCCAUUGUUAGACAAAAUCAACAACAAAUAACCAAAAAAUUUGCAACCAAAAUAUUACCAAAAAAAUAAACUUUAACAUCAUAAAUAUUUUUAUCAACAUAUUAAAGUUAGUUAUUGAAAUUUUUAUGGUGUUAAACUUCACUCUUAGCAAUAUUUUGGUUACAGAUUUUUUUGAUUAUUUAUUGUUGAUCGUGUUUGACAAUGGAUUUGUAACUGAAAAGAAUAAUUUGAAUCUUACAUUAAGUGAAAUAUAUAAAAUAUUAUACUAUUUUUUAUGGCAUAUGUGAUUCUUUUUUUUUUUUUUAUCAGAACGGCAACAUUGUAUUAAUAGUAAACCAAUUACAGUAUAGGUGGGCAACCGCCCUCACAAUCUGCCUGGACUUGUUCCAGCAGCCAAACUGGGAAGUUUUCCUUCCAUUCAGUAUUUUGUUCCAAAGUAAUAGCUACUUUAGCUAGUUUAUGGCUAACAAAGUUGUUCACCCUAUUUGCAAAGGUAAAACAACAUUCAUCAAAUUUUAUUCAUGUACAAUUGUUGCUAUCACCACGUCCUCCUCCUCCUCCUCACUGCACACUACUUGACUACCACCCUUCGCCAACCUUGCUGUUGCAUGUGCAACUAUCAUGGCCUCUCUUAGCGCCUUUGCUUCUUCGACCUUUGGACUGGCACAGCUAAAAUUUGGAACAGCCCAGGCCCACCCGCAAUCUUCCCAACCAAUCCCUGGCCACCCUUUUCCCACCCAGCUUCUAUGGCAUGUGUGAUUCAAUCCUUCUUGAUAGGAUUGGUAAUAGAGGCAGAGGGGGGAGCCGGCUGCAUCCGGUCUACUUUUCAUAGAUAGUACAAUAUUGCGAAAUCGAUCGCAUUCACACAAGAAUAUUUCGAAGUCAUUGCAUCGCUAAGUUGCAAAAAAGUACAAACACUUGUUAUUAUAUAGCUUAAGAUUCAAAACUUUAGAGCACAACCCUCCACCUAACACAAUUGAAUAAUGAAUAUUCACGAUUGUCAAAUCUGUCAAAGCACAGUUUGAGGACAACCCAUUCCAACCUGCAAAAGAUUUUUGACUUUUUUAAAGUUGUUGAGAGCUGUAAAAAGACUUACCAUGCUUACAUCUUCCGAGCCUUGGGAGUUAAAAAUGAAGGCACUGAGUGCUAUAAAAAGGGGGCUAGAGGCUGCCUAGAAGCAUAUCAGCCUAAAACAAGAAUUUGUAGUUAUGAUGGGAAGCAAAGCAAAAGCAAUGGGGUCUGGGCUGACUCCUCUUCUUACCACUGUUUUAGUGGUAUUUGUUGCUCUUGGCUUGCCCUCAGAAACUGCAGCUGAUGAUCACUACAAGUAUUCAUCUCCUCCUCCUCCUUACCACUAUCCCUCACCACCACCUCCAGUGCAUUUACCUCCACCAGUGUACAAAUACAAGUCCCCACCACCACCUCAUCAUGUUUACAAGUACAAAUCUCCACCACCCCCACCACCACACCCAGUUUACAAGUAUAAGUCGCCACCACCACCUCCUCAUCCGGUAUACAAGUACAAGUCUCCUCCGCCACCUCCUCAUCCGGUACCACACCCAGUUUACAAGUAUAAGUCACCACCACCACCUCCUCAUCCGGUACCACACCCAGUUUACAAGUAUAAGUCUCCUCCGCCACCAGUUUACAAAUAUAAGUCUCCUCCACCACCACCUCCAGUGUACAAAUACAAGUCUCCACCACCACCAGUUUACCACUACAAGUCUCCACCACCUCCUCCCCCAGUUUACAAAUACAAGUCUCCACCACCACCACCACCAGUUUACCACUACAAGUCACCACCACCUCCUCCCCCAGUUUACAAAUACAAGUCUCCACCACCUCCUCACCACUACUAAGCAAUUGCUUCUGAGGUAAUAACACUUGUUCAAUAUACCCACUUCUGCAUGAUAAAGCAUAUCUCUAUCAACACAAACUGUCAUGUCUAUCAUGCUAAGUGCCUUCACUUCAUCCACCAAAAUGACUGCUAGAAAAUUUUUUUUAUGUUACCAAAGAAAGGCAUCAUUUUUUCCCUCUGUUAUCAAGAACUUGUACAGUAUAUAGAUUAAAGAGUAUUUUUUUAACUAGCUUAUCAACUGAGAAAUGCAUAUAGCUGAUAGCCAGCUGAAUAUUUGCAGGCAAAGGAGAAGGAAACCAGUGUUUGAGACCUUCUUGAAGAUGUAGAAGCAUAAGAAUUAAAGCCCAAUGUGAAGAUGAUGAUUUCAAGUUUUUCUACGUUACCAUUUCUUUAUCUAAAUUGGUUGUAGCGCCUUAGUUCCUUUGUUUAUGGGAUUUGUAUCGUUUUACGUACCAUGCAGUACAUGUCAUGUUUGUAAGGUUUUCUAUCCUGCCGGCAAACCGCAGGUUCCAUGUAAUAAAUCAAUACUAUUUAUAUUACGACACUUUUCUCUGUUUCUCUUAUAUUUUGUCGUCUUUAAUAUUCUUAAUCAUAUUUUUAACAAAAAUAUUCAAACACUUAGGCAAUCUGGUCUAAUGCUAAUUGUAUGUUUUACUUUUCUUUUUCACCUGCUCCCCUUUUCAACUCAAAAGGAUGCAAUAGUUUGUGAUCACUGUUGAAGACGGAAGCAUGAUACUAAUGAAUAUAUCAUUGAAACUCAAGGAAACUAACAUUAUGAAAAGUGUAAAUCUUGAUUUGAUGCAACUAUUUAUUCGUGGAAUCUAUAGUUACAAAACUCAAACUCUGACUGCGCCAUUGAUAAAUUAUUAAUGACGCUAUCAUCAUUAUUUAUCCCCAACUAGUUUCGACUACAACUGAACCCAAUAUUUUCCCCAUGAUAAAAGUUUUUUACUAUUUUACUGGCCUCUCUUCAAAUUUUAAAAAUUACACUAAUCUUCAUUGAGAUUAAUUAUCUUGUAGCAUUUAAGUCCAAUUAAUAAUUAAAAAAUAAUAUUAUGAGAGAGAAAAUAAUAUAAUUUUAUCAUUGCCCCCCAUCUUGCUAUAUUAUUUAAUUAAUUUAAUAGCAACCCACACAUUAAAGAAAAAUACUAAAAUUUGCUGCUUUUCAUUAAAGAUCAAAUUGCAUAUGCCAUAAAACAUAGUAUAUCAUUCUAUAUGUUUCACUUAAUGUAAGAUCCCAAUUGUUCUUUUCAAUUACAAACCCAUUGUCAAACAUGAUCAAUAACAAAUAACCAAAAAAUUUGCAACCAAAAUAUUACAAAAAAAAACUUUAACAUCAUAAAUAUUCUUACCACCUCUAGUGCAUUCACCCUCAUAAAAUAAUUCAAGACCCUACUGUCAUAAAAUGACUGAUCAACUCCUGUAAACCUAAUUUGACAACAUUUAAAUGGAGAACUUUAGCUAAAAGAAUUAUGGUCAAGCUAAAGAAAAAACCAGUUAUUUUCCAACAUAUGCAAUCAUUGAUCAGGGAAAAAAAAAAGAAGCAAAAAGACAUCUUCAAUCAUUUAAUAGCUUACAGGGCAAAUUAACCCCUAAGCGAAAACUGGUUGCUCUAGAAUCAAAAUUUUACUUUAGUUACCCAGGCAACUUUUUUUGUUGCCUUUUCUUUUUCUUUUUUGGGUAUAUAUAUAGCUCCAGUUUUGCCCCCUCUGUCAAGCUUAUAUAAUUAUUAAGAUAAUAAAAGUGCCUUUAAUAGUAUUAAUAUAUCCAUUGACUUGAGCUGUCAUCGAUCGGUUUGGGCUACUUCGAUUCCAUGAGAACAAAUGGUAAUAAAAGUACUCAGAAAAUGGGGAGUCAUGAAACCCUUUUGUUCUAUUCAUUGCUAAGAUGCUUUUCUCUAUAAAGACACUUCCUAACGAAAAUACUUUGUAGAUUUCUUUACUCCAAGUGGUGCAUGGAAAAUUAAUAUUUUCAAUUAUCAAAUAAAAUUCCCUUUUUUCGGUGUAGAUUUCAUCCAUUCAGCUGUUAACACUCCGAAUUGACUAAUCUUUUCGUUUCCAUUUUCCAACUUGCGAAUACGGCAUCUUACAUAUUGUCUGCUGAAUAUGAAUACAUAUCCCUUUUCUGAGCAGGUGCAGAGUCAUUAUCAUUUUUAUUCCCACCUAACAAAUUAGUUAAUAAUCUUUUAAAGAACAUGUUAAAUUAAUUUAUUGGUAUGAAUAGUAGUCAAAGAAGUAUGUUAAAGUUAGUAAUCUUUAAAAUAAUAUGUUAAAAUUAUUCGUACAAAUUAGCCAGAGAAGUAGCAUAAACACCGCGAUGCAAUUAAUACUUUCAAUCUCAAGGUCUCUAUUAUGGAAAUUUGCAUCGGUCAACAUACACAAAGCAUUAUUGUAUGCACGUCUCUCUAUUAUGGAAAUUUGCAUAGGUCAAUAUACACUUGGCAUAGUUGCAUGCACGUCCAAUUUUUUUUUAUUUUUAUUUUUGGUAUUUUACUUCCUGCCUUAAGUUGCCUGCAGAUGUUUGUAUUACAAAUAUAUGGUAUACUAAAUAUAUAGUAUGCACAUUAAUUUCUUUGGGUUGCUUAAGGGUAUAUUGUUAAUAAUAGGGGGUUUAACCAUAAAUUAUAACAAUGAUGAAGUAAUAUAUAUUAGAAAAUUAACACAAUUAUGAUUUUUUUUUUUGUAAAAUUCAAAUUUUAUUAAUAAGAAAUGAAAUAGGCAGUAAGCAUUUACAAACCGAAAACAAAAUCCUACAACAACUCUAGGACUCUACACCUUAUUAAAAAAAAACAUUUUGAUAGCGUUUUUCCAAAAGCAGAAGAUGGAAAAUUGCCCAUUUGUACUGGGGAGUUCGUGAUCUUUUCCUCAUUCUAGUCUACUUACAAUUCUUGGAAAAAGGAAUACUCACAUCUCAAACAACAGCCUGUUCAUCUGCAGUGUCCUGCCGAAUUCUAGAAAGUUUGGUGGCAAUGUUAAUUACAUUUCAAAAUUGACUGCUGCGAUAACUAAUUCGAUGGCUUACUACAUGGUCAACGUUUGGAUCUCUUCCUGUCCUUUUUGGAUGCACAUUUUUUUUCUCUAGGUAAUAUAUAAUCUCCCAACUCAUUUCUUUACAAAUGCACCUUUAAUCACCACCAAAAGGUGUGGACAUGAUCUUUACCCUAGAAAACUAUUCACCGACAGGCAAAUUGACGUCAGAAAUACUAAGAGGAAUUCUAGUUUCCUUCGGGUUAAUGCCAUUUUGUACCCUUCAACUGUAACUCAAUUUCUAAGCUGUAAUUUGUGACAUUAUAGUCCUUAAACUAUGAAACCCUUUCUUAUUUAAUUACAAUGGUUAAUACAAUGCCCGUGACUAGACAAGUAUGAAGCAACCAUAACAAAAAAAAAAUCCAAAAUUAGAGAAAAGAAAGAAGUUGCGACCAAAGUAUGUAUCAAGGCAUAGUAUAGAAAUAAAAGUGUCAAAAUUAAGAGUUUAGGGAUAAAAAAGAAUCAAAAUAUAGUUUAGGAAUUGAUUUGUCUCAAUUAGAGUUUAGAUGUCAACUAAGAAGAGAGAUAUAGUUGAAGGGUAGAAUAUAGAUAUAACAGUUCAAUGAUUGAUAUCAACGAGACAAUGACAACUUUGGAUUAUUACCAACCUCUUCUUGAUGGAAAAGGAAAUAGAGAAGAAAGUCGGGCCUGGUCUAAGCCUGUUUCGGAGGCAAAACAACAUUAUGAAAUCACCGGCAUUCACACAAAUAUGUCAAAGUCACCGGCAUGCUAAGUUGCAAAAUUUAUACAAACACUGAAUAUUAUAUUCUUCUCAAAAUUUUUGUUUAAGAUUUAACAAUUAGAGCACGGUACACGAAUUAGCAAUAUUAAAUAAUGAAUGUUCACGAUUGAUAAAGUUAUCAAAGUACAGUUUGAGGACAACCCAUUCCAACGUGUACAAGAUGUUUAGCCUUUGAAAAGUUAAUUAGAGAAGGUGACGAGAUUUUACUAGGCUUACAACUUCUAGGCCUUGGGAGUAAAAAGUGAAGACACUGAGUGCUAUAAAAAGGGGGCUAGAUGUUGCCUAGAAGCAUAUCAGCCUCGGACCACAUUUUGUAGCAAUGGGGAGCAAAGCAAAAGCAAUGGGGUCUAGGCUGACUCCUCUUUUUACCACCGUUUUAGUGGUAUUUGUUGCACUUGGCUUGCCUUCAGAAACUGCAGCUGAUUACGACAAGUAUUCACCUCCUCCUCCUCCUUACCAUUAUUACUCACCACCACCUCUUGUGCAUUCACCUCCACCACCGCCAGUUUAUAAGUCACCCCCACCACCUUAUCACUACUUCUCACCACCACCUCCAGUGUAUCCAUCUCCACCACCAUCUGUUUACAAGUCACCUCCACCACCUUCGCCAGUAUACAAGUCCCCACCACCACCUUAUCAAUAUUCCUCACCACCACCUCCAGUGCAUUCACCUCCACCACCACCGAUUUAUAAGUCACCUCCACCACCUCCUCCAGUUUACAAGUCCCCGCCACCACCUUACCAUUAUUCCGCACCAUCACCUCCAGUGCAUUCACCUCCACCACCACCGAUUUACAAGUCACCUCCACCACCUCCUCCAGUUUACAAGUCUCCAUCACCACCUUACCAUUAUUCCUCACCACCACCUCCAGUGCAUUCACCCCUACCACCACCGGUUUACAAGUCUCUGCCACCACCUUACCAUUAUUCCUCACCACCACCUCCUAUGCAUGCACCUCCACCACCAAUAUACAAGUCACCUCCACCACCUCCUCCAGUUUACAAGUCUCCACCACCACCUUACCAUUAUUCCUCACCACCACCUCCAGUGCAUUCACCCCUACCACCACCAGUUUACAAGUCUCCGCCACCACCUUACCAUUAUUCCUCACCACCACCUCCUGUGCAUGCACUGCCACCACCAAUUUACAAGUCACCUCCACCACCUCCUCCAGUUUACAAGUCCCCACCACCACCUUACCAUUAUUCCUCACCACUACCUCCAGUGCAUUCACCUCCACCACCACCGAUUUACAAGUCACCUUCACCACCUCCUCCAGUUUACAAGUCUUCACCACCACCUUACCAUUAUUCCUCACCACCACCACUCUUCAAUUUGGAUGUAAUUCAAUUUUCCUUGUAAUCGGUGGCCCUCCUUCGGAAUCCAAAUAGUCAUUGAGUGCAGCCUUCUUUCUUUAUUUUUUACUCAUUUUCACCUCAUAAAUUGCUUUCAUCCCCUAAAACUUGUUCGCUGGAAUUUUGAAUUUACCCAUACAACUAAACUCAGAAAAUUCUUACACAAAGGGAUUAGUAGCAUGAAUAGCAAACACAGAAUAAGAGAUAACAGUAUGUUUUAUUGUAUUAAAAAUAUUAAAGUGGAUUAUUUCUCCAUCGAAUUCCAUUGUGAGAGUAUCGUUACUAACAUCAAUCUUAGUUUGAGCAGUACUCAAGAAUGACCUUCCUAAUAUAAUGGGUGAUGGAUUUGGGACACUUUCAUCAUCCAUAUAAAACACAUAAAAAUCAACAGAAAAAAUUAAUCCAUCUACUUGAACUAAAAACAUCCUCAACUACCCCAUUUAGAUAAGCAAAUAUACGAUCAGCCAAUUGAAUUAUUAUCCCUAUUUCUUUUAAAUGUUCUAAAUUUAGGGAAUCAUAAAUUGAUUUAGACAUCACAUUAAUAGAAAUCUUUAAAUCUAUCAUGGCAUUUUUUAUAUUAGAAUGUCCAAUCUUACAUGAGAUAGUAAACAUACCUAGAUUCUCGCAUUUAGGUGGUAGUUUCCUUUGUAAAAUUGCUGAAACGUUCUCAUCUACCACAAUAUGCUUGUCCUCCUCAAUUUCUUCUUGUUGACACACAAGUUUUUCAAGCAUUUAACGUAUUUUGGAACUUAUUUGAUUUGCGUCCAACAAAGGGAUAUUGAUUGCCACCUUGCGAAAAUCUCUAAAAUCUCCUUUUCUUUAUCUUGUUUCUUUGAUUUCUCUAACCUGCUUGGAAAAGGUGGUGAGUUAGUUCCAACUCUAAUUAUAGAAUCAACAAUUACCUUUGGAUUCACAUUUCUCAUUCCUUCCUCCUCAAGCUCUUUGUCGAUUCGAUCUUCAUUUUUAUCCUUUGGAAUCACAACUUCGGAUCCCUGAAUUUUCUUCUCGCUCCUUAAGGUCAUUACACUUACAUUCUUCAGGUUCAGUUCAGGUUGAGACGACAAUUUUUCAUAGAUUUGGGAUUCCAGGCGGUUGAUUGCUAUUACCAUCUGACUCAUCUGACUCUGCAGUGCUUGCACCUGUCCCAAUUGAUUCCUCAUACUUUGCAAGUCAAAAUCCAUCUUUUGUUGAUUAGCAAUUAAUUGCUUCAUUAUCUCUUCUAUAGAUGGACUUGAGUUUGAAAGAGGUGGUGGCGGGCGAGACUGAUACUGUUAUUGAUACCCUUGCUAUCUAUUUGGUGCAAAAUCUGGCUACCUAUUUCCUCCAUAGCUGAGGUUGGGAUGAUCUCUCCAACCAAUAUUGUACGUAUUCGUGUACGAGUCGUAUGGUUUUCUUGGCACGGCGCGUGACCAGCCAUGUUCACUUGCUCCGUACUUUUCUCUUGAAUCAUUGAGCACAUCUCUGUAGAAUGACCCAUAGCAGUGCAGAUCCCACACAUCUUGACUCGUGAUGCAUUUCCUAUAGCUAAUUGCCUAACAAAGGAUGUUAAUUCGGUCAACUGCUGUUGGAUAGAAUAUGUUUCUACCUCAUUUACUUUGCGUGUUGGGGCAUCCUCCCUCGUACCAAACUGUUGCGAAUUUUCCGCCAUUCCUUCAACUAGCUCCCACGCUUCUCGAGAAGUCUUGUUCACCAAUGCCCUUCUACUUGCAGCAUCAAUUAUACUCCUGUCUCUAAAACGCAGCCCCUCGCAAAAAUAUUGGAUGAGCAAUUGCUCACUUAUUUGGUGUUGAGGGAACUUGAUGCAUAACUUCUUGAAUCGCUCCCAAUAAUCAUAAAGCGACUCUCCUGGAUGCUACUUGAUACCGUAUAUCUCCUUCCUUAGACUUGCAGCUCGAGAUGCAAGAAAAUAUUUGUCCAAGAACUUUUUCUUCAGCUGAUCCCACGUGGUGAUGCUACCUGGUGGUAGAUAGCACAGCCAGUCUUUUGCGGAGUCCUUCAAGGAGAAGGGAAAUGCCCUCAUUUUUAUCUAUUUUUCUGUAAUUCUCGGAGGUUUUAUGCUGUUGCAAACGACAUCAAACUCUUGCAAGUGCUUAUACGGUUCCUCACCUGGUAAACCAUAGAAAGAUGGCAAGAGAUGAAUUAGACCAGAUUUUAACUCAAAUGAAGUGUUAUCAUUUAAAAAUAGAAAAGUAACUGAGAUGCAGCACUGGAAUGUUCUUCUCGAAAUUGUCUGGUCUCUUUCUUUGUUCUACGCGUAGUCUUCUCUACCUUAGGAUCAAAAAUUAAUUUACCUGUACGAGAAGAACGAGGCAUACACUAGAAAAACACUAGAAAAUUAGAACAAAAAUGAACAUAAAAAGAAACAAAUAAACCAACGUCAGUCCCCAGCAACGGCGCUAAAAAUUGACAAGUUGUCGAUGCCUGUGCAAUAAUAAAAAUAAACCUAGUUACCAAUUAAAAUAAUCAGAGCCUAAUUCUGAGUACUAGAGCAGGGACUAUAGGUGUGCAAUGGGUUACUUGAUUCACCCUAUUCCUGAAGUUUGCUUAACCCGAUAUACCAGAAUGAGAUUGCUUAUUCAAAAGGAAUUAUUGAUUUGUAAACAGGGCAAGUAGGGUCGUAUCAUCAGGGAUUGAAAAAAUUUGUUUCUUUUCAAAUCCACAGUAACAAGGGGAUGUUUUUGUAUAAAUGAUAACAAUCUAAGGAGUGCAAAUAGAAAUAAAUAGAUAACUAGAAAUUAAAUGACAAUUCACUAAAAUUAGAGUAAUAAUAAUUAAAGGUCUAGCUAAGAAAUAACUUCAGCAAUGGUUCACCUAAUUGAUCAUCGACGCAAAGGCAAUUCCAAUUAUUUACUAAUAAAUAGGUUAUAACUGCAAAACAAGCAAUGACAGUCAACCCCUCCUUACUGUCGGUCGGUGAUUAAGGUACGCCCAAUCACUGCUCUAGUUGAGAAAUAAUUUUAGGGACGCUCGUAAGAUUUAAUUUUCCAAUUGCCUUACGUAUUAGAGGAGCCAUAAUCUAACCAAAUAACGCUACCAGGAUUAUUUUAAAUUAACCCGUGUAUUCCCUUGAUACAAAUUCAAUCAUGUCAGUUGUCACUAUUUCAAGGUAAUGAAACAAUUACGGAUUUAAUAUCCUAAUUGACAAUAGGUUACUAAAUCAAUUCACUAUUUCGAUCCAAGAUAAUCAAUCAAUUUAACAACUAAUAGCACUGCAAUCGGAGAAUAUGUAAAUACCAAUAAAUAAGAGGAAAAGAUAAAAUUAAAUCGAUCUCACAAUUUUUAAACAAAUCAAAGUAUCCGUUGUUUCUUGACUAGAAAAGAAAAUUUAGUUCAUUCCUAAUGUGAAAGACCCACGUGAGAAUUCAAAAAUAAUAUUCACGGAUAUUGUCUUGAUUCAAUAGAUUCAAUUGCGUUGGAAUAAGGAUAAAAAGCCAAACUAUAGAGAGUGAUUCAAUGUUUUGUUUCGUUUGCAUUUUUUCUACACAUAUGGAAGAAGAAAAACAACUAAAGGACGAAAAAAAAAAGUCAAAGAAAGGCACCCAAAGUAGUGCUUGGUCUCUACCAUCCUAUUUCCUAUCUAAUUACUACUUCCCUUCUGCGGCUGCCUAGAGGAAGAAAGAGAAAGCAGACUUCAGGUCUUGUUCCAUCUCCUCCCUUUUCGGCAAUUCCCCAAAAGUAGAAAAGUUCCUCCGUUUACCAAAAUGCCCCUGGAAUGAGGACUGCUACUUGAACUCAUUUUCUUGAUAACUGUCAAAUUAGCACUUGUUAUGGUAUUUGCGUCUACUUCCUGUAAUAAAUGUAAAUUGCCAAAAGUGAGUAAACUGAUAAUUAAUUUACAUCAGGUCAGGUAAUAGGAAAAAUUAAUUAUAAAAUAAAUGAUAAAAUUGCAACCUAUCACUUAGAAUAACCAGAAAUAAAACAAAACAAGAAAUGAAAGAAAUAAGAGGGUAGCAUAGACAUUUUGGAUUUUUCUGUUAAUUUGGAUGAUUUCCACCUACGGUCUAAUUUAAUCCAAAACACAAAUGGAUUAUGUGGAGAUUUUUAAACAAUGAGGGAGUAUCGUGACCGAAUCCCAAACCACAAAGGGGAUUUACUAUAUUUUACUCUUAAAUUUUGGUUUCAUCUCAUAGCAUACAAGAGUACUAUUUCACUGUCUGUCGACCAGGGAGGAGGGUUGGGUUGGGUGGUACGGGGGAGGGAGUCUAAGUAAGAGGUCUCAGGUUCGAAUCCUCCUGUUUAUACUAAAAAAAAAAAUUUACUAUCUGUCGACAAAGAUUUUCUAUGGUUGAUGUACCAUAGGAAAAAUCUGCCUAUACAAUUAUUUGGAAAAAUUAUCCAUCCAAACAUAGUCACGAUAGCAUUUUUUCAAAAACACUAGAUGCAAAAUUGUCCCCUUAAACGUGGAAAUUCAUGAUCUUUCCUCGACUAGUCUACUUGUCAAUUUUUGAAAAAAGAAUACUCACGCCAAAAACACGGCCUCUUCAUCUGCAGAAUUCUAAAAAGUUACGUAAACUCUAUAAACAAGUUGAUAGGUACAAUCGUACCCAAGAUCAAGUACAGAUAGUUGUACAUUCACUGCUGCAAUAACUAAUCUGAUGACUUACAAACACAUCAUGGUCAAUCGUUGAAUGGUAAUGAGUCUUUUGUUAUGCAUUAGUAUUAGUGUGUACACUCUAAUAGAUUGAUACUUAUACUCUUUAAAUUAUCAUAAUAAUACCCUUAAUUAACUUUAACCCUUAAAAAGAAUACGUGUUAAUACACGAGAGUGUGUAACCUGAAUUGUUACUUAUACAUUAGUGUGUAAUAGAACGGCAAGCAUUAUGGUGGUCAUUGAGCAACUUAUAGGAGAAAUAGUCCUAUAAGCUGUUCAAUGACCAAUCACAACUUGCUAAUUGGAUGACUAAUAUAGCUCUAGCUGUAAUGUUUUAAUUAAAUUCCACACUAACGUUGGGAUGACUUUUUAAUCAAAAAAAAAAAAGCCUUAGUUCAAGCUUUUCCCCUUAUUGUGCAUUUUUUAAAACAUUUGAUAGGCACUGCAAAUCUGUCAUUUUGGACAUUUUAUUAUUAACUAACAAUGAAAGCCGUGGACAUCAACCCAUAUCCAACAAAAUAUUAAAUUAAUAUUAGAAAAAUUAUUAAGUAAUUGGAAAAAAAAAAGAAGAGGCUAAUUUUCAUUGAAACCCACCGACAAACUAUCCGUGUCCAUAGCUUUUGAAUAGUGCAUUCAACGUUUAAUUGUAUGGUCCAGUUCAUUGCCGAUUACAUGGAGUAAAGAUUGUGCUCUUUCCUUUUUCACCCCUUUUGGAAUCGAUACUGUGGAGAAUUGGGUUUUUCCCUCCUUUUUUUCUUUUCUUUCCUUCUGUGCUUUGCAAAACAUACGUAAAAAUAUGAAAUCCGAAGCAUUCUUUAAUUGGGAUUAAGUAUUGUUGUUGAAAUUAAAAAGAAGAAAGAAAGAACAACAAAAAUCCCAAUCUGGGUUGAUUGUUGAGCUCUAGAUUGGCUGCAUCGUGCUUCCAUAGAAGUUCUCUUAGUGUGAUACGCUGCUUUCAAUCAGUUUUAAUAUUUAAGUAGAGUGCAAAAUAACUUUACUAUUUAAUGGGUUAUAAUGCACCAUUUGGUACCUCUCACCCACCUAUGAUUUGAUUUACUACUGGCAUGGUAAUGGACAGAGUUGGGGGAGCAGGAGGAGGGAGAUGGCGGUACCAGUCCGUCAACCACAGCACACCCUCCCUCGGACUUUGCGUGGUAGCGAAGUGGAGGCAGAUCGAGCACACAUGCACUAACGCCUUAAGUAUGUACAAUAUAUGUAUGCCAAAAGCAUAGCCAAGCCUACCAGCGCAUUUCAAUAAUAUAACCCGGAAAUUAAGGGCAUUGAAUUAAGUACGAUGAAUCAUAUUGGUGCACAAUUACAGUUUGAAGCUACCGAUUCGAGUAAAUUUAAGCGUAAGCACAAUCAAUCGCCAGUCAAAUGCUGAAAUAUGCAUAUGCAUGGAUGAAUGUAUGGGUUUCUUAGUUCCAGACCAAAGGCCAACAAUAAGGGAAGGAAGGACAGUUCUCAUUUUUAGCACGGACAAGGAGAUGAAGAAAAGUGUAUGUAGCUUGAGACAGAACAAUGGCAUGUGACCGCUCCUGAGACCACAUAACGUGGGGUGGGGAUGGGACGGCCAAGAAUGAAGAUGCCUGUCGGUCUCUCCGUGCUGCUACCAUAUGAAUCCCCCGUUAACCAAUUCAAGAUAAGCCUGAAGUUCUUUUCAUCCCCAAACCCUGUCCCAUCUGUGUAAAUCCAACAUCAUCAUUUACGACCUGCAACUCAGGUUAAGCAUGUUCUAUUGAGAUUCAGACACCACCCUUCAAAAGAUAUACUACUGUGAAACCAGCAGCUUAAUAUCAUUGUAUAAAAAAAAAAAAAAAAGAAAGAAGAAAAGACAUGAAAAGCAAAUUUUGUGGGGAUAAUUUCAAAAUCUCUCCUAAAGUUUUUUACUAUUUUACUGGCCUCCUUUCAAAUUUUAAAAAUUACACCAGUCUUCCUUGAGAUUAUUUAUCUUGUAACAUUGAGGUCCAAUCAAUAAUUAAAAAAUGAUAUUAUGAGAGAGAAAAAAAAUAAACUUUAACAUCAUAAAUAUUCUUAUCAACAUAUUAAAGUUAGUUACUGAAAUUUUUAUGGUGUUAAACUUCACUCUUUGUAAUAUUUUAGUUACAGAUUUUUUGAUUACUUGUUGUUGAUUUUUUUUUUUUUAGUGUAAACAGGAGGACUCGAACCUAAGACCUCUCACUUACACUCCCUCCCCCCGUACCACCCCAACCCAACCCAACCCUCCCCUCGUUGUUGAUCAUGUUUGACAAUGGAUUUGUAAUUGAAAAGAACAAUUUGGAUCUUACAUUGAGUGAAAUAUAUAGAAUGAUAUACUAUUUUUUAUGGCAUAUGUGAUUCAAUCCUUGAUGAUAAAAGCAAAUUCAAGUGUUUUCUUUAAUGUUUGUGCUGAUAUUAGAUUAAUUAAAUAAUUUAGUAGAUGAAGGAAAAUGGUGAAAUCAUAUUAUCUUCUCUUUCCUAAUAUCACUAUUUAAUUAUUGAUUGAACUUAGAUAUUACAAAUAAUAAAUCUCAAGGGAGAUUAGUAUAAUUUUCAAAUUUUGGAGAGAAGCUAAUGAAAUAGUCAAAAACCUUAAGGGAGGUUUACAAAAUUAUCCCAAAUUUGUGGGAAUUAGAAUAAUUGUACUGGACGGCACUGCCGCAACAGAGGGAAAGAGGAGGAGGUGCAGUUAACUUUUUGUUGUUUGAAAUCCUUGGUGAAAUAUUACAGAAAGACAGAUAAAACAGUUAGUACAUAGAUGUAUAUGACAGGGAAAAUGGUACGUCUGUUAAUCACAUUUGAAACACUUUCAUUGGUGAAUGACGAAAACUAUCAGGCUUGCCCAAUAGUUGAUCAUUGACCAAGACAAAUCUUGCCAUGCUAGAGGUACCAUCUUUUCGUACCUCUUUAGUGCACAGGACAUUCCUUUGUUUCAUCUAGCUAAUAAUCUACCAACUCAUUUCUUUGCAAAUGCACCUUUUAUGGUCACGUCUACGAAAGCUUUACAGGAUCUUUACCCAAAAAAUCAAUUCACCGACUCGCAUUUGAUGUCAAAAUUUCUUUACUUUACUCCAAGAUUGACUGUUAAUAAUAAUGCCACUUUGAAUUAUCACACCAUCCUUCUUGAUAGGAUUUGUGCUAGAGGUAGGGAGGGAGUCGCUGCAGCCGGUCUUCUCUUCAUAGACAGUACAAUAUUGCGAAAUCGAUCGCAUUCACGCAAUAUUAUAUUUCCAAGUCGUUGCAUGGGUAAGCUGCCAAAAAGUACGAACACAUGUUAUUAUAUAGCUUAAGAUUCAAAACUUUCGAGCAUAACCCUCCACCUAACACAAUUGAAUAAUGGAUAUUCACGAUUGUCAAAUCUGUCAAAGUACAGUUUGAGGACAACCCAUUCCAACCUGCAAAAGGUUUUUUUACUUUUCUAAAGUUGUUGAGAGCUGUUAAAAGAUUUACCAUGCUUACAUCUUCCGAGCCUUGGGAGUUAAAAAUGAAGGCACUGAGUGCUAUAAAAAGGGAAUAGAGGCUGCCUAGAAGCAUACCAGCCUAAAACAAGGAUUUGUAGUUAUGAUGGGAAGCAAAGCAAAAGCAAUGGGGUCUGGGCUGACUCCUCUUCUUGCCACUGUUUUAGUGGUGUUUGUUGCUCUUGGCUUGCCCUCAGAAACUGCAGCUGAUGAUCACUACAAGUAUUCAUCUCCUCCUCCUCCUUACACUAUCCCUCACCACCACCUCCAGUGCAUAUACCUCCACCUCAUCCUGUUUACAAGUACAAAUCUCCACCACCCCCACCACCACACCCAGUUUACAAGUAUAAGUCACCACCACCACCUCCUCAUCCGGUACCACACCCAGUUCCUCAUCCGGUGCCACACCCAGUUCCUCAUCCGGUGCCACACCCAGUUUACAAGUAUAAGUCACCACCACCACCUCCUCAUCCGGUACCACACCCAGUUCCUCAUCCGGUACCCACACCCAGUUUACAAGUAUAAGUCACACCACCACCUCCUCAUCCGGUACCACACCCAGUUUACAAGUAUAAGUCACCACCACCACCUCCUCAUCCGGUAUACAAGUAUAAGUCUCUCCGCCACCAACACCCAGUUUACAAGUAUAAGUCACCACCACCACCUCCUCAUCCGGUGCCACACCCAGUUUACCACUACAAGUCACCACCACCACCUCCUCAUCCGGUACCACACCAGUUUACCAUACAAGUCACCACCAAUCCUCACCCAGUUUACAAAUACGAGUCUCCACCACCUCCAGUUUAUAAGUACAAGUCACCACCACCUCCUCCACCAGUUUACAAGUAUAAAUCUCCUCCACCACCACCACCAGUUUACCACUACAAGUCUCCACCACCUCCUCCCCCAGUUUACAAAUACAAGUCUCCACCACCUCCUCACCACUACUAAGCAAUUGCUUCUGAGGUAAUAACACUUGUUCAAUAUACCCACUUCUGCAUGAUAAAGCAUAUCUCUAUCAACACAAACUGUCAUGUCUAUCAUGCUAAGUGCCUUCACUUCAUCCACCAAAAUGACUGCUAGAAAAUUUUUUUUAUGUUACCAAAGAAAGGCAUCAUUUUUUCCCUCUGUUAUCAAGAACUUGUACAGUAUAUAGAUUAAAGAGUUUUUAUUUUAACUAGCUUAUCAACUUAGAAAUGCAUAUAGCUGAUAACCAGCUGAAUAUUUGCAGGCAAAGGAGAAGGAAACCAUGUUUGAGACCUUCUUGAAGAUGUAGAAGCAUAAGAAUAAAAGCCCAAUGUGAAGAUGAUGAUUUCAAGUUUUUCUACGUUACCAUUUCUUUAUCUAAAUUGGUUGUAGCGCCCAAGUUCCUUUGUUUAUGGGAUUUGUAUCGUUUUACGUACCAUGCAGUACAUGUCAUGUUUGUAAGGUUUUCUAUCCUGCCGGCAAACCGCAGGUUCCAUGUGAUAAAUGAAUACUAUUUAUGUUACGACACUUUUCUCUGUUUCUCUUAUAUUUUGUCUUUAAUAUUCUUAAUCAUAUUUUUAACAAAAAUAUUCAAACACUUAGGCAAUCUGGUCUAAUGCUAAUUGUAUGUUUUACUUUUCUUUUUCACCUGCUCCCCUUUUCAACUCAAAAGGAUGCAAUAGUUUGUGAUCACUGUUUAAGACCGAAACAUGAUACUAAUGAAUAUCUCAUUGAAACACAAGGAAACAAACAUUAUGAAAAUUGUAAAUCUUGAUUUGAUGCAACUAUUUAUUCGUGGAAUCUAUAGUUACAAAACUCAAAUUGUGACUGCGCUAUUGAUAAAUUAUUAAUGACGCUAUCAUCAUUAUUUUUUUUUUUCAACAAACGAUAUCAUUUAUAGAUAUUAACACUUGAUCUUACAAGAAUUAGUAUAAAAAGGAGAUACUACCCUCGUAUCUGCUAAGUCAGUCAGCCAUAUUGGGAAAUUAUUCUCCCAUUCAAUAUCAUGUACAAGCUUCACAGCAUAUUGUGCUAAUUCAUGGCUGAUUUGAUUUUCAGUUCUACGUAUAAACACAAAGGAACAUCUUUCAAAAGCUAGACUAAGUUCUUGCACAUCUUCUAAGAUAGUUGCAGUCGUGUAGUCAUAUUCCUUGCAUUUAGUAAUCUGCUCAACAACUGAUUUGCAGUCUGUAUGGACUAUAAUUUUUGUCCAACCUGCUUGGGUAGCCAUCAGUAGAGCAUUUCUCUCUUCUUCUUUUUUAGCUACGAUACAUUUGUAUAACCUACUCUAUCAUAAUUUAGGGGAGGGAGAGCCCAAGGAGACUGUGGUAGGGACUAGUAGGUAUACAGACCCAACUAGAUCAAAGGAGUGGUAUGGCACAACUCUUAGAUUUUUUUCGCUGAUUGGUGAGGUUAGCCCAAGGAGGGACUUAAGUCCCUCCCUGGUGGCCACUGAGCCAUUAGCCCAGUAGUUCAGUAGAGCAUUUCUCACAGCCCGAGCUUCCACUUCACUUGCCGACCCUUUUCCCUAUGUGACAAUUCCUUUUGCUUUCAAAAGCUGUCCUUUGCAAUUCCUUACUAUAAUCCCUUGUCCAGUCCUGACUCGUUUAGCUGAUAUCGCUGCAUCAGUAUACAACCUUAUCUCUUCCUUCCUUGUCCGCACCCUCCUGUUAGGUAAGGCAUCGUUCAGCUUCCCUGUACUCUCCAUCUGGUCCGUCUUCCUUACCUGUUCAAACUCAAGCCAUUCAUUAUUUAUCCCUAGCUAGUUUCGACUACAACAGAACCAAUAUUUUUCCCCAUGAUAAACUAACUCUUGUGCUUUUUGUUUAGAAGAUGAAAGGAAAUAAUUGAUCGCAUAAUCUCUAAUGAUUACAAAAGCAGCAAAAAAAUAGUAGGACACUCUUCCCAUAGUUUUAACAAUCCCCAUGACCCUUAAGAUUUUACAUAUCGAAUGAAUUAAGGAACAUAGGAUCUUCGUGCUGCACAGCAAAUUCAUGCUUGUGAUGCAAGUACUAAAAAUGAAUCCACAUAUGCUUCACGCAUUUGGAUAUCAUCAUAGUUUUUUAAGCAUUUUUUUUUAAUUUUGUGAUUACAUUUCUUGUCUGACAGCUGGACUCAAUCGAAAACACAAGUAAACAAUAUCUCGAAGUAUGAUCAGUUGAACUUUCAAGCUUACGAAAUUGUCAAAAGAGAAAACAAAAAAUAAGGACUGUCAAAACUUUCUUAGUGAAUCUGACUUCGUAUUACGUGAUAACGAUAUGGAAUUGAUGUCAAAACUCUCUUCUCUGCAGACAUCUAACUCGUAAAUGAGAAUUUUAUAUGGGGUUUUCAUGGCAAACCGAAUUCUGAAAUGUGAAAGGAUAUCAUAUUAUCAUGCUAACCUUCUUCAAUCUUUUUUUUUUUUAUCUUGUUUCUAACCAAAAUUAGACGGAUCAAAAUUUGCAGUGUAUCUCUUAUGGAACAUGCUUUCAUAUCAUCUUCUCUUAAUCCAUAAAAGUGUGCUUUUUGCAAAUCUCAGUCACUCAUUCUUUUGCUGCCCAACUGCGGAUUAGCUAAAGAACCAUAAGCUUUCUAAUCAAGUUUUCACCAUCAACAAAACUCAACAAACUAAACUCAAAAAUAUACUCUAUUUUUCUUCUUAACCUUCAUCAGUUCUCGGCUCUCCAGUUUUCUUGAAGUACAAAUGGCUAGUUGAAGGACAGCAAAUUAUCAUCUCAUAAUAAUGUCAUCAUGACGAAUGAUCAAUAGAACAAAUAAAGGUCGCAUUAAAAUGGGAAAAAAAAUUAGGGUAUCAUUAAGCAUGCAUUGGAGCAGGAGGAUUAGGCCUCAGAAUCUAAUUAAAUGUGAAGUGAUUGGUAGGGAUCUUCGGAAGAUUACAUAUAAGACUUUGAAAGAUUUUGAAAAGUACACAUGUUAGCCAGAGAAAAUAACAGGCCGUCAAAGUGUCCCAUGAUUGGGGUUGAAUAGUCUGCUUUUACAAAAUAGGGGAGUUUCGCCAACUCAUUGAUGGUGACAUCAAGAUCAUUAUCUGACAACUAAUUGAAAAGACUUCUACUGUUUUGUACAUGUCGAGGGUCUAAGUUAUUUGUCCUAUUAUUCUUUUUUCUUGUCGAAAUUGAUUUGUUGCGAUGUUAUUAUCAUGAAUUUCAUGGCUGAGAAAUAGUUAUCUGGUACUGUUGAUUAUUCUCUCUUCUUAUUGAAAUUGUUUGUUGAGAUGUUAUUAUCAUGAAUUUCAUGUCUGAGAAAUAGUAAAUUGGUACUGUUGAUUAUUCUCUCUUCUUAUUGAAAUUGUUUUGUUGAGAUGUUAUUAUCCUGAAUUUCACGUCUGAGAAAUAGUUUGUUGGUGUGUUAUUGGAGUUAUGCAAUAUUGAUGUUAAAAAAUAUAUUUUAUAUUUUUAAUUCGGUAAGCACACAAAAUAUAAGGCUGACCCACUAUUAAAAAAAAUUAUUUUUGGACCCACUAUAAAAUUCGAAUAUUAUCAACCACCCCUGACAUCUGACUUGCUAAUCUUUUGCUUGCUAAAUUAAACUUUUGCCCACAGUUAAACACUUGACCACCCACUUUUUUUUAUAUAUAUAUAUUCUGUUCCCUGUAGGCUAUACAGAAGAACCCCAAAAAAAUGUAUUAGUUGAUAUUCAAUUUUGUGGAGGUAGACACAAUCCUGUGAAUGUAGCCUGGAAGUUGGAUGUGCGAAACUUAGAGAAGGGAAUUUUUUUUUUUUUUAUGUGUUUUGGAUAUUUUGAAGUGUGUAGGUAAAAAAUUUUAGGAAGUUUUUUGGGAUUCCUGUAGCAAAAAUUGUUAAAAAACUAGUAGGUCAAAAACUUGCUUAAAAACCUGGCUUCCAAACAUGAUGUGCCCAUUCUUGUCUAAGCCAUCAAGAAAUUCUAUAUUUCUAUUUGAUUUCAUGAUUAAAAAAAAAGAAGAAGACAAUAUCGUCUUAAAAAUUUGUCAAUACAAAUAGUAAAUACUUGUACUUCUUCUUGCAAAAAUGUAUACAUUCUUAAUAAAAUAUUCAUCAGAAGGUGUAGAGAAAAAUUCUGACCAAGAAGGGGAAAGUUUUUCCUAAUUGACAAUUAUAAUAGAUGCAAAUUUACCCCCAAGUUAGUUUAAGAGACCAUUUCUAUGGUUUAGUAGUAGCCAUCAUUCUUGAAAAAAUGAAAACUCCAAGAAAUCAAAAGAAGGGACAAAAACACUUGCCGGAUUCUUGACGGCGAGGGUUAUUCAGUAAAUAAAAAUAAUAAACAUGUGAUUUCAAUUUUCAAGGCCACCAACUUAUAUAUCUUUUUGCAGUUUUUAUUGAAAAUCAUGCCUUGUAUUUAGGAAUUGGACUUGGAGGUAUCAUUCUGCCAAACUUCUCGAUGGAUAGUUUUCAAGUAGGUACCAUUGGAUAAUAGCAAUUAGGCUCCUAUAUCUGAAAAUUAACUUUGUGAUUAGCACAAAUGGAAGGCUUUCACAAGUUAAGAUGCCACUAUUAGCCAUUAAUGUUCCCCAAAUUUAUGAUUAUCUCUUUAUCUCCACAUUGUUACUCCACCCCUAAAACCAUACGAGCAAUAAUUGAAGGAAUUUUAUAUAAAAAUUUCAAAUUCAUGAUGUCUUGUCACAUUACUAGUAUCCUAUUUGACUAGUAAAGCUAAACUAGGACUCAUUUUUAAUGCUUAUCAAAAUAUCAUAUCAAAAUUAUUGAUCGAAUAAUUGAGAAAAGAUGAUUCUCCCCUCACCGGCCAAGUCUUCUUUUGUUUUUUGUUCUUUAUCAUGUGAUUGAUUAGAUGAGCAACUGAUUAGCAAAAGCAAGACCAAACAGAUAAUUACCUACUAAUCUUACAAUGAAUCUAGAAAAGCUUACUCAAAAAAAGGUGUAGGGAAAAACAAAAGGCAUUAUAUAUCCCUCCUCCUUGUACAAGAUCAAUAAUAAUGUCUGAUAGUGGGCGCUCAAAAAGACUUGGUACAAUGACUCUCGUUACUCUACAGUCCUAUACCAGUGGCUCUGUAAAAAUUGUCCAAUUUCCCUGAAGACGUUAAUACACUCUGUAUCAGGAACUGGGUAAAAACAAAAGGAUCCCUCAUUAGUUACUGCAAAAUUCGGCCGUUAGCAUGUAGUGUAAGCAACGUUCAGCUGCCAUUCGGUUCUUCGGGAAGUUCCUGCAAUCCUUACAUGUCAAUGUUAAAACUUAUCAAAAAGAAGCAGCAGAUUGGCUACCAACAUUUACCUGAACUUCCUGUUGAAGAAGUUCUUCGAGCUGUACCCUUAUAUUGGAGAAGGAGGGUCUGUUCUCGGGUAUCGCUUCCCAACAUCUUUGCAUCAUAUUUAAGAGCUUUGGAUGCGCAUCCUUGGGAAGCUCAGGCCGAAGACCCUAGAGGGAACAUACAUCGAGUCAAUUCGACAUUAACAAAAAAAAAAAAAAAAAAAAAAAAGAAAGUAACUUCUAGGAAGAAAUGGUAAAAGUUGUACUCCUUACAUGAAAUGGAAAAAGAUUGUUAUCUCGCUAAGGGAAUUAAAAAAAAAAAUUGCAAGGCACUUAGAGACGAGACAAUUGUUCCGAAAAAAAAAAAUCAAUUUUACCAUCUUGAUUGUGUUGCCACACUCUCUGAGGAACAGUCUUACCAAAGCGCUCUAUUCAACCAAAGGAGGUAUAGCGACUAUUACUCAUAGGGUAUAGCGACUAUUACUCACAACCAAAGGAGGUACAUCACUGAAUACAUUUCUUUACAUCUUGUUACUUCAACUUCCAUUAACAAAGUACUUGCAGUUCACAACUACCUCACUUCCACCAAAAUGAAUUGUCUCACUUUAUGGUUUGUCCCAAGAUUAAUGUCUAGAUUCCCAAAACUGAAAAGUUUUAUCAGCAACCCUUCCUUUUAAGUACUUUGUGGAUCAGUGAGACUAGCCCAUCCCCCAUGUUUCCCAUCUCAUACCUAAUUAUCUAACAUGACGACCUUACAUGUUCUCCUAUUCGUCCACGUACCAUUCUAAUUUUCCAACCAUUACUUGAUAUACUUGCCUAGCCAAUAUAAAAUAUCAAUUUUGGAACUCCAGGAAAAACAUUAUCACAAACUUAUGAUGUAUCUGCAUCAAACCAGCUCUAUGCAUCACUCGCAUUUCAGUGCACAACUGACAUAGUUAACCAACAUAAGCCGCCUAACGUAUCAUUGUAAGAAAUGAAUCAUGUUGUAAAACCUGUCUGACUCCCAAGGCAGCUUGAAGGGGUGUCAUGGUGUUGUAUGGAAUCUGCAGAUACAGCAAACUGAUUGUAAAUUUUCAAAGAGAAGACCAUCCAAUGAAGUUUAAAUUUUCUAUAAAGCAUGACAAAACUCAAGAGCACCUUGGACGUCACAAGCUCCCAAAGAACAAUCGCAAAACUAAAUACAUCUGCCUUCUGAUCAUAUGGCUGGUGGUUUAUAACCUGCAAACAAGCAGAUCGAAUUUAAGAAAAAUGAGCUGUUCAGCGUAAGAGAGAAACAGACAAAUAAAGCAACUCCCGGUAGUUACUACUUACUAGGUCAUUGAAGUAACAUGAACAAUCUACUAGAGGAGUAAAAGUCAAGGGAAUAAUGAAGGAUUAAACUAUUAAAUGUAGAAAUUCUUUUCCAGGCAAUGGAUAUAUAACCAUUUCAAAGAUAAGAAAUCACUGGCAAUAGGCAUAUGUUAAAUCUUGUCUCACGAAGAACUGGAAAUACCAUAAUAAUUUGCAAUAUGAUAGAAAAAUUAAUUGCACAGAGCAACAGCUUCAUUUAAAUAGCUAUGUGGAAAGGAUGGAACCAAAUCAAGUCUCUAAAACCACAAGGAGAUCAAAAGGAUCUCCAGCAUGCUUCACACUUUUCAACAUGCGUAGUCCAAAGGUAUACGCAAAGCUGGAAAUGAUAUAUAAACUAUAGAUGGCUUCAUUAGCUUUUUAAAGAACAAGGCAGUCAAACCUCAGGAGCCAUCCAUCUGUAUGUUCCAGUCUCAGCUGUCAUCACACCCCCAACAGAUUGAAAUCGAGCAACACCAAAAUCAGCUACCUUAACAACCUUUUAAAAAAAAAAAUUAAUGAUCACUCACAUGAGUAAUAUACUAAGCAGCACGAUGAGCAAAACACCAAGACAUGCAAGAGUAAAAUAGAAUCACUUAAGAACAAGUAAAAUGCAAUCACCCGAUUAGAAUGUAAAAUAAAACCACUGAUGUCCAACAAUGAUCAGUGUAUUCUAGAUGCUAAAAGGUGGCAAGACAGCUAAUCAAGGGUUCAAGAAACAUUAACAAAAAAAUCAUUCCUGCUAGUUUGAAUGCAAUCUUGUGGAGAAUCUUUACUCAAACCGCACAUUGUUGGAGUCAUAACUCGAAAUAGAAGUUUAUCACCUUCUAAUUUGGAUUUCUCUACAUUCAUAUUCAAAAGCAGGUUUGUUUAAUCUCCAUAAAAUGAGUAGAUUCCAGAUUUUAAAUCAGUUUGUUUCUUAAAAGACUUGCAGGUCUCAGCAAAUUAGCAACAUCAAAUUGGCCCCACAGUUAAUCUUUUAGUUACAUAUUUGUACUGCACUGAGUGCAAAAGCAUUUGUCUAUAGACAAGAGUUUCUUAUAACCUGAAUAUAAUUCUUAGGACAUUAAGACAACUUUGGUCAUUCUGAAAUUAAGGUCAGAUCCCAAGAAUUUCAUAAACCCCCCCCCCACACCCAAUUUUUUUUCGUCAUAUUAUUCAUACUAGCAAAAGAUGCCUAAAAUUUGUGCACUGCUGCUAUUUCAUUUUUAGAUUGGAAGUUCACCUAAACUAAAUGGGCAUCACACAACCAUCACAGCCAUCCCAAAAGAGCAUUAUAUUUAUGGCAGUAGAAGAACUUAAUUACUUCAAAUGAUGCAAAUAUUCAUCCAAAGAAACAAGAACGGGCAACACUUGGUCAGAGAAAUGACAAGUUUUGACAUUGCAGCUGACCAAAAAUCUUCACACUCAUGUCGUAGCCAAAAAUAUUGCAUGUAACUCAGCGAAUCUAACAUCCAAAAGACAAGAAAUUGGCUAGAUUAACUCUGGUCCAAAAAAGCUAUAUUCAAGGACUAUCAGUGACCAGGAGAAAAAGUAAAGAUAUAAACAGUUUUUUCCACAUAGUCAAACAUAAGCACCAUAUUAAUUUAUCAAAAAGUGCAAAAUAGAAUUCCAUUCAGAUAAUAGUGCUAAAGGGAAGAAUUGAAUAAGCAAGAGUAUUUUGCAUUGGGUGAAAGUAAUUUUGCAUCACAUCCACUCCCUAGGGUCACUCUCAGAGUCAUAUCAAAGGAAUAAGUAUCGUGAAGCCAUCAAAAGCUGACCAGCUAUAUGGUUGGUAAGAUCAUCAGAUACUAACAAUAGGGACUUUACAACUACACAAACUGCUAAUUGAUUUUUUAAAAAUUUAUUUUCCAUGACAAACGCACAAAUACCUCCACUCUCCCCCCCCCCUUCCCUCCUACCCACUGGGAUAACAAAUCCUCCUCCUGAAUAGGAAAUCAAAAACAAGUAUCAGGAUUUAACUGAAAAAGUUUUGUUUUUUUUUUUUUUGGGUCUACAGCCAUCAUCAAAAGAAUCCAAUUGGCACAUUCAAACUACUUACUUUGGCACUAUCCAUCAGCAAAUUUGCUGUCUUUAGAUCCCUGUGGAUAAUGUUGUUUAGAUGCAAGUAUUCCAUUCCCUUGCAAACAUCAAUGGCAAACUUCAGCAGCUGUGGGAGCUUCAACACAAUAUGGUUCUUGUGCAAAUAUUCAUACAGGCUCCCCCAGGCAUGAAUUCUUCACACAGCAGCAGGAGUUAUGUCAACAAGUUACAUAAGCAUUCCAACAAGGAUAUAAGUUAACUUAGUUAUCUAAUAUGCAAAACUACAAAAUAAUGUAUAGACACCACUCAAGCAACACAUAAUACUUAAAGAGACACGAUGAAGAUGAAAAAACCAUAUGCAUCUUAACAUAAGUGUCUAAGUUCCAUACAUACAAGAUAGCAAUUGAAUUUUCAAAACAACCAAAAGAAAACAUCUUUAUUCACUUAAUUAAGAACCAACUAUGAUUAGAUUUUUUUUUCAUUUUCUUCGAGUACAGUUAGAAAAUGUAAGCAAUGGCAGAAGAUAAACAAGACAUGAAUAUAAAUAUUAGUCAGUCCCAAAGCCAUGUACCUGUAACUAUCCAAAAAUUAGGAGAUUUUGUACAUGCACCAAUAAAACGAACAACAUUUUUAUGCUGAACUUGCCUGCACUCAAAUAAACAUGUAGAAUUAGUCAAAUUGGUAACAACUUUUGCUUUGGACAUUGUAAAUGAAAUUGAAUCAUCAAAAUACAUCUGCACCCAUGCAAUUUAGCUAAUUGAAGAACAACACAAGAUGGCAUCUUCCUAGUUUUGAGAAGGGUGUAUCAAACAAAGAAACAAUGUCAUAGGUUUCUAAAGAAACCUGCCUGAGGAUAUAACAGUGCCGUAAUUACAAACUGCAAUGUGCCACCAAAAUUUUUAACUGCCUAACUACUUCAAAGGCAGGAAAAGCAUGCAUGACUUUCUUUGUUUUUCCUUUCAGAUCCCUUAUUACUACCAGCUUAACCUGCUUCAUUUCUUACUCAGUUACAUGCAAAUUUUCAACUCAAAACUUAACAAAUUGCUAAGCAAAAGAGUUUGGUCAUUCAAGCUUUCAUUUAAACCUCAAGUCAACCACGUUGAAUAAUACAAAGCUUAAAUCCUACCUCGACAUGGGUAAGAUAACAUUAGCGUUCAUACUUAAGCCCCAACCCAACUGAAGCCCCCAACCUUUAGAUAAAGAAGUUACUACAAGUUUUAGUAACAAUUUAGGAUGUCUUAUUGUGGUACGGAUGCUUAAUUCUUGCAAGACAAAACAGCAAAAUAAAUUUCUAUAAUGUAAAGGAGCUAUGGAAAUUAUUUGUAAAUACACCACAUUUACGAGCUUAACUGGUUAGUUUGCAUCAAUGUUGCUUCUCAGGAGAGCUAUCUACACAAAGAAUAAAUGAAAAAUUCAACUCAUUUUUCAUCAUUUUAUGACCAUCCAAUGAUGCAUUGACACACUUUCUGGUGCUACUGUACACAGCCUGUCACUCUUUUUCUAAGCUCAGUCCUCAAAAUCUUAAUAAGAACUGAAAAUAACUUAUUGUUGAAAGCGCAAAAUUUCAACAGACCAAACUAUGACAGGACAGUAUUUUGGGGUUUCUCAGCAAAGAUUAAUCAUCAGAGGCUCGCAUCAAUCACAAUCAUGUACCUCAAGAUAGCCACUUCUUGAGCAAAUUCAUCCUCUAAGGUGUCAUUCAAAUGCUCCGAUCUGAGAACCUUAAUUGCAACAUCUUGACCUUUAUAAACUCCUCGAUACCUUUUGCUCAAUUGCAGUUGAGAGUGAGUGACAGAAAAAAGAAAAAAAGAAACAGGAAAGGAAUAUCUUUUCUGUUUUCUUGGCUUCCAAUCUAUGCAUAUAGGAAAAAUAUGGUCAACUCACAGGUCUCCACACGACCCCGAUGCAAUUUUCUCCCCUUUUGAGCAAUCUUGUAUCUAUUUCCCAAUCAACAGGCUUUGCUUCCACAGGUAAAGCUUUUUCCACAGCAUGCUUGGAAUGUGUAGAGCCAGACCAAGAUCCCUAUGGCAGUCAGAACAGGGCAUUGUUUUAAUUUGAUUUUCACAAAGAGGUAACAAAAAGCAUAGGUAUCAUGUUUUAACAAGUGGGCACAUAUCAAAGUAGUGACAACAAAAGAAUAACAAUAUCAUCACAAGGAAAUUGAAUUACCAAAUUUCUAGCUAUUGCUUUUCUCAUUUCUUCACAAGCCUUCUGUAUCCUGACCACAAGAUUGCAAAGUCAGCAACAUUUUGACUCAGCAGAGAUCCCUGUCAUACAAGAAAUAUAAUCACAAUGCUCCUUAUAUGAAGAUUUAACAUGUCCCAUGAGAAUGAACUCAUCCAUAUUGAUAACUCAAGAGAUACUGAUGCUAUGUUACAAGAAUGGUUCUCCCUCUCCGUUGUCAUACCCGCAAAUCAUGAAGCUUUAGUGGUCAGCAAUGAACAGAAAAACCAACAUUAAGAAGUUUCACAUGAUAAACACAUUGUACAUGCAGCUUAAGGAUACAUCAAUUAUCACUUGUCCAAAAACCAAAAGAUGUAGUACCUAUAAAUGAAAUAUGGGAAAUAUUUAACAAAGGAAUGGCAUCAGCAUAACAGGUUCAACCAAGCAAUCUUCCAGCGCAUUGAGUCUAGAAUAUAGCUAAAAUGUUAAAACUGAAAUCACAGUUACCUCAGCAGGCCAUCCAUCACCACAAAAACAUCUAAAGAGUAGCCAUCAGUUGUGGAAAACACAUGAGCUUCACGGAUGUUAAGCCCAAUAUCAGAAAGCAAAGCUGAAAGCUGGAAAGAGGGACACGAAGUUUAAAGUCAUUACAAAAUGUUUAUCAGCAAAAUCAAAGCAACCAUAUCCAGUGCCUAAUGCCUAUAGCAAUUUUCUCAGAUGAAACGUAUGGUUACCCAUUUAUAUCUUAUAUCCAGUAGAUAUAGUAAGCAUGAUUAACCCGUAAGACUUUUCAGCCAUUCCAACAAAUUUAUGCUAAUAUUAUACAGUACCAUUCUCAUUAACCCUGAAAUAGUAGUAUGUCGCAAAGUUUCUAGGAUGUUUGGCCCACUAAGCAUACUAGGGAUACCACAAUUACACAGCACCAAUUCCCCUUCGUACAAAACACUUCACAAACAAUGAUAUAAGACAUAUUAGAACAAGAUAAAUACGAAUUCUAAUAAUCAUUUAAAUGCACCAAAAAGAAAUAUUAUGUGCAACAUUCCAAAACAAAACUAAAUGAUAUUACAUCAUGUAUCAUAUAAUGCAUAUGUUUGAUUCUUACAUUCAGGGACUGGUGGGCACGUGAGACUUCAGUAACAAAAGAAAAGUGUAACCCUAAUAGUAUCAGAGUUCAAAAUUGCAGCAUAUAUGGCUAUUUUAUGAGAACUAGAUACUUAGCUUAAUGUGUCCCUCGUAUAUGCAAAUAGAUUUGCAUUAUUUUCUUUCGGUUAAUAUCAAUCAGUUAUUUCAACUUCCUAGUCCUAAUAUUACUAUGGUUUAUUAGGAAAAAAAUGCAAUAAUGCAUGUAUACUUGACUCAAUAUACAAAGGUUUUGUUGCUUAGAAGAGCAGGACAAUCAAGUUCACUAUUUUCACUUUUGGAGGCUUAGAACCUCCGGAAUGUCAAAUAUUAGCAUUGAUAUCAUGCAUAUUUGGAAAAGUUAGUGUUGAACUUAAAUAUAACAAAAAUCUUUUUGAAAUUCAUCAAUCAUAAGCUUAUGAGGCAAAAUGGAGAACUAAAAGAAUUCCAUAGCCAUACUACACCAAUUUCUUCAAUUGAUAAAUUAUCUCAUUCAAGCAUUAACCUGACUGAGGAGCUUGGGCUUGUCAACAGUUGAAAAUAUUACUUCAUGGAUUGGUAUAUGUGAAACGUCCUGCCUGCACUACAGAAAAGCAAUCAAAUAACACAAAAAUCCUUGGAGUAGAAGUCUAGUAUCAUUUUAUCCAUAUGCUUAAACAGCUAAGGCCAGUGAGACUGUGGGCAAAAGAAUUGCAAAAAUGAACGAGCCAAAACUCCAAAAAAAUAAUCUUUCUUCAACAUAGAGAGAUUCACAGAUGAACAGAAAUAUACUUUAAAUCCCUUAAACUCCAAAAUUUAUUAUGGGUAGACUAAAAAGUAUUUUGGUUCGUGUAACAAGGCAACAAUCAAAAUCUUCCUUUUGGAACUGCUGCACAUGUCGAAAGCUUUCACAUCAUUAAUUCAUCUGGCAUAGAAUUGUAAUGAUGGACAGUUCCUAACUCAAAAGUAAUCAUAAUAUAAUAUUAAAUGAAGUGUUAGAAAUAGUUUUUUGACAAAAUUUUGUUCUUUUCAUCAUUAACACUACUUCUUUUAGCUUCAUAAUUAAUGGAUUUGCCACCUUAUGUUCCAAAAUCCUUUACCAUAUGUUACCUGAACACGAUAAGUUUCUGUUUUUUUUUUUUUUCAUCAGUCCCAAAAAACUCUCUCCCAAUGUUUUGAUAUGCUGUCAUUCCACGGAGAAACUUACCAAUACAGCCCAGUAGAAUCCAACUCAUCUCAUCCGUAGUUAGAUCAAUCUUAAAAAGUUAACCAACAGACAGGAAAGCAAAGUAAAUAAAGUUCGCUUAGAAACUACCUUCUGGUAAAAUCUUCAGCUGGUGUUCCCCUCUCCAUCUCAUUGGGAUACUUUCUAACAUCCAAGUUUAGGUCCUCAAGCUUACAGCAAGGUUCAAAGUCAUUCACAGAAUUCCUGUUCUAAUUUCAGUAAAUGAAAAAAGCCAAAGAAAGUCGGGGGAAAGGGUGAAGUGCAACACACACAGCCAAAAUGCAAUCUUAUUGGAUGAAACAAACUGUAAGGCAAGUAUUACAUAUCUAUCAUCCAAUAACAAAAACAUUGAAGUGUAAGACAUGUCAACUCUUACGAAUAUGCUCAAUCAACUGAAACAAUAAAACCAUAAUAGCAGUUUAAACACACCUAUCAUGCAGUUGCAACUUCCCGUCAUUAUCAUCACUACCAGGUGGCUUUGCAUCUGGAUAAACACUUAAGAUUUGUCGAUCCUCAAUAUCAUCUCCCUUGGUCCAAAAUUCUUUCCAGAGUAAUGGAGGGCAGCAAGAACAUGAAAAUAAGAGACAAGGGAUAAGACUUGAAAAAAAAUAACCAAAUCAAACAGGGAAGUCAUCACUGCUGUCAUUGCAACAAGGUGAAAGACUACUAAAGAGAGAGAGUUGGGCAAAAGUCCAUGGAUCACCAAGGAAAGCAUGAAAAUAAGAUCGCUACAACUAAGAAGAGAGAGAGGUACAUAUGUCACAUUUAAUUCUUCUUUUUAAACAAUCUUCAAAAUUAAAGUAAACAACUCAUUAUUUAGGUUUAUGUUAUAGAUAGAAAAACGAUUUAAGACCCCAACUGGAAGAAACAAAGAAAAAGUAGACUUCAGUUUUACAUUUAAAAAAAAAAUCUCCAGUAAGAAGGGAUUGAAGUAGCAUUUCAGCAUUUCAAAGUUACUCUCACACUCAUUUUUGUGUGAUUUUUGUGCUUUCUUGUGCCAAGCAAGGUUAAAGAACGUGGCAAACAUCAUAAAAAUUUUCAUGGAUACCCUUCACUUUGUAUUUUCAGAUGAUUAGCAUUUGUAGCACUUUCAACAGUAACAGUAGUUAUUGCACCAUAAUGGUAUCUUCUUAUACAAUUUCACCAAAGUCUUAACAAAUCCUUCAGAUUAAGGUACUUAAACUGCAAAAUCUACCACAUACUGCAAAAGUAGAGUUCAAUCCAGCCUCAACCAUGUGCAGUAUUCUAACUGCUCAGAUACAUCAUAUUGACACAAAUUAAAGAAUUGUCAUAUAUUGUGUCUUUGGGUAGCAAACUGGUAAAAAUGAGAUCGAUAACAUUAUACAGUGCAAAGUAUCACAAUCAAUAUUUUGAGCACAGAGAGUGGAAUUAUAGCCCUCAUUAAAUCAAGGGAUGUAGUUCAACCAGAAAAUGGGAAUUAAAGGCCAUGAGAAACGUUAAAGGAAACAAAUAGAAGGGUGAUGCUUACCAACCACAAGUGAAAAACAAGAGAGCAACACAUCUGACAAGCAGUGUUACCUCUAAAAACCGAAUAUGGAAAACGGGACAAUUUUCAGGAUCUCUUGCCAUAGAAAGAAGCUUCUGAUGCAGCAAUACAUCUUCCACUUUAUCCAUAUUAAUGUCCAAUCCAUAGCUAGAAACAACAAAAGCACAAGAAAGUCAAUAAAUUCCUUAGAUGACAACUCUUAUUCUCUUCGACCAGCAGAAUGCCUUCAUGCUCUUGGUGACCAUCAUUUAGAACCCUUCCCAAUAUCGGUACUUCGGUACUUCAUAAAAUCACAAUUUCAACACCCAAUGUAAAUGAAAAAAAUUUAGCAACUCAUGCUUCCAAAAACUUGAUACACACAUACACCAUAAUCUAAAAGAGAGUAUAACAGAAAUCCAUAAGCCGCAUCAUAUAACAUUCUAAACAAAGAUAAGACAAUCACAAAUCAUUUAGGCUAGUUCAAAUAGACACCAACUUCUACAGCAAAAGCACACACAUGGCCAAGCCAUAAAACAAGUCAAUAUCUAUAUAACUAAGAUGAACAAAAUAAUAUCUUUAUAAAGUUCAAUAAUUGUUAAGUAAUGCCAAGUAUCACCUUUUGCAUUUUAUACAGAUGACGCACUAGGCUAUAUUUGAACAGCUUCGUUGCCACGUUACUACAAAAUGUCGAAAACGAAUUCAACCCCAAAACUGCCUUUCGCAUCACAAUUAAGCAGCAAUCAGCCACAAUUCAACAAUUCCAAUUUUCAAAAAUUACCAAAAAAAAAAAAAAGAAGGGAGAAGGAGAAUAAAAACAACAAUACUAAUCCAAAACAGGAAACCGAAACCAAUUCCACACAAGCAUUGCAUAAAUACUUUUAAAAAAAAUCUCCACAUAACACCCGCACUAUGUGUCAGUGUGCGACUGCGUGUACCCUUAUAAACACUAAAAAAAGAAGUUGAACAAGCUAAAGAAAAAGCAUUAAUUCAUGAAACAACUAAAAAUAAAGAAGAAAAAUACCUAGCAGGCAAGCUGUUGAAGUGAACAUCUAGCAGCUCCCGCAACUCCGGAUUAGAAACCGCCUCAUCAUUUCCGCUCUCCACCAACCGAUUGUAAACAUCAUUUCUUAUAUCAUAAGUUCCGAAACCACCAAAACUCCUCGCCGGUGAAGAGCUCUCACCGACUCCUUCUACCAAAUCCAUAUACAGUUUUAAAAAAUUAAAACAAAAAACAAAACAAAAAAAAAAAAAACUCCUUUUCUUCAAAUUUCUAUACGCAUAUUAGCUCAAAUUUGCUAUUUUCGAAUAAAUUCUUUUUACAUAUCUGUUGCGUGGGAAAAUUCAUCACCAGCUGAAGCUUAUGCUAAGGAAGAAGACUGAGGUGAGGAUCUCUGUUGACGGUGGAGUGGGAAAGAGUUAGAGAGUAAAGAAAGGGAAGGGGGGUGGGAUGAAAUUUUAGUAAGAGUAGAGGGUAUUUCUGUCAUAGCGUAGUUUUGAUGCAAGAAAGUCGAGGGCAUUUUUGUCAGGAUGGUUUUGACGUAACAAGAAAAUGGAGGUCUUUUCCCGGUUUUGUCCCGGCAGGGCGAGUCGUUUGAGAGGGCAAAUAAUUUAUUUAUUUGUGUUUUUAAAGGUGCAGUAGUGCGUGAGAGAGCAAGCGAGACCACGAGGCGUCAUUUUAAUUCUUCAUUCUUUUUUUUUUUUGUUAUAUUAAUAUUAAAUAAAAAAGUGGAUGGGAUAGGAUUGAGGCACAUCACAUAGGUACGGUUUUUCCUUUUCUUUUUUUUUUCCUUUUUUUUUUGUGAUAGUUUUUGUGAUUAUUGUAUUGGAUAUGUUUCUAAUGUACUGUGCAUGCGGCCUUUUAUGAAUUUGGACAAUAAGAUGCUUUCCUUAUGAUUUGAAAGGGCACUACGGAAUUUAAGGUACAAAAAGUUUGAAGUCAUUUGAAGAAUGGAUAAUGUUGGUGGAAAAAAGCAUAAUGUUUGUUUGGAGCGUAAUAAAAUUUGGUAAAGUUGAGAAUUUAAGUCACAGAAUUUGAUCGAUUUCGUCAAGCUAUGCUUGGACUUGGCUUGAUGAUUUGACGUUGAGAUAAAGAUUCCAUUACGCUUGUUCACUAUGUCUGGACUUGGCUUGAUGAUUUGACACUGAGAUAAAAAUUCGAUCUAUGUAUAUGUUUGUUUACUUGAGUGGAGUUGAAAUUGAAAUACUAGUUCAAUUGAUUAUUCACAGCAUGAAAUAGAUGUAAAUAAAAAUUGAAAUUUAUAAAAGAUCAACUAGGUUAACAAACUCGCAAGUUAUUUGAGUCAAUCGUUCUACGUACUUGAGUAGUUCGAUUCAAACUUGCCCGAAGUUUAGGUCUAAUUAAGUCCCAAGUACAAGUAAACCGAAGUUGAAUUCCAAUGUUUGGAUAACAAAUUAUUUUUUAGAUAAUUUUGUGAAAAAAAUACUGUAACAUUUUUUUAAUGUGAAAUAUGUGAGAUAGAAAAGAUGACGACUGAAAAAUGUGUUGAUAGUGCAAGUAAGUCUGUGUGUGUAAAAUAAUGUAGAAAUAACGUGUCUUCUUUUUCUUUUUAGCUACGAGGGAGCGACGAAGUUUUACCUAAAAAGUUAUGAUUUUGUAUACGUAGUAGAGCGGUAAAUUUCAACGGAUGUCUCUUUUCCUUUUUAUCUUUUUCCACAUGUAGGUAAUAAAGAUUUCAAAUAUUACUGGUAAUAGAACAUAAACCAAAGUGCAAAUAUUUUUAACUAUGUAGAAUUCUACGUAGUUGGUUUAUCGCUAAUAUAAAAGUUUCUGAGAAAGUAAAGCUGAAUGGAUUGAGGUUCAAUAAUUAAAGUCACAGGCAACGUUACGGAAUUGAAAGUAAAAAAUUAAAGAGCUCAUAAAAAUCUUGAAUUCAUUGGCAAUUAUUACGUAGUCAGGCGGCAGCUUUGUUUGGAAAUGCUUAUGGUAAUAUCACCCGCCGCCGUUUCUACACCCAAAACCGCGUUCCAAAAAUUUGUGUAUAAAAAAAAAUAUAUGUAUAUAAAUAUAAGCUUCUAAAAAUAAAAAAUACGUAUAAAUUUACUUUCUUUCAUUCGUUUAUUGCAAACAAUCUUAGCAUGUAAAUAAUAAUAUGUUCAUUCCACCACACCAUGCACCUCAUUGUUUAAAUGAUCAGUUAGUACAUAAAAGAGACUUAAUUGUUCAAUAAUUUAAUGGGUAAGAUGCAGCUUAUCGCAGAUUAAUAAUACCACAUCUUAAAGCGUUUUCAAUUAUUAUUAUUUUUUUAAGUAGGGGCGGAGUGAAAUUUGAGAAUUGAAGAGGGAAAAGAGGAAUUAGAACUCAGGACCUCAACUUUAACAAUUAAAUUAGGGCUUCCUUGAUUAAAAAUAAAAAAAAUGUCUUCAAUUGAUUAAAUUUGUGAAAUUGCCGUUUAAAUUCUAGAAAUCCUAAAGUUACUGAUGUGGACCUUUUAUGCUAAGUUGGCACAUUGGAAAAGUAUCAGUAAAUAUAAACUAUGUUCAAUUUUGAGAAAUAACAUAUUCGCAUAUUGGUAUGGGAAUAACAUUAUGGAAAAUUGAAUUAGAGAAUUCACACAUACAAACUCCUAUCAAAAUGGUGAAAAUUUUAUGCACUUAGUUAUUAUGCAAGUUACCUAAACACACACACACAUAGAGAAGAAUUUUCUUCACCAAGAGCAGAAAAAUUAGGAAAAAAAAACUCAAAGAAGUUAAAUUUCGACCUAUCGAAGGCGAUGGUAAGGUUUAGCCAUUAUGUGUUUUUUUUUUUUUUUUUUUUUUUUGUGGAAGGGGAAAAGAGGGUUUGGCCAUUCUAGUAGUACAAAAAGGUGACUGAGUUUAUAAGGACCCUUAAUUUGUUUAAUUAAUUUCUAGGAUGUGUCCACUGUCCAGAGUCCUUAAAGUAUUGGACCAGACAUAGAGCCAUCACCAAAUCAAAUAUUUCAUCAUUUAUGUCACAAUCUCGGAGUACUAUUUUGUGCUUAACCACGUAAUAGUUAGUGACCUGCAGAUCAAAUGGAGUUGGUAGCAUAUUUUUAUAUGAUCCAAUGCAUGAUAAUAAAUCCGAGGAUAAAGCAUAUACCUUUUGCGAAGUUUAUCCUUUGAUCUAGUUAUUAAAGUCAUCAAUAAGGACAAGUGAUGAGUAUUUGUUACUAACAAAGGAAUUAUAUAUCUCUCUACUUUUUGUAUCUUUCAAGGUAACUCAAUCUCCAAACUUUGUUACUAAAUAUGAGACUCUUCCCACAAGUAAUAUAUAAUUAGAAUGUGAAGUAACAUAUAAAAAAUCUUAGGGUGCGUUAACUAUGAAAACUGAAAUCUGAAUUCAUUAAGUCGUUGAAUUGUUAAGUACUGAACAUUAACUGAUAAGUAAAUAGCUUAUCAUUUAUUUUUAGAAGCAAAUUUUGUCUAAAAUAUUCAGUGCCACCUAAGUAAUUCAAAUGAUCAAUUUUUGGUUAUCAAACGCGUCUGAAUAUGUUAAGAUUCGAAUCCAUUAAUUGCUAAAUUAAAUAAUCAAAUAGGAUCCUAGUUAAAGAACAUUUUUCGUAGAACCAAAAGGUAGACAAGAAAUAUCGUCCAACAAAUUUGCUCAACUCAUUUGAUAGUAAAACGUUUAGAAAAGUCCAAAUUAAAUCUGCCAAACCAAUUUCGUCCAGGCACUAUAGUAAUGCACGGAAUUUCUAGAUACACUUCAUUUAAAAUUUAGAGUAAAUGUUAUAUAUAUAGGGAAAAUAGCCAAUUUCAUCCCUAAACUUUUUACCAGUGUUGAUUUACUACCUAACUUUUAUUCCUAACCAAUUUGAUAUGUGAACUUAUUUUGCAGUUCCAAUUAAGGACUUUUGUGGUAGCUUCACCACCUAAAACUAAUAUGGCUCUUUAUUGAUCAACUAAACAAGGGUAUAUUGGGAAAAUCACUUAUGGGGCUAUAAUAAAUCAAGUAAAUUGUGUAAAAAAUCACAAUAUUAAAAUUUUAAAAAGUUUUACCUAGUGAUUUUUUACACGAUUUACAAGUUUUAUUUGGUGAUUUUUUAUACAUUUUACUUGUUUUAUUACAGUCUCGUGAUAAUACUCUUGUUUAAUUAGUCAAUUAGGAGCCAGAUCAGUUUUAGGGUAGUGGUGCCACUACGAAGGUCCUUCAUUGGAACUACGAAAUAAGUUCAAGUAUCAAAUUAGUCAGAAAUAAAAGUUUGGGAAUAAAUCGACACUAACAAAAAAUUUAGGGACGAAAUUAACCAUUUUUUCAUAUAUAUAUUGUCAGUCAAUGUAUACAUUAUCACAGUUAGAUGAAUGGCACAUAAGUUAAAUUUGAAUUUUAAAUUCAUGUCAGGUUUAGUUGUCAUGUAUCUAAUAUUAAUAGUUCAUAUACUGUCAGUGUAUAUAAAAUUAAUCCUAAAAUUUAUAAUAUCAACUAGACAAAUGCAACAUUCCAAAUUUCUAACUUUGCCCUCAUUGAAAACGAUAAAUUCUCUAUGUGUCAAAACCGAUGUUUAAGCUAUACUGAACUUGUCUCUAGAUCAUAUAUUAAGCUAUAUAAUGUAAUUUUUAUAUUUUGUAACUCUAUUAAAUCUAAUAAUGUUUUAGAUCAAAUAACAUGUUCUAUGUAUUUUCUGUCAUUAAUACAACUAUCUUUAUUAAACAAAUCGUGAUAGACGAUUUUCAUCUGGUUUAUUAAUGGAUUUUUCUAACAAAUGCCCACUGGGCACUCACUAACUCAUCUAACAUUUACCUAACCUAUCAUAUAAAUACACAUACUAACAAUUAUUACUGUCUCUUACAUUUACAUACUUUUCUUAUUUAAUCUUACUUAUCCUCUCUUAUAUUCAUUUACUUUCUCUAAUUAAUUUUACAUUUCCAAAGAUAUGACACUUGAAAUAUAUCUUAACAAGUAUCCUAUAGGCACCCAUUAGACAGAUCAUUUAUUAAUAAUAUUGGCUUCUAUUUUAUAAAAAAAAAAAUUGUAUCCAAGCAUUAACUAAUGUCCAAAAAAAAUUCCAAAUUGUACCAUAUAUAUAAUAAAACAGAGCCAAUAACAAGAUGCUACCAAAAGAUGCCUGCGUUACCAAAGAAACGACUUGACUUCUCCUAUAAAAAUAACGAGACCUGAAUUCUAAUUAAAGUUGGAGAUUAUCCAAUUAAUUGGACUGAAAAUCCUUUUUGCAUAUUAACAAUUUCUGCCCUUGGAAUUGCGAUUCCCUAUUUCCUUUUGUGACACUGUUUUUCAAAGAAACUAAGAUGGCAUUAUGAGUUCAGAAAGGAGGAAAAUUUAGGGGUGGCAACCCAUUGCCUAUUAAUUAUCCCCAUCCCCUGCCCCUGACUUCCCCGUCCCGCCCCGAUUCCCCGCAGGGGCACUCGCGGGUUAAAAAAAAUUUAUUAUAUAAUUUAUUAUAAUUAAAUUUGAGCAAAUAAUUAAGUACUAAAAUAUCCAUACAUCACCAAAUUAUUAUUUAUUGUAACUUCACAAUUGAAACUCAUAAAAAAAUUAAACAAAAGUUAUUUGAAUACAAUCUAAUAUAAAAAAAUAUAUAACUAAAAUAAUCAAGUUUUCACUUUUGAUACAAAUACAAUCACUAAAUUAUUAUUGUGUUUUUUUAGAAAAAUUGUUAUUGCAUUAAGUGUAGUUAGAAAUUUAAUAUAAAUGUAUUAAUAAAUUUAGUAUAAAUAAUUAAUAAUUUUUCUUAAUAAACAUAUAUAAUUAGUAGUAUAAUUGAUAAUAUUAUUAUAUAUAUAAUUAUAUACAUAUAUAUAUUUUGUUUCAAACGGGUGGCGGGGCGGGGGAAUAUACCCCCCCCCCCCCCGCCUCGUUUCAAAAUAGGGGGAAAAUUUCCCCCCGCCCCAAUAGUCCCCGAGGGGCACCCAUUGCCACCCCUGGAGGAAAUGCAGGGUAGAAAACAAGAAUUCAUGGGCCUAUAGUCAUUUUCUAUUUUGAUAAAAUGAGUGAUUAACAUCACUAUGGAGAUAUAGUUGAUUAUUUAGUGGUCAUAUAGAUAAUACUGGAUUGGUGAAAUAUUAGCUAUAUAUCAAAUGUAAUGAAAUUACCACUCAGUUAUCAAAUAUUGAUUUAAUGAUCACGUUAAUAACAUGUAUUAAGUCAAAGAUCAAUAGCAGAUUACUUGAGAGAUAUCCACACACGCGUAUUCUGAAGAACAUUAUAAGACCUCACUUUUGGUAUCAUAUGCAUCAAAUUUGACAUUGGAAGGUAUAUACUAGAUAUGUGUGUACACACACAGACACAUGGAUGCACGCACACACACACAUACAUACAUAAAAAUAUAGACAUAUAUACAUACAUAAAUACAUAUGUGUGUGUGUAUGCAUAUAUAUUUUUUAAUUAAGCAUUUCUUCUACUAAAUAGAACCCAAUUAGAUGCAUGUUGAAAUAUAUGUAUGUGUAUAUGUGUAUGUAUCUAUGUAUUUUCUAGUAAAGUAUUUCUUCUACUAAAUAGAAGCCCACUAGAUGCUUCACUGUCACUCACUCUUGAAAUUAUACUAGACCAAACUGGUUCAUUUUGUGAAUGAAAACCCUGUGUCCAUGAACCAUACCUUUAAUCAAUUAAAUUUGACAUCUGCUACUUCAAAGCCAUUUUCUGCUUCUUUGAUGGAGGAAUAAAACUAAAAAUAACUGGAAUUCCACUUCUGGAUAAUGACAGAUAAAAGUGGAAGGCUGGUGCGACAAAUCGAUGCUGAACAUAAUUGAUCAGAUUUCAUUCUCACGAGUGUUUUCGCUUUAUAAGAUACUACUGCCCCAUGUGUUUAUUAAAAAGAUCAUUGUCACCCUUAGAAUUCAGAACUGUGAAUCCGCAGGUGAUUUGACAUAUGCGGGCUUAUAGUUGAUAGGCAUGGCCAUUAAUAGGAUUUUCUUGAAGGUUUGGAUCAACAUUUGAAAAGGGUUUUACCUCUGUAGUAACAUGUAUCAUACUCUAAUCCUAAGAAAAAGAGAUUUUUUUUUUUUUUUCUGUUUUCUUGAAUAAAAUUGUUACAAGGGAGGGGCAAGUAAUAGAGGGCAGAAGAAUUGAACCUUGUUCAGGGAUGAAACGUAAAGGCUCUUUAAUAUAUUCGACUCCCAAUAUGAUAUCUUGGUACAUAUGCUGUACAACCAAAUCAUACAAGUUGUUAACACUUUAAGCAUGAACUUUGAGUGUGUGUGUGUGUGUGUGUUAAAAUUGGAGAUUGCAGCUCUAAGUUUUGCUAUUAAGUGAAUGACUAUUCCAAUAAGAUAUAUCGAACGUAGAGUUGAUAUCUUGCGUGAGUUUACUACUACUACUUCCCUGCUUCCACUAAUUGAGUUAAUACAUAUGCUUGAAAACUGCAAUCAACAAAAAUUUGCUAAACUGCUAUUUGUACCUCGUGUCAUAAUAUGUACAAGUAAGCUUAAAAGUUCUUCGCACAAGGACUGAUUCCUAGGAUAAAAUUUCAUUUGAGAUUUAGCCAAUUAAAGGGAAAAAAGUUUUAAAAAAUGAAGAAAAAAAAACUUUCGAGAUGUUAACUUUUUAUGGUUCAUCACAACAGUUCAUUCUCUUUAAAGGUAAAUAUGAGGGGGAAAACGAAGAGAAGAGAAGUAAAUUAUAUCUAUCUAAAUCCAAAAAUGGAUGUGAAAAAAAGGAAAGAAGCGUCCAUGGUAAAAGCAGCCAAUAGUUGAUUAGUGCAUGCACCUUUCAACUCAUGGAACAUGGGUUUUAGAUGGCCUAAAGGGUAGAGAUGGUAAUUUUCGACACAACUCGAAAACACGACACGAAUCUAAUAUGAAAUUAAUGGGUUUGGGUUGAGGUUACGGGAGUUCGGGUCAGAAUUGGAUUGAACCCGAAAAGAAAACAGGUCGAUUUCGGGUCAAUCCGUGGUGACCUGAUAUGGCUCGAUAUGACUCGUUUACGAAUUAAAAAUAAUUUAAUAAACAUAAAAUAAUUUUAUCUAACUAAACUAAGUUAAUCUUUUUUUUCAAAGGCAUUAAUUACUUAAUCCUAAAUGAAUUUAUUUAAUUUGUAUGAAGUUGAAAUUAUUAUAUUUGGACAAAUAUUAUUUUUGCUUUUAUACUGUUUUAAUUUUUUUAUAUUUUGUUUGGGAUCAAACACUUUUACAGUGUUUAAUUUAUUUUAGAUUUGUUUGGAAUUAUUUAUUUAAAUUUUUAUUACUUGAUUAUGUAAUUAGUUUUGUGAGAAAUUGAUUUUAUUAGAAAUUACAGUGAUAAAUUAAUAAAUUAAAAUUAAGUUUCGGAUCAUUUCGCGAUCAGCCCGUCAAUCCGAAAUUUUCGAGGGGUCAACAUACCUGACCCGUCACGGGUUUGACGGGUCGAAUUCGAAUCAACAGAUUUUCUGACCCGACCCGCCAAUCUGAUUUGGAUCGAUUGCCAGCCCUACCUAAAGGUUGUCACAUCACGCGCACAAUGUCCUCUCAGGGUGCCAUGGGGCGCUGUUGUUCUCAUAUUCUUCUGAACAAUAAUUGCAUUUUAUCCAAAACUUAUCCUUAUUUAUUUGGGGGACCCUGUACUAGACACAACCCACUAAAUAAUCAAAUGUUAUUCCCUUUGAUAGGAUGCGUAAUUGUUGAUAAAUUUAUAAAUAUUUUUCCUUGAUUUUGGUCAAAUAUUGUAUUAAUUAGGUAGAUUUUACUCAUAUAGUUAGUUAUUAGUGUUAAUUGUAGAAAAGUGAAGCAAAAAAAUAGUUAACGGAGGCAAUUUUUCGGAAGAUCAUGAACCAGUUUGGCAUGGCGCGUUCAAGACAUGCUGUCAGGUCUGGAAGGCUCGGGAUUUUUCUUGCCCGUGGAGGUUUCUUAGUUCGAGUUGAACUCCGUGCAGAUUUUGACUGAAAAUUUAAAAAAUAUCUUUAUUAGUUAUAGUAUUUGAUUAGGAAACAAGGGAUAUUAUCUUUUGUAGUAAUUAGGAAAGGUGCUUUAUUUCUUUAAUAGGUACAAUUUAGGAGAUAAAAUAGGAAGAGGGUCCGCUGGCUAUAUUAGUAGACUAGUACUUCCGAGGAAAAACAAGGAACUUUGGCUCGUGAUUGAUUAGUCUUGGCAGGAACAAGAAACAAAAGGCUAUGUUCGUUUUUGGUUUCUUAUCGUCGAAUGUUCAUGAAACUUUUGUCAAUGAAAUUGUUUGAAUUAUUUCCAACGAUGAGCGGCUAAUUUCUUAUUCUAGUCAAAGGGUAACGAAGGAUUUAGUUCAACUACAACUGCAAGAUCUAAUUAUUCUUAUUUGUUUCUUUUAUUCGUUAAUAUUCGUUUAUUUUUCGAUUUAACUUCUCAUAACUGUUUUAUUGUUUGAAUAUUAAGGGUCCGGUAUUUAAUUCAACCUAACAAUUUAUUACCAAUUAAGACAGUUAAAUCCGUAAUUGUUUAAUUAUUUUAAAUUAGUGGCGACUAGCGUGAUUUGUUUCGUGUUAGAAAAACAUAUAGUCUAAUUUAAAUAAACCCUGAUAGCGUGCUUUAUUGAUCAGAACAAGGUUUUUUUAGUUUUUAAUACAAUCAAGAAAUUAAAUUUUAUGGGCGUACCUAGUAUUUUUUCUUAGUUAGGAGAAUAUUAACGGGUGUACCUUAAUUAUCGAAAAAGUAAGAAAAAAUUGAUUGUCAUCACUUGUUUGGCAAUUAUAACCUGUUUAUUAACAAAUAGAUGAAAUAAUUAUUGCAUCAAUGAACAGUUGUAUGAACUACUUUUGAAGUUAUUUCCUUGGUUAGAGUUUGUUUAUUAUUGAUUUAAAGUUAAUCUAUUUCAGUGUAAUUAUUUUUAUUUACGGUAAUUAUUUAUUUUAAUUUCAAUUUCUCACACCUCCGAUUUAAUUUUUGCUUGGAAGGAAAUAAAUCAUCCAAUCUCUGAGGAGACGACCUUAUUCACCGUUAUAUCUAAAUUUAAGUUUUUAGAGUAGAAAUUUUAAUUUUGGUGGUUUGACAUCCAUCAAAUUUUAGCACCAUUGUUGGGGACUAGUGCCUUUUCGAUUUAUUUUCUUCAAAAUUUUUAUUUUUAUUUUUCUCUUUUUUUUAACUAAUCUAUGACUGCUAAUAUUUAAUAUUUUGAUAAUAGAUUGGAUUUUAUUCUUAGGAGGGUUAAUGAGAUUCGUGUCUCUUCUAAUGAUCAAUAUUUAGAUACACUAACCUUUCUUGUGAAAAAAUUGGAUGUUGUAAUUUGUGAAAUUUGUUAUGUUUUGAAUCAUUCAAAUCGCAAGUUCCUCCCCCGCCCCGUUGCCAUUCCUUUAGCGCAAGAGAUCUUCUGUGUCACAUCCUAUCCCACUUCUUCUAAUCUUGCCAAGUGUCUCUUGAUAAACUAAAUUCUCAAACAACCCAACCUGAACCAUGUUAAAUUGAUUAAUCGAUUAAUCGGGCAGAGAAACUUAAUCUCUAUAACCAAAACCGAUUAAAAUAAAACUAUUUCACAAAAUCACAAUUUAUCAAGGGAAAAAAGCCCUAAAACUCAGUUUAACAUCUGGCCUCUCGUCAUUUUCUUCAUCAUCUUCACCAUUAUCUUCCAAAAAUCACUCACAAUUCACACACACAAAUUGAUGAUCCGUUGCGCACAAAUUGUUCAAACUUGAAACAGACAAAUUGAUGAUCCAAGUUAGACUAUCUUUCUCACGCCCACAAACACUCCCGCAGUAGACUAUCUUUCUCCCCCAUUCACACACAAAAAUUUUGUAGACUAAAAUCUAGUAGGAAAAUUCAAGAUUUUUUAGAGGAACCCAAGUUUUAUUUUCCUUUUUCCUUGGUGGGUUUCUUCGAAUACCAGAUCUUCUUGUAGAAUAUAUUUAGUUUUAGUGUAAAUUUGUACUGGGUAAUGGGUACACAAUUCUUUAGAACUAUGGGAGAAGUAACAGUCACAAUUCUUUAGGCUGUGGAGUUGUUGGCGGUGCAAUCUGGAGGGAAGCCCUGAGGAAAACGUUCGGCAUCUGUACAAUAAUUGUAUAUCUUGUAAUUCUGCUGCACCCAUUUCAAUCUAGCUUGACUAGUGGCAUCAAGUUCCUGAGAGAACCAUGGCUUUGUGGAGUUUGAUCCACAAGAAGAUUUCCCAGAGCUCCAUACACAAGCACCGGCCUUGAAAUUUCUCAAGGAAGCAGUAAAGGGAGACUGUGACCAGUCAGUCUUGACAAGGCCGCCUCCUGUGGCCCAGUCUUCUGCAUCCCGUAGACUAGUGUAUACCUUCAUCGGCUGGUUCUUCGGAUAUGGAAUCCCCUUACUUCCAAAUUCUAAUGCAGGAAAAAUCUUCAAAUUCCAAAUCAUCUUGGUGGGUUUAUUCAAAAUUGCGCAACGGAAGUUCAACUGGGUUUGUUUCAACGGUGAAGAUGAUGACGAGAGGACAGAUGUUAAACUGAAUUUUAGGGCUUUUUCCCUUGAUAAAUUGUGAUUUUGUGAAAUAGUUUUUAUUUUAAUCGGUUUUGGUUAUAGAGAUUAAGUUUCUCUGCCCGGUUAAUCGAUUAAUCAAUUUAACAUGGUUCAGGUUGGGUUGUUUGAGAAUUUAGUUUAUCAAGAGACACUUGGCAAGAUUAGAAGAAGUGGGAUAGGAUGUGAGACAGGGUGUGACACAGAAGAUCUCUUGCGCAUUCCAACAACAAGUGCCCCGUAUUUCAAGAUGAUAUGAGUACUCCAAUUAAUACUUUUGGAGCUUUCCCAACCCUGUCUCAAAUGUGGUAUAACCCUUAUUCAAUCAUGUAUAAUUAAGAAUGGUGAAACAACUCCAACUUUAAUUAUGCAGCAAGGUCAAUAGGUUUUCAAUAGCAACAAUCAUCAUCCACGUCAAGUAUGUCUUUUGAAAAAAUUAUUGAAUUACUAGAUACUAACACAUAUCAAUUUCAACAGGAAACAUAUCGAUUUCAACAGAAGACAAAAAUAAGAAUUAGAAAUUUGGCGGAUCAAAUGUGUCCAUUAGCAUCUAUAGUGAGGCAAUUGGUUUCUCCAAUUUGUGAAAAAUUGCCAUCACUGACCAUUAUCAACCUUAAAAAAGAUGAGAGUGUAAUUAUCCCAACAAGUGAUAAAGAACUACAAGAUUCUCAAGAAGAAGGAUCUAAAAAUGCAGCUGAAAAGAAAGAAAUGAGACUCCAACAUUAGAUUGCUCUUGUGAACAAAUCCAAUGAACAAUUCUCAAAUGUUGUGACACCUCCUUUAUUUCCUAACGAACAUUCUCCUAACUCUUAUUCUGUGAUUUCUAUUACGGAGAUUGAUUUUGUUAUAUCAAAAAUUUUUGAGUUUCAUAGGAGAAGGAAUAAAUUAGAAAUUGCAAUGACCAAAUAUCUUGAAUUGAUAAUUACUCAUGAUGGAGGAGUGAGUGAAGAAUUAAAAUCAGUACUUACUUGUUUUGAACCAUCUACUAGUCAAUAAAAGAAAAUAACUCAUAUGCUUAAAGAUUACUCUAUUUACGAAAGUUAUCAGGAUUACAUAGAGAAUGAAACACUGAAACGAACUAUAUGAUUUUUAUCCUCCUUGAACAAACAUGAUAAUAUCUAAUAAAAAAUAUUAAAGAAAAGCACUUAUUGAGAAACAAUCUAAUUAAUUUUUAGUUUAUUUUUAUUACUUUUAUUUUAGAUUUCUUGUAUUUUAUGCGUUUAAUUUUAAUUUUGUUGUUUUACUAGACAAAAGACUACUACGAGACAACCUAACUAACUCAUUAGUUGUAAAGACGUGUUUAAAAAUUUUAGAAGAUUACUGGACAACAAGACGUGCCCAUAUUUAUGAGUUGUGAUGGCAUUGAUGAGUUGAAAAUGUUUAAUCAAAAGAUUCCUUAUAUUUUAGGCUUGCCCGCAUCUAAAAUGAUUGAAGAAUUUGGUGGCUACUUUGCUUCCAUUGGUUUCACCCCACCUUUUGCUCCACAUCCUUAGCAGUGAGGUGCCCUCCUCCAUGUGCAGGAAAGUUUCAUUGUCCCUUUUACUUCAUCUUUUGAUAUUUAUUUCUUACAUUGGGAGCAAUGUAAGGAUCAGAUGUGAGGAAAUAGUAUACUAGUAAAGUGCAAGUGUAACCAUUAUGACAUUUUUGUUGAAAUUUUUGUUUAAAAUUUUCAAAUUUUAUCCAAUUUUUUGUCAAAUUUUGUGCAUUUUUGUGGUUAUUCCUGAUAAUCAGUGGCUAGAGUUUCAAAUCUAACUAUUGUUAAGGUUUAUGAACUAAUGUGUUAAGUAUGAUGUGGUAAGAUCUAAAUGUGUCUCUCUAGUGAAUAUUUGAGAUUUUGUAACUUUUACAAUUUUUGGUUAAAUUAUUUAGGCAUUGUAAAUAUUCUUUUGGCAUUUUUCAUGUAAAUUGGUUCAACUAUUAAUCUUAGUUCUCUAUAUUUAGAAAAUGAAGUGGACUUGUGUGCUUUUAAUUUUAUUUUGGUACUGUUUGUGAAUUAUAUUUGGCUAUACUAUACUAGUUAUCGUUAUCUAGUAACUGAAAAUUUUCACCACAAGUAUCGACUUUCGAGUCAAAAAAUAACGAUAGUCAUGAGUAUGUGGAUCUUAAAUAAUGAGAGUUGAGUAAUGGGACUCUUUCAUUUCAUAGAUGUUAGAGUUUGCGUCAAAAAAUUUGAUUGGCUAAUGAUUAAGGAUUCUUCCCUUGAAAAGAAAAAAAAAACCUUAAGUGUAGGGAUAUUUUAGAAAAGAAAAAAAGUUGUGCUAAUAGUGAAAAGUGAAAAAGUGCAUAUGAAAGUAAGAGUAUGGGAGUAUGGGAAUAGUUAUGUUAGCCUGCUGAUCCAAGAGUUUUAAUGUUGAGAUUUUAUUUAAUAGUCAAAUCAUUUGCUAAGGAAUGAUAAUUGAGUAUUUUAUAUCCUUAAAUUAGUUAGUCGAAAAUUAGAAAAGUCCCUAGUUUUAAAAGUUAAUCAGAAAGAUAUUUCUUGAAGACUAACCACUAAUGCUUGAUAUACGUAUUAAUUGUACCUUGGCAAUGAGUGACUUAGGCAAUGGUCAUUGUUUGAACUUGAUCGCCUGAUUGGUUAUUCUCAUGCUUGUGUAGGUGUGGAGGGAAUUGAUAGGGUGCGUAAUUAUUAUUAAAUUUAUAAAUAUUUUUUCUUGAUUUUGGUCAAAUAUUGUAUUAAUUGAUAGAUUCUACUCAUAUUGGUUAUUGGUAUUAAUUGUGGAAAAGUGGAAAAAAAAAGUAGUUAAAGGAGGCAAUUUUUCGAAAGACUGAACUAGUUUAGCGUGGGUGCGAUCAAGACAUGUCAAAUCUGGGAAGCUCGGAAUUUUUCUUGUGCGUGGAGGCUUCCUAGUUCGAGUUGAACUCCGAGCAGAUUUUGGCUAAAAAUUUAGAAAUAUCUUUAUUAGUUAUAGUAUUUGAUUAUGAAACAUGGGAUAUUAUCUUUUGUGGUUUGCCUUUUUCAAUUAGGAAAUGUACUUUGUUUCUUUAAUAGCUACAAUUUAGGGGAUAAAACAGGAAGAGGGUCCGCUGGCUAUAUUAGUACACUAGUACUUUUGAGGGAAAAAAAGAACUUUCGCUCGUGAUUGAUUAGUCUCGGUAGGCACAGGAAACAAAAGCUAUCUUCCUUUUUGGUUUCUUAUCGUGGAAUGCCACGCAACUUUUGUCAAAAAACUUGCUUGAAUUAAUCUAGUUAAUGGAUAACAAAGCAUUUGGUUCAAUUACAAGUAUGAGAUCUAAUUGUUCUUAUUUGUUUCUUUUAUUUGUUAAUAUUUGUAUGUUUUCUGAUUUAAUUUCUUAUGAUUAUUUUGUUGUUUGAACAUCAAGAACCCGAUAUUUAAUUCAACCUAACAAUCUAUUGUCAAUUAAGACAGUUAAAUCUACAAUUAUUUAAUUAUUUUAAAUUAGUGGUGACUAACGUGAUUAGUUUCAUAUUAGGGCAACAUAUGGUCUAAUUUAAAUAAACCUGGCAGCAUGUUUAUUGAUUAGAACCGAGUCUUUCUAGUUUUUAAUACAAUCAAAAAAUCAAAUUCUAUAAGCGUACCUAGAGUUGUUUUUUGAUUAGAGAAAUAAUUUAUAGGCGUACCUUAACUAUCGAAAAAGUAAGGAAAUAUUGAUUGUCAUCACGUGUUUGGCAAUUAUAAUCUAUUUAUUAUUGAAUAGAUGAAAUAAUUAUUGUAUCAAUAAGCAAUUGUAUGAACCACUUCUAAAGUUAUUUCCUUGAAUAGACCUUGUUUAUUAUUGAUUUAAAGUUAAUCUAUUUCAAUUUAAUUAUUUUUAUUUAUGGUAAUUAUUUAUUUUAAUUUCAAUUUCUGAAACCCCCAUUUAAUUUUUGCUUGGAAGGAAAUAAAUCAUCCAAUUUCUGAGGAGACGACCCGACUCAUCGCUAUACUUGAAUUUAAGUUUUUAGAGUAGGAAUUUUAAUUUUGGUGAUUUGACACCCAUCACCCUUAAUUUGUUUCAAUUCAUUUGAUACUUUUUUCAUUGUAUACCUUUUCAGGGAAAAAAGUUGACAAUAUAGGAGUAUUUAAUAGGAAAAUAAUCUAAUAAUUGUAACUUUGGUUAUUAGUAAUCUUCCAUUUUUUAUGAUGUAGAUAACUUCUCAGAAUUAUAAUCCAUUUUUGCAUCAUAUAUCAAACCAAAACAUCCCAAUUACUCUAAUUAAACCACUAUUUUUGUAGUCUAAGAAAAAUUGCAAACAAGUUUCUGCAAAAUAUCCAUUUGAAAACUGGUCAGGCUUAUCCUAAAUACUCAAUGAAAUGGAAUAUUGGAAUCGGCUUUUCUCAUAGUGCGAAAAGCCUACAGAAACUUGAUUCUGCAAAUCAAAGGUGGCACAUAUCUGGUGUGUUGACUCUUUAAUCUUGUUAUUAGAACAUAAACAAGUUGCUUAACCGUUUUAAUAUUAGUAAACAAAGUACUUGCAGGCAUGCGAUAAUAUAAAUUAGCAGAUUCAACGAAUGUUAAUCAAUUUGAUCAAAGAAUUAGGUUCCAUAUUUUGUCCCUGGCUAUUAACUUUUUCUCAAGGAGAUUACACCUAGGGAAGAAGAUACAUUUAAAUAUAGCACGUUUAUGACAUAAUGCAGGCCUCAUAACUUGGAGGAAAUUUAAAAUGAUAGAAAAUUUCUCGAGUUCAAAUUUUAUUUGCACUGCAUUAUAAGAUGUGAAUCUUUAAUUUCUUUCUCUAUGUCAGUAUUUGCAUUAUUUUCCUCUGAGUCAUGCAUGCAUGCGUAAAAGAGAAUUCAUGCAUUCAUAUCAUACACUGAUUUUGAUAUGAUUAUGGUUUUUUUUUUCCCUCGAGCGUGUCAUCUCAUAUUCUUGACUAGAAUAUAGAUUUCUUUUUACAUAAUUUAAUUUUUUCGAGUUAAUAUAUAAUAAAUCUAAAGAAAAGUAAUCUUCCGGCAUCAACACCAUAUACUAAAAGGUAGUAUCUAAAUUAUAACUAAAAUCAACUUAUAUACACUGAUAAUGUAGUGAUUUUUUUUAUACGAACAGUUAUGAAUAUAUGUUGCAUGUACAUAAUUUGAAUUGAUGUUAUGUAACAUUAAUUUAAACCUAUUUGUAUUAAAAAAAAUUGUACAUUCACGGCGUAUGAAAAGCUUACUCUUAUAACUACAUCACUUCACAAUGCUAGAGAAGGAGAAUAAUAUUUUCUUUUUCCUCUGCCCUGAAAUACAAAAUUGUCAGAAUCCAAACGAAGAAAUACCACCGACUAUGCAAGAGUGAAUUUAAGUAUUUAACUCAAGCCUCUUUCUCCCUAAUGUAUAAGGCUUUAAUAAUGCAAUACUUAUCAGAACUUCGUAUUAUUAUACUGAUGACUAUGUAAAGUUUCCAACCGUCCAUGGCCCUCUAUUGGACAUGGGGUUCCACCUCCCACAAGACAUUGAUCUGAACAUUGAUCAAAUAGGGAAUAGGGAAGAGAAUAUUGAGUUGUUCACUUGUUUGGUGAUAGAAAUGGGGCCAAUCUUGAUUUUAUAUAUCUCAAAGAUGUGGAAUUUGGGGAAAUAUGACAUAUAGUGAUAGUGAUGAAAUUUUUUUUUUUAGUUAUUAGUCACCAAAGGCUAAAUAAAAUAAAGUGGGGAUAGAAAUGUCUAAUGCCUCUUGGCACCAUGACUUGUCUAGAAAGCAAAUGUCCCAAUAAGGGAGUGGUCCAAUGUUUUACACCAUCAAAGGGAAUAGAGAAUCACACACAUAUAAGAUGGAGAAUGUAUAAUUAGGAAUCAGACAAUAGGGACUACUUUGUUUCCUCCACCAACUAUGGAAGUAGGAAUUUGUUUCACUCAUGUCUUCAUUUUUGUUUUCUAUUUUAGGUGGCAAUGCUUGUGUACAUGAUUAAUAACAGGUGUGAUACUUGGCAGAACUAAAAAUAAGCUGAAUUUGUUUGUUCACAUACUUGGCCACAAAAAUCCUCUCAACCCAAUAUCUUAUUAUUAUUAUUAUUAUUUUACUUUUUUGUGCACUGAUAUUUAGGAGUUAGUUAACUUAAAAAUUGUAUUAAACCUAUACUCCUCGAUUACAAAUCAUGCUCACUGAAGAUAAAAAUCAAUAAUCUGAAUAAUGCUUUUCUAUAAUUAUUGGUCCAACGACCACCAGAAGGUCUUUAAGUCCCUCCUGGGAUGCUAGUUGGGGGAUCAUAUCCUGUGCUAGGGUUGUCAACGAGUCGAGUCGAGUUAAAUUUUGGCAUAAUCGAGCUGAGUCUUGACUUAAUUUUAUCGAACUCGAACUCGAGUUCGACGAGUUGACAAUUUUGAAGGUUGGGCUCGAAAAAAUAAAUAAAAUAAUAUAAUAUUUUUUCUUAAUAAAUAAUAAAAUAUUAAGGAUAUUUAUGUAAUUUUACUAUUACAAUAAAAUAUAUAUAUAUAUAUAUAUACUAGAGCUCACGAGCCUAACGAGUUUAAUAUUUUGAGCUCGAGUUCGAGCUCGAUUUUGACUCGAUCAACUCGAGCUCGACUCCGGAGCAACUCGAUUCGUUUGCACCCCUAUCCUGUGCUAGCAUCAAAUGUCAAGAAUUAUUGGCUUUUAAAAUCCAGCAGGCGCCUUAGUGCACUCGACUAGUUUAGAAGUGUCUUAGUCAUCUGUGGAACCUCAAUGGCCCCGUUGGACCAAUCUCCUUCCCUCAUAAUAUAGAAGUAGUGUUGCUAUUGACAAAAAAAAAAAAAAAAAAAAAAAGGAAUGACGCUCUUCGAUGCUAAUCAAACAUGUGAACGACCCUUAAUUUUACAAGGAUAAAUUGUCAUCUCCCUGAGAAAGGAAAAAGAGACUGCUAUCAAGCGUUUUCCAUUAGAUAUAACUAGAGGAAAAUGUCGCGUAGUAGUUUAGUGCCUAUGAUCAGACAUGGUUAAUAAUUACUAUUUGGUGUUUUAUAGUACACAAAUUAAAGUAUGAUAAUUUUAUUAUAUGAUAUUAAACAGAAAAAUCAUAAGUUAUAUACUUAGUCAAAAAAUAUAAUGUGCAACGAAACAUAAUUAUAAAAUACGAUCAACCAUUUUGUAUCCAAACCUAAUAAAAUAAAAGACUUACUUAUAUUUUCUUCUGCACUUUAAAAAUAAUAAAAUCUGCUGUUUAGUUUGAAUUUGAUCUUGAUACGAGAACAAUCCACCGCAUUAUCUUGUCAUAUAAGUAAGAUUUGAAUGAUUAGCAUAUUUGAAGAAAUCAUUGCUAGUGGAGUUUCAGUUCUUGCAAACCAAGUUCUUGAAUUUAUAUUAAUUCUAAGGACAUAACGUCACGAGACCUCCACAUUGGUCAAUCAAUCAAUUAUGAUUUAUUGUAUGAUUUAGGAGAUAUAGCAAAGCAUCUCCUUCUCAAUAGGGGAUUACAAUCACGAAACAUUAGUUUUUGAACUAGUUGCAAGAAUAUACAAUAACUAACUUGCUAAUUUAGAGGAAUAAUUACCUCUAAAAAAGUACUAAGGGUGCAUUUGAUAAAACUAAAAUUUGAAAACUGAAGUCUGAAAUUUGAAAUUUAAAGUCUGAUCCAUUAAGCUAUUGAAUUGUUAAAUAUUAAAUAUAAUAUAUUUGAGUGCAUAUCACAUUCAGUGAAAAGUGAAUAGCAUAUCACUUAAUUUGGGAGCAAAUUUUGCCUAAAAAUUUAGUGCAACUUAAUUAAUUUAGAUAUUCAAUUUUUGGUUAUCAAAUCGUCUGAAUAUGUUAAAAUCUGAUUCCAUUAAGUAUAAGUGUUGAAUUUGGUUAUCAAACAAGGCCUAAGGCAUCUUAAUCUAUUCAAUUCAAGAAAACAAUUAAAAGUAAUGAAGUGUAUACUUUAAAUUUACAGCAAAAUAGUUUUAAAUAGAUGGUUAAACCUAUUGACAAACCAAAUGAAUUAAAAAAUUGCCCAAAUGGAAUCACCAAUAAAGUAGCAAACAAUUUGAAAAUUACCGUAACUAAUAGUUAAAACAACAAAAGAAGUAGAUGCGGUCUGUAAAUGGGAAAAUUUAUGAUGUUAAACUUACCUUAAACCACCAAUAGCAAUUAAUAAAUGUGACUUCCUUCCUAUCAAGCCUGUCUAACAUGGACAAUUGAAUUAAAAUACUAAAAAAUUAUCGCACAAACAACUUGCAAGAUUACAGAUUUCUUACAACUAAAAAGUAGAUUGGCUAAAGAAAACAUACCUAUUGAGAUUUCUUACAACCAAAAAGUAGAUUGGUCAAAGAAAACGUGUAUAUUAAGAAAACUGUUACAAAAUGGGGAAGAGGGUAGCUAAUAUAGUAAGAUCUGAAUUUAAUAAGUUGUAUAAUUGUUGUGGAACAAAGUUGUAAGUAAAUAAAAUGAAUUUGAAUAGAUGGGAGUUACUGUUGUAAUGGCCAAGAAACCAAACUUCUUCACUAAUUGGCAUUAAUUGUGUCUUAACAUCUAUAUAUCACAAGUUUGCAAAUAACCAAUGAAAAAGGUUUCAAGAAAUUAAGACUUGGAUGCUAAUAUAAUUAAAUGAUUAGAAGGGCUUUUAUGUAAUUUCACUAAAAUACAAACUGAAUUUUGUUGUACCCAAUGCUCAACUGGACAUUGAACACUGUCACAUAUCAAACUUGUCCCUAGAUUAAAAUGUCUUAAAGGACAUCUAAGUAAUUACGGUAAAACCAAAUUAAUUAUAAUAAUUUAUACUCAAUGCUCCAAUUGCACUGCAAACACUUUAGCAUUUCCAAAAUACUUCCACCCUUGCAAUUGAAAUUUUUUGAAGGACUUGCAAUUCAAAUUUAAAAAUCAUCUUUGUCCUAAACUCAUUCUUACGUGAUACAAGGAUAAGGAAAUGCCUAAUUUGUAGCUACAUGUUUAACCUCUUAGUCCGAUCCGUAGAUGUUACGGCUCUCACCUUAAAUUAAUCAACACUGACAUUGUAUAAGAAAUACUUUUGAGUCAUACAAGAAGUAUUGACUGACACACGAAAAGAUCCAAUAUAAUCGUAAUAAUCCUAUGCUAUUCAUAUUGAUUGCAUGCUAUCAAGUAGUUGAGUCAUUUCAAUGGUUUGUUGAUCUAUCUUUUUCCAUUUGUAAUCAUGUUUUUGCUUCUAUCCUUUGACAAAGAAGUAACAUAAACUUUCCAGAAGUAAUCUUUUAUUAUAUUGUUAAAUUCUGUAAGCACAUUUAGGCCGAAAAGAAAAUCAGGAAGUAAAUACCAUUUUAGAAAUUUAUUCCCACACUGAUCAUCUAUAUCAUCUAUGAAUUAGAAAACCAAGUUUUCUACCUUACUGCAUCAAUAAACUUUGGAUACGUGGCAUGAACUUGUAAAGUCGUACAUAGAUGCCAUAUUUGAGGCAUAAAUAGACCACUUGGCAGGGGAAAAAAAGAAGAUGAGAAAAACUUAAGCAGUAAUUUGUCAUUAAGCACAUCUAAAGCAACUAUAAAAGUAGACCACCAUAACUUCUCUUUCAAAAAUCCUUUCAAAACCUGUUUCAGGAAAGAAAAAAAAAAAAAAGAAAAGGGUUGGGUCCAUUUGAGAGGUCGACAUUCACAUAUAUAUUAUUGGUUCAUAUCUUGACUUGAAAGGGUUCAUUAUGUGUAAUUGCUAGACCAUGAAUAGAUAAUCACAAACCAGUUCUCUAAUUGGAACACGAAGAUUGAAUCUGUAGAAGUGAAGGCUAAAGAUUCUUCUAAGUGGGAAGUAUAAGUCAGGAGAAGAGAACAAAAGCAAAGUUUAACCCCUGUGUGAUAAAUUAUCCAAUUUUCUUAUUCUUUUUUCGUUUUCCAAGAACUGUAACCAGAUUCUUGUCCAAAAUGGAACCACCCCUACAUCAUCUUGCCCAAGUCAUCAAUUUGGACUACUAUAUCAUCAUCAUAGGAUGACAUAAAAGUAUGACUUCGCAUCCAUUUGAUGGAAAGCAUUUUCGCACAAGAUUGAGGGUUUUGUGAGGACCAAAGAUCUUUUUUUUUUUUUCUCUCUCUUUUUGACAACCAAAUCGGAACCAAUUUAUUAAAUGGUUUUGAAUUAUAGAAUCAAUUUAUUGCAGAAAAUUAUAGAAUCAGGGGCCUCCUCCAGCCAAACAAGUAAAGUUUUGAGACAUGAAAGCCAAUCUAAAGUCUAAACUAAGAGGCUUAUUAGGUCAGGUCCAAGAAACUUAAAAGUUGAAACCAUAUAUUGAUCAGCAACAAUUUUAAGAGUUUUUCCCUCGUCGAUGGGGGUUGCUUGAGGGAGGAAGAAUUCCCAGAAACAUUUAUGCUGGUGUACAACUCUUCCUGUAAAGUUCCGGAAUCCAUUUUCCUUCCUUUUCUGCAAUAAGAAUUACAAAAAUAAGAAGUAGCAAUGGAACUUUUAUUAGAUCUAUAUUUUUCCUUGACACUGGAAAAAAUGAGCUGGAAUUUUACUUUUUUUCCCUUUUUUCUUGAUGAAAUACUAGAGAUCUUAUUGAUGUAAAAAUCAGCUUUCACAAGGAGGGUUAGCCUGGGAUAAACUUACAAGAGUACUCCACAAUGGCUAUUCCUUCAACAAUACUUUGUAAAAUUAAAGUUAGGUGAAAUUAAAUUCGUGAAUCAUGCUAUAUUUGGGUGUUAACUGAUGUUAGUAAAUGUGGAGAAGAACAGUGGAAUUACCUAGUUGAAUAUUAAGUACAUAUUCAAAGAAAAACUAGUUUAUUAUUUAGAGGUUCCACUUCAGAAAAGUGAAGUAUAUAUUCUUGUUGAUGAUGAUUCAAGGCUCAGACACUUGAUCUAAGGCUAAGACACUAUUAAUAUGUGAAAGAAACAAAACUCAAAAAUUGUUUUAUUACCCCUUUUUGUUUUGUUGAUGGUAAUUAACGUCUAAUUAUGUACUCUAAUUCUCAAGCAGAAGGAUUUUUUCAUAGGCUACAAUCUGUCCCGCCAGGUUUGGUUUGUGCUGGAGAAAUUGUUUCCUGUUGGUCCAAUGCAUAGAUCAUCGAAUUGCAAAUGUACUUAAAGUCUUGAUGACCUCAAUCAGUCAGUGACAAGAACAUUUAAGCAAAUCAUCCCUUCUCUAAUUUGUUGGGAGCUGUGGAAAUGAAAGCCCAAAUUAUAUGUUUCUGAGGAAGAAAAAGGCCAAACAGGAGGGGGAUCAUUGCAGCUAUUUUUCACUAUUCCUGGAGUGGUCUAUUUGCUUUCCUUUCCUUGGAUCAAAUCCAUAACUAAUAAAAAGAUUAAGUCUGUGUUGGAAGGGAAGUAACACAAUCACAGCCUGGUUCAAAGAGCAAGCAAUUUUCAACGGCUCCAAAAAGUUCUAAGACUAAUUUUACAUAAUUUAUCAUGUAAAUUAUCAUAAUUUAUAAGACUAAUUUUACUUUGCACCCUCGAACUUGUAUCACUUUGCACACUAAACUUAAAUUUUUAACACUUUGCACCCUAAACUCUUAAGUUUGUUUGAUUUAAGUCCAAUCAAUGACUACAUUCACAAAAUUAACAAGAUAAAAAUCAGUGAAAAUUAAUGAUGAUGUACUAUUUUGUUCUAACUGUGACCCCCUUGACUUUUUUUGACUACUUUUAGUACAUUAUCAUUGAUUUUUAAGGUCUCAAUUACUAAUAUUGUUAGCAAAAUUUACAAGAUAAAAGAUUGUAUAAAUUAACGAUAAUGUAUUAUUUUAUUCUUGUUAUGAUACCUUGGCAUCUUUUGGUUAUAUUCGCACAUUAUCAUUGAUUUAUUAGGUCCUCUGUUUCGUUAACUUUGCUAAAGUUGUCAUUGAUUAGGCUUAAAUAGGACAAAAUUGAGAAUUUAGUGUACAAAGUAUUCAAAAUUAGGAGUUUAGAGUGCAGAGUAUUCAAAAUUAAAAUUUAGAUGCAAAGUAGAAAAGUAAUACAAGUUCGAGGCACAAACUGAAGUUUGUCCAAAUUUAUUACUUGUGACUCAUGAAUCGUUAUAUAAUUUCUUAUAAACCCCUUACAUUUAGAAAACUAUACAGAUUUAUGAUAGUUUGAAUUUGUCGCAAUAUUGCCUAUUAAGAGGUGAAUUUACCUAUUAAUCCUACUAUUUUGAUCAAUAUUUCUAAUAAAUCAGAAGGGGAAAUUGAUCAAAAGGUUUUCUACGCAAGGGAAAAUUGCUUAUUUGAAUCAAACAUUAGUCUUUUCUGCCCCUUUUAUCAAAUAAGAUUUUGUGCUUACAUUAUUGUGUCCAGCAGAAUUUUAUACUGAUUAAUCACAGAUCAUUUUUAUCAAGUGGUUGAGGAAGCCUUCUGCCGUGGAGUAGCUUUUAUUUCUGUAGUUAGUCUCAAUAAUAUGAGAGUUGCUACUUGUUGUUCCAUUCAAUUGUUGUCUUAGGGCGUUUAAUCUCACCAGUCUGCGAGCUGUAAUUCUAUGAAUUCAUCUCAAUGUUGUUACUGUGUCUGUUUUGAAAGUUUUUAAUCUUGUGGUUAAUAUUACUUUGCACCGUUAAAAAGUAGUGAAGCAUGGGAGUUGGGACAAUGUGCACUUGCAUUUCCGUUUGUGAAAAUCAAGACCUAAACUCUAGCUUAAUUGAAUUAGAAGUUCAACAAAGUCUGAUUCCUUAACUCUAAUUGCAUAAUCAAAAGAUGAUUUUGAUGCAUUAAUUGGACCAUUAUGUAUAUUAGGACUGUUCUGCGUCAUAAUCUAGCAUUAACUUGCUACUGAGGUUCUCAACCUGUAUAAAGACUGGCACGAAAAUAAGCUCAAACGCUAGAUUAAUAGCAAAGAAAAUAACUUAGGCUCCGUUCGGAUUAGCUGUUACUGUAGCAGAGUUUUUAGAGUAUAUUUUUGGAUAUUUUUAGAAAAUAUUUUGGAAUGUUUAAGAGUAGGAGAGUUUUUUAAAAUAUAUUUUGGGAUAUUUUUUAAACAUUAAAAAAAUUAGAGUACUUUUUAAAAAUUUAAACAAGUUUUUCAAAUAUAAUAAAAUUUUUAAAAAGUACUUCCAAAAGGUAAUCUAAAAAUUAAUUUAAAUUUUUUAAAAUUUUAAAAAAAUAUCUCAAAAUAUAUUUUAAAAACUCUUCUACUCUUAAAUAUCCCAAAAUAUUUUCUAAAAAUAUUCCAAAAUAUACUCUAAAAACUCUGCUAUAGCAAAAUUUUUCAAAAACACCCUAAAAAACAGUUGAUUCAAACGGAGAGUAUAGUAUUUGAAAAACUGAUUUAUAAAAAACUGAAAGAUCCAAACGGAGCAUUAUGUAUUCACUAAUUCAACCAAGUACUUGAAAUAUUCAGAAGGUCUAAGUGGGUUCGAUUCGACCAAUACCAUUUGGGUCGGGCAUUGCCCUUGAAGCCAUGGUCCCUUGCAAUGUUUAGAAUGUAUGACAUAAUAUCUACCUGAUAUACAGCAAAUGAAAAGUAAUCUGGCAGACUAUGAGAAGCCUUUAAGCACAAGUAGUACAAUGACAAUUUUGACUUGUUGCUAGACGGGUACACAAGAUAACUUAGAAGCUAAAUUGCCAUCAAGUAAAAUAAGCCUUGAGAGAUUUUCCACAGCAUUGAUACUCAAAACUGGUGGCUCCACUAAAGAGAGCAUAUGAUGUUGGUUGCGAAUGAUCCAUCUAUGACAACUUUGAUUUCAAACGCAAAUGAUAUUAGGAGCAGAGAAAAGUGAUAAUAACAGAUCCAUAAUCUUGUAAGAGUUUACUACUUCAAAACCAAGUAACUAGGUAGUGCUGAGCUUUAGGACACAACUAGAAGGGGAACUACCAAUUGGUUGGAGACUACAAGUCCAGAACACUUAAAGAUGGUACGUUACCACUUUCACCAAUGAUGAUUUAGCAGUCCUUAAUCCAUGUAUAAAGUACGAAUUGCUGAUUUCAUUGUCAUGUAACAAUACACUUUCCCCUUGAAGUGAGAGAGGGCCAUAGGAACGCAAGUCUAGUCUGCAAACUUAAUUUACUGAGUCCACAAUAUUUGUUGAGCAGUCAAACUAGUCGGUCUACUCCACAAAGGCACAACAGAAAAAUCUACUCAAAAGUUCCAAGCAUCUGAUCAACAAAUCUUACAGAUGCCCAAUAUUACCUAACCCCAAGUCUGAUUAACAUGGUAAAUCAUCUUACUACCUCAUUUAUUACCCUUUUAAACCAAACGACCUGUAUCAAACAGCAGAAUUCAAUUGCUCGUUCCUCCAAAAAAGGAUCUACAUUGUCCCUCCAACCCGUCUAUGAGAGUGUAGCUUAGUCUGUCAUUCCCUGAGACACUCACAGAGAAUGAAACAUUAGUAAAAGUAGGACCUGCUUACUGUUCUGCCUUUUCUUGGCCCCUAGGAGCCGCGAUGAGAAUGCAUUAAAAAGAAAAUGACAAGGAGAUUAAUAUAUUCUGUCAGUGACCCAACUUUUCAGCUUAAAUGAAAUUCGAAUCUGUAGUGAAAGAAAGCAAAGGUAAAAUUAGGGAAGAUAAAUUGUUUCUAAUGUAAGUCACUUCCCACUCUAUCUAUUUCAAUUAUCACCCGAGAUUCAAAAUUACUGUCCUUAGAACUUCCAUUACAGAAGAGGCACUAAACCGUUUGCCACAUCUUUUCAGUUUAAUAGCUUUGAAAAAAACAAGGUGCCCCUCUCCGAAAUAAUCCUUUCAAUCUUUUCCUUUUGAAUAAAGUCCCAAGCACAGUUUCUUAAUCAGCAACAACUCAAUUUCUCCCCAUAUAACGUGAAGACAUACACCAAGAAGGACAAAAACUGCAUAGCUUCACCACAACUUGGGUAUCCUUUACUAAGAAUGCUGAAGUCUUAAAAAACAAAACAAGAAGACGGGGAAUCUGCAUAUCCAUGCCAAACAUUAUUCAAAACUUGAUAAGAUAAGUUCAACUAAGAACAUUACAACUACCAAUUACCUAAUCAUGUCAAUGAAGUUCCACCAUGACAGAGAGACGAAAGAAAAGUGAAAAACUUACCCAAAUCCAACAACCAAUCAUGAAUUUCUGCAUACUUCAGAUUAUGUUAUUGAACAAGAAAUAGCAACCUUCCAUUGCAUGAUAAAAACUGAAAUGUUGUACUUGCAACCAAUCUACUGCUAACCAGCAUUAUAUUACACUUAAUAUACUUAAACUAUAUGCCCCUUGACAAAGCACCCAUUACUACAAGAAAAUCAACAAAUAACAAUCAAGCACAAUGGUAACUGGUAACAACAACCAAACAUAUUCACGAAAUGGCUGACGAAAUGAUGAAACCAUUUUCAAUUUCAAAUUUCAAUUUUACAAGUCUUGUAGCAUUACAAAUAAAAAUUAGGAAAUAUGACACCAAAGAAAGGAGGAAACACCAAAAUCAAUUUUUAUUAUGAGGACAAUAAUAACAACAUACAAUGGUCCAAUCCUCAUUAAUUAAUUUCAAUAAACAAAAAAGAUACUGGUACAACAAUAGAAACAUUCAGUUCCAGCAUGAUUAUCAUGCCAUUACUUCAGUCCUUGACCAAUAAAAAUUGCAAUUCAGACACCAAUAAAAAAUUAUCAUUGCCAAUUCCCGACUCCUCCACGUUCCCUAAGGCACUGCUGAGAGCUGAGCCUCAAGCAAGAAACCCGGCAAAGCCAUCUCCAUUUCCAGGGACACAUCAAUCCACCGCACUCAGUCUUUUCACAGCCAUUUCCUCAAAACACUCCCAAACCACCAAUUUUCCAACCCUUUUAGCAGAAAAACAGACCUGAUUUCCCCUCCAAACACCUUAAACUUACUCGAAUCCUGAAAAAGCCUAUACAUUUCUGAUGGCAUUCGCCCAGCCUCGUCCCACUCUAAACUCUCCAAAUCCAACCUCAGGAUUCAAAAUUGUCGAACACGCGCUAUGCAACGAGUAAGAACUCUUCAAUCCACCGAUCAUGAGCACCUUAUUCUUCCUCCACUAACAAUCUAGGCCGCUUUAUUAUAUCAAACACAUCGCCCCACUCGUGCUUCUCGAGCCGACUCCAUUUCUGGACCAACUGAUCCCUCUGUUAAUCACCAUAGACUUAAACAGCUUCCACUGAGAUCGCCAUGGCGAUCCCACAUCACAAAGAGCAAGUAUAAAAUUCUCAAUCAAAACAGGGCUUCGCGGCUUGGAAGGUAGAUUAGACGAAUACUUGAGCCAAGAAUUGCAAGUCGAGUACAAAGUAGCUAGCUCGGUAAGAACCAGCACUUGGCUGGGGCCAGCUCCAAUUAGAACGAACCGUGGCGCGACCAAGCCGAGCCCAGCUGGGUAAGGCCUUGAAUUGCCUCGUCAAAGGGUUGCAAACAAUCAGCAUUUUAUUACUGAUCGGGCCGGGAUUGGGAAGAACUAGAGGACGAAGCCCAGAGAUAAAGCAGGCCAUGAGAUGAGGUGAUGGGGAGGAGGGAGGGAAAGGGAGGAAGUUGAGGAAAUCUGAACCAUCUGUCAGACAAAGGGUCGAACACGUGGAGAGCAGGAUGGAAGACAGGUGGGAAUGCGAUGGGAUCGGUGGAAGGCGGAGGGCAAUUAGGGAAAGCACAUGGGAUUGGGAACUGGAAAUCAAGUGCAAGAAUGAUGGAGAGAAAAGAGCGGUAUACAGGACUUACAAACUGCUCUGCAGAUGAUCAUCUGCGGAGUGGCAGGGAAGAAAAGAUCUCUUGGAGGGUGUCUAGAGGCAACCGAUUGGUGGGAAGAUUCCAUCCUCUUUUGCGUUUCUUCUCUGGGUUUUCUUGGGGGUUUUUGGGGGGCGAGGCGAGCGAGGAUGAUUUUGGAGUCAGGUGGAGUGGUGGGCGGCUGUGGUGGUGGUGGGAUGGAUUUGGGUAGUUGGCUGGUUUAAUGCGGGGGAAUUUUGCUUGGGGAAAUGGAAAUGGAAAUGUGUUCAAGGCUUUUAAGGUGGCAAAAGCGCACGGUGGAGUGGAGUUUGGAGGUUUUUGUUUGAUGUGAGUGCAGGAAAUGGGAGUAUUUGUUUGACUCUCUCAAGACAUGUUUUGCCAACUGCUAGAGGAGAGGAAGGGAAUUUAUGCUUAGUUUGGGAGAUGAGAUUUCAGCAGAAAAGAAAAGAAGGGAAGACAAACGUAGGUUUUUCCCAUAUUGAGUGUUUUAGUGAAAUAGAAGAGGAGGAAGAGACCCACUGCCAAUUAACAAAAUUUUCCAUCCCAAAACGGGCAGAAAAGAAAAGGAAAGCUACGAAAAGGCUGCAACAAUUUUUUAAAUUGCUCGUUCUAUUCUUGAAAAACUAUUGAAUGGAUAUCUAUUUGACCAAUGUUUAAAAUCAUCUCUUUCUUUUAUAAACUUUCAAACAACAUUAAAAUCUUUUCUCUUCUUUUCUUAUCUUUUCUUGUCUCUCUAACUUCUCUCUUUUCUUUUCUAUCCUCAACUCACAAACAAGCUAUUAGGUUCUUCGACCUUGUCUGCGAGGGAAAGUAUCAAUAGUAGGCAAUUUUUGGUACAACUAUCAAAUUUAUGUUUGUAUUGUGAAAUAUCAUUUUGUAUUUCUCAUUGCAUGGAAAUUUAGGCUAUUCUUUUUUUUUCGUGUUUACUUUAAGGAUAUAUUGCAAAUUCAGUGUCACUCUCGUUUGAGUAGACAAAAAUUCCACUCAUGCAGGUCAAGUUUGAGUAUUUAACCAAUCUUUUUGUUACCGUCCUUUGUAACUCAUAUUUUCAUUAAAUUUCAUAUAUUCGUAUAUGUCUAUAUUUUUCUUGUCUUAUCAAUUUUUUUUUCCUUGCAAACUUAAAAUUUUAUCGUGUACCAUAGAGAAAGAAAAAAAAGAAAGAUAAAGGUUUGAACUUGAAUCAUCAAAUAAAGGAAAAUAGGCCUUAAACUUUAGGAAGGAAAUAGAAUGAGUUGUGAGCAAUUGUUUUUGGUUAAGAAUGCUAUCAUGAAACAAAAUCCUUAUUAUUCAUGCCUCUUGUCUUAAACCAACCAACUCCUAAAGUGCAGAUUUCUCUUGUCUUCAUUCUUCUUGCAAGUGCUCCAUCCAAACUAGGCCUUAAGUUUAUAAUUGUCUAUUAGUGGGAAUAAAAUUAGGAAUGCCCCAUGUGCCAAAUGGUUGCUUCUUGUACAAUGAAUAAUCUUCUCGUUUGGGUUUCAGUUUGUAGUUUGCCCUGGAGUUGGUGAUUGGAUUAUUCCAAUGGGUUGAAUAUGGGCCUUGUGGGAUGCGAAUGGAUCAGGUCAUGGUGGACUUGGCCGGUCUUUUUAAUGUAUUCGAUUUCGGAAAAUUCUAUGUUUUUCUAUAAAACAAAAGUCAAUAUUAUUAAUAAACUACUUAAAAAUCGUUCGGCACGAUUCGCUUGACAAAAAGAUUCGCUUGACAAAAGAAAGCAAAGUUAAAAAAUAAGAAAAAUUACUUUGCGAAUCACAAACCAUCACGUCUCACGAAUUGCACGAGGUGCUCCAUAAAUAUUUAUGCAUCUCUAUUCCCUCGUACGCGCGUGGUAUCCAAGUGAGUCAAAUUCAAAAUUGAUUCUUAAAUAUUAUAAGAAGACUCAUAAAAUUCUAAAUCGAACAUAUGAAGGUGUAGAAAAACUCUUAGAUUUGAGAAAAAAAUAACAAAAAAACUAAAUAAAACCAUAUGAACUUGAUUAAAUGAAUUAGUCGUCCUGACUAAAACAUCGUGAUUCCCUUCUGUCUUUGUCUUGUUUUCGGAUUUUCCAAGAUGAAUCGCCCGAAGUUUAAAUCAAGGAAACUAAUCUCCAGUUUUGGUUGAUAGAAAGGUAGAAAAGAAGAAUUUCUUGUGAAACCCGAACUCUAGGCUUUGGUAUAUAUCGAAGUGCCACAUGUACUUGCAUCUAAAUAUUGUCUUCUUUUGGUUUUUUGCAAUCGGGACGUUUUGAACUAUAAUUUUUUUUUAAUAAUUUCUUCUAUUGUACCAUCAAGCCCAGCCCUUCUUCCAAUAUUUUCAAUUCUUAUUAGGUAAACCCCAAAAAAAAUUACAAUUUCAAUUCUAGAUCAUAUCUUACACAAAAAGGCAGGAGUUUUUUUUUUUUUUUUAAUAUUCAAUGGAGACUUUAAACCGUAUAAGAAAGCAUAUGAAGGCUUGAGAAUUGUCUAUAAAGACAGUAAGUGUGUUUGGAUAGCCAAAUAAUGGCCAAAAUUUAUUUGCUUACAUCACAAAUACAAUUUCCAACACACUUUUUUAUCUUUCUAAUUACUUUUUUAUCUCACAUACAUCAUAUCACAAAAAGUGUUACAGUAAUUAUUCUAAAUAAUAUUUCAAAUAAUCUCCUAUCCAAACACACCGGUACCGGUCCGACUUCUAUUAUUUAUUUGGGUAACUAAUUUGAGAAAUUUAAAGCCAUAACAUGUGCUUACAUGUUUUUGUCUAUGAAAUCGAAGAGUCCAUAAACUUGCACCAACGAUUCGAUCGAUAGAUGUGCAUCUUCUUUUUUUCCCCCCUUUUGGUCCUAAAAACGUAGGAUCCCUUUAUGUUUGUGAAAACAUUUUAUGCAGAUCAUUCAACUUAAUUAACUAAAACAUCUGCUUGAAUGAAGGUUUUAUGUACAAAACCAACCAAGCAGCCAAGUGGAACGGAAAGAGGCUCAACAUCAAAUGAUCGACAAGUUAAAAGGGUUUUCAAAAGUGAAUUCAAUCCUUGUCAAAAAUCAUAUUGUAUGAACUUCCUAAUUAAUUUGCACUUGCAUUAGGUUAAUUGAAACUCAUUUGUGUUGUCUUUCUUAUUCUAAUCCUUCUUUCAAGUGUUGUGCAUGUCAUUAACCUCUCUUUCUCUCACUUUGUUGAAAUCCUUUCAAGAAAUAAAUUUUCUCAAGCAUUUAGGGUUUAGUGUACUAUCUAGUGUCUACCAUUACGAAUAUAUGCAAUAUACUAGAACCCAUAGUGCUAUGAAAGUUCAAGAAGCAACUUUUUCAAAAAAAAAAAAAAAAAAAAAAAAGCUCAGGAAGCAAUAAAUUUGUCACGUUACACAACGAGUUUUUUUUUUUUUUUGGUAAUUUUUUCAAAGAUUUUAAUGUAGGAAUGUCAUGAUAAAGAUGCAAACUUGGAUAUCUGUACACUAAACUUGACAUGGUUAUCAAUAAUAUCCUUAGUCAAUUACAUUGGACGAUAUCCAGCAAUCUCAUUAAUAAAGUUUCUUAUUUUACAAAAAAAAAAAAAAAAAGUAUCAAUAAAUUUGAUGUUGGUAUGCAUUGGGGUUGAUUGCAAUCACAGUAGUGAUUAUAGAAUGCAAUUUAUAGUGGGGAUGAACUGAUGCUGAAUUGGAUAAAAUUGAGUUUGGAAUACAAAUCUUAAGUAGGAAAGUUACAACCCGCUGAACGUGAAGUUGUGGAGCCUUGGAGCAAAAUUAAUUUGUCCUCAGAAAACCGAGAAACAGUAUGAAGGGCAUGUGCAUAUCCUAUUUUCUCUUAUUCAUUUUUUCUUUUCCUUUUCUUCAUCAGUUGCAUUUCAUGUAAUUACUUCUCAUAUAUAUAUAUAUAUAUAUAUAUAUAUAUAGACACACACACGCAUAUAUAUAUAUAUAUGUAUGUAUGUAUGUAUGUAUGUAUAUGUAUAUGUAUAUGUAUAUAAUAAUUCACCAUGUGGCCAUAUUUAUUUAUUUUUUUUAACUUCAGUAGAUUUUAAGUAUUUUAUUUUUUUGUAACAAUCCAUUCCAUCUAUUUAUUUUCACCCUUAUUCACCUUUUUUUUUCACUUCCUUAACUAUCUCAACUUUCAGUCAAUUUAUUAAUUUUUUACUUUAUAUACGUUUGUACUUUGUAUUAAUCAUGCUUUAUGAAACCUUUUUAUUAAAAAAAACUAUUUUAUCAAUCUACUCAUUAAUUUUCCAUUUUUUAAUUCUCUUAGAUCACAUUUAAUUUUCUAUUCUUAGUAUUUGGUUUGAUAAUAUAUUAUUAUUACUAAAACUUGGACAAAUUUCAUUCUUUCUAUAAUUCAGUACAUUUAUGAAAAUUUCGAUGGAUCUAUUAAUUCAUAGUUUUGACACAUAUUUUAAACAUUGUUUAGUUCCUCCUCCAAAAGAUUGGUUUAGUUCCUCCAAAAGAUUUGUUAAAUUAGCUAUUUUUCACGUUUUGCAAAGUGGGAGGUCUCUCAAGCGGCCAAGUAGACAAAGUUAAUGUUCCCUGGUGAUUUUUGUUCUCUUUUUUUAAACAAUUAAUUUCAAUCCUUUUUACUUAUCAUAUCUCACACACACACAUAUUAAAAGUUUUUUGGUCAAUUUUUAGUGUUUCCAAUGGUUAGAAGAGGGCACUUAGAGUUUUUCUUGUCGUCAGGUUUAAGAUUCAAAUCUUGUGCAUAGUAGGUAGGGAUGGAAGGGUAAAAAAAAUUUAAGUAUUUUAUUUUUUUGUUAACAAGAAUCACUCCUUUCUUCUUUUUUGCCAACUUCUUUUCCUUAAUUUAAAUGUUGUGUUAACAUUUAAUUUGGGCAGGUAUUAAGUGAUUUAUUUUUGUUCACAAUUCAAAUUUUAAGUGUUUUAUUUUUAUUGACAAUAAUCAAUCCUGUCUUUUUUUUUCAUGUGCUUCUUUUUGUUAAUUUCUGUACUUAUUAUGUUUAAUAUUUAACUUGGCUAGUUUUUUUUGUUAAUUUCAUGUGCUAGUUUUUAAGUAUUUUAAUUUGGGUGAUAAUUCAAAUUUUUAGUUGUUUAUUUUUUUCAACAAGAAUCAAUGCCUAUUCUUUUCCCUUAAUUUCUAUAUUUACUUUGUUUAAUAUUUAAUUUGGGCAGGUCUUUGAGUGCUUUGUUUUGUUCAUACUUCAACUUUUAAGUGUUUUUAUUUCUGAAUAGAUUCAAAAUCAUACGACAAAUUUUCCAAAUCAUGAACACAUAACUAUUCAUUAACUAAUGUGACAAAUUCAAUAAUUUAACUUUGACUUUCAUUCAUAAGGAUCCAUUUCUUUUUUCCUCUGAAACAAAGUUUUACUUAGAGGUGUAUACGAACCGAGUAACUUGCGAGCACGUUUGAUUGUCCAACGAGCCUUAAGUGCAUGUAGAGUAUUAUAUGUUCGAUAGUUCGUCGUGUCUUAUUAAACAUUAAUGUAUAUAUAUUAAAUAAUUAUCUUAUAUUAUAUGACUUAAAAUUGCACAAGUGUUCAGAAUUUAUUGAGAAAUUUCAUUUCUUCUCUUCUGUAGUACAACUAGUUUCAUGGGCAUUAGAUUCAAUUUUAUCCCUUCAAAAAUCUAAAGGAAUACAAAAAUUUCUAGCUUAACGAUCGGACUCAAUCGAGUCGAGUACGAACUCUUUGACAAUCUCAUCAUGUUAAGUUCAAACUGUUAUUAUUUUGCUUGAUCGAUCUCGAGCACAGCUUUAAGAGUUGAACUCAUUUCGGAUCUAUUACACCCCCCUGGCUUCACAUCAAUAUGUUCGUAUUUAUGUCCAGGCCACAACUUGUAUUUUCCUCCUAUUUAUUUUCGUGCCCCACACUUUACACAUAUAUUGCUCCUGCCUCCUCCACCCUCUUACGUGUUCGGCUCCCGUGUCUCCUCCCCGCCGGCAUCUGCAGUUGGAAGCGACUACACUUUCUAAGAAAGAACGAUCCGGUGGCACAGAACGGGGACGUGCAUCACGUACAAAGCCACGUCAAGAUUCAAGAAUCUAUCAAACGUUGGGUCCACGUGAUUAAUUGCUUUUCCACGUAGGACCGUCACCCACGGACACCUUCUGAUUUCUGACAGGGUGCGAGAUUCUCCAGCCGUCUGACGUGUUAACGCCUUAACGCGUAAAGGCGGAGACGCCAAAUUUCACUUGGUACCCUUGAUGUUUGGUAGAACCGUUUUAAAUGUUUCCCACAUGUCACUAAAUUUUGUUAUUUAAAAUCUAUAAAAUUUGGUCUCAACCUAAAUUUUCAAUCACCUCUUACUAUAAAUCUAUCAUGUGACCCCAUAUGAUUAUUUUUUAGAGCAAAGAUUUCAUUUAUAGUUGAAUAAAUGAUUCGAUCCAUAUUCAAUUUUGCGAUCAGAUAAUGAUUGUUUUUUUUUCCUUAAAAAGUGAUAUCUGACCAAGUCCAUAUUCAUUUUUGUCAUUAAAAAAGCCUUUUUGUACUUAAAAAAAUGAUUAUAUGUGGAUCACAUGACAAUUUUAAGCUAAAAGUAGUCAAAAACUUAGAUUAGGACUGAAUUUUGUUAAUUUGCAUUUGCAAGGGAGGCAAAGUUAAUGUUUUAAAAGUCAAACUUUGACAAAAUGUGAUAGACUCGUUUUGAACAAAUUUUUUUCCUGAUGUUUUGACUUUCAUCAAUUUGAACUUGAAACUUUUGUUCCUGAACUUUGUAUAUAUAAGCAAACAAAAGUGCAAUAUCACCGAAAUGCUUGUAGCCAAUAAUAGCUGACAAAAAUUAUUUUGCUUCUUUGCAAAAUAAAAUGCAUGCAAUACUACGUCUCCACACUUAAACUGGCAACCUCUCGAACUCAUUUUGCUUUUGGUUGAUUUUUUUAGAACUAAGCCCAUGCCUGACUAGUAAGUUGAAAGUAUACAUCAUCAAAGUUCUGUAUUUCGAUAUUGAUUUUUUUAGCACCAAGCCCUUGCCUGAGCUAGCAAGUCAAAAGUAUCUUUGAAGUUCUGCAUUUCGAUAUGAAUAUUGGUAGAUAUAUAGUACUCUUUCUGUCUUACAUAAAUGUCAUUUUGUUGAUAUACCAGGAAGCUUACAGUUACACCAGCAUCCUAUUAACUAUCAUCAACCACAACUAAAGCUGUAGUUAACUAAAAUUUGCAGCAAAUGUCCUUUGCAAAAUUGCAGCUUAACUAAGCAACCUAAGUUGUCUCUCGAGUUCUGCGCAUCGCGCCAAGUAGCAUGAUACAUGGCUUUGUUGUUAAAGAUUUUGCAAUUCCUUUCUUUUCAAUGCAUGCGGCACACAACUAGUGAACUUUUUUCAAUAAAAGAAAGGGCAUAACAUUUUUGUAGUACUUUUUCUUUAAGCAAGAAAUGAGUGAAAUUUAAGAAGCAGUGCGAGACAGACCGGACGAUCAUAAUUGCCUACUUAUACAUACAUAUUGAUGCUAAUACAUGCAAUGUAAUAGACCUAUCAAUACAAUAAUGACCCCAAGCACAUUAGAAUUGUCUAACUUUGCAUGAUGAUGUGUUUUGUUCUAAAGAUUGAUAUGUGAUCCCGCUGCAAAAUUGGAUAUGGAUACAACUCAUUGCACAUGAUUAAAAGAAAAAGAUCCUUAGUCAAUUACAUAUGGUACCAGCACCAAUAAUUUUGAUGUGGGUACAGCCAGAUAAUCAGCACAUGCAUCAUGUACAACAAAACCACGUCAAGAAUGUAGCAACAUUUUGGGUCCAUCAGAAUCAUCCCCUUAUCCACCAACCCUAAGGGUCUUCUACUUCUUGAAGGUUCCUGAUAUGGUAUAUUGGUAUGGUGAGAGAUUCAUUGAUGCGCAUUAACAUGUAUUAAUUAAUAAUAAUGAGUAAUCUCCCUUGGCACCCUCAACAUUUUGACCUUGACACUUGAAACUAUUGUUUUUGAAACUUUGUGUAUUAAAUCAACAGUGACUUUUUGCAUCAUAAAGUAUAGGAAACAACAAAAGUCUUCUUAAACGGUCUGUCUGUUAAGAUAUAUUUUAAGUGUUAUAUAUUUAAAAUAUAAGAUUAAUUAGAAAAAGUAAAUAAAUACAAGGGAGAGUAGGUAAGAUUAAAUAGGGAAAGUAUAUAAAUACAAAAGAGGAUAAUAAUUAUUAGUAUGUAUAUAUAUAUAUGAUAGGUUAGGUGAAUGUUAGGUAUGUUAACGGGUGUUCUAAAGAGUACCCGUUAGAAAAACCCUUUCUUAAAAUACAAUUUUGGCAAAGCAUUGGAAAAGAUUUUUUUUUUUUUUAAUUGAGCCCUAUUUUUUAACUAGUAUGAGAAUCCAAAUGGCAAUAGAUUCUGAGAACUUUGAACGCUAAUUGACUACCAACCAAAAGUUUCUUACUCCAAAAUCAUCAAGAUCGGUUCUCCAACUACACUUACUGAAAUUCCUGCUUUGCCAAGCUCAUCCUACUACUUGUGUCUCAUGAACAAUAAGCAGAAAAUAAAUACAAAGAAGAGGGCAUACUAGUACUAAAAGAAACAGAACAAUCUCUAUUUCAGAGACCCGGUUGUGCUUAUUUAAAUGGAUUGCAAACGAUAAGUUAAAGGCAUUCUUGGAUGUUUGUCAUAGAAAGACGUAUUGUUGCAUAACUUAUAGAAAUCUAGAUCCCCAUGUCUAUAGAUUUUUUUUUGCCGCAACGGUAAUAUUUUUAUAAUUUAAUUUAUCCUAUUUUACAGAAAGGAGGAGUCCAAUGAAACUGUGUAAGGGACCAGUAGAUGUACAAAUCCGACUAUACCAAAGGAGUACUCGGACCUAUAGUCCAAACAGAGAUUUAAUCUUUUUUUUUUUUUUUGUGGCUAUUGAGCCAAAACUCGGUGGUUAUAUAGAUUCUUUCUUAGGGAAUUGAAUUUCGGUGGAGUUUCAUGUCACCCUUCAUAUGUUAACAAUCAGCCAUAAACAUGCCUAGACCUUUGAAGCUGUCCUUGUGGUUAUCAUGGCAAGGCCUAAGAGAAGCCUAUUGACAUUGGAUAUUAGAGGUUAAAAGAAAAGAAAUAUUAUGAAUAAUUCAUAUUUUUUUAAAUUGCAUAUUAGUCCUUGAGAAAGAAGGCAAACAUUACAAUGACCGCGUCGCUUGAUUAAUCCAACGUUUGAAAAAUUGUUAUAGACUUGUAAUAAACUUCUCAAGUGAAGUACAUGAAAGGAAAACUUUUUAUCUAGUGAUCCUCCACCUAAUAAAGACUACUUAAUUUGUAGAAAUUUUUGCAUAUGCGGAAAGUGAUCAUUGGUGAAGUUUGUGAUAGACUAAAAAGGAAAAACAUGCAAAUGGUUCUUUUUGAAUGACAUUAACCCGGACAUCCCUAUGUUGACCCGGACACUCCUGUGUUGAUAAAAAAAAAAAAAAGAAUGACAUUAACCCUUUAAAAUUUUAUGAAUGUGAAGGUAGCAAGUUCUAUUGAUUUAUUGAAUUGAUAAAGAAACCUCAUUUUGUAAAACAUUCAAGCCUAAACUUUAUCUGUAAAUAUGAUAUUAUCACUGUGAUUGUAUGGACUGAUUAAUUGUGCAAUUGUUUUAAGGAAAAAAGAUUGAUUGUGACACACAAAUUUCAAUUAAUAAAUAAAAUUUAUUAUGUUUUUAUACAUUACAAUCUUAAUUAUAUACUAACAGUAUAUACACUAUUAUGAUUGGAUAUACGAUAUAUAUACAAAAUUUGAGUUUCAAAAUUUAAAUUCAGAUUAUGUAUAUUAUAUAUCCAUGAUGAAGUCAGUAUAUGGAAAUUAAUCGAUGUUUUUAUACAUUGCAAUAAUAUAUAUAUAAUAUAUAUGUGUGUGUUAAUCUGUGUGUUAGUAGUUAUAUUUAUUCUGUAAGUACGUCCAUUUUAUGUUGCGAUUGAAACUAACAAUUGUACAAACCAUAAACCAUGAAGAACAACCCGAUGAAUCUGCAAUUCACCAAAUCACAAAAACGAAAAAAAACAAAAAGUACUC
This 188623-nucleotide long non-coding RNA is filed under the name Coffea arabica (coffee). RNAcentral describes it as "long non-coding RNA (CARA_LNC007267)". The stretch from base 128454 to 128560 matches the Rfam family "Plant small nucleolar RNA R71". The record is from RNAcentral. Lineage: Eukaryota; Viridiplantae; Streptophyta; Magnoliopsida; Gentianales; Rubiaceae.